Molecule: long non-coding RNA, 321984 nt
Filed under: Triticum aestivum (bread wheat)
Lineage: Eukaryota; Viridiplantae; Streptophyta; Magnoliopsida; Poales; Poaceae
Description: long non-coding RNA (TAES_LNC015254)
Source: RNAcentral
AGCACACGCUGUGCAACAGCAAUUUUAGUUAGACCAGGAACAAAAAUACAAAACUCCAAGCAUAAAAAACAUUUUACUUGUCGAUUAGAUCUGGAGAAAGUAGUCAACACAAUAGCAAAACAUAUGCUCCAUAGUCCAUAGGGUUAUAACCAGAAUAUUAAAGAUAAUACAUUCUUCUUGUGAGAAGUUCUGGCACAACAUUCUAAACAUAACGGUGAUAUCAUCAGAUUAGAAGAGAGAUGUUCCCUUGCCCUUCUUGUCUCCACCGAUUUCAAAGUGCUUGCACCUCUGUAGCAACCAAGAAACUAUGGUGUCAGAUACUUAAACAUAACAGAACAUAGCAAGGAAAUGGUAUGGCAGAUAAGAGGGAUGUGCGGACCUUGAUGGCACGCUGUGAGUAAUGCUUGCAGCUCUGGCACUGCAGCUUCAGCACAAUCUUCUUUGUUGUCUUGGCCUGAAUCAAACAGAAUAAUAAACAUCCAGAUGCAAAGAAGCAACAGAAGAGGAAAGGCCAACAUUUCCAAAGUAACUUGAGUUGUACAUCAAAGAAGAUAUAUGCCCCCAGAAAUGAGUAACAUACCUUCUUGUGGAAAACAGGCUUUGUCUGGCCACCAUAUCCAGACUGCUUGCGGUCAUAACGACGCUUCCCCUGAGCAGAAAGGCUGUCCUUGCCUUUCUUGUACUGGGUAACCUUGUGGAGGGUGUGCUUCUUGCACUCCUUGUUCUUGCAGUAGGUCUUCUUGGUCUUCGGAACGUUCACCUACAAAAAUUGUCAUACCAUACUUAGCCAACAGGAAUAAACAACCAGGAAUUUUACAUCACACAACAAACAAAAAUAACUUCAUAGCUAUACUCAUAACCAUGUUUUUUAGUUUAAGAUGUGGAGAAGGGCGUGUUUGAUUCCAAGGGGCAUGGAAAAUUCCCAGUGAAUCACGAGGGUCCAAAAAUACAGAGGGCAGAAUUUCCAAUUUUCAAUUACACACAUAACAAAAAGACAAUUCAAGUCAAAGAUGUAAUGCAGAACUAGAAAAGCACCCAGCUGGCAUGAAAAAGAGUAACAUCACAUGCUCCAAAACAGAACACAUCGAGUUAGCUCGUGGUAUAGCAGCCUUAGUCCAUAGAGAGAUAGGCUGUACGAGGGAUACAUCAUGUCACUGGUUGCUUAUAGCCAUAGGUUUCAGUAGUACACAAGCUGAUUAACUGCAGCUGAAUGACAGCAUACUGUGCACACAAACCAUUAGGCUAUGAUCUGACCUUGCAAGCAUAAGCAUAUAACUAGAAUAAAAGUGCAUAUUUGGAUCAAUCACUAGUCAUGACACAUCGACCAACAAGACAGACUCGAGACCAAUGUAUUUUCUAGCUUCACACCCCAAUGGGGUCAGAAAAUGACCAUUCUAUCCAACCCAUUCGUCAUUCAAGCAAGUGAACUUAAUACAGCCAAGGCCCAGGGCUGCGCAGUGAUUGCCUGGUUGAUAUCAAGUGUCUCCAACCCCAACAUCCCAAUCACCUCCCCUUCUUCCCGACAUGCUCGACAUCCACUAGCAUCCAACACGGCACAAUUUAAGAGGAAUGCGCAAUUCCUACCGAAGUUUCAUCCGAUUAACAGCACUAUAUUACGAAAUCCCGCUCACGAAUUGCCUCCGCGCUCGCAAAUCAUUCUAGAGAGCUGAGCAGCUGUUGUGAAUCUACCGAAUCUGGGCUCUUUCGGGAACCGGAAAGAGUCGCUACGACGAACCGCAGCUACCUAGAUCAGGGGGAGGAUACUCACCAUGGCUGCGGAAGCGGCGGUGGAUCGGAGACGACGACGGCGAGGAGGAGGAGUGCUCGCCUGGUUGAGGUCACAAGUGCACCGCCGCCGCCGAGAGCUGAAAGGGCCGGGGUGCGAAGGGGUGCGCGGUUAUAUACUAGGGCGCCGGCAGCUAGGGUUUUGCCCUCACGCACGUCUCACUGCCAGUGAGUCCCAGUGUAAAUAGGCCACGCGGGCCGGUAAUUGGGCCCGAUGGAAUGGUUUCUCUAGGCCCAUGUGACACCGAAGGUCUAAAUGGGUCGAGGGUGGGAAUUUUCGUCUCCUCCGCGUUGCAUCUUGGUGGACUCCGGCCAGCGAUUAGAAAUGACCACCAAUGGACUAAUCUUUGCCUCAAAAAGAAAAAACCAAUGGACUAAUCUGAAUCUUUUUUUUUGAACUGGAACACCUUGCAUUCCAAAAUCACCGUGGACCAGCCAAGUCGGCAGUCACUGCAUCGGUUAAAACUCUAGGAAGGUUUACCAACCACGCGUCAUGGUCAGCAUUGUCGUCCCGCCUACCAAUAGCCGCAAGUUCAUGGACAGGAACAUUACACAAGCGUGGGCAGAAAGACACAUUCCACUCAAUAAAACCUAGCUGAAGGAGGAAUUUGAUCUCACGAAAUAGAGUGCCAAGUGGGGAGCGGUCCAAGGCUGGUGUUGUUACUGCCUGCUGGAGCCCGACGCAGUCCGUCUCAAAGACGACCAGCCCCAUGCCAUGCUCCUCGGCCAUCUUAAUCGCAUGCAUCAAAGCACAGUCUUCCGCGUGUAGGGCUUCUCUCAUGUUAACAAGGUUCCCCGCAGCGGCAAAGAAGAUCUCACCCUGUGAUCUCGAGCGAUGCAGCCCCAUCCCGCCCAGGGCGAACUGGGUUCGAAGGAUCCAUCGAUGUUGAUCUUGACGGCGUCCAUAACAGGGUUGGACCAAGUAGGCUUUGGCUUUGCUGGGCUUCUGUCUUGCUUUGCAAAGUAUAGUCGCCAUUCUGCAAUGUGCUUGGCCAACAUGAAACUAAAUUCCUGGACCGUAGCUCUUUGGACCUGGUGAUUUGCCUUGUUUCGUUCCGUCCACCAUAGCCAAAGAAGGCAGAUGGUGUGUAGCUUCUCGUCUUCCGGCAGGGACACAAUGAGGUGCAGGAGUUGGCGUGGCGACUGACACGGUAAUAGUUUUUGUCGGGACUCCUCUAAACCACAUGCACGCCACAUCUUCCUCACUUCCUUGCACCAUAAGAAAAGGUGGCCUCCAUCUUCCUGUAGGCAAUGGCAUACCACGCAGUCGGUCUCCAGCUCAACCCCAAUGCGCUCCACAUUCCUCAAGAGAGGGUGGCUAUUAUGGGCCAGCCGCCAUAGGAAAUGAUGUAUCUUCCCCGGGCAAUGCACCUUCCACAACUGUUGCCACAUCGUCUUAUCCUCCUCCUCCCCCGACGAGCUUUCCCCACGCCGACGGGUGCGCUGUCUUUGGAGCAUUUCAGUGUGGACCCUAUAGGCUGACCGGACAGAGAAUAAACCCUUGCUGUCAAAUUACCAUGCAACAAAGUCCUCAUGAUGCUCGAAAAAUGGAAUCUUCAGGACCAUCCAGGCAUCUAUCGCACUGAAGGUUUGCUCAACUAGUUGUUCAUCCCAGGUAUGAGUAAGAGGAUCGAUGAGUUCAAGAACCCUGGUUAGCAAGGUGGCCCCCAGGGGGUCCUGGGGAAAUGGACUUGCCCUGCUGGGAGCCAAGGGUCCUACCAGAUGCAUACUAGUUGAUCUGGCCAUUUUCGAAAUGUCAUGAAAUAAAAUGUUGGAGUGGGAUAUAAUUGCCAUAAGUUGGGCUGAUGUGGAGUUCAGGAUCUCACUACUCCCCCACCACCACCACCUCAAUAUGGAAUUUCCUGUAAUUACCAGGCACUACCUUCAACUGGUUGUGCGUUUUCCAACAAAUGGUAGGCAUUGGCUCUGUGUUUCAUCAUGUCAAUUCCUCCAAGUCUAAAUUGAACAUGUUUUGGUCUGCUUAUUAUUUGUUUGCAGGCUGCCUUUCAAGGGACAGUUCCAAGUCCAUUCAAGGUCUUUUGGCAAUGCAUGCACUCAAAACCUGGGUAUCCGCUACUUCUCACGAUCCCUGUGUUUAAUGCUUUUGUUGGAAUAAUUAUAAUCAUUGUGAACAAUCUAAAUAUGUUCUUAAUUAGGUUUGUCCACAACAAUUUGAUAAGAUGAAUAAGCAGUAUCUGAGGAAAAUGUUAAGUUAGUGGUUGCUAAGUAUGCUCAUAUUAAACUAUUUCUUUUUCUUUAGUGGUUGCUUGCUUUUUCAGCAACUUAAAUGCUUAUUGUCUAGUUGCUACAUAUGGAUGCUCAUUAAAAAGUAAUCUCUUCAGUGUGGUUUUAUGUUCUUAUAUAUGGGAAAGCCUAAUAUCAGCCUAUCUGUGAAGUCUUCUUUUUCUCUUUAUACUAAAUAAAAUGGGAGUUGGUCAGAUCCGGUUACCCCCCCCACCCCCACCCCCACCCCACCCCCACACACACUACAAACUAGCUAAUGACUUCCUACAAGAAUUAAAUAUGGAACAUGACACGAAACAUGUAGUUGCUCGGGCACGGUUCUCCAUGUAGUUGCAAAUCCCUAAAAUUUAUGAGGUGGCUACCUUCCUACCUCUGUGCCAAGUAUGAUGUUUCACAUCUGUUAGAAAGGUAGUUCGGUAGGUUGGUUGGGUAACAUGGAUGGUGCAAGCUUUCUGAACAAUAUCUGGUCUGGCUGGCUGGGCUAGAAACUAAGGGCGUUGUUGGGAGCAACUAGUUCCAACAUAGUGGAGUAGAAGCAAUCAUUAUCCACCAAAAAUGAACAAAAUAAAGUACAUGGUGACAUGGCUUUCUCCUAAAAAAGGGUAAGUGCUUCAAGAAACUAUUGUACUGAAAUGCAUAUUUUGGAAGGACUCCAUAUGUGUGUGAAACUGUGAACUUUAGAAUUCUAAUGUUGAAUUUGCCCUCAGAGAGCUAGCGAGUAUCCACUAUAGUUUCUGGUGCACAUGCAUUUCACAUUGAUAAUUCACUAGAACGUGAUACAAUCACUGGUACGCGUCGGUGCUAUACAAACGGUUUUUGACCGCCUUUCCGCGAGGACAUUAGGAACCGUUGCCUAGUGAGUGACGGCGAUAGGAGGGUCUUUCCCACACGACCCAGAAACCGUCGGGGUAUGCCCUCCUGGCACACAUGCUCGGCAAAAUGAGGUUGUGUGCGACCGGCGAGCGCUCAAAUACGAAAAUACGUACAGUAGAGCUAAAAAAAUACAAUUAUAUAGGUGAAACUGUUUCUAGUCGCAAGUACACCCCACACAGUCAGUCCCCGCUAAAUGUUUCCGUUUGUAUGUACAUCCCACACAGUCGCUCCAAGGAAAACGUUUCCGUUCACAGGUAUAUCACACACAAUUUUCCCUGUUAAAUUGUUUGUGACAGCGUCUGUUGGGGAAUGGAGCAUUUAAAAAAAAUUCCUACGAUCACGCAAGAUCUAUCCAGGAGAAGCAUAGCAAUGAGCGGGGAGAGUGUCCACGUACCUUUGUAGGCCGAAAGCGGAAGCGUUUACACUACAAAAAAAUACACUUCCGUGAUGAUACGUGUUUGUCACAGUAGGUCGCGUUUUCUGUCAUGCAUGUACAUCCAUGACAAAUUUAUGACAGAAUCAAGAUAGUCAUACCUGUGCUGUCGUAGAAGUGUUCCAUGACAUUGCCAAAAUUAUCAUCACGGAAGUGUCCACUUCCAUGACGAUAAAUCGCGCAUCACAAAAGUGCUUUCGUCAAGGUUAACCGACACGUGGCAUCCACCGUAACGGAACGCUGUUAAGCUAUCGGGUCGGAUUUUGAAUCCGAUAACCCGUUAACAGCCACGACCAAUGCCGAUUUUCCACGUGUAAAAUUCUCAUUGGCUGACGGAUCCAUGCGUCAACUCCGCGUUGGCACAGGUGUCACUCAUCCAACAGUCGAGAUGAGCCUAUGAUAUGUUGACAUGUGGACCAGCCCAAAAGUGGCCCACAAAGAUUAAAUGGGCCGGCCCAACCGAAGGCCCAUAAGAUUUAGCGGACCAUAAUGGGCCAGCCCAGCUAAAGGCCCACAAGAUUUUGCGGACCACAAUGGGCCGCCCAGCUAAAGGCCCACUAGAUUUUGCCGACCAUAAUGGGCCUCCCCAGCUAAAGGCCCAACAUUCUCUAUCAAAUUGGCCCGUCAAUGGCCUGUCCUAAACUUGUCAUCAACGCGGCCCAUGGUCACUUCUGGCCCGUUAACAGUCCGCUAAGUAAUUGGGCCGAAUUACGGCCCGGUGUAUUUCCGGCCUGUUAAAGGUCCGGCUUCAUUUGGGCCCAUUUACAGGCCAUCAAAACUUUCGGCCCAUAAACGACCGUGAAGGAUUUGGGUCAUAUUCGGCCAUGUCUGACAUUCGGCCUGUUAGAGGCCCACUAUAGCUUUGGGCCACUUUCGGCCUAUUGUCAUUUUCGGCCUAUUAAUGCCGGACCUAAACCAUGGGCCAUAUGUGGCCCAAUGUCAUAUCGGGCCCAUUAACGGCCCAUAUAAAAAUGACGAUAAUCUAGCCCGACCGAAGUUCCGGCCUGUUAAAGGCCCGUGUAUUAGGUCGGCGCAUUUACGGCCCGUCCGAAUUUCGGCCUGUUAAAGUCCAGUGGGUUAUUUGGCACAAUCAGGGCCCAAUCUCACUUUUGGUCUAUUAAAGGCCCAUGUAUUUUAUGGGCUCGAGAUAAAUGGCCUAUUUUUACUGAGGGCCCAAAUUAUGUUUAGGCCUGUUAAAGGCCCACUAUGGGCAUAGGCCUACCAGAAAAAUAUGAAAGCUUAUGCUGAUUUAGGCCCAGAUAUUUUUAGUGGGCUACAUGCCAAUUUCGGCCCAUAAUCGUUUUUAGCCCAAUUGGAAUGGGCCCGACGAAUGUUGACAUGUUGGGCUCCUACGAAGCUUUAGGCCGAAUACAUUACUAAGAUAAACCUACACUACAAAAAUAGCGUUGUAAUUACUGCAGCCUGAGGCAGCAUCAUAAAUGUUGUAUCACAACAAAAUAAAUUCCAACCAUACAACAAAAGGCCUGUUGGCAUAAAGUUUACAGUCCUUCCAGAUAAAAGCACCAUCAGAUGUAUAGAAGCACAGAUCAUUUGACCUGAGUACUAAUGUUUUAGGCUGUAGAAUCUGAUGGAACAGCACGAUCUCCACCUUUUUUCCGCCAUUGCUCUUGAACAACGAAGCGAAUGUCUAAUAGUCUGGUUUCAAAACCAUUCAUAUCUUGACGACAUUUCUCAACCACUAUUCUUGUUUCCGAAACAACGUCCACUAGGGAUUGGACUUGUGUCUGGAGCACAGAUAUAUCACUCUGUCUAGCAGGAAGAUUUUGUUCAGUAGGUGAUUUGGACGAGGUUACCUUGACAACCAACCCAGAAUUACGCAGGAAGGUGCUUUUUGCACUGUUAGUGGAGAGAUACUGAUGCACUGCAGCAAGAGGUGACAUUGUGCCUGUAGUAGCCUCGUCACCUUCAGGUGGUUGUGGCUGUUCAAUCAUUUGUUCCAUAGCUUCCUGAAAGUUUGAACUUGGAGAUUAGUGUACCAGAUAAGUUACUAAUGAGACAAAAACAAACAAAGUAGGUUAAACGUUUAUACAUAACUUAUUUUGGUGAACUACUAUAAUACAUUAGCAUGUAUUGUAGUGCCAACUACAUAAUAAAAUCACUUUCGGAACAUAUGUCCAUGUAGCAUGCCUACUGUAUUGUCUAUUUCCUCACAUUCGUUGACAUCUAAGGAUAAAGAGACAUGGUUUAAAGUAGGAUGAACAUAGUAUGGCAUCAUUCAUAUCAUGGGCAAACAGAUAUAAAACAAACAGGCUUAUCAUUGUGUGCGCACGUGAACAUAACAACUAGAUUACAGAUCAAGACCAAAAGAAUAUCCUUCAUCUCUUUUAAACCAUGUAAGGUGAAAUGAUACGUUAAGACAACUGUGAAUAAAAGUGAACAGAGUAACUGACAUUGGCUGCAAACUAAGUAGUUAAAUGAACACAUCACAGUACCAACCAGUUCAAGGCAGGAGGAGUAAGGACUUACAACAGCGGCUUGAACUGAUGUGCUCAUGCCCUUCAUCUUGCUGGUGUGGCAAUCCUUGAAGAUUUGCACUGCAUUCGGUUCAGGUUCUUUUUGGUCCGCAUGGGAUUUCCUCUGUAAUUGGAACAAGUCAAUAUAGAUACGAUAAUAUGGCACACAAAAAAGAAGGAAGUAGCAGCUAUUUACAAGAGCCUCGUAGUGUGCAAUAUAGCUACGAGUUCCUGUGGUCUGUUGGAAUUUCACUUUAGAACAGUUGGUUUUGUUCUUCAAACAGUUAGCCUAGAAGAAGAUACACUUGUAAGGCACAUACAUAAAUGCAAGUUCAAUAUGUGGUCUGAUCAAAUACAUAUAGCCUACCUGAUACUUUGGAUCAGACCAGUGUUUAACGAGGGCUGUCCAGUCUUCAUCUGUAAUAUAUUCCACUGGAGAUGUUUGGGCGAUUUCAUUGUUAGACUUGCCUUCAAAGUGAGAUUUUCUAAGGUGGUACCGAUACUGUCGUAGAGCAGACUGAAAAACAUGAGUGCAUGCUUGUCUAGUUGCAUCAUCUUUCGGAUCCAACUUGAACCUCAUCUGUUGAAAAAAGAAUGUAAGUCUUAUUAGGAGGAAGCUGGAAAGUAUGGGACAGAGCAAGACAAUGUUACUAAUUGCGAUGAAUAACAUUACUUACGGAUAAAUGGUCAAGGAAGGUGUUAAACUGGGUAUUGUCUUUCUCAUUCCUGUACUGGGUCUACGUUGGGAGGAUACGUGCAUGACACCUAACGGCAACGGUUGCCUCUGAUACUAACUUGGCUGACUCUGUAGCGUCACGUGACCUUUUUAAACCUGCCUCAAAAUGGAUCUCCAUUCUUCCUCCUUUAGAUUUUGUUAAUCUGUCAAGCAUUAUCCCUGAUGUCUGUUUCUGCUUGCGUCAUGGUGCUAGUUCAAUAACGAAUAUGGAAAGUGUUAGUGUACAUCAAACUGUGAGAGUACAUAUAAAGGAGCAUGCAACUGCAACUUGACUCGGACAGGUACCGUCUUGGUGUUGAUGUUCAUGAGGUUCAUCUGAUCUUGCCAAGUCCUGUUGUGUCAGCAGUGCUUUGGAAGUAGUGUUAGGUGUGAAGGCAGCUUGGGAACUGGCCAGUUCUGGAGCAAAUGAACGAGUAACUGGUUGAGAUGCUGGUACAGUUGAAGCGGAUGCUGCAGCUGGUGGAGCAGGUGAUACUGUGUUUGUAGAUUUAGUCGGUGGACUUGGACCUUCUACUCCACUAUAAGUACCAGCAGAAUCUCAAUGGCAGAACCUUUUCCGUUUCACCUGACGAGUAACAACACUCCCUACUAUAUUAUUUUCCUUGCUCUUUUUUGACUUUGCCAUGUCAAGUUGUACCCACAACACAAAAGAAUAAAAUCACUCUUCAGAACUCAUUGAUGCAUGAUACAGACAAGCAAUACUUUGAUGUAAGACAACCGUAUGAGGAUGGAAUAUGUAAGAAAAACAUGACGGCAUGACAUAUUCACAGCUAUGAUGUGCAAACUAAGCAGAAGGAUUUUCAAGAAAAUAGAAGUAAUGCAAGCUAGACACCAUAUGAAAGAUGCAACCAAUAUUACUCUGCCAAGUUAAAAGUGUCUUGUCAUAAGUGGCAAUUCGAAAAAUUAGAAGCAGUACAACGUAGAAAUCAAUGCAAGAUGCAACCACUAUCAAACUGCCAUGUUAGAAGCAUCCAAUCAUGAGUGACUGAUGCAGGAUACACAACAUCAGUACUUUGAUGUAAGAACAUGGUAUGAUAGAUGGAUGCAGUGUAUUCUAGACACAGAAAGCCAUGUCAUAUGCACAUGUAUAACGUAUAAACUCAGCAGGUGAAAUUUAAUCAAAAUAGAAGAAAUACAGGCUAGACAACAUAUGCAACAUGAAACUAAUUAUCACACUGUCAACUUAGAGCAAGCACCUGCGAUGGUGGAGUACGGGAGAUGAACUCAUCAUGUAGACUUGGGACUUCAACUUCAUUAGCAGUAGCAGUGGCAAAUCUAGAGAGUCUCUGUUUGCAUCGAUGCAGAGGACCACCAACAUCCCCUAACUUACUCUUUUCCUUCCUAUUUUUUGAUAUUGCCUUAUGAAGUCAAAACCACAAGAAGAUGAAUAAAAUUAGCUCUGCAUAACUGGUUGAUGCAUGAUACAGACGAACACUACUUUGAUGUAAGGCAAGUGCAGGAUAGGAGGAUGGAAUAUAUACAAAAAAAUACAUCGUUUCAUAUUCACACAUACGAUAGGAGGAUGGAAUAUGUAUGAAAAAACAGUAAGCGGAAGGCAUUUCAACAAAAUUAGAAGAAAUGAAAGCUAGGCACCAUAUGAACAUGCAACCAAUAUCACUCUAUCAGGUAAAAAGUGUCUCGUUGUAAGAGCCAUUUCAAGAAAUUAGAAGCAGUACAAGCUAGAAGACAAUGCAAGAUGCAACCUACAUCACAGUCCCAAGUUAAAUGUGUCUUAUGGGCAAGUGAUCGUUGCAGGUAUAAGUUGUAAGCUACGCAGAUGCAAUUCAACAUAAUCAGAAGCAAUACAAACUAGACAUCAUACGGAAAACACAACCACGUAUAACAGUUCCAAGUAAGAGCAAGCACCUGUGAUGGUGGAGUAGGGGAGAUGUGCUCAUCAUGUACACGUAUGUUCUAGAAACAGGAACACAUGUCAUAUUCACAGGCAAUAUGUGUAAAGUAAGAAGAUGCAAUUCAAGUUAGAAGCAAUACAAGCUAGACAUCAUACGCAACAUGCAACCACAUAUAAUAGUGUCAAGUUAGAGCAAGCACCUGUGAUGGUGGAGUAGGGGAGAUGUGCUCAUCAUCUACACAGCUACGUUGACUGUCCAGCCUUGUGUUGUCUUGCGAAUCUUGUUGGGAGGAUGGCGGAGUAGAAUCUGUAGAGACUCCCUGUUUGAGUUGCUCCGAAGGACCACCAUCAUCCACUGCCGGACUAAUUUCCUUCAGCUGUAAUGAUUUUGCAUUGUGAAGUCAAACCAAUAAGAAAAAAGAAUAAAAUUCGCUCUUCAGAACUCAUUCAUGCAUGAUACUGACGAACACUACUCGGAUGAAAGGCAAACACAUGAUGCGAGGAUGGAAUAUGUAUGAAAAAUAGGAUGGUGUGACAUAUUCACACCUAUGAUGUGGUAACUAAGCAGAAGGCAUUUCAACAAAUUAGAAGCACUGCAAGGUAGACACCAUAUGAAAGAUGCAACCAAUAUCACUCUGCCAAGUUCAAACUGUAUGGCGUUUCAACAAAUUAGAAGCAGUACAUGCUAGAAAUCAUAUGCAAGACACAACCAAUAUCACAGUGGCGACUUAAAGGUGCCUUAUCAUAAGUGACUGAUGCGGGAUAUGCAAGAAUAGUAGUCUGAUGUAGAAAUAGGAACACAUGUCAUAUUCACAGGCAUUAUGUGUAAAGUAAGCAGAUGCAAUUCAACAAAGUUAGAAGCAAUACAAGCUAGACAUCAUACGCAACAUGCAACCACAUAUAAUAGUGCCAAGUUAGAGCAAGCAUCUGUGAUGGUGGAGUAGGGGAGAUGUGCUCAUCAUCUACACAGCUACGUUGACUAUCUAGCCUUGCGUUGUCUUGCGAAUCUUGUUGGGAGGAUGGCGGAGUAGAAUCUGUAGAGAACCUCCAUUUUAGUUGCUCGGAAGGACCACCAUCAUCCAAUGCCUUGCCAAUUUCCUUCAGCUUUAUUGAUUUUGCAUUGUGAGGUCAUACCGAUAAGAAAAAGGAAUAUCAUUCGCUCUUCAGAACUCAUUCAUGCAUGAUACUGACGAACACUACUGUGAUGAAAGGCAAAGUCAUGACACGAGGAUGGAAUAUGUACGAAAAAAUGGACGGCUUGACAUAUUCACACCUAUGGAUAUGGUAACUAAGUAGAAGGCACUUCAACAAAUUAGAAACACUGCAAGACACCAUAUGGAAGGUGCAGUCAAUAUCACUCUGCCAAGUUAAAACUGUCUCGUCAUAGGUGGCGUUCAUCAAACUAGAAGCAAUACAUGCUAGAAAUCAUAUCCAAGACGCAAACCAAUAUCACACUGCCAACUUAAAGGUGUCCCAUCAUAAGUGACUGAUGUAGGAUACACAAGAAGAGUAGUUCCAUGUAAGAACAUGGUGUGAUAGACAGAUAUAGUAUGUACCAAAAACAGGAAAGCGUGUCAUAUUCACAUGUAUCAUGUGCAAGCUAAGCAGAUGCAGUUUACACUAAUUAGGAGCAAUAAGAGCUAGACACCAUAUGCAACAUGCAACCAGAUAUCACACUGCCAAGUUAGAGCAAGCACCUUGGAUGGUGGAGUAGGGGAGCGGAGACUUGGACCUUGUAGUGCACUAUCAGUACAAGGAGAAUCGGUACAGAUGCUCCGUUUACGUUGCUGCAGAGGACCACCAUCAUCGCCUUCCUUACUCUUUUCCUUCCUCUUUCUUAAUUUUGCCUUGUCAAGUCAAACCCACAAGAAAAAGGAAUAAAAUUUGCUCUUCAGAACUCAUUGAUGCAUGAUACUGACGAACACUACUUUCAUGUAAGACGAACACUACAUAUCACACUGCCAAGUAAGAGCAAGCACCUGCGAUGGUGGUGUGGGGGAAUUGCGGUGAUCAACUAGAGAGCUACGUUGACUAUCUUCAUUUAGCCUUGCUGUUUCUUGAGAAUCAUGUGGCGAGGAUGACACUGCACUCUUUAAACGAGUAUGGCGUCUCACAGAAACCCAUCCGGGUGACUGUCUCAUCAUAAGUGAUUGACGAGGGAUACAAAAGAGCAUUAGUUUGAUGUACAAACAUGGUUAAUAGACAUAUGUAGUAUGUAUCAAAAACAGGAAGGCAUGUCAUUAUCAAAGGUAUAAUGUGUAAAGUAAGCAGAUGCAAUUUAACCAAAUUGGAAGCAAUACAAGCUAGACACCAUAUGCAACAUGCAACCACAUUUGAUAGCGCGAAGUUAAAGCAAGCACCUGGGAUGGUUGUGUGUGGAAAUUGAGAUCAUCAACUGCAGAGCUAAGUUUACUGUCUCCAACUGCUGACACUGCACCCGUUAGAGUGCUGGAACGCUUAGUGCUUACCUUUGAAUUACACUGGAGCAACUUCUGUCUUUUCUUUUCUGCAUUCAUCAACACUGCGUCAGAGUCUGAAAUACCCAUGCAUAAAAAAACAAUAGUGUGAGUAUGGGUGAAGUGUGUGCACAAUUAGUACAGUGUAAAGGUAGAAGAUAGCAGGUCAGUGAGAAAUAAAUGACAUAAGACAUAUGAUAGCUCUACAACAUGCAUGGCACACUAAAUUACUACAGGAUUCUAUGAAAAUAACAGUCGACUGAAAGCAAAUAGGCCAGUCCAUUUUUUCUGCACCGUCUGAUGUACAAAGAACGGGAAGAUCGCCUUCAUCUAGCUCCAGCGAGUCAGUGUUGACGAUCUUCCUCGAAACGCCAACGACCACCGGCCCAGUAUUCCUCCCCUGCCUGCGCCCUCCCCUCGACCUCACCGCACCGCCGUGCUUGGCACCGCCCCCCAGCCAUCCAUUCAAGCCCCGCCGACCUCCAGAUCGGGCGCAAGCAGCUCCUGUGCCCCACACCCCUAUGAUAGACACCGAUGCGCCGCGUCCCCGGGGAACAAGCGGACUAGGUGCUCCGCGCGCCUAAGCGGGUGUUGCUUCUUUUAAUUGUGGUUCGACUGACCCUGAAUUGAAAUCCAGGCGGGCUACUGACCUCUAGCAAAGGUGAAAUAGUAAAAGGAAGGAAACAUUAUGCAUUUAGUAUCACAAAGAAGAUGCAGUAAGAAGCGCUCAACUAGUUUCUUUCGUGGGAUGAAUACGGUGUGAGCGGAGACGUAAGAUUUGCACGAAUAAGGGAAGAGGAGUACCUCUUUCUGCUGGCAGUGUUGUGUCCUCCUUCUGUUUUUCCGACGAUCUUCUUGUUGUUCGCCAGAAACCAGAAGUUUUGGAGGACGGUGCAACCUUGGACGAACCCAUGGCCAAGUUGUUGAGUGUGGUGCGGUGGCCGUCUAUCGGCGGCGGGGAAGCAGAUCCGAGGCGGCGAACAACGGCGUAGCGGGAAUAGCUCCGGCGCGGUGGACGGUUGCGACAGUGGAGCAGUGAGGCGCAGGACGGCAUGGUCGGAGUGGUUCUGGUACGGCGCACGUCGGCGUCGACGUCGUGGAGGCAGCUCUGCCUCGGCUUCAACUGCUAAGUCCUGAGGGCGUUGCGGUUGCGGUUGCGUUGGACGACGACGUCGGGGUAUCGGCUCCGGCAUGAUGGAGGAGGGAGGCGGUGGAUUGGCCGCUAUGGGGUGGAGGACGGAGGAGGCUAGGGUUUCGCGGCUGGUGGAGAGGGCGUUUUCGCGCCCACGGAGUAUGAAUGGGGAAACGAAGGGAGGCGGGGAACUAAGGGGGGACAAUGUUUCGGUUUGAGACGUGCUUGUUUGAAAUUUGGGGAAAGUUACAAACUUUCCCCCCAUCUAAAAUUUCGGACAUAUUGCGGGUUGGGGGUAGGACAGUCAUGUCAGGUGUCCCAAAUGUGGGCGGGAUAGAUUUCGGCCGAGCGCAUGGUAGGCGCCCAUGGCGUAUGAAUGCUUCUCUAGCGUCUUGGUGAAGUUACAAACCUACCCCGGUUUAGACCUUUGGACAUCGGGCCGAUAGGCUACACGGGCCAGAGUCAGGACAGUAGUUUCCUACCACCAAAACAUUAGUCUCGCACGGUUUCGGGUGACCAGAGGCCUAUUUGGCACUUCGUUCAGGGCCUCUUUGAUUCACAGGAUUGUCAAAAUGAAGGAAUAGGAAAAAUGCAGGAAUAGGGUGACAUGUCCCAUAGUAUCCUACAGGAUUUGAAAGAAUGUUUGAUAGCAUAGGAAAAACAAAGGAAUUCUACAAAGAGGUUUGAGUGGAUGGAAAUUUUCCUCCAAAAUGUAGUACAAAUGGAUCAUAUGGAAAAAUUCCUAAGGAUGCCAAUCCUACGAAUCAAACGAGCAUCACAGGAAAAAUUCCUAAGGGUUUAAAUCCUCCAAAAAUCCUAUGCAAUUCCUUUGAAUCAAAGGAGCCCUUAAUAUUUGGGAGCAGAAGCAUUUAACUUUUUCGGUUCUCUUGAAUUGAACUUUCAGGAUUUGUCAAACUUCACAAAUCUUUACUCUUGAAAAUCCUAAAGCUACAAUUAUUUUGGAAUGGAGGGGGUACAUUUGAAUAUACAUUAUACAUGAGUAUAUAUUAAAAAAAUAUGCAACUUACCUCAGUUCAUGCAUGGUUCCAAAUAUAAUCUCCUUGGUUGCAAAAAAAGUUAGAUAUGCUUAUGAAUAUAUAUAGCAUGUUCAAACUCUCAACAAACAUUGAUGCCCCCUUUUACAUAUGAUUUACAAAUGCCAUUAUCUCGGGUUCAAAUAGAUGAAUGCACUUCCUAUGAAUUCGAAUCUUCGAAACCCCCUUUAUGUUGAAUUCGACAUGUAUUCUAUUUCAUAGCUAGCAAUUUGGAAUGUAUCCAUGCAAGUGACAAAUGUAUAAAGUGCUUCACACUAACAACAUGGAGUGAACUAAUUAAUGUUUAUAUAUGAGUUGCAAAAGCAUCCAUUGCCUGUAUUUCAAACCGCUCUCACUCCAUGGAUCGAUAAUAUGAAAUAAACACAUGCACAUGCUAGAAUUCAAUUGCAGUUGACGAAAGAUCCUACUCCUGGUACUGUAUAUUAGUGAUAGGGGUGUGUACAAAGUACACGUGAAUACCAGGCAUUGUGCGUGUGUGUAUACUAUCGACGAACUAGCCCCCAAGCUUGUAUAACAUACUAAGGGCCUAGGGUUACAAAUCAUAUAUAGUCGGCUUAUCACCAGUGGGGAUAGAGUCCUCCGUGACUCUGGUAGCUUCGUGUUUUACGCCGAGUCCUCCACAUGGGUCUUCGUAUAACACGUCUCGGUCCAACCUAUAUGUGGCGCAGGAUGGAACCGACCCAUGAGUCUUCAUGUUGACCCACCACAACUAGAACUGAUGUGCCCACCACACCACACACGCAAUCUGCCACUAAGAAAAUAAGCAUAUACAAUAGUACAACGGUAUCUAGCUCACGAUACGUCUCCAUAUUUUGUUGAUAACACUGACGGACUUUGCAUUUGAUGCGUGCUCCGUAUUUUGUUGACGACACUUACGGUCAUUGUAUUUGAAGCGAAAGCACGGUAUGGUCACUGGACUUCAGAAUAAGCUCAUCACGGUCACCACAUACAUUUUGUCGUGCUAACCAACAUGUGGUUGGAUGGUUAGAGGACAAUGGUUUCUCGAGCCCACCAAGGUUAAAGUCCCGGUGCUCGCAUUUAUCUUGUGUUAAUUUCAGUAUUUUCCGGUGACGUACGUUCAGUGGGAGGAGACGUUCCACUCGACUACGAGGCACCUAUGGUGACUUCGUAAAAUCUCAAGAUCAUAUAUGCUGGCCCACUCUCUCGAAGGUGCUCAUGGGGGUAGGGUUCGCGUGUGUGCGCUUAUAGCGGUGAGUGCUUGCGCGUAUAUAUGAGCCCUUGCGUCUGUACCGUGUUAAACAAAUACAUAUCAUGAUUAUACGGUCACUAGCUCACCCGUACAACUCCGUAUUUUGUUGAUGACACAAUCAAUUGACCAGUUAAACAUUCCACACGGCGCAACUAGUGUUGCACCAUCGGGGCACGUAACCGUGGGGCCCACCUGUCAGCCCGUAUAUGAAAGAAAGAAAUGAUAGUUUGAGUCUGUACUGUGUUAAUAAAACAAGAGCACAUUUUAGGGUGAUCAUACGGUCACUGGCUCACCAUACAGCUCCGUAAUUUGUUGAUAACACGAUCAAUUGACCAGUCAAACGGUCCACAUUCAGCAGCGUACAUUACCAUAGGGCCCACCCAUCAGCGCGUAUAUGAAGGACAAAAAUGGUAAUAAAUGAGUGGUUUCGGGGAGGGCGGGCCGGCCGCGGGCGGCGGGGGCUGGCGGUUCGGCCGGUGGUGGCUGGCGGCUCAGGGGGGGGGGUGGAGUUUGAUGAUAAACUGGAGGCCCUUGAUUUCGUAUCCAACGGUUGGAAAAAUCUAAUGACCAGAGAUGAAAAAGUCAGUCGACUGACGUGUAGCCUCACCCCGCAUGUACACAUGCACGCACGCAAGACACGCGCGCAUGUAGGCGUGCAACACUGCCACGUACACACACACGCAUGCUGUCGUGCAACACUGACACGUACACAUGCACUCACGAACACACGUACGUACGCACCCAUGCAUGCAACACUAAAACGUACCCUUGCACACACGCAACACUCGCAUGCCUACAUGCACAUAGCACACGACGCAAGACACACGUUCAACCUAUACGUGCAUGCACCCUUUGUUAAGGACAUGGAUUGUUACGGGUAUUAAUCUCUUAUCUGUGAUAAGCAGAACAUUGAUGUUUGCAGCGGUCUUUAUGAAUCACAACGUAUCUAACGGGCUAUCAACAUAGUAGGCUUAUCUACAUGAAAAAGAUGACGUCACACUCAAUGAACAAUCAUCGGUUUAUGAAAUGCCCGCUUCUGACAGCCCUAGCCCACCAAAGGUUCCUCUACUGUGCGCUGCCUGCGUUGGCUCACUGACAUGCAUGCCAUGCACCCAAAGAGCCCACAUGUCAGUGGAAGAAUAGCGCGGUGUCCUAGGUCAGAGUCGAGGGCGCCACUCGCGGCACGCCCGGCUGAACACGCCUCCGUGCCGCAUUCAAACGCCUCCAUGAAACCCGCCCGUGUGGAAGCCGAGAAACCCACUCUGGACACACGUCCGUUCAUGACCGGGCCGCUCCCCUAUCUCGUCCACCAUUUUGUCCACUCUUACAAUGGCUUACGAAGAGUACACUAGUAGAAAAAGGGUCAAAUGUGAAGCACAUUAGUGCCAGUUUGAAUUUGAGCCGGCACUAAUGUGUACAUUAGUGCCGGUUCCAACGGCUAGCCGGGCCGCUCUCAUUAGUACCGGUUCGUGGCGAACCUUUAGCACCAGUUCGUGCCACGAACCGGUACUAAAGUGAGUGGUGGCAGGAUGUUGUCAGUCCGGGGCCCCUCCAGCACCUUUAGUACCGGGUCGUAUCACGAACCGGUACUAAAGGUCAUCGUACAUAGACCCUUUGUCCACCCGAUCUCGCUCUCUUCUUCCCCUUUCCCCUCUCCUCUCUGUUCUUUUCCUUCUUCCUCUUAAGCUCAUCACACAUUUUGCCCAAGAUUUGAAGGCCCCCAUCCAUUCAAAUGAUCACAAAGGUUAGCAACUCUUUCCUUUCAUCUCUCGUUGCUAGAUUAGCUCGUGCAAUGCUUUAUAUAGUGAUUGAUUUUUGAGUUUAGUAAUUUGGGAGGAAUUAUAUAUAUGUGCUAGUAUUUGAUUUAUAUGCAAUUUGAGGUCAAAAAUAACACUUAGUUUUGCAUAUGUAGGUGUGGUUUACUUAGUACCUUCUAAAUCUCCGUCGUAACCACCGUCGAUCGCUCGCAACGUCCCGUCGCCGGCACCACCUUGUGGUGAGCCUCUUGUUCAUGAAGUUUUAUAUAAAAAAAUGAUGUUUGUGUGAUUUGGAUAUAUAGUUACUCGUAUAAUUAUCUUACCCAUACGUUGUUUGUUAUGCAUGGUGCCAUGGUUUUGAUAUCCGUCCCCGUCGGCCCUCGUCCGAGUUAUGAUUCAGAUGUGGUAUAUUCUCUUUUAAAACUAUUCAUUGCAUUUUGUGUUUAUGACAAAUUAUGCCCAUCAAGUUGACAUAGAUAUUUGUAUGUAGGAGGUAGUUGAACCCGAAAUUCCAACCGACCCUAUUGUCGAGAGGUUAUAUUUAGUUGAAAGAGAAAACGAGGAUUUGAAGGAAAAAUUGAAAAGAAUUGAGGGGGAGAAGAUGGAAUUGGAGUUGCAUGUUGCCGAUGUCGUCGAUGAUCACAAGAUUAAGAUGGAGAAAAUGCGCUUGAAGAUUAGAAAGAUUAGAAAAUAUGCCAUUCAUAGUGAGGCUUGGUAUCAUUAUGCUGUUGGAUCAAUUGUUACCUUAGUUGCGAUCUUGAUCGCAUUUGUUGUUGCAUUUAAAUUCUUUAGCUAGAGAGUUAUUUGUUUGUUGCAUUGUGUUGUAUGCUCUUUAUGUAUGAACUUUACGUAUGAACUUUAUGUAUUGUAUUAAUUCGAUGUUUUCGGUGCUGUGUAUUGAAGAUGAGCCGGCAAUGGAUCUAUGAUGAUCGAUGCUCUCCCGAGUUCAUUAAUGACGUGCAUACUUUUCUGCUUGCGGCUGAGGCAAACAAGCGAGCGGAUGGUUUUAUGUAUUGUCCAUGUGCUGGCUGUAAGAAUGGUCGCAAUUACUCUACGUCAAGAACCAUUCACGUCCACUUGUUUGAGUCCGGUUUCAUGCCCCACUAUAAUGUUUAGACCAAGCAUGGAGAAAGAGGGGUUAUGAUGGAAGACAAUGAAGAAGAAGAGGACGACGACAACUAUCCUGGCCAUGGGUUCCCUGAAUACAAUGAUACAACAAUGAGGGAAGAAGCUGAGCCGGUAAUGCGGGAAGAAGCUGAGCUGGCAAUGCGGGAAGAAGCUGAAGAAGAGGCAUCGGAUGAGCCCGUUGAUGAUCUAGGUCGGGCCAUUGCCGAUGCAAAGAGAAACUGCGCAAGUGAUUUGGAGAAGAAGAAGUUGCAGCGCAUGUUAGAGGAUCACAAAAAUUGUUGUACCCGAAUUGCGUAGGUGACAAGAAAAAGCUGGGCACCACACUGGAAUUGCUGCAAUGGAAGGCAGAGAAUGGUGUAUCUGACAAGGGAUUUGGAAAGUUGCUGGUAAUGAUAAAGGAUAUGCUUCCAAAGGACAACGAAUUGCCCGAGAGUAUGUACCAAGCAAAGAAGGCUGUCUACCCUCUAGGGUUAGAGGUGCAGAAGAUACAUGCAUGCCCUAAUGAUUGCAUCCUCUACCGCGGUGAGUACGAGGAUUUGAACGCUUGCCCGGUAUGCGGUGCAUUGCGCUAUAAGAUCAGCCGCGAUGACCCUGGUGAUGUCGAGGGCGAGCGCCCCAGGAAGAAGAUUCCUGCCAAGGUGAUGUGGUAUGCUCCUAUAAUACCACGGUUGAAACGUUUGUUCCAAAACAAAGAGCAUGCCAAGGCGAUGCGAUGGCAUAGAGAAGACCGUAAGAAAGACGGAAAGUUGAGAGUACCCGCUGACGGGUCGCAGUGGAGAAAAAUCGAAAGAAAGUAUGGGAAGGAGUUUGCAGAUGACGCAAGGAACGUAUGGUUUGGUCUAAGCGCAGAUGGCAUUAAUCCUUUUGGGGAGCAGAGCAUCAACCAUAGCACCUGGCCUGUGACUCUAUGUUUGUAUAACCUUCCUCCUUGGUUGUGCAUGAAGCGGAAGUUCAUUAUGAUGCCAGUGCUCAUCCAAGGCCCUAAGCAACCCGACAACGACAUUGAUGUGUACCUAAGGCCAUUAGUUGAAGAACUCUUACAAAUGUGGAAUGGAACAGGUGUACGUGCAUGGGAUGAGCACAUGGGGGAAGAAUUUGACCUAAAGGCAUUGCUGUUCGUGACAAUCAAUGAUUGGCCUGCUCUCAGUAACCUUUUAGGACAGACAAACAAGGGAUACCACGCAUGCACGCACUGUUUGGACGAUACCGACAGUAUAUAUUUGGCUAAUUGUAAGAAGAAUGUGUACCUAGGACAACGUCGAUUUCUUCCGAGCAGGCAUCCCGUAAGAAAGAAAGGCAAGCAUUUCAAAGGUGAGGCGGAUCACCGGACGAAGCCUCGCCACCGUACUGGUGCUGAUGUACAUGAUAUGGUCAAGGAUUUGAAGGUGGUCUUUGGAAAGGGUCCUGGUGGACAACCUGUUCCGAAUGACGCUGAGGGACGCGCACCCAUGUGGAAGAAGAAACCUAUAUUUUAGGACCUGCCCUAUUGGAAAGACCUAGGGGUCCGCUCCGCAAUCGACGUGAUGCACGUGACGAAGAAUCUUUGUGUGACCCUGCUUGGCUUCUUGGGCGUGUAUGGGAAGACAAAAGAUACACCUGAGGCACGGGAGGACCAGCAACGUAUGCACAGAAAAGACGGCAUACAUCAGGGUCAUGCAAGCUACGCUCUUACCAAAGAAGAGAAGGAAAUCUUCUUUGAAUGCAUGCUUAGUAUUAAGGUACCGUCUGGCUUCUCGUCGAAUAUAAAGGGAAUAAUAAACAUGGUAGAGAAAAAGUUCCAGAACCUAAAGUCUCAUGACUGCCACAUGAUUAUGACGCAACUGCUUCCGGUUGCAUUGAGGGGGCUUCUACCGGAAAACGUUCGAUUAGCCAUUGUGAAGCUAUGUGCAUUUCUCAAUGCAAUCUCUUAGAAGGUAAUCGAUCCAAAAAUCAUACCAAGGUUAGAGAAUGAUUUGGUGCAAUGUCUUGUCAGUUUCGAGUUGGUGUUCCCACCAUCCUUCUUCAACAUCAUGACGCACGUCCUAGUUCACCUAUGCGAAGAGAUUAACGUUUUGGGUCCUGUAUUUCUACACAAUAUGUUCCCCUUUGAGAGAUUCAUGGGAGUCUUAAAGAAAUAUGUCCAUAACCAUGCUAGGCAAGAAGGAAGCAUCUCCAAGGGCCAUGAAAAUGAGGAGGUCAUUGAGUUUUGUAUUGACUUUAUUCCUGACCUUAAGCCGAUUGGUGUUCCUGAAUCGCGGCAUAAGGGCAGACUGGAUGGAAAAGGCACGCUAGGAGGGGAACAAAUAAUAUGUAUGGACGGACAUUCUCUCACUGAAGCACACUACAUAGUUCUACAUAAUUCCGCCUUGGUGGCUCCGUAUAUGGAUGAACACAAGAAUUUGCUACGCUCCAAACACCUGGAGCGGUCUGAUGACUGGAUUACACGUGAACAAACCAGGAGUUUUGCUAGCUGGUUGCAGACACGUACCAUGCACGACACCUCUAUUGAAGAUGACCUGUACUUGCUGUCCCAGUUACCAUCUUCGAAUAUAAUGACUUUCAAAGGGUACGAGAUAAAUGGUAAUACAUUUUACACGAUCGCCCAAGAUAAGAAGAGCACCAACCAAAACAGUGGUGUCCGCUUUGAUGCAGAAACCAAGACAGAAAAGGAAACAUAUUAUGGUUAUAUACAGGACAUAUGGGAACUUGACUAUCGACGUGGUUUGAAGGUCCCUUUGUUUCGGUGCAAAUGGGUCAAUAUGACACGAGGCGGGGUAACGGAAGACCCACAGUACGGAAUGACAACAGUGGAUCUCAACAAUCUUGCGUAUGCAGACGAACCAUUCGUCCUAGCCAAUGAUGUGGCACAGGUUUUCUAUGUGAAGGACAUGUCUACCAAGCCAAGAAAAAGAAAAGAUAAGGAAGCGAAUGCAUCAUACGAUGAGCCAAAGCGGCACAUAGUUCUUUCUGGGAAGAGAAACAUCGUGGGAGUGGAUGACAAGACAGACAUGUCAGAAAAUUAUGAAAAGUUUGAUGAAAUUGCUCCAUUCACAGUGAAUAUUGACCCGAGCAUCCCGUUAGAUGAUGAAGAUUUUCCAUGGUUACGGCGCAAAGGUACACACGCGAAGAAAAAGUUCCACACCCAAAGAUUUGGGAUGUGAUCGGCUUCACUAUCAUCACUUUCUUUUGUGUUUCACACCCAGGAGGGAAUCUCUGUAAUAGUUAGGUAGUUAUGUGUUUUGGCAUUUGAAACGCGAAGAAAUUUUAUGUGCAAACAAAUUCUUUCAUGCCUUUACUGAUUUCUAAAGUUAAGUUAUUCACAAACUAGUGAUUCACACUAAUUUCAAAUAAUUCAAAAUUUAAACUAUUCAAAUUUGAAAACUACGGGCACUAACAGAAAGUUUGUAAUUUUUUGUACCUAAAGCAAAAAUAUUCACAAAGAAACUCUAAAUACACAAAAAAACAACUAAAAAUAAAUAAAGCAAAAAAAUAAAAAAGCCCGCCUACUGGGCCAGAGCGGCCUGCAUACGACUAGAAACCCAACCUGUUGUUGGGCCAGGAUGCAGGCCCACAAAGGCCCGGUAGGCCCACAAGGCAGCAUAGAACAUGUAGGCCCAGUAGGCCUGCUUUGGAGAGGAGCUCGAGAGAGCUACCGCACGGGGGUUUAUAAACCAGUGCGGACGCCCCUCGGCUAGCGAGGUGGGACUAAACUUGCCGCACAGCACCUUGCCAGCGCACCCCCUUUAGUACCGGGUGGUGGCUCCAACCGGUACUAAAGGCCCCCCCUUUAGUACCGGUUGGAGCCACCACCCGGUACUAAUGGGUGUGCGGUUCCCGCUGCUUGGCCUGGCCAAAACAAGCCUUUAGUACCGGUUGGUGGCUCCAACCGGUACUAAAGGUCCAUCCUAUAUAACUAAAUACUUCAAAAAUUUCAGUUUCUCAUCUGCUUCUUCUCCUCUGCCCCGUCGCCCGCCGCCCCCAUCUCCAUAUCCCUCGCCGCCGCCCCGUCCCAGUCGUCCCCGUCGUCACCGCCGCGCCGUCCCGGCCCGUCCCGCGCGUCGUCCCCGUCCCCGUCAUCGCCGCCCCGUCCCCGUCGUCGCCGCCCCGGCCCGUCCCCGUCAUCACCGCCCCUUCCCUGUCCCCAUCAUCGCCAUCCCCGUCGUCGCCGCGCCCGUUGCCGUCCCCGUCGCCUCUCGCCUCGCCGGUNNNNNNNNNNNNNNNNNNNNNNNNNNNNNNNNNNNNNNNNNNNNNNNNNNNNNNNNNNNNNNNNNNNNNNNNNNNNNNNNNNNNNNNNNNNNNNNNNNNNNNNNNNNNNNNNNNNNNNNNNNNNNNNNNNNNNNNNNNNNNNNNNNNNNNNNNNNNNNNNNNNNNNNNNNNNNNNNNNNNNNNNNNNNNNNNNNNNNNNNNNNNNNNNNNNNNNNNNNNNNNNNNNNNNNNNNNNNNNNNNNNNNNNNNNNNNNNNNNGAAAUGUUAUACAAAUGUUAGUUAUAUAUAUAGAAAUGUUAUAACUUUUUUUUUUCUGUUUUUUAGUUAUAGAAGUAUCAGAAAUGUUAUAGAAAUGUUAGUUAUAUAGCAUUGAUAGAAAUGUUAUAGGAAUGUUAGUUAUAUAGAAAUGUUAGAAAUUUUAGUUAUCAAAAUCCAAUCAUUAAAAAAAUGUUACUUUUUGCGGGCAUAUAGCUAGUAUUUGUUCUCGACGAUGCCCGGCCCGCAUCCUCGCCGUCGACCCGUCCGCGACGACAUCCGGGUGACCCAUGUCCGGGACUGGGCUCCGCCGGGCUGGCACUGGGAGGUGCUGCCUGGAGGGGCGCGCCGCUUGAUGAGGAACCCGGCCCCGGUCGUCCACCCUGAUCUCGUUUGGUGGCGUUCGCGUGGGCCAGUUUUGGUGCGGAAGGAGCCGGCCCCGCCGGAGGUGGUACGUCGCCGUGUCAGGGAGGAGGACGAGCACGUCCAUCGCUACAUGGUUGCGUUAGAGGGCGGCAGGUUCUCCAAUACCUGGCAGUUUCUUCAGGGAUCUCACUUCAGCUAUGAUCAUGUGAGGGUUCCUUCUCUUUGGGUGUCCACCGCCCGCGCCGCAUGAUCCGACGAUGUAUUCGAGAUUAUAUCUAUUAUUCAAGACGAUGUAUUCGAGAUUAUAUCUAUUAUUCCAGACGAUGUAUUCGAGAUUAUAUCUAUUAGUCAAGACGAUGUAUUCGAGAUUAUAUCUAUUAUUUGAGACGACGUAUUCGAGAUUAUAUUCGAUGAUGCUUAUUAUGUACUAUGAUUGAUUCAGUUUUUCCUUAUUAAUUGAUUGCAUCCAUGCAUUGUAAUUUGAAUAUAUUUCUUUUGGAUUUGUUAAACAAAACCUAUGGCGGACAAUACCGACAGAGAGGGAGAAGAGGCCCUGUUCAAUAUCAUACGCAAUCCUCGCGGGCCAGAUGAUGAUCAGAAUGAAGAAGAUUAUGACGGCUCCGGAUAUCUAAACAACACCGGGGAGGGUGAUAUGAUAUUCGAUCGCGACGACCGAAUUGAUGAAGUCAUGAACUAUGAACAUGACGAAGAAAAUGUUGAUCUUGAAACAACAAAGACCGGCGAGGUAUAUAUAUUUAUAUAAGUAGGCAUCUGGUGAUCAUCACAUGUUUUAAAUGACUUGAAGAUAUAUUAACGAAUCGAUCUUUCUUCUUUCAGCCAUCUGGAUCGAGCAAAUCUUCAGGCAACAGGACGAAACGAGGCCCGAACAAAAAGUUGAAUUCAUCAGUGCGGAGUUCUUGUGAAGGACCAACUCCCGAUCUCCCUUCAAGAAUGGAGAGAGCCAGCAAAGCCAUGUCCAGGAGUUACUUUUGUCAACGACAGGCAAAAACAUUUGCUUUGGGAAACGCUCAUGGAACAUUUCACCCUACGAGAUCAUUUCAUAGAUGCAGAUGUGGAGAAAGUCAAGGACGCUGCUCUUAGGAAGAUGGCGGUUGCAUUCAAGAACCACAAGAUUCGUGAAUGGGCCAAGUACGUCAAUGGAGGAAGGAAGACUCCAGUAUUCGAGGGAACACUAGAGAACCAAAGUGCUCAUUGGGACGAUUUCAUGAAAUUCAAGGAUUCGGAAUUAUCUAAGGAACGGUCGAGAAUAAACAAGGCCAAUGCCACAAAAAAGGAUAAGUUCCAUAAGCUGGGGCCAGGUGGCUAUGCGGUGGGAAUGCCUAAGUGGGAUAAGUCUGAGAAAGAGAUGCUCGAUGCAGGUGUCACUCUAGAAACAUUGAGCUGGCCCCCAGGUGCAGGACUUGGUUCUAUGCGCAUGGGGGGGAGUUGGACCCGAAGACAGGCAAAGUUUCGAAGAAGGCAUGUCUGGACGGAGCCGAAGAUAAGCUACUUGUUGCAAUGGAAGAGGCUCGAUCCGGGUUGUUCGAUCCCAACAGAGAGAACGACGAGCUUACGCGUGCCCUGGGAAAUCCUGAACACCCGGGAAGAACACGAGGCAUGGGCGCUAUUCCGUGGUAUGAGGGGUUUUCAGACUAGAACACCGACUACAGAACCCGUGUGAGAAAGAAGAUUGCGGAGGAGAGGAAGAUGGAGGAGGAGCAGAGGAAGCUAGACUAUGAACGCCUUCAAGGCCUAGAAUCAGCGCACGCGGACUUGGCAAUCAAAUUCCAACGGCAGUAGGAGCAGAUUGACUCACUUAGCCAGCAAAGGGGGUCUCAGCAGCUAGCGGAUGAUCCACCAAUGGAUAGCACCGUCCCAUCCAUGCCGAGAAGCAACAUGGGUUCCGCCCCGGGCGACGCAUUGCUGGAUAGCUACCCAGUGGAUGACAUCAUGGAGAACACUAACUGCGAGCUACACUUCAAAAUGAAGAACAUAUCCAUGAAGGUGGCGGACGCCCUUGCUUUUACAAAUCCCCCCGAGGCAACCUUCCAUUGCAACCCGAUUCCAGCGGGCUAUGCUCGUGUCUUGGUUGAUGAGGUGGUGGACCAAUAUUCGAGGCUAGAGCUUGACAUUCCUGGAGGUGACGAUGAGCACACACUAGGAGAGGCCAACCAUCAUAUCAUCCUAUGGAGAAAGGAUUGCAUCAUCUUUCGAAGGCCACCGACACCGCGUCAUCCGACUCCUCGUCGCAGUCCGCCACCGAGUCAGCAGACUCCCGCUCCUCCAAGUCCACCAACGCGUCAGGCCACUCCUCCUCCAAGUCCGGCACAGCUUCAGGCCACUCCUCCUCCAAGUGCGGCAAAGCGUCAGGCCACUCCUCCUCCAAGUCCGGCACAGCUUCAGGCCACUCCUCCUCCAAGUCCGGCACAGCUUCAGGCCACUCCUCCUCCUCCAACUCAGCCACGUCAGCCGUCUUUGCCGCCUCAGCAAUCACGGAAGAGAGCCGCCUCAGCUAUGGUGCGUAGCGGUACAAGUCGAGGUAGUACUGCAGGUACAGGUGGAGGCAAGCGAUUUCAAUAUGGUCCAAGCCUCGCGCCUCUUCCGCAGGGGCCUUACGACAAGUCCGAGGAGGAAAACGUAGCCAUAUCAAAGGCUGAGGUGGAAGCCCAUUUUGCACCGAAACCGCCACCGCCGCCAAGGGAGAAAGUGCCUGUGGAAAAGAGUGACCACUUCAUUCGUAUGGCUAGACCACCAGCUCCCAAGCCUGUUGACACAGACUAUGAGCGCCACCUCAGGAAGUUAAAUCGAGCACGUCUACAGAAAGAGGCGAGCUCGAGCUCAAGCAAAUCAGCUGGCAAAAAAUGCGGUAAAAUCGUUCCCCAGCUGGGAGAACAGGCGGCGCAAUCAAUCCCCUCGCUUGUUGUGCCAACAACACAUGAGAGUAGGCGCGCCCAAUAUUAUUGUGGGCAAACUGUUAACGUUCCCGGGCUGGGCGAUGUGCUAAUAACUGAGGAGCAUAUUGCGCAGGCUGAAUCGAUCGGGAUCACAGUUGGACAACUCCUCGAUAUCGAGCCCAUGUCUCCGACUAGAGAGGAGGAAAUAAAACGGAAAUAUGCCCGGGGCCAACCUUUGGUCAAGCCAGAGGAGGUCAAUAAGCUCCCAACGAGAAUGUAUGAAUUGCAUCAAUGGUACAUGGACAUUACCAAGAUUUCCAAUCGAGAGUCCCUCAUGGUGAAUGUCAACGAGGAGCAUUACUACCAUAAGAAAGCUGUGACCGUUGAGUAUUCAGAACUUUUUCAGCUAUACAAUAAAGACGCACUCGACAAAUCUAUUAUCAGUUGCUAUUGUCUGUAAGUGAUUUCUUUCUGUAAUUUAAGUCUCAAGCUAGCUGAUCAUUUUGAUCAAUCAUUACCUAUAAUUAUCCUCACUAUAUUCUUUUCUGUGGUAUUAUGCAGGAUGAAGAUUUAUGAAAUGAAAAAAGGUGGACGCUAUGGCAUUGGGUUCGUUGACCCAAAUACCAUUAAUGAAUACACAUGGAAAAUAGAUCCAUAUCACGCAAAAUGUGUAGAGGAAAGCAUGCUACGGUUCUUCAAGGAACUCAAAUACAAUGAAGAUAUACUACUUCCUUACAACUUCCAGUGAGUCACACUGUCUUGUACUACAAAUUCUGUUUUUCCCUACUAGCUAUAGCUACAUGUUUUUGCUUACAUAUGCCCUCUUAAUUAAGACAUGCAAACGUGUGUGCAUGCAUAUUUCACUAGAUCUUGUUAAUAAUUAAAGUUGAUGAAGGAACAGUUGAAGUACUAGACUCGCUACUUAAGAAAGCAAGUGACUACACCAUCGUGAAGGGGAUAGUCAACAGGUAAAUCAUUAUUAACUAUAUCUCGGCCUAUUUAAUUAGUUCGUCAUUUCCUGAUAAGAACUAUUUAAUAACCCAUUUAUUCAUUUUCUUUGUCGGCGGGCAGGGCUUGGGCAAAGUUCAUCAGGGCCACUCCAGUCCCAUGGAAACAAAGUCUGAAAUGGUAUCGACCCAAGGUAAGUAAUUAAGUAGUACUAGCUAGCUGCCAUCUCUUUAAUUAUCAUGCUUGAUUAAUUAUUAUCUGAUCAAAAUUCCAUUCUCGUAAAGGCCCUGAAGCAGGCGCCGGGGAAUGAUCUAUGUGCAUACUACGUUUGCGAGAACAUUCGCAUGAUGGCGUCCGAAAGGAGCAAAUCUCAAAGACAGGAGUGGGACGAUAUCGAUUGUCAGAACACUAUUCACAAUUUUAACACCAUUAUCGAUAUCUAGUCACACAACUAAUACACAUGCAUAUUGAUCUCCUUCUUAACAGUUCAAAGAGGUGCGGGACAAGCUCCUAGCACAGGACCACAUAGAAGCAAUUCAAGAGGAAAUAGCGGGAUUUUUGCUCGACCAGGUCAUAGAUCCCAAAGGAGAAUACUAUUACCCGCUACCGCCCCCAUGAACCACUUCCAAUUGUUAUCGUGCUCCGAAGGCACCAAUUAGCUAGGCUAAUGCCACUGGCUCCGAAGGCACCAAUUAGGAGAAAUUGUAUAUAUAUACAUGUGUGUAUAUAUGUGUGAAUUAAUUAAUGGUGGUUGUGAGACAUUCGAUGAUAUAUAUAUAUUAUGAUCGGUUCUACUAGAAAUUCUAUUUAUAUAUAUGCAUAACGUGUACAAUAUGUAGUAUCGUAAAAUACCAGCAAACGAAAAAGAAUUAAAUGGAAAACACAAAAUUAAAUGAAAAAGAAAUCAUAAACCCAACCCCCCCAACAUUUUAAUACCGGUUGGUGACACCAACUGGUACUAAAGGGCUCCCUGCCCCCGAAGCUGGCUCGUGCCACGUGGUUGCCCUUUAGCACCGGUUCGUGCUGAACCGGUACUAAAGUGGGGGGGCUUUAGUGCCUACAUUUUAGCGCCGGUUACCAAACCGGCACUAAAGGGCCUUACGAACCGGUGCUAUUGCCCGGUUCUGCACUAGUGGUAGUUAUUCCGCAUCUAAGCCGGCUGGGUAGCCCGCCGGAUAUGAGCUAUGCAGCUCGCUGAUCCACCUCCCUCCCCUCGCCCGACGGAGCCAGUUGCCGCCCCAAGCCGUGGAAUUUUGCCAUGUGUUGUUUUCAUGGACUAGCAAGAUGCCCGUGCAUUGCACGGAACAUCAAGAUGCAUUUUUUUACAAACUCCCGCAUGCAUGCAAGGGAUAAUUAAUGUCCUCCUUUGCUAGUACGACGAGGCAAACACCAUUAAAAUUACAUCGAUUAGUGUUAGUGGCCUUGUAUAUCUGCAAAUUGUAAUUUUGAUAGUGGCCCCUUGUAUAUAAAAAUGGAGGGAGAAAGAUGAGAGAUAAGGUGAGGAGGAGUGGGGCGUGGUGGUGACUGGUGGUCGGACUGGGCGGAGGCAUGGGGAUGGACGGCGCAUUAUGUCUAGGUUUGUAUCUCUCACACACACACCCACGUAGGUGGGGGACGUGCACGAAGAGAAGAGGUGCACGCACGACGCACGUACUCCCGUCUCUUUCCCAACCACACCCGCGCGGGUACAUAGUGGAGCUCAUUUCUGUACGAAAAAGGCAGCCCACGUGGUAAUUUGGCAUGUGUACUGGUUGUCCACUUGGUGGAGGGAGGAUCGUCUACCACGGGUGAACAAACAAAUUGUGACUUGACGCAUUAUGUUAAAUUAAAAAAAAGAGGCAAACCAUGUGGGGUCUACCUUAGAGGCAAGGCUCUAUACACUGGAGUACUUUUGAUGUGUCCCGUUAACUCGCAGAACAAGGAGAAGCUUGAUUAGUACACCGUCUCCCCCGCCCACAGGCGCGGUGGCUCACAGGAUGAGGUGAAGCUUGCUUACUAGUACACCUUACGCCCGCUCCCUCGCCCACGCGCGCGGUGGCUCGCAGCACGAGGAGAAAUUUUUACUACUCCCUCCGUUUACUCCUCGUCCCUACUACGUACUUUGGUUAGUACUCCCUCCAUUUACUUAUACAAGGCCACUAUAAAAAAUACAUUUUGCAUCUAUACAAGGCCACAAAUAGUAAUCGAGACAAAAGUUACUACUCCUCCUUUCCAGUUUAUGGCUCAAUUUCAAAAUCUCUCCAACCAAGGUAGACGGUGAGUGGUCGAAUUAUUUUCGUAUUUUGCACAAGUAAUUAGUACGCUUGUUUUUCUCAAGAAGUUAUGUUUACCGAGGCAUUAAUUAGAACGAAUGCAUGAAUGACCACUAAAUUUCCAUGAACUUGUACAUGCAUUGGUUAGUUUCCUCUUGACACUGCUUGCGUCGGGUGAUCUAAUGCACCUCGAAAUCCAACAUGUAAUGGUACUACUACUAGUAUAGUAGAAUUGAGACUUAUCAAACGGAAAAACGAAUGUUUUUUUAGAUGAGCCCUAUAAACUCUAGUGGGUACGUACUCCGUAAAAACAGAUUUUCCAAAACUAAGUCGCUCCCUUUCAUGAAUUCUGUAGUAUACUCCUCCGUCGAUGCUCCCUUUCAUGAAUUAUGUACUUCCUGUCGCCGACAUGUGGGGCAUAUUGCAACCGGGUUGACGUGUCAAGCACCAAAUAACAGUGCAGAACAGCAGGGGGGACGCACCCCACUCAUACCGGCCCAGUAGUAGUAAUGAGCAAUGAGACGUCAAAUCACAAUGCCGCACUUUCCCAGACGGACGAAGCAACCAUUAUUUCACACUUCGGUUCGCCAUCAUCUCAAACCAUGUACUAGUAUUGCUUCUGCCUCAAGAGGGACACGCACAUCGCCUUGGUACAUCAUGACACGUGGGACCGCAUGACAGGCCAUGCUCCCCCGCCGAUCGCUCGGUAAAAUCACCUCAUUUUUACUAUACUUCCUCCGUAUCGGUUUACUACAUGGCAUGCACGUCGUUCUAGGUUGAGAAUUUAACUGGCUAUAUGUGUGAUGAACAGUACUCUAGCCUUUUAAAAAAUGUAUACUUUUGUACAACAGUACUAUCGAUGGAUUGCGCCAUGGAGCAAAAAAUUGAAAUUAAAAAAGGUGGUACAUAUAGAGAGCGCUCGUCGCCAAAUUAUGCAUAUAGUACUAUUAAAAAGCCUAGUCACAAUAAUGGUGUCCAGCACAACCCACCCCUCAAAUAAAACUAAGAGGGUGCUUGGAUACGUUUUAGUCCCAUGACUAAAAGUAGUGGGACUAAAACAUGCUAGCCUCACCCAUGCUUGGAUCCAAAUACUAAAAAGGCUAAAGUCAAGUUAAUGAGCAUUUAUUAUCCUCCAAACCCUCCAAUCCAGAACUCGCCUGUGUUAAAGGAGAGGAGUUAAAUGAGUAGAGAGAGGACUAAUCCACAUUUUAGUAGGGGUACCCCUGACUAAAUUUUUUUAGUCUCAAGACUAGUUUUAGCCCCUCUUUAGGCUGGUCGUAAUGGUAGUAUCAUAACUAGUAUCAUGCAUGCCAACUAGGCAAUUUUGAUGAGGUGUCAUAGUAUUAAAUGAAGAAAGAGAGGGUGGAGUAUCAUAUCAUGAUACUGUAUCAUAAUAAAUGCUAUGCUACUUUGUGUCAUGCAUGGCAAUAAAUAGAGUACUACAUGAUACAAAUAUGUGAUACUAUGCAUUAGGGAGGUAGUAUCAUACACUAGUAUCAUAUGCAUGAUACUAGUAUAUGAUACUCCCCAUUACAACCAGCCUUAGUCAGGGGUGCUUGGAACUUUAGCCUCUUAAAGAGACUAUUUUUAGUCGGACUAAAAUAAGUCCCUUGGAUCCAAGCACCCUCUAAGCAUCCUGGAAUUCUUUGACAAAACUAAGCACCCUGAAAUUCUUUGACAACUAAACUGCUGGCUAUAUGAUGUUGGCCAUAUAUAUUAUACGUAUAUAAUGUGAAGAAACGAGUGGUAGUACUAUACCAACUAAAAGAUGAAAUGUAAGAAAUACUAGUAUGUACGUACUGAAGAGUUAAAGUAACAAGAAGAAACAUAACAUAGUUCUGCUGGGGGCUCAACACAACACACCCCUCAAAUUAAAUUAAGCACACCUGAAAUUAAACUUUGCAACUAUUCCGGUAGACACUACAUUAGAACCACCAUGAGCAACGACACUGCCACCUUACUCGGAGUCCUUGUCCACGUCCUCGACUUCGUCCUUGUCCCUCUUCCUCUUGGCCGAUACUUCUUUGCUUGAACCGCACACUUGGCUGUUGCUCUUCAUCCAACCCUUGUAGAUAUUGAAGCAAAGGUAGCCAUCCAUUGCAGCGUAGUGGAUGUGGUCUAUAUCUAGUACAUUCCGCUGCCAUGCAUGACGAUGAAACGUGUAAUGAGGCUUCUCUAGUUUACCGUACGAAGGAUGAACCAUGGCUCCUGCCAGGGUCAGCAUUGAAGGCUGACGAGAGGACACCAGCCGAUUCUUCUGGAGGUCGAAGGUGUUGCCUACAACGAGGCCUAUCCGAUGCAGGACUUCUUUGUCAUUACCAAAGUCUACAGUAACGAAUUUGACUAGGUUGCUCUCGAGGAAGUCCUUAAAAUCCUGGCAUUCAACAUCGGCAUGGCAUAUGUGGUAGACCAAGCAUAAGUCAUGCACGCAAACCUGGAUCACGGCGGGCUUCUUCCUCUCUUCGUCCUUUAGAUCCUUCUCUCGUCCCAGGACUGUGGUGUACUCAACAUCUAGCCCAGCGACCCACUCAUCAUCUGAGUCUUCGAACAUGCGUCUGAAGCGAGAAAGGCAUCCUUUCACCGUCGCGGAAGAAUGGGUGUAGAUGACAUCGAACUCAUCGCCGGUGAUGGUUCUAACCUUGUACUCACCGCCGAUCGUGGAGAUUUGGGACGCCAUGGAUUUGGGAGGAGGGUUAGGAUUAGUGGAACUGCCAUAAUGUGAAUGGACGGGACGACUAGGAGCGAACCGCCGUAGUAUUGAAGGACGUGCGGGGAUGAGUAGGAGCGAACUGCCAACGUGCGAACGGCAGGGUAGUGGCUUUCCAUUCUCCCAUGAUACGGGCUUCUGAGAGCCCUUGGAUCUGAGAUCGAACGGUUGCAUGGCGUGAUUCUAGACCUAUGGGUGAAUAUCCUAUCCUGGAGGAUUAUUCUGCAAAUUUUCAGCAACUUAGCAUGCGACCGUUUGAUCUCAGAUCCAAGGGCUGCCAGCAGCCCGUAUCAUGGUCGCGCCUACCAUGACCGUCGCGUCGCUCGCGCGGUCGCGCCCUUGGAGAUUUAACACGGUGCGUUAGGCUAUCUAAUGUUGGCAUGUCAUACUUAGUCAUCACUUAGUCACUCAUACUACACCAUGGUUGGCUAUAAGUGUAUUUUUUACUCCUCUCUAUCUCUUUCUUCAUACUCAAGGAAGAAACGGUGCUAAGCGCGUGUAUUUAUUGCAUUUGCCAAGGAGUGACCUCUUCCAAUGAAAUGGUGUUGCUAAGUUUGCUUCAUUUAAUUAGCUACAGACUCAAAAUUGUCUUUUCACCUAGGUACACGCGCUUAGCAUCAUUUCUUCCUUGGGUCACCAAACUAGUCUCUCUCUUCUUGAUUAACUUGCCACAUCAGACUUUAUGCUUAUGUGGCAAGCUUAAGCACCUAUAGGAGCAAGUAAAAGUAAGUACAAUAGUGUGCUUUGCAUGGCACUUUUGCAUAUGUGGAGGAAAGAGAGGCAAGGAAAAAGUGGAGAAGUGGGCUCUCAUGCAAGAGGCAGCCUCUACUACAUGGUGGAGCAUUGGGAGAGGCACCUGUAUGGAGGUGGUCAGGAAUCUGGGAGACUCACGCCGGUCGUAGCGCCACAGUUAAAAUGAUAAUGGCAAGUCAAAUCACGGGGCCCCACCUAUCCAGCAGUAACUCGCUGUCAAAUCACACAGCCCUAGGUUUGCAGCAGCCUACUCCCUCGUCUUCUCGCGUCUCUGUCGAACCGACUAGGCGGAACUGCCCCGCCGCCUACCGCGUAGGAAAAGCCCCGCCCUCGACUUUUAAAUACAACUACAUCCGCUUAAGAAUCCAAUGAUAUACUUUUUGUGACAUAGUAACUCAUAUUUAGUUAGUCAAAUGGAUGACCUAGAACUAUGUGCAGGCCCUAUAAACCGAGACGCCUAAAAAUAAAAAAAACGAGACGAAGAGGGUAGUUCAGCACGUAUCUUUUUAGAUCAAUAUAGUCGGGAUUCACCAAGGAGAAAAACCAAGUGGUAGGCUGCUCCUGUCGUGUUGGCAUAGCAACUCAAGCAGGGUCAGUACACACACGAAAUGGCGACACACUUAACAGGACCCCUUUGGCCAACAUGUGGCUCAUCCACCGUCUUGUUCCACGUGCGAUGCACCAAAUUACAGUUUGGAGCAGCGGUUGGAAUUGGAGGCACCCCGGUCGUAGCGCCGCAGUAGUAGAAAAUGAGCGACGAGGGGUCAAAUCACAAAGCCCCACCUUUCUCGCAUUAAGCUGGAUGGACGAAGCAACCAUCAUUUCACUCUAGGGUGCAAGAGCAUAAAGAAAAGAGAAAACAAUGAUGCGUGCGGCAGCUACCUAGGGCACCCUAGGGUAGGGGGUCUCCACUACAGAUCCUUUUUUUGAAAGCGCCUCCACUACAAAUCGGCUUCUCCCUCGUCCUCUUGAAGAAAACCGAUGAUGAGUGCGGCGGUAGGGUUUGUAGGAGCACUACGGCGUGCGGGGCCACGCCGUAGUAAACGGGUUCAAGCCGACGCCUUAAAUAUGUGUGGGCCGCUUGGUUUUAUAGGAAUGAGGCAACAUUUUGGGUUCGGGGACCAGUGGAGAUAUAGCACGUACAAAAAAUUGUGGACGUAGGUUCGACCGAAAGGAAAUGAUGCAUGGGCCCUGCAUUUUGAUAUACCCAGGGCCGCGUGAAAUUUGCUACUCUACUCAAAACUAGUAAGGUACACAUGUAUUGAACGCAUGAGAUUUCGAAACCAAAUUAUGAAUAAAUACACACUAUAGGAUGUAAAGCUUUGAGUCAUAUAUGCAUGAUGUAGAUGUUUGUUUAGUUCUUAUAGUUCAUCACAUUCAAAAUCAAUAAGUUUUAUAAAAAUGUUAAGAUUCAUGGGGUUGUGCAUUGUACUCCCUCCGUUCCAAAAUAGAUGACCCAACUUUGCACUAACUUUGUACAAAGUUAGUGCAAAGUUGGUUCAUCUAUUUUGGAACGGAGGGAGUAAAUCAUAAAGUAAAAAACAAAUAAUGGCAAUUCAUUUAGAAAAUAAUAAUCAAUUAUGAUACAGAAGAUUCUAGAACAAAGGAGAAGUGCUUGUGUUUUGAGGUUUGUGCAUUAUGCUUAAGUUCAACCAUGGAGUCUUCUAAAUUGUACAUGUGGCAGAUCUGGUGGAAUGUUGAUGAUAUCCAACGGCCAGCACUGCUCGGAUUUGCCUAUCUCUGCACUGUCGGGUUAGCUUCAUCCAGCGACCAUCUUUCAAAGUUAUUGGCACACUAUAUAGUUCUUGUGCCAUAGUUGCAUGUUUUGGAAAAAAGCUACUAGUGGGUUGUACUAUCUAUUUAGGAAUAGAAGAUGUAUACAUGGAAGUUGUAGGGAAAGAGAUGACAUGGAGCAUCUCAAUUCCUAUGAGUAGGGAUUGAAAAAGAGAUGUCAUUUGGUUCACAUCAUAGGAACUUUUCUAUUGAAUAUAGAGAUGACAUGUUUCUCAAUUCCUAUGAGGAGGGAUUAGAAAAGAGAUGUAAUUUGGUUCAUAUCAUAGGAACUUUUCUAUUGAAUAUAUGCUAAUGUUUAUUUUCCUUUGAAAUUAAGGGAGUAUAGGAAUCCAUUCAUAUGAACCCAGUGGCUCUAAAGCUAUAGAAAUGAUAUCAUGUUUAUUUCCUUUGAAAUGUGGAGUAUAUGAAUCUAUUCCUAUGAACCAAUUGGCUCUAAAGGAAAAAAUCCUAUAAAAAUCAUAUCAUAUAGAGUUCCUAUGAUAUUCCUCGACACUAAAGGAUGCUUGAAAUUGCUGCGGGUGAUACGAUGGUCUUUCUUUGUAGACUCCUCACCCAACUUUAUAGUUACCUCUCGAAGAUGAAUGAAAUGAUAUAUACAUGGUAUUCUACAUGUGCAAUUUGGUACACGAAGACUCGGUAAAAGUUUGCGAGGUUCGAAUUUUCAAUAAAGCUAUAUGCACUGCAUCUCGGAACGGAGGGAGCAUACAACAGUUGCUAACACUCACGUGGAAGAUUUAUGUGUAGGAGGAGUGGUUGUUCUAUUAAAUGACAUGGCAAAACUGACACUGUCGGAUGCCGAUCUAACGGUCCUUACGGCGUUCGUCAGGAAAAGGCUUGUGGCGAACGUUUGUCGGAUAAUGAUUUAUGGACACAUGCAUUGCAUUGAUACGUGCCCCCCUCUCUCUCACGCACAUGCACCCUCACGAGUCACGACUCUCCCGAGUCCUCUCGCAGACUCGCACGUCGCACCCACCAUCUAUCUGCAGGUAGACGUCACGCACAUAUGUGCUCUUCACACCCUACCCUGAGAACUUCUAAAAACAAAAGACGGCGCGCACAUUUUAUUUUAGCUCACACAUCACACACUUGUACUAUUAUUCUUGCGGUGAACGUUCUUUGGGCAUAGUAUAUUGUACUCUCACGAAGAGAAGCGGUGCACGCACGCACUAGUUCUCUCACACCCACUCGCGGGUACACGUAGGAGCGCAUUUUUUGAAGCUGGUACAACAAAAUCACUCCACUAUAUAUAAAAGCAGGAGCCAUAGUGCUUGCUUUACUAGGGUUCCUCUCGUUCACUCUCUCAUGCUCUCCAGAUCUAAGCAACACAUAGGUGGCCACACUCUUUCUCAGCUCACGACUGGUCACAAAUCCGGCCGGACAACCUCGACCGGGGUAGGGGUGUAGGUGCAUCGUUCACACUGUCGUCAGCGGCGAGGGAGGAGACCAACGGCUGCCAGCGUGUCCCGAUCGGCGGCCGUGUCGUUCUCUCCGAGAGAGCGCCGGCUCGGGAGGGCCUCCGACCCCUUCUUCCUUCCUGCAGUAUUGUGGCCAAGAUGCGGCCUCCCGACGCCAUCUUUGUGACAUGCCGACGACCCUCAGGUAUAUAUUCCUUCGAAACCUGCCUUGCUCUACUACCCCAGCUCCCUUCGUGUGGAUCCUUUUCUACUUUCGUCCGCUGUUCCAAAGCCACCUAGACUUCUACUAAGGCACGUGCUUUGCACGUAUGUUCUGUAUGAUAGAUACUCAUAUACCUUAUUUUUAGAGAGAGAAAUGAGUACUCAUAUCUUGAGUAGAUAUCAUAGUGUGUUUGUUUGCAUGAUCUAAGGACUAUUAUGAAAUAAGAAGCAAAUCACUUGCACAAAUCAAAGUGAGUUCCAAGUAAGAAUUUGAUUACAAGAUAAAAUUUGUAGUUUUAUUAUAUGUUGUUUCCUGGGUUCCACUAAUGUAUAGUUCCAGAGUUGUUUGAUGGUUUACAUGCAUGUUUAUGGACUAUUUUGUGCAACUAAAUAAGUCAUUUAGGUCUGAAAGACACUCAUGUCCUAUAUUAGCUUGAGGUAUAGCUUAUGUAUGACUGAAAUAAAAUAUUACACUUUUUCUGUGAAUAAUAAAAAUAUUACAUUUCUCGAUGAAGCAGAAUAAAACUUUAGCUAGCAUCAGCCAUGCAAUGUUAUGUUAUGUGAACAAUGUAAACUUUGCAGUAUAGCGGCAUCUAAAAAAUCCAUUUUUACAGUAAUCUAAAAAAAUUAGUUAGUAGUAGAGUGUUUAUUUCCCAGGUGACAAUGGGGAACAAAAAUGUGCUAGCUAUUUGCCAACUUGUCGUACUUGCAUGUGAGGAGGUGGCAGCAGUUUCUAGACAUUUCUCAACUUCAGUAGGUGCAAUCCAGAUUCAACGGGGACUUCUUUAUUUGUUUACUUGGAGAGCAGAGUCGGCCAUGUGCACAAGGAGCGGGAGCGAAUCCGGUAGCUCUUAGCCGUCAGAUCAUGUCAUCCUUUGUUUGAUGGACGGUAGUGAUAUGCAUGAGAGGGGAAAUGAACGGUGGAUUUUGAGCCAAUGCUUGUUGGGGCGGGAGAACCGAAGAUGGAGUGGUAAAUCCAAUUUCAAAACUGUCGCAUUAUAGUAGUAGUAGAUUAGAAGUAAAGCUAUUUCAUACAGUCGACUCAAAGCGUUGGUUCAAAUAGGGAAGAAAGUGGGAAAGCUGUAGCAUGAAUCUAGGACUUGGUUCUAAGAGGAAACGGGGGAAAGUAGUAAUAUCUGUCACUGUUUAAAUAACCGUAUAUCUUAUUUGCACAAACAGGGAUAUCUGUCUCCAUAUCGUUUCGGGAUGUCUGUCUCCGUAUCGUUUCUAUCCGCGCAAUCAAAAGCACACACCUCAGUUUUAGUACAACUGCGCAAAAUGAGAUGGCUAUCCCUCGCUGCCGUCGUCUAACCUCCCGUCUUCAAAGUAUCCCUACAUUGGUGGUAACUAAGGUAGAAUGACCAACGCAAUCUAAAAGAAGCUGAUUCGUACGUUUUACUUGCUGAUUGCAGUGCAGGGACGAGUGAAAACAACUGCAUCCUAGUCCGGAAUGCACUUUCUACCAGUUCAUCCAUGGACCAAGGACUAGCUGGCACGGCUGCACGACGGUUUUUUGGACAGGUGCGCGGACAAGAGGCAUUGUGGUAUGCUUAUUUCUGCAAAUAGCGGUGCUUAAAUUUAGUGGAAUGCACAAGCAUUUUAGCUGGUCAGUACACUGCAUGGUUCAGUUCAGCAUUCCAGCUGAUACCACAAUUAUAAUUGGUUAUUCUGGAAUGAGAGAACCUAACCCUGAAUGGUGGCAACAAGAAAAAACCAGAGUGAACUCCAGGAAAUUUAAGCCUACCAGGAGGCCCUUUGCUCAGAGAGAAGCCUUGCUUGUUUUUUUCCUGAUUUGUAAACCUUCUCACAACUUUGUCUUUUGCUGUGAACUAGUAUAUGUUUGUUAUGUUCUAUGAAUCAUUGAGAUGUAUAAAAUUGCUUAACUUAUGCUUUUCAAGUUUUUUAUGAAGACGAGUUUAACGUGAGUGUUCCACAUGAGCACUAGACUAGCAUGUGAACGUUUGGAAUUUAUUACAUUGUGGCCUCAAUUAACUGCAUGAACCACUGUAACAAGAUACAUAGUUGCUUAUAUGUCAGAGAGCAGAUUGUUGAUUGUUAGCUGGUCGAUAGCCUAGUGUUGAAGCGAGCUGAGCCAAUGUGCCGUGUUUUGCACAACUGCUUACAAGUGGGGUAGCACCAACAGUGUUUACAAGUACUUAUGUAUACGUCGGCGCACGGUUCUCGAACGAGUGCUCUAUUUCAUCAAAACACACACUGCUCGUAUGAUAAACCGUGACAACUUAUGUCUUACCAUGCCAUAUUCAUGAAAAAACUAGUGAGGACGCAUCUGUUUCGGCAACAAUUACGAUGGUUCUCACAUGAUUCACGAGCACACAAAAAUAGCAUCAGUUCCCAUAGACGGAUUCAAACAGAGUACUAGCCCCAGAGGGGUCGAUAACAGGCAAGGUUCGGAUAGUUAGACACAAUCCAAACUACUAUUAAACACUAGCUGGGGCAACUAUUUCAUGCCUCAAUCUAAUUUGGGCUGGACACAAGACGGUCCUUCCUAUGAACAUCAUCGAGGACGUCCCGCAGCAGCUCAAUCCUGUGAACCUUCAUGAAGACAACCUUGUGGCCUUGCCACUGAUAAACUUGUUUGUGGAGGCAUGCCACAUCAUCUUCCUAUGUAAGCUUGACAAGAACAGUAUUCCUCACAAACGAAGGAGUAGCUUUGAACUUCUUGUGCUUCAGUACACCCUGGACAACACGCCUGACAACAGUGAGGCUGGAAUACAACUCUUCAUUGGUAUAACCGUAAAUGGCUUCCAGGAUCCAACAGCCUAAGAACUCUAUUUUCCCAGUGCGUAUAUUUAGGUCGUCCGCCUCAUAGCGAGUGACAUGUACAACCACACAAUCCUUGUAUGCAUUAGGGCUCUAAUUGAAACAGAAACACAUUCUGAAUUACUUUUCAGUAUAAGAAACACAAGUUAUUUAAACCACUACGUAUACCAUGGCAUCGAAGCUAAUAAAAUUGUGCGUUAUUAAUCACCACACACUUCCUUUUCUAAAAAAAUCACCACAUACUUAGAUGAAAAACCACAAUCAAGAUCGACAAAGAAGGAAAUCACCUUGNNNNNNNNNNNNNNNNNNNNNNNNNNNNNNNNNNNNNNNNNNNNNNNNNNNNNNNNNNNNNNNNNNNNNNNNNNNNNNNNNNNNNNNNNNNNNNNNNNNNNNNNNNNNNNNNNNNNNNNNNNNNNNNNNNNNNNNNNNNNNNNNNNNNNNNNNNNNNNNNNNNNNNNNNNNNNNNNNNNNNNNNNNNNNNNNNNNNNNNNNNNNNNNNNNNNNNNNNNNNNNNNNNNNNNNNNNNNNNNNNNNNNNNNNNNNNNNNNNNNNNNNNNNNNNNNNNNNNNNNNNNNNNNNNNNACAUCCUCGAAGGGGGAAAACUGCUCCUGAAGUGCCACGGGGGCUGUAACCUCAAACGGGGCGUUGACCAUCUCAGUAUCUGGGGUCGCCUUGGUGGUUGCCUCCAUCUUCUUGGAGCUCUCUGUCUCGUGGGGAUCAGCCUCCCGCGUCUGCUCCAAUAUCAGCAAAUCUUUGCCUGGUUCUCCUUGGUCCAUCAUGAAACUGACGAAUACUAGGAGUCCACUGAAAGGAAAACACAAUCGCAAUGACAAUGAAACAAAAAAGAGAGUGAGGAUCGGUUACUGCUUUGCAAAAGUUCUUUUUUUCCUCUGAACGAAAAUAUACCAACAUCACGGAUCCUCUUACCUUCCCUUCGUUCGGAGAGAAGAACAGUGGCAGAUGCAAGUGUUGCCUUUCUUGAAGACGGUGAGGGAGAAGGGGAUUCAGCGAAGAGUGAAAUGAUGGUUGCUUCGUCCGUCAAACUUAGACUACGGGGAGGUGGGGUUUUGUGAUACGACGGCUCGUUACUGCCGCGCUACGACCGGGGUGACUCUCCGUCUGCAUACUGCCUUCUAAUUUGGUGGAUGGCAUUUGGGCCCGCGCGCUGCAUGGCCCGCAUGUCGGUGAACAAAAGUAUAACGACAUUCAGUAGAGGGAGACGUUUCAAUGACCUAGGAGGAGCCAGAAGCGGUAGAGUGUCUCCACUGUACUAGUAGUAUUUGUUUUUCUGGGUAGCUGUAGAGUGUCUCCACUGUACUAGUAGUAAUUGUUUCUCGGGUCCCAAGACAAAACAUCCCAUCCACACUAGUAAAUAGUAAAAUCAAUUCAAAAACCUGGGUGCUCUUCUUCCUCCUCGCUCCCACCCACCUCAUGUCAGCUCGCUCCACUCGUACCCCCAAAUUCCUCACCUCACUCCUAUAGAAAACCCCAGCUCCCCUUCUUCCUCACUCCAACAGAAAACCCCCAGCUCCCCUUCUUCUUCGCUCGCACUACAACUAGGCUCGUCAUUCGUUACUCUGCUCAAAUCCAUGAGCGCGACACGACGCCCUUGAGGAAAAUGGAGUCGGCUGACCCCAACGCCAAGAAGAUGAGGCUCCUGCCAGCGGCAACGCCUGUUGUAGAUCCCGCACCCGGCAACGCGGGGAGAAGCAGCGACCCCGCCCCACCGGAUCCCAGGAACCCGUAGAAUCUCGGGUGGACCGCAUCAGCGAUCUCCCGGACGCCAUCCUUGGGGAGAUCAUCUCGCUUCUCCCCACCAAGGAUUGUUGCCGCACCCAAGUCCUCUCAAUUCGGUGGCGCCCUCUAUGGCACGCCGUUCCCCUUAAUCUCGACUGUCGUCAGCUAUCUCUCUUCAAUGAUUUUGAAAUCCCCAAAGCCAUCAUCUCCUCCCACUAGGGCUCCGUUUAAAGCCUCUGCAUCCCAUCAUGCUACCUGAGCAAGCAUACCAUGCCCUGCACGGUGAACGCCUGGCUGGAAUCCCCUGAAUUCACAGAACUACAACUGCUUGAGUUCUACUAUUCCCCUGGAAAUCACAUACCACAUACCGAACGCCAUGAACUUGUGCCCUCAGCACCGAUGUCCAUCUCGGGGUUUUCGUCCUCUCUCCACACCGCCACCUUUGCGUAGUGCUACCUACCAGACAAUCUGGUACUAAACCUUCGACUCCAAUUUCUCAAGAAACUUUCACUUGUGCGGGUUCGUAUAUCGGAGGCCUCAUUGCACAUCAUCAUCCACUCCAGUUGCCUUGCGCUGGAGUGCUUGGUGCUUGUUUUCACAGUUAGAAUCAGUUGUCUCCAAAUAAAGUCGCCUAACCUUGUAAGAAUUGGAAUUUCUUUUGACGGAAGGCAGCUCAUCAUCCAAGAUGCCCCUUCACUUCAAAGGUUGUUCCUUGAUUCUAGCUAUUCACCGUUGCAAAUAACCGCCCUCUCUGCGCCUAAACUGGAGACCUUGGGUGUAAUACAUGAUCUCUGUGCUCAUUUCAAUAUGGUGUUUGGCUCCAUAGUUCUUCAAGUACUUUAUAUUAUCAUCUACACUUGUAACCAUAAGCUGCAUUUUAAAUUUCUGCGCAUAAUUUAUAUAUCAUCUUGGAGUACACAUUUUGUACUAAUAUUAUGUUCUAUGCUCAAUGAAGAGUUUCUCCAUGGAUGGCCUAUCAAUGGUGCUGGAUUCUGUUAAGAUAUUAUAUAUCCAAAUGAAUAGUUUUGAUCUGAUUAUUGGCUUGCUGCAAUGCUUUCCAUGUCUGGAGAAGUUGUAUAUAAAGGUGAUAAUUUCACGCACAUUGGAAGCCCGCAUAUAGUGUACUAGAAUUAACCAUUCAGCUGUUGCUCUUUUGACACUCUUCUUUUAGACCUUAACUGUUUUCAAUCUUCAUGUCUAUUUAGGCAACAUGACGGGGUAAGAAAGUUAUAACCAAUCGGUGGAUUCGUAAGCAUCGGGAUUUUCUCACUUCUCAUGAGAUUCGAUUGAAGACAAUAACGCUAGAACGAUAUGUAGCCAACCGUGCAAACACAAGAUUUGUCACAUUCUUCCUGCUGAAUGCGAGGUUACUAUUGUCCAUCAGGCUUAAGUUUAUCAACAGCAUGGUUUUGACGGAUGGGUAUGUCGAAGAGCAAAAAAAGGAGUUUCAGGUGGGCAAAAGAGCUUUUGAACGUGUCGGGCUUCUAUUUACAACAUAUUGUGGUCAUAAUCCAGUAAAUUUUAUGACCCAAGAUGUUCAUUCUAUGGACCUGACCGAUCCAUUUGACUGUGACUUCUGAAAAUAGUGCUGGAGUUAGAUGUUGUUGCCCUUUUCAAUCUGUUUUUUGUAAACCUGAUGAACAAUUAACCCUCGUGCUUUUGUAUAGUUUGUAAGCUGGAGUUAGAUAUUCCUGCCCUUUUCAACUCGGCUGUGACUGUCAUAUUUUCUUUGAAACAAGGCAAAUGGCUUGCCAUUCGUUUAAUUUAGAGUGAAAUACUUUAACAAAUCCAAACCAAGGGAAAUAACAUCACUCUCGCCGGCUGCUUGAGCUCACUGUGCAUUACAGAAGCCAAGUGAUUAGCCCCCACCCGCACCCACAAACUUAUUUAGAACUAGCACAUCAAAUGGGCUGUAAAUUUUCAUAGGAAAGGCUGCAUGACCGUGAUAGAUUUGGAUUCUGACAUUUGGGACCCGCGAGGAAAUAGCCUAUCCAAGGUGGUGUCGACUUACUAGCCAGUCAACAAACGAUUCUGCCUACCAGCCGUUGGAUUGACAUCCAACAUCUGUCGUGUAUCUUCUAUCUCUUGUCUUCUUCUUCCUCCAAUCGCCCAAACCAAACAACCCGUCGGCUCCGCCUGCUCCCGCCUCCCAUGGCUGGCUGCGCCUCCGCCGCCCUACCGUAUGUACCCUCCAACGUUGGACAGUCCCUCCAUCUAUUCCCCCACACAUCCUGUUAUUCUCCGGUGACGUCAGCCCCAACACGCACCCGCGCUCGAACCAGUCAACCCUCGUACUCCCCUCCGCCUGCGACUAGACCGACGCAUUUUCAACGGCUCCUGUUCGUUCCGUCCGAGGCCUCGCCGUCGUCCUCCGCCUUGCGGCCUUGGUUCGCUCGCCGUGCGCAGUGCGCCGCCCUCUUGCAUUGUCAACGUCGUCAACAACCAAGAGGAACAAGGAGAUGACUGUACGUGGAGAGGAUGACAGUAGGGACCCACCAGCGUCAUGGCAGUAUGCAAGCAAGUGCCUCUAUAGUACAAGCCCAAAAAUAUGGUUCCUCCUAAUGGUUGGACAUCUGGGGCUCACGCCAUUGUCAACAUAGUCAAUAAACGAGAGAAUUACACUACGAGCGGCUGACACCAGGGACCCAUCAAGUCGCGCAGUUUUUUUGAGGAACAAGCAGUUGUUAUUUAUACUAGUUUUAGCGAUGGACCAGGGUAACAACGAGGCUGUGCGGGGGCUGUGGCCCGUCUAGCCAGGGUUUUAUUUAUGUUUACCACAUCAUGAGCCCAGUUGUGUUUUUUUCUUGCUGAAAAUGGCUAGCUAAAGAAAUACCCAAACAAGGCCUACUUGCUUUAUCGGCCCUACUGGGCUGCAAAUCUUUCAAGACGAGGAGAGUUUCAUUUGGUUUGCCCAGAAAUGGGCUGUACAUUUUUAAAACACAUCAAACCGGGAAUUAGUUUCAAUUUUUUUUCAUUACAAGAUCUUAAAUUCCAUUGAUUUUUAUGCGUGGACAAUUAUUUGGAUUUUAUAUUUAUAUAAAUUAUUUUUCAAAAUAGUUUGAAUGUGAAUCGAUAUUUCUGGAUUAAAAACAGUUGACCGCACGGAAAUAUGCAAAAUUUCGUAUACUUUUUAACCGUGGCCACAAUAUGGGGUGUGAUGCUAACAAAAAGAAGAUGGGCUCCAAAAAAAAUUCUUACGAAUUAGCAAAUGGGCUGUACAUUAUUAGGAAUAAUGGCAGAUGGGCUGUAUGCUGUUUUCCACAGAUUUGAGGCUGACUUGUGUGCCUACUACAGGUUGACGCGUAUGCUUUCAUAAAAAAAGGUUGACGCACACGCAACGCCCUAUCAACUUAGUCAACACACGAGAGCAGUGACUGUUGGAUGUCCAUCCAACGGCUGUCGUGCUUCUUCAAUCUCUGCUCUUCAUGCUCAAGCCGCUCAAACAAGCGCCAGCGGGACUGCCUGCUCCCUCCUCCCGCGGCCGGCUAUGCUGCCGCGCAGGCCUCACGGCCCCACCGUACUCCCAUCGCUGGCCUAGCCAUCCCUCUACUCACCCACACCUGCUGUUAUUCUCCGGCGACGGCAGACGAACCAAUAAACCCUCGUACUCCUCCGCGUGGGAAAUAACUGCCGAGUAUUCCCUGGCUCCGUGUCGUUCCGUUCCUAGGCCUCGCCGUCGUCCACCGCCCUGGUGCUCUCGGCGCGGCCUGGUCAACAUGGUCAAUGAACGACAUCCAUCGGAACUGGACUGUACGUGGAGAGGCUGACAACUGGGUCCACGGCCGCACGCAAGGAAAUGGCUCCUUGUUACGCACAAAAUAACGAUUCCUCCACCUGACAGCUAGGACCCACAGGAAGAGCCUCUGUAUUUCAUGAAAAAACAUUCGCCCCGCUGACAGGUCGGACCCACCAGCUAUAUCUUCGCACGCAAGGAAGUGCCUCCUUAUUACGCCCAAAAAAUGAAUACCCCCUGCUAGCUGGGACCCACCAUAUUGUUGGGCUGACUUGUGGGCCUACUAAGUUGACAGGGACGGAGAGCUUCGUCAACUUAGUCAAUACUCCAGUGACCGUAUGAUGUCCAUCCAACAGCCAUAGUGCUUCUUCAACCUCUGGUCUUCUUGCUCCAGCCGCCCAAAGCAGCGCCGGUUGUGCCGCCUGCUCCUGCCUCCCGUGGCCGGCUGUGCUACCGCGGAGGCCUCACCGCCCCAUACUACUCCCAUGUGACGCCCGGAUAAUCAAGCUACAGUAACCCUCUAGUAAUGAUGCCUUGUCACCACUGUUACUGUUGUUAAUCUCGCGUUAGAUCGAAACCGGUUCGAAUUCAAAAUUCAAAAUCAGGGAAACAAUAAAAGUUUUCAAACGUUAAAACUAAAAUUGUUAAAAAUGGGACAACUAAAUCCUAGGUAAUAAUGGUGGAGAAACCACACUUGUAUAAAAUGCGUAAAUACUCAAAAAUGAAUAAAACAACAGCAAAAUAAAUUAAUUAAAUGCCUUUGUAUUUUGUAAAAUACUAAACUAUUUUAUUUAGCUGUCCAAAUUAAUGUGGCAGUGGUAUAUUUAACAUACUACAUUUAGGUGUUGUUCUCACAUUCUAUAAAGUUGAAAUAAAUUAAAAAUUUAAUAAAACAGAAAAGAAGAAAUAAAAGAAAAGAGAAAAUAGAAAACAAUAACUAAACUAAAACAAAAAAAAGGACCCUCCCCCCCCCACGCUGGGCCUCAACCCAGCUGGCCAUCCAACCGGGCCGGCCCACCUAACCCCUUCAUAACCCCCCCACCGACGGAAACACUAGCCCGGUCGACCCCCACUGCUCCCNNNNNNNNNNNNNNNNNNNNNNNNNNNNNNNNNNNNNNNNNNNNNNNNNNNNNNNNNNNNNNNNNNNNNNNNNNNNNNNNNNNNNNNNNNNNNNNNNNNNNNNNNNNNNNNNNNNNNNNNNNNNNNNNNNNNNNNNNNNNNNNNNNNNNNNNNNNNNNNNNNNNNNNNNNNNNNNNNNNNNNNNNNNNNNNNNNNNNNNNNNNNNNNNNNNNNNNNNNNNNNNNNNNNNNNNNNNNNNNNNNNNNNNNNNNNNNNNNNNNNNNNNNNNNNNNNNNNNNNNNNNNNNNNNNNNNNNNNNNNNNNNNNNNNNNNNNNNNNNNNNNNNNNNNNNNNNNNNNNNNNNNNNNNNNNNNNNNNNNNNNNNNNNNNNNNNNNNNNNNNNNNNNNNNNNNNNNNNNNNNNNNNNNNNNNNNNNNNNNNNNNNNNNNNNNNNNNNNNNNNNNNNNNNNNNNNNNNNNNNNNNNNNNNNNNNNNNNNNNNNNNNNNNNNNNNNNNNNNNNNNNNNNNNNNNNNNNNNNNNNNNNNNNNNNNNNNNNNNNNNNNNNNNNNNNNNNNNNNNNNNNNNNNNNNNNNNNNNNNNNNNNNNNNNNNNNNNNNNNNNNNNNNNNNNNNNNNNNNNNNNNNNNNNNNNNNNNNNNNNNNNNNNNNNNNNNNNNNNNNNNNNNNNNNNNNNNNNNNNNNNNNNNNNNNNNNNNNNNNNNNNNNNNNNNNNNNNNNNNNNNNNNNNNNNNNNNNNNNNNNNNNNNNNNNNNNNNNNNNNNNNNNNNNNNNNNNNNNNNNNNNNNNNNNNNNNNNNNNNNNNNNNNNNNNNNNNNNNNNNNNNNNNNNNNNNNNNNNNNNNNNNNNNNNNNNNNNNNNNNNNNNNNNNNNNNNNNNNNNNNNNNNNNNNNNNNNNNNNNNNNNNNNNNNNNNNNNNNNNNNNNNNNNNNNNNNNNNNNNNNNNNNNNNNNNNNNNNNNNNNNNNNNNNNNNNNNNNNNNNNNNNNNNNNNNNNNNNNNNNNNNNNNNNNNNNNNNNNNNNNNNNNNNNNNNNNNNNNNNNNNNNNNNNCCUCCGCCGCCUAGCCUCACCGCGCGGCCCUGCUCCGGCUGUGGUCACGGCUGCCGGCGCCAGGCCGCGCCCCCCCUUCGCUUGCUGCCCCGUAGCGCCCCGCCGGGCGGGCAGGCGCUCAUCGCCCGGCUCCGCCCAUAGCCGUAUCCGCUGCCCGUCGCCCGCUAUGGCCCUGGGCCACUGGACAACAGGGCCCACACCCUUUAGAACAGAAAAAAAAGAAAUUAAAAAAUAAAUAAAUAAUAAUAAUAAAAAAAAUAAAGUAAAAAUAAAUAUAUUAAAUAAAUAAAUAACAACUAAGAUAAUUAAAAUAUUAAUUAAUUAAUUAAUUAAGUAAUUAAUUAAGUUAAUUAAUCCUCAUUAGAUUAACCUAAUCACUAAUUAAACUAACUAAUCUGUAAUUAAACUAAACAGAGAAUGACAGGUGGGUCCCACUGGACCCACACGUCAGGUUGACCAGGUCAAUGGUCAACGUUGACUGCUGACAUCACCCUGAUGUCAUGCUGACGUCAGCAUUUACUAUUCUGAAUAAUGUUGGAUUAAAUAAUUAAUUAAAUUCCAGAAAUUAAUAAAAUCUUUAGAAAAUCAUAUCUUUUAAUCCGUAACUCGGAUUAAAAUAUUUUCAACAUGAAAGUUGCUCAGAACGACGAACCGAAUCCGGAUACGCAGUCCGUUCAUCCGCCACACACCCCUAACCUAUCGAACCCGCAACUUUCCCCCUCCGGUUCAUCUGUCUGAAAACACGAAACACCGGGAAUACUUUCCCGGAUGUUUUCCCCCUUCGUCGGUAUCACCGACUACCGCGAUUGGGCACACCUAGCAUUGUUACUUGUCAUGUCAUGCAUCGAUAUGCAUUUGUUUGCAUUGUAUUCAUUGUUCCUUCCCCCUCUUCUCUCCGGUAGACUACGAGACCGACGCUGCUGCUGACCAGUUCGACUACGGAGUUGACGACCUCUCUCUCUUGCCAGAGCAACCAGGCAAGCCCCCCCUUUGAUCACCAGAUAUCGCCUAUUCUCCUCUAUACUGCUUGCAUUAGAGUAGUGUAGCAUGUUACUGCUUUCAUUAAUCCUAUUCUGAUGCAUAGCCUGACAUUGUCGCUACAUCUGUUGAUACCUUACCUGCAAUCCUAAAUACUUAGUAUAGGAUGCUAGUUUAUCAUUGUUGGCCCUACCUUCGUGUCAGUCUGCCUUGCUAUAAUAUUGGGCCGUGAUCACUCGGGAGGUGAUCACGGGUAUAUACUAUACAUACAUACAUACUAUACAGAUGGUGACUAAAGUCGGGUCAGCUCGAAGAGUACCCGCGAGUGAUUCACGGAUUGGGGGCUGAAAGGACCUUUGUCCCGACGGCCCUCUGUGUGGAUCUUUGUGGCGGAGCGGCAGGGCAGGUUGAGACCUCCUAGGAGACAGGUGGGCCUGGCCCUGUUCGGCGUUCGCGGAUACUUAACACGCUUAACGAGAUCUUGGUAUUUGAUCUGAGUCUGGCUACGAGCCUAUACGCACUAACCAUCUACGUGGGAGUAGUUAUGGGUAUCCCGACGUCGUGGUAUCAGCCGAAGCACUUCAGACGUCAGCGACGGAGCGGCGCGCGCCGGAUUGGAACGUAAGCCUGCUCUUGUAUUAAGGGGGCUAGUUCUGCUUUCGGCCGCGUACGCAACGUGCAGGUGUGCUAUGGGCGAUGGGCCCAGACCCCUGUGCGCUUAGGUUUAGACCGGCGUGCUGGCCUCUCUGUUUUGCCUAGGUGGGGCUGCGACGUGUUGAUCUUCCGAGGCCGGGCAUGACCCAGGAAAGUGUGUCCGGCCAAAUGGGAUCGAGCGUGUUGGGUUAUGUGGUGCACCCCUGCAGGGAAGUUAAUCUAUUCGAAUAGCCGUGAUCUUCGGUAACAGGACGACUUGGAGUUGUACCUUGACCUUAUGACAACUAGAACCGGAUACUUAAUAAAACACACCCUUCCAAGUGCCAGAUACAACCGGUGGUCGCUCUACCUCAGGGAUAUGAGGAGGGGAUCGCCGGGUAGGAUUAUGCUAUGAGAUGCUACUUGGAGAUUCUACUUGGAGGACUUCAAUCUACUCUCUUCUACUUGAUGCAAGACGGUGGCUGCGAGAAGCGUAGUCUUCGACAGGAUUAGCUAUCCCCCUCUUAUUCUAGCAUUCUGCAGUUUAGUCCACUGAUAUGGCCUCCUUACACAUAUACCCAUGCAUAUGUAGUGUAGUUCCUUGCUUGCGAGUACUUUGGAUGAGUACUCACGGUUGCUUUCUUUCCUCUUUUCCCCUUUCCUUUCUUUCUGGUUGUCGCAACCAGAGGCUGGAGUCCAGGAGCCAGAUGCCACCGUCGACGACGACCCCUACUACACCGGAGGUGCCUACUACUACGUGCAGCCCGCUGACGACGACCGGGAGUAGUUUAGGAGGAUCCCAGGCAGGAGGCCUGCGCCUCUUUCGAUCUGUAUCCCAGUUUGUGCUAGCCUUCUUAAGGCAAACUUGUUUAACUUAUGUCUGUACUCAGAUAUUGUUGCUUCCGCUGACUCGUCUAUGAUCGAGCACUUGUAUUCGAGCCCUCGAGGCCCCUGGCUUGUAUUAUGAUGCUUGUAUGACUUAUUUUAUUUGUAGAGUUGUGUUGUGAUAUCUUCCCGUGAGUCCCUGAUCUUGAUCGUACACAUUUGCGUGCAUGAUUAGUGUACGAUUGAAUCGGGGGCGUCACAAGUUGGUAUCAGAGCCGACUGCCUGUAGGAAUCCCCCUUCCAACUCCUUGGCCGAAGUCGAGUCUAGACAUUGCGAAACUUUUACUAACAUGGCUGUGUGUCUUAUGGACACACGUCGCCAUUGGGUGGUAGUAGGAUCUUUUACUCCUCGACCUUUACUCUGGGACUCUGAUCUCUCCUCUAUUCGGGUUAAAUGAAGUUUACUAAAUCUAACAUUAGGAUCUCGUUAUCACUUUCACCCGGAGAGCCCCUUAUUACAAAUGAUCGUCUGCUGCACCAGAAGACCCUGAAGAUACUCUCCGCUGUUAACCCGAGAACUUGUGUUCAUCACGUUCGCAAUUCACCUUCCACCGCAAACCCUUAUGGAUAACUACUUGCAUUUGUUAUUCUUACCUUCAUCCCCAGUGGUCUUGUUAUUACAAGAUACCCUGAAAAACUCGUCGUUGUGUCGAUAAUCCCUUGAGCUUACUGCCUUGCUGUUCUUUGUCGCCUGAAUACCCCUACGGUUAAUUGUUGCACUUAUCGAGUAUCCGCUCAUCCCCAGUUGUUCAUGAGUUUCACAAAAGUCUUCAAAAUACUAUUCGAUCUUCCGAAAAUCCUCUGGAGCCUUUGGCUCUUGAAAUUCUUGCUUGACUCGCAUUAUGGUUAAUCCCAUAAGUCUCGUAGUCUUAUUGACAUUCCUCGUCAUUAUCAUUUUGGGUCUAUUGACUCAAUAUGUUGCGAAUGCACGCAAUCAUCAGUCGGAUCCUAGAAUUCAUCCUUCCGGCUCAGACGUCGUUUUAAUCAUGAGCUGGUUCUCGCCAAUUAAAUUGUCGUCGAUUUUGCCCCUAAGUCUAUUGAACUUAUCCAUCCUUGAUCAGAGCGUCUGCUUCUGAUUCUUCGCUUUGUAAACCAUAACCCCUUAGCAAUUGAGCUCUAAGUUAUUCAGUUGUUUCGAUAAUCCAAUGUCUUUGUCUGGCUUCUUCCUCUGGUUGUGUGUCGAUACUCACCCCAGAUCCUUUGCUGGAUUUUAUCCGACAAUGUCCUUCAUAUUCAAUAACCUUGAGCCUUUCCUAGGAUAUAUACCGCGUUUGGUAAAUUGUAUCCUCUACUUUGCCAACCAUGCUCUGCUAUCGAGCUUGUGUUAUUUACUCCUGAAGUUUGUGGUAUAUGUUCCUAGGAGGCCCUGAUGGGUUGGACAUAUGCUUUUCUUUAAACUGUGUGAACCCGGAAACCACUACGGGUCAUACUCUACUAGUGUUAUGUCAGAUAAAAUUUCAACACACAAUUUCAUUGAAGGCGAGAAGUGAAUGAAAGGUUAUGCAUUAAAGAAGUGGGAGUCGACCUUGAACUUUGUGUUCAUGCCCAUGGACACGAUGUAGAUCUUAUCAUUAAAGCUUCUUUUAAAUAAAUUAUUCCUUUGGUAUAAGUUCAUCUUAUAUCUAGGAUCUGGCCCUUUGCAACCGUGGUUCCGACCAUGAUUGUUCUUCUUUGAUCUCAUUUCUCGGACAAGUUAAAACAAUUGUCUUCUAUGGAUCAAUACACUAGUCCCACCUUUACUUUGAUCUUGUGUCGAGUAUUACCCCCCUGGUAUCUCGAGAUUAUCAUGGAACUGCAUAACUCCUUAUGAGUUCUUCAUCAAGUGCUACCUUCCCACUGAUUCAAAUUUUUCGCGGGCUCUGAGUUAUUGAACACUCAAAGACACCGAUAACUAAAUCGAGACCGCUCUUCAGUUCAACAACUCUUCAGUAAGCUUCUAUAAGUACGAGUUUGUACCCGAUCACGCCAUUCCUAGCCUGUUUGGCUAUAUCAUUGUCGUGACGAUUCUAACUCUGCUACCUGGUCCUUAUUCUCGGAGCACCAAUUUUCGACGAUGAGCUAACCUUACGUCGAAUCUCAUCGUCAUAUCAUUUCGCCUUGAACAACAAGCUUGGUUUCGAGUUUGUGUCGUACCCUUGGUUCCAAUAACCUUUCACUUCAUCAUUACUUGACUUGAUGUCGUUACCGAUCGAUUACAUCUUCAUGAACUCUCGCGACAAAGGUGUCGUGAUCAUCAACAUUCUGAGCUCAUCUAGGAUAUCAAUUGAAUUCAUGAUGAGAAAUAACAUCCUUGCCCUCGAUGAAUUGUAUUAUCAUCGACCACUUUAUUGCCUUCCCACCAACACAAGCCUGUUCAUGCUUGGUGUUAUACCUUGAGUUCCUUGCUACCCAGCAUUUGAUCUUCCUUACCUCGGAAGUAUUACCAUCUCUUUUUGUCAAGAAUGUGGUGGGAAUUUCACCACCUCUUAAUAAUUCUUGAUAUCAUAAUACUACUUGCCAUCUUCGUUCAUUCCUUGGUCCCCGUAUUGUUUUCAACCGGAAUACCGACAAUGGAGCUAUGACGUGUGAAUUCAAAACUUCUAGCAACCCUAUUGCUUUGAAGUGAAUGGGCGAUAGUUCAUUCUAAGUCCUUCGCUAAUUGAGUCACCAUUCUGACAUUGGUCGUGCAACCCAACCCAUAUUUCGGGCGCACCUUUCAACCAAUGUUUAAUUGUGUAUGUUUUCCUCGAGCAUACUUCCUUAUAUCAUUUGAUCUGACAAAUGUUAUCUCCUUGUUCACUUAAUGGUGGAAAUCCAUCUUUUGGGAAUCUCGGUGAAUUGCCGCUGAGUUCACCAGACACCUCCUUGUCCUCUCCUUGGGUUAAUGAUGAACUCUUGUUAACGGAAGUCACUUCAUAGUUCAUUUCCCGAGAAUCUUACAGUGUCAUCCCGUCAAUUGGUGUUGCACCUUUCUUCUCAGGCAUCCUGAGCCUGAGGUAUCCUGACACCAAUCAUACCUGAAUCUCCGUCAGAUAUGAUGGUUAGGACAACUUUCCAAGAGUUAUGAUAUUGAUCCUUUGAUGACCCGGUAANNNNNNNNNNCCUCAUUUCGCUGUCGGCGCCGUCCGUACGCCGCUCGCCUCCCGCGCCGCUACCCCGCUGCUGCGCGCUUGCUCUGCUCCCGUCGCUCGCUCGCCCGGGGCACGCUCCGGCCUCCCCGGCCACGCGCCCGCCUGGGCCUCGGCUGCCCAGGGCCGUGGCUCCGCAGCCCGCGCUAGGCCAUGCCCCGUCCGCUGUCGUGCUCCUUCCCCCUCCCCCUCGUGCGCCGCCACCACUACCUCCCGCUCCUCGCGGCCACCUCCGCCGCCUAGCCUCACCGCGCGGCCCUGCUCCGGCUGUGGUCACGGCUGCCGGCGCCAGGCCGCGCCCCCCCCUUCGCUUGCUACCCCGUAGCGCCCCGCCGGGCGGGCAGGCGCUCGUCGCCCGGCUCCGCCCAUAGCCGUAUCCGCUGCCCGUCGCCCGCUAUGGCCCUGGGCCACUGGACAACAGGGCCCACGCCCUUUAGAACAGAAAAAAAAGAAAUUAAAAAAUAAAUAAAUAAUAAUAAUAAAAAAAAUAAAGUAAAAAUAAAUAUAUUAAAUAAAUAAAUAACAACUAAGAUAAUUAAAACAUUAAUUAAUUAAUUAAUUAAGUAAUUAAUUAAGUUAAUUAAUCCUGAUUAGAUUAACCUAAUCACUAAUUAAACUAACUAAUCUGUAAUUAAACUAAACAGAGAAUGACAGGUGGGUCCCACUGGACCCAGACGUCAGGUUGACCAGGUCAAUGGUCAACGUUGACUGCUGACAUCACCCUGAUGUCAUGCUGACGUCAGCAUUUACUAUUCUGGAUAAUGUUGGAUUAAAUAAUUAAUUAAAUUCCAGAAAUUAAUAAAAUCUUUAGAAAAUCAUAUCUUUUAAUCCGUAACUCGGAUUAAAAUAUUUUCAACAUGAAAGUUGCUCAGAACGACGAGACGAAUCCGGAUACGCAGUCCGUUCAUCCGCCACACACCCCUAACCUAUCGAACCCGCAACUUUCCCCCUCCGGUUCAUCUGUCCGAAAACACGAAAAACCGGGAAUACUUUCCCGGAUGUUUCCCCCCUUCGUCGGUAUCACCGACUACCGCGAUUGGGCACACCUAGCAUUGUUACUUGUCAUGUCAUGCAUCGAUAUGCAUUUGUUUGCAUUGUAUUCAUUGUUCCUUCCCCCUCUUCUCUCCGGUAGACUACGAGACCAACGCUGCUGCUGACCAGUUCGACUACGGAGUUGACGACCUCUCUCUCUUGCCAGAGCAACCAGGCAAGCCCCCCCCUUUGAUCACCAGAUAUCGCCUAUUCUCCUCUAUACUGCUUGCAUUAGAGUAGUGUAGCAUGUUACUGCUUUCAUUAAUCCUAUUCUGAUGCAUAGCCUGACAUUGUCGCUACAUCUGUUGAUACCUUACCUGCAAUCCUAAAUACUUAGUAUAGGAUGCUAGUUUAUCAUUGUUGGCCCUACCUUCGUGUCAGUCUGCCUUGCUAUAAUAUUGGGCCGUGAUCACUCGGGAGGUGAUCACGGGUAUAUACUAUACAUACAUACAUACUAUACAGAUGGUGACUAAAGUCGGGUCAGCUCGAAGAGUACCCGCGAGUGAUUCACGGAUUGGGGGCUGAAAGGACCUUUGUCCCGACGGCCCUCUGUGUGGAUCUUUGUGGCGGAGCGACAGGACAGGUUGAGACCGCCUAGGAGAGAGGUGGGCCUGGCCCUGUUCGGCGUUCGCAGACACUUAACACGCUUAACGAGAUCUUGGUAUUUGAUCUGAGUCUGGCUACGAGCCUAUACGCACUAACCAUCUACGUGGGAGUAGUUAUGGGUAUCCCGACGUCGUGGUAUCAGCCGAAGCACUUCAGACGUCAGCGACGGAGCGGCGCGCGCCGGAUUGGAACGUAAGCCUGCUCUUGUAUUAAGGGGGCUAGUUCUGCUUUCGGCCGCCCUCGCAACGUGCAGGUGUGCUAUGGGCGAUGGGCCCAGACCCCUGUGCGCUUAGGUUUAGACCGGCGUGCUGGCCUCUCUGUUUUGCCUAGGUGGGGCUGCGACGUGUUGAUCUUCCGAGGCCGGGCAUGACCCAGGAAAGUGUGUCCGGCCAAAUGGGAUCGAGCGUGUUGGGUUAUGUGGUGCACCCCUGCAGGGAAGUUAAUCUAUUCGAAUAGCCGUGAUCUUCGGUAACAGGACGACUUGGAGUUGUACCUUGACCUUAUGACAACUAGAACCGGAUACUUAAUAAAACACACCCUUCCAAGUGCCAGAUACAACCGGUGGUCGCUCUACCUCAGGGAUAUGAGGAGGGGAUCGCCGGGUAGGAUUAUGCUAUGAGAUGCUACUUGGAGAUUCUACUUGGAGGACUUCAAUCUACUCUCUUCUACUUGAUGCAAGACGGUGGCUGCGAGAAGCGUAGUCUUCGACAAGAUUAGCUAUCCCCCUCUUAUUCUGGCAUUCUGCAGUUCAGUCCACUGAUAUGGCCUCCUUACACAUAUACCCAUGCAUAUGUAGUGUAGUUCCUUGCUUGCGAGUACUUUGGAUGAGUACUCACGGUUGCUUUCUUUCCUCUUUUCCCCUUUCCUUUCUUUCUGGUUGUCGCAACCAGAGGCUGGAGUCCAGGAGCCAGAUGCCACCGUCGACGACGACCCCUACUACACCGGAGGUGCCUACUACUACGUGCAGCCCGCUGACGACGACCGGGAGUAGUUUAGGAGGAUCCCAGGCAGGAGGCCUGCGCCUCUUUCGAUCUGUAUCCCAGUUUGUGCUAGCCUUCUUAAGGCAAACUUGUUUAACUUAUGUCUGUACUCAGGUAUUGUUGCUUCCGCUGACUCGUCUAUGAUCGAGCACUUGUAUUCGAGCCCUCGAGGCCCCUGGCUUGUAUUAUGAUGCUUGUAUGACUUAUUUUAUUUGUAGAGUUGUGUUGUGAUAUCUUCCCGUGAGUCCCUGAUCUUGAUCGUACACAUUUGCGUGCAUGAUUAGUGUACGAUUGAAUUGGGGGCGUCACAUCCCACCACUGGCCAGGCCAAUCCCUCCACUCACCCACACCCCAUGUUAUUCUGCGGCGACGGCAGCCUCACACCACAGCCGAACAAGUGAACGCUCGUACUCCUCUCCGCGUGGGCAUCCACUUCCGCAUCUUGCACGGCUCCGCGUCGUCCCCUUCCUAGGCCUCACCGUCGUCCACCGCCAUGGUCAAUGUGGUCAACGACCGACUUCCAUCGGAAGAGUACUGUACGUGGAGUGGCUGACAGCUGGGUCCACGACAGCCGCAAGGAAGUGCCUCCUUAUUACGCGGAAAAUAUUUAUUCCUCCACCUGACAGCGGGGACCCACCGGACGGGCCACCAGUAUUUUGCGAAAAAAAUCGUUUCCCCCUGACUACUGGGACCCACCGGAUGGGCCACCGUAUUUCGCGAAAAAAUGUCCCCCCCGCUGUCAGCUCGGACCCACUGGAAGUGCCUCCUUAUUACGCACAAAAAAAUGAAUACUCCCCCGGCUAGCUGGGAGGCUGACUUGUGGGCAUACUAAGUUGACAGGGACGAAGGGCUUUGUCAACUUAGUCAAUAUGAAUGAUUCUAGCUCCAGUGACCGUACGAUGUCCAUCCAACGGCCGUAGUGCUUCUUCAACCUCUGGUCUUCUUGCUCCAGCCGCCCAAAGCAGCGCCGGUCGUGCCGCAUGCUCCUGCCUCCCAUGGCCGGCUGUGCUGCCGCAGAGGCCUCGCCGCCCCCUACUAUUCCCACCGCUGGCCAGGCCCUGCAGCGACGGCAGCCUCACACCGCAGCCGAACCAGUGAACCCUCGUAGUCCUCUCCGCGCGGGCUUCCACUGCCGUGUCGUCCCCUUCCUAGGCCUCGCCGUCGUCCACCGCCGUGGUGCUCUCCGCGUGGCAUGGUCAACGUGGUCAAGGAACGACUUCCAUCGGAAGAGUACUGUACGUGGAGAGGCUGACAGCUGGGUCCACGGCCACAUCCCAUUUUUUUGUGGUUUGCCAAGUAAGUCGCUUUGUUAGGCCUGUUGGGCUGCAAUUCUUUCAAGACGGGGAGAGCUUUCAUUCGGCUAGCCAAGAAAAUGGUCCAUCAAUAAUGAGAAAUGGGUUGUACAUUUUUAAAACACAUCAAACCAACAAUUAGUUUCAAAUAUCUUUUUUUUCAUUUCAAGAUUUUAAAUUACAUUAAUUUUUAUGCGUGGAGAAUUUGUUGGAUUUUAUAUUGAUAUACAUUUAUUUUUAAAAUCAGUUUGAAUGUGAGUCGAAAUUUCGGGAUUAAAAACAGUUCGGACCACACCGAAAUAUGCAAAAAUUCGCAUAAUUUUUUAACAGUUGCCACAAUAUGGGCUGUAAUGCUAACAAAAAGAAUACGGGCUCCAAAAAAACCUUAAGAAUUAGCAAAUGGGCUGUAAAUUAUUAGAAAUAAUGACAGAUGGGCUGUAUGCUGUUUUCCACAGAUUUGAGGCUUUCCUAAAAAAAGGUUGACGCACAAGCACUGACUGUUGGAUGUCCAUCCAACGGCCGUUUGCUUCUUCAAUCUCUGCUCUUCCUGCUCCAGCCGCUCAAACAAGCGCCGACGGGACUGCCUGCUCCCUCCUCCUCGCGGCCGGCUGUGCUGCCGCGCAUGCCUCACCGCCCGACCGUACUCCCAUCGCUGGCCUAGCCAUCCCUCUACUCACCCACACCUGCUGUUAUUCUUCGGCGACGGUAGACGAACCAGUAAACCCUCGUACAGUCGUACUCCCCUCCGCGUGGGAAACAACUGCCGAGUCUUCCCUGCCUCCGUGUCGUCCCCUUCCUAGGCCUUGCCGUCGUCCACCGCCCUGGUGCUCUCGGCGCGGCCUAGUCAACGUGGUCAACGACCGACAUGCAUCUGAAGUGGACUUUACAAGGAGAGGCCGACAGCUGGGUCCACGGCCGCACGCAAGGAAAUGCCUCCUUAUUAUGCGCAAAAUAAUGAUUCCUCCACCUGACAUCAGGGACCCACCGAAAGGGCCUCUGUAUUUCACGAAAAAACGUUACGGCCGCUGACAGCUCGGACCCACCAGCUAUAUCUACGCACGCAAGGAAGUGCCUCCUUAUUACGCACAAAAAAAUGAAUACCCCCCUGUUUGCUGGGACCCAGUAUAGUGGCAGGCUGACUUGUGGGCCUACUAAGUUGACGGGGACGGAGGGCUUUGUCAACUUAGUCAAUAUGCACGAUUCUAGCUCCAGUGACCGUACGUUGUCCAUCCAACGGUUGUAGUGCUUCUUCAACCUCUGGUCUUCUUGCUCCAGCCGCCCAAACCAGCGUCGGUUGUGCCUCGUGCUCCUGCCUCCCGUGGCCGGCUGCAAUGCAGCGGAGGCCUCACCGCCCCCUACUACUCCCACUGCUGGCCAGGCCAUCCCUCUACUCACCCACACCCCCUAUUAUUCUACGGUGAUGGCAGCCUCACACCGCAGCGAACCAGUGAACCCUCGUACUCCUCUACGCGUGGGCAUCCACUGCCGCGUCUUCCCCGGCUCUGCAUUAUCCCCUUCCUAGGCCUCGUCGUCGUCCACCACCCUGGUGCUCUCAGCGCGGAGUGGUCAACGUGGUCAAGGAACAGCUUCCAUCGGACAUGGACUGUACGUGGAGAGGCUGACAGCUGGGUCCACGACCGUAGCAAGGAAGUGCCUCCUUAUUACGUGCAAAAUAAUUAUUCCUCCACCUGACAGCGGGACCCAUCGGACGGGCCACCGUAUUUCGCCCCCCUGACUGCUGGGACCCACCAGCUACAUCUUCACACACAAGGAAGUGCCUGACAGUCGGGACCCACCUGGUCGAAGCGUACGUAGCGUUGUCAUUCUGGUCGCGAACGUGUAUGUACAUAUAUACUGGUCGAUGUAGAGGCACGCACGUGUCGUAGUAGAGGCGGCCAGGGUGCAAGAAAGAAAAUAAGGCCACGUAUGUGUACAUACGGGCGGGGUCUCGAACGCCUACUUGCGCAUACGUACGGCCAGGGCUCGUGUACAUGGCUGGGUCGAAACGGAGAAACAGCGUCAUCGUCGUGUUCAUGGGGAGGCAACGGAAUGCGUCGUGUUCAUAGGGAGGCAACGGAAUGUGUCAUGUUCAUGGGGAGGAAACGGAAUGCGUCGUGUUCAUCGGGAGGGCUUGGAUGGAACAUGCGAUGGAAACGAGGCCUGGCGUACCACAGAAUGGAGGAAACGACCUUGUGUUUGACUGGCCACGUUCGAAAUGGGAUCCUGUUCAUCGGGAGGGGUCUGGCGUACCGCAAAACGGAGGAAACAGACCUCCUACGGCCGAAAUGGGGGUCCUGUUGAUCGGGAGGGGUGUGGCGUACCGCAAAACAGACGAAACGGACUUGUGUUGGAGCGCUAUGGUCGAAACGGGGGUCCUGUUCAUCGGGAGGGGUGUGGCGUACCGCAAAACGGGACUCCACGGGAUACUGUUCAUCUCCACCGUCGACCCCCUCCAGCCUCCACGAGCUACUGUUCAUCCACCGUUGACCUCCUCCAGCCUCCACCUGCGACUGAUCAUCCACGGGCUCCUGUUCAUCCAGCCUCCACCGCGCGCAACUCCACCGGCUACUGUUCAACCAGCCCUCUCCAUGGGCUCCUGUUCAACCACCCCUCCAUGGGCUACUGUUCAUCCCGCCCUCCACCUUCUAUUGUUCAUCCUGCCCUCCACGGGGUGGUCCUGUUCAUCCAGCCCUCCAUGGGGUCCUGUUCAUCCAGCCCCAACCAGCUCGAUUGAUCGAGGUCCUGUUCAUCCAGAGGCAACACCACGGGGUCUUGUUCAUCCACCCCUACCGGCAACUGUUCAUCCAAACCCCCCGCAACGCUCACUGUUCAUCCAGAGGCAGCAUCAAUCGGCUUCAGUUAGCAGCAGUAGCGAAGGAAUCGCUCGAUCGGGUUCAGUUAACAGCCAUCGAUCGAUCGCUCGGGUUCAGUAACACGUAGCCUGCAGUGCAAUCGCUCGGGUUCAGUUAGAGCCCAACGCCUCACUCGGGUUCAGUUAGAGCGUACGUGUACGAGAGAAACGCGCAUCGCUCGGCCCCCGACCUCCCACCGUAACCGGGAACUCCCCAAAAUUUUUGUCCCCCUCGCUUCUACCAUAGUUUUUUCUGUCAUGGACGGCCCAUAGAAUGUCAUGCAGCUGCGUCUCCGGCCCGCCCAGGACGAAAAGCCCAUUUUCUGUCAUAGAAGUAGGAGCUCACCACAUCUAUGAUGAUACCGGGUUUUGUCACAAUUAUCGUCAUAGAAGUGUCACAUGUAUGACAGAAAAAAAUUUCGUUCGGCCCAAAAUGUCACGGAUGUGUCUUUUUUUGUAGUGUUAGUAACACGGGUGAUGUAAUCGAAUGUCUUUGUGAUCUAACUGAUCCAAACAUCGAACGUACGGCACCUCCAUGUUCAUCACAUGUUCAGCUCAAUGACGUCCCUUGAUCUCUUGAUCCAGUUGAGGACGAGGGAGAGUUCCGUUAGCACAACGGCGUGGUGACGGUGAUGAUGAAGUUACCGACGCAGGGCUUCGCCUAAGCACUACGACGAUAUGACCGAGGUGUGUAACUAUGGAGGGGGGCACCACACACGGCCAAGAGAAGUCUUGGUGUGUCUUUGGGGUGCCUCCUCCCACGUAUAUAAAGGGGGGAGGAGAGGUGGUCGGCCCAANNNNNNNNNNNNNNNNNNNNNNNNNNNNNNNNNNNNNNNNNNNNNNNNNNNNNNNNNNNNNNNNNNNNNNNNNNNNNNNNNNNNNNNNNNNNNNNNNNNNNNNNNNNNNNNNNNNNNNNNNNNNNNNNNNNNNNNNNNNNNNNNNNNNNNNNNNNNNNNNNNNNNNNNNNNNNNNNNNNNNNNNNNNNNNNNNNNNNNNNNNNNNNNNNNNNNNNNNNNNNNNNNNNNNNNNNNNNNNNNNNNNNNNNNNNNNNNNNNNNNNNNNNNNNNNNNNNNNNNNNNNNNNNNNNNNNNNNNNNNNNNNNNNNNNNNNNNNNNNNNNNNNNNNNNNNNNNNNNNNNNNNNNNNNNNNNNNNNNNNNNNNNNNNNNNNNNNNNNNNNNNNNNNNNNNNNNNNGUACUCCAGAAAAUGCCCGAACCUUUUCAAAACCAUUCCGGUGUCCAAACAUAACCUUCCAAUAUAUCAAUCUUUAUGUCUCGACCAUUUCGAGACUCCUCGUCAUGUCUGUGAUCUCAUCCGGGGCUCCGAACAAACUCCGGUUCAUCAAAUCACAUAACUCAUAAUACAAAUCAUCAUUGAAUGUUAAGCGUGCGGACCCUACGGGUUCGAGAACUAUGUAGACAUGACUGAGACACAUCUCCGGUCAAUAACCAAUAGCGGAACUUGGAUGCUUGAUAACCCACAAGUAUAGGGGAUUGCAACAGUUUUCGAGGGUAAAGUAUUCAACCCAAAUUUAUAGAUUCGACACAAGGGGAGCCAAAGAAUACUCUCAAGUAUUAGCAGCUGAGUUGUCAAUUCAACCACACCUGGAAAAUUAGUAUGUGCAGCAAAGUAUUUAGUAGCAAAGUAAUAUGAUAGUAGUGGUAACGGUAGCAAAAGGUAACAGUAGUAAAAGUAAUGUUUUUGGAAUUUCGUAGUGAUGAUAGCAAUAGCAACAGGAAAGUAAAUAAGCGCAGAACAAUAUAUGGAAAGCUCGUAGGUAAUGGAUCGAUGAUGGAGAAUUACGCCAGAUGCGGUUCAUCAUGUAACAGUCAUAACCUAGGGUGACACAGAACUAGCUCCAGUUCAUCAAUGAAUGUAGGCAUGUAUUCCGAAUAUAGUCAUACGUGCUUAUGGAAAAGAACUUGCAUGACAUCUUUUGUCCUACCCUCCCAUGGCAGCGGGGUGAUAACCCACAAGUAUAGGGGAUCACAACAGCUUUCGAGGGUAGAGUAUUCAACCCAAAUUUAUUGAUUCGACACAAGGGGAGCCAAAGAAUAUUAUCAAGUAUUAGCAGCUGAGUUGUCAAUUCAACAACACUUGGAAAACUUAGUAUCUGCAGGAAAGUGUUUACUAGCAAAAUAAUAUGAUAGUGGUGGUAGCGGCAACAAAAGUAAAGACAUCAAAAGUAAUGUUUUUGGUAUUUUGUAGUGAUUGUAACAGUAACAGCGGGAAAGUAAAUAAGCGAGAACCAGUAUAUGGCAAACUCAUAGGCACCGGAUCAGUGAUGGAUAAUUAUGCCGGAUGCGGUUCAUCAUGUAACAGUCAUAACAUAGGGUGACACAGAACUAGCUCCAAUUCAUCAAUGUAAUGUAGGCUUGUAUUCCGUAUAUAGUCAUACGUGCUUAUGGAAAAGAACUUGCAUGCCAUCUUUUGUCCUACCCUCCCGUGGCAGCGGGGUCCUAUUGGAAACUAAGGGAUAUUAAGGCCUCCUUUUAAUAGAGAACCGGAACAAAGCAUUAGCACAUAGUGAAUACAUGAACUCCUCAAACUAUGGUCAUCACCGGGAGUGGUCCCGAUUAUUGUCACUUCAGGGUUGCCGGAUCAUAACACAUAGCAGGUGACUAUAGACUUGCAAGAUAGGAUAAAGAACUCACAUAUAUUCAUGAAAACAUAAUAGGUUCAGAUCUGGAAUAAUGGCACUCGGGCCCUAGUGACAAGCAUUAAGCAUAGCAAAGUCAUAGCAACAUCAAUCUCAGAACAUAAUGAAUACUAGGGAUCAAACCCUAACAAAACUAACUUGAUUACAUGAUAAAUCUCAUCCAACCCAUCUCCGUCCAGCAAGCCUACGAUGCAAUUACUCACACACGGCAGUGAGCAUCAUGAAAUUGGUGAUGGAGGAUGGUUGAUGAUGACGACGGCAACGAAUCCCCCUCUCCGGAGCCCCGAAUGGACUCCAGAUCAGCCCUCCCGAGAGGUUUUAGGGCUUGGCGGCGGCUCCGUAUCGUAAAACGCGAUGAAUUCUUCUCUCUGAUUUUUUCUCCCCGAAACACAAUAUAUAGAGUUGGAGUUGGAGUCGGAGGAGCUCCAGGGGGCCCACGAGGUAGGGGGCGCGCCCUAGGGGGGCAGGCGCACCUCCCACCCUCGUGGACAGGUGGUGGGCCCCUUGGCCUUCAUCUUUUGCAGGUAUUUUUUAUAUUUUCCAAGAAGUUGCUCCGUGAAGUUUCAGGUCAUUCCGAGAACGUUUGUUUCUGCACAUAAAUAACAUCAUGGUAAUUCUGCUGAAAACAACAUCAGUCUGGGUUAGUUCCAUUCAAAUCAUGUAAGUUAGAGUUCAAAACAAGGGCAAAAGUGUUUGGAAAAGUAGAUACGAUGGAGACGUAUCAACUCCCCCAAGCUUAAACCUUUGAUUGUCCUCAAGCAAUUCAGUUGACAAACUGAAAGUGAUAAAGAAAAAGUUUUACAAACUCUGUUUGCUCUUGUUGUUGUAAAUAUGUAAAGCCAACAUUCAAGUUUUCAGCAAAGAUUAUAACUAACAACAUUUGCAAUAACGCUCAGGUCUCAAGUUUACUCAUAUCAACAACAUAAUCAACUAGCGAGCAAUAAUAAUAAAUCUCGGAUGACAACACUUUCUCAAAACAAUCAUAAUAUGAUAUAACAAGAUGGUAUCUCGCUAGCCCUUUCUGAGACCGCAAAACAUAAAUGCAGAGCACCUUUAAAGACCAAGCACCGACUAGACAUUGUAAUUCAUGGUAAAAGAACUUGAUAACACAUAGCAGGUGACUAUAGACUUGCAAGAUAGGAUCAAGAACUCACAUAUAUUCAUGAAAACAUAAUAGGUUCAGAUCUGGAAUAAUGGCACUCGGGCCCUAGUGACAAGCAUUAAGCAUAGCAAAGUCAUAGCAACAUCAAUCUCAGAACAUAAUGAAUACUAGGGAUCAAACCCUAACAAAACUAACUUGAUUACAUGAUAAAUCUCAUCCAACCCAUCUCCGUCCAGCAAGCCUACGAUGCAAUUACUCACACACGGCAGUGAGCAUCAUGAAAUUGGUGAUGGAGGAUGGUUGAUGAUGACAACGGCAACGAAUCCCCCUCUCUGGAGCCCCGAAUGGACUCCAGAUCAGCCCUCCCGAGAGGUUUUAGGGCUUGGCGGCGGCUCCUAUCGUAAAACAUGAUGAUUUCUUCUCUCUUAUUUUUUUCUCUCCGAAAGCAAAUAUAUAGAGUUGGAGUUGGCAUCAGAGGGUUUCCAAGGGGCCCACAAGGUAGGGGGCGUGCCCUAGGGGGGGGGUGCCCCCCACCCUCGUGAGAAGGGUGUGGGCCCCCUGGUCUUCAUCUUUGGUGAGGAUUUUUUAUUGUUUUUUCUAAGAUGUUCCGUGGAGUUUCAGGUCAUUCCAAGAAUAUUUGUUUUCUGCACAUAAAACAACACCAUGGCAAUUCUGCUGAAAACAGCGUCAGUCCGGGUUAGUUCCAUUCAAAUCAUACAAGUUAGAGUCCAAAACAAGGGCAAAAGUGUUUGGAAAAGUAGAUACAACGGAGACGUAUCAACUCCCCGAAGCUUAAACCCUUGCUUGUCCUCAAGCAAUUCAGUUAACAAACUAAAAGAAAGAAAGAAAAACUUUUACAAACUCUGUUUGCUCUUGUUGUUGUAACUAUGUCAAGCCAGCAUUCAAGUUUUCAUCAUAGAUCAUAACUAACCACAUUUGCAAUAAUUCUCAGGUCUCGCAAUUACUCAUAUCAAUAGCAUAAUCAACUAGCAAGUCAUAAUAAUAAAUCUCGGAUGACAACACUUUCUCAAAACAGUCAUAAUAUGAUAUAACAAGAUGGUAUCUCGCUAGCCCUUUCUGAGACCGCAAAACAUAAAUGCAGAGCACCUUUAAAUAUCAAGGACUGACUAGACAUUGUAAUUCAUGGUAAAAGAGAUCCAAUCAUAGUAAUACCCAAUAUAAAUUAACAGUGAUGAAUGCAAAUGACGGAUGCGCUCUCCAGCUAGUGCUUUUUAAUAAGAGGGUGAUGACUCAAUAUAAAAUUAAAUGGAUAGGCCCUUCGCAGAGGGAAGCAGGGAUUUCUAGAGGUGCCAGAGCUCGGUUUUGAAAUAGAGAUAAAUUGUAUUUUGAGCGGUAUACUUUCAUUGUCAACGUAACAACUAAGAGAUGGCGAUAUCUUCCAUGAUAAGCACAUUAUAGGCGGUUCCCAAACAGAAUGGUAAAGUUUAUACUCCCCCUCCACCAACAAGCAUCAAUCCAUGGCUUGCUCGAAACAAUGAGUGCCUCCAACAUACAUCAGGUCCCAGGGGGAGUUUUAUUUGCAAUUAAUUUUGAUUUAGUUUGCAUAAAGCAUGGGACUGGGCAUCCCGGUGACCAGCCAUUUUCUCGUGAGUGAGGAGCGGAGUCCACUCCUCUUGAGAAUAACCCGCCUAAAACAGAAGAUAAGAACAACAUUUGUUGAUACAUGAGCUAUUCGAGCAUACAAAACAGAAUGUUUAUUUGAAGGUUUAGAGUUUGGCACAGACAAAUUUACUUGGAACGGCAGGUAGAUACCGCAUAUAGGAAGGUAUGGUGGACUCAUCUGGAAUAACUUUGGGGUUUAAGGGAUUGGAUGCACAAGCAGUAUUCCUGCUUAGUACAAGUGAAGGCUAGCAAAAGACUGGGAAGCGACCAACUAGAGAGCGACAACAACCAUGUACAUGUAUUAAAAUUAAUAAACAUUGGAUGCAAGCAUGAGUAGGAUAUAAUCCACCAUGAACAUAAAUAUUGUGAAGGCUAUGUUGAUUUGUUUCAACAACAUGCGUGAACAUGUGCCAAGUCAAGUCACUUAAAUCAUUCAAAGGAGGAUACCACCCCAUCAUACCACAUCAUAAUCAUCUCAAUAGCAUGUUGGCACACAAGGUAGACCAUUAUAACUCAUAGCUAAUCAAGCAUGGCACAAUCAACUAUGAUCUCUAAUUGUCAUUGCAAACAUGUUUAUUCAUAAUAAGGUGAAUCAAGAAUGAGGGACUCAUCAUAUUUACAAAAACAAAAGAGGUCGAGUUCAUACCAGCUUUUCUCAUCUCAGUCAGUCCAUCAUAUAUCAUCAUAAUUGCCUUUCACUUGCACGACCGAACGGUGUGAAUAAUAAUAAGAGUGCACGUGCAUUGGACUAAGCUGGAAUCUGCGAGCAUUCAAUAAACGUGAGAAGACAAGGCAAUAUGGGCUCUUGGUUAAAUCAACAAUAAUGCGUAUAAGAGCCACUUCAACAAUUUAAUUAUGGUCUUCUCCUACUGACCCCCAAAUAAAAGAAAAGAAAUAAAACUAUUUACAUGGGAAAUCUCCCAAGAAGCAAAAAGAAGAACGGGAAAUAUUUUUGGGUUUUCUUUUUAAUUAUUACUACUACAGCAGAAAAAAAUAAACUACUACUAAUAUUUUUUUGUUUUUCUUAAGGUUUAACAAACACACAAGAAGAAAGCAGGAAAAAGAAAAUAAACUAGCAUGGAUAUUACAUUGAAAAAGUAUGAGCACCGACAUCUAGCAAUGAGUGUGUGAACAUAAAUGUAAUGUUGGUGAGAAAUACGUACUCCCCCAAGCUUAGGCUUUUGGCCUAAGUUGGUCUAUGGCCAUGGCUGGCCUGGCGGAUAUCCAUAAUAAUAGUUAUUGGGGUCGUACUGUGAUGAGAAAGAAUAGUUGGGAUCAUACUGUGAUGAAUAAGAAGACUCUGACUGCCACUGGCUGACAGUCAUCUCUGGAUCCCAAGAGUAAACAGAUUGUCGUGGAGGUUCAUCUUGUGGUUCCUGUUCCGGGGCUGGUGCAGGAUUCUUGUAAGCUUGGACGGCAGCCCACGUAACGAGGUAGGGUCCUACAAAAUUAAACAAAGAAGGAGCGGGCAAUGUAAUAGUUUCAGGAUGAUGUUUGUUAAAGAACAAUUGAUACUUAAGCUCUCCUGCCCUAUUCUUAACAAUAAAAUCAUGUGCCACCAUACUUUUAUGAUCUAGAUAAACACGGGGCAGCACCUUUUCUUCCUUCUCAGCAUGCCUAAUAGGUAUGUUAAAAUGUGCAGCUAGGCUUGUGGCAUAGACGCCUCCAAAGAUGGGACCCUUAGUAUAGUUCAUACUUAACUGUCUAGCAAUAAUACCGCCCAUACUAAAAGUGUUAUCACUAUAUAAAUCGUGGUGCAGAAUAAUUAUAUCAGGGAUACUAAGGUUUCCACUGUUUCCGCGUGCAAUUAAACAACGACUAGCAAAUAAUGCAAAGUAGCGUAAAACAGAAAAAUGUAUGCUAGUGAUUCGUGCAUCGGAAACCUUUCUAGUUUCUCCUACAGUGAUAGUAUCAAUAAACCCAGCCACAUCAUCAUGAUGUGGUUCUUCUGUCUUGCCCUCAAAAGGGAUUAAACAAAUCCGACAGAAAUCAUAAAGUGACAUCUCCUUAUGCUCAUCAUAUAAAUGAAACUCCACCGUAGGUGGUGAGUUUCUAGAAUGAAAAUGAAAGUUUUGCACAAAAGUAUUUGUGAGUAAGAGAUACUGAUCGCAUUGGUUGUGGAGGAAAGCGGUGAGGCUUGUGUUGUGAGCCAAUUCAUGAAAAUCUUCAUAGAUACCGGCUGCUCUCAAGAAAUCUUCAGAAGGCCAUUCACACGCCCGAAUCUCCGUGGUGCGCGGCAAAUUAUACUUAGGCUUCGGUGCCUUUUCCUUCGAGCUUUGGCUCGAUGAGCCCCUCAAAAAUCUCCUCAUUAUUUUUCUGAAAUAAUCUGAAAUUUUUAGUAACUUCAAACAAAAAUGAACCAACUUCAAUAAUAUUGAUAGCAACUACUCCUACAAGUGCCUAGAGCCUAUAUCAAGCAUUAGAACUACCUGGAACCAUAUAAAUUUGACAUGCAAGCUCAAGAACAUGGUCACCUAUGCAGCACAAAUUUGCAAAGAAUAAAGCACUAGAACAAAAACUAAUUGGAGCAAUCGAGGAGCCACAUACUAAGGAACAAUCUCCCCAAGCAGUUUUGCGAGAGGUGCUUUGAGCAAGGAGAUCGAAAAUCACAGCAAAAGUGGCUGGAACUCGUGCUUGGGUUGGUUUUUCGGGUUUGUGUGAGACAGAGGAAGAAGAUGGGUGCUGGGAUAACUGGAGGACGGCCACCAUGGGCCCACGAGGCAGGGGGGCGCACCCUAGGGGAGGGGGCGCGCCCACCACCCUCGUGGCCAGGUGGCAUCUCCUCCCGCGGUAAUUUUUGCACAUUAAAUCCUCAAAUAUUCCCGAAAAAUCAUAUUAAAUUGGCAUGUCAUUCUGAGGACUUUUAUUUUCGGGAUAUUUUUAUAUUGCACGGAUAAGUCAGGAAACAGACAGAAAAUACUAUUUUUACUUUAUUUAAUAUAAAUAACAGAAAGUAAAAGUGGGGUACAGGAGGUUGUGCUUCUAGUUUCAUCCAUCUCAUGCUCAUCAAAAAGAAUCCACUAACAAGGUUGAUCAAGUCUUGUUAACAAACUUGUUCCGAUAAUCACGAAACCGGAGAAAUUUCAAAUAACACUAAGUUACCUCAAAGGGGAUAUGCACAUCCCCUAUAAUAAGUAUAUCAUAUUUCUUCUUGACAGUAGGAAGAGGAAAUUCAAAACCUCCAAAUAUAAUCGAUGGAAUUUUUCCAAUAGAGUUGAUACUAUGAACUUGAGGUUGUUUCCUCGGAAAGUGUACCGUAUGCUCAUUACCAUUAACAUGAAAAGUGACAUUGCCUUUGUUGCAAUCAAUAACAGCACCUGCAGUAUUAAGAAAAGGUCUUCCAAGAAUAAUAGACAUACUAUCAUCCUCGGGAAUAUCAAGUAUAACAAAGUCCGUUAAAAUAGUAACGUUUGCAACCACAACAGGCACAUCCUCACAAAUACCGACAUGUAUAGCAGUUGAUUUAUCAGCCAUUUGCAAAGAUAUUUCAGUAGGUGUCAACUUAUUCAAGUCAAGUCUACGAUAUAAAGAGAGAGGCAUAACACUAACACCGGCUCCAAGAUCACAUAAAGCAGUUUCAAUAUAAUUUCUUUUAAUGGAGCAAGGUAUAGUAGGUACUCCGGGGUCUCCAAGUUUCUUUGGUAUUCCACCCUUAAAAGUAUAAUUAGCAAGCAUGGUGGAAAUCCCAGCUUUCGGUAUUUUUCUUUUAUUAGUAAUGAUAUCCUUCAUAUAUUUAGCAUAAGGAUUUUUUGAGCACAUCAGUUAACCGCAUACGCAAAAAGAUAGGCCUAAUCAUUUCAGCAAAGCGCUCAAAAUCCUCAUCAUCCUUUUUCUUGGAUGGUUUCGGAGGAAAAGGCAUGGGUUUCUGAACCCAAGGUUCCCUUUCUUUACCAUGUUUCCUAGCAACAAAGUCUCUUUUAUCAUAACGUUGAUUCUUUGAUUGUGGGUUAUCAAGAUCAACAGCAGGUUCAAUUUCUACAUCAUUAUCAUUACUAGGUUGAGCAUCAUCAUGAACAUCAUCAUUAAUAUUUUUACUAGGUUCAUGUUCAUUACCAGAUUGUGUUAUAGUAUCAAACAUAGAUAUAUCAUUUGGAUUAUCAGGUGGUUCAGCAAUAGGUUCACUAGAAGUUUGCACAGUUCUAUCAUUUUUCUUCUUCUUCUUUUUAGAAGAACUAGGAACAUCAAUAUUAUUUCUUUGAGAAUCUUGCUCGAUUCUCUUAGGGUGGCCUUCAGGAUACAAAGGUUCCUGAGUCAUUCUACCAGUUCUAGUAGCCACUCUAACAGCAUAAUCAUUUUUCUUAUUAUUCAUUUCAUCAAGCACUUCUUUUUGAGCCUUAAGUACUUGUUCUACUUGAAUGGUAACCAUAGAAGCAUGUUUGCUAACAAGUUUAAGUUCACCUUUAAUAUUAGCCAUAUAAUCACCCAAGCGUCUAUAUAAGCAUUUUCUUUUAAUUGUCUACCAAAAUAAGCAUUGAAGUCGUCUUGCUUAAACAUAAAGUUAUCAAACUCAUCCAAGCACUGACUAGCAAUUUUAGUAGGAGAAACUUUAGUUUUAUCAUAUAUGUAGAGAGAAUUUACCUUUACUACCUGUGUCGGGAUAUCGGGAUCAGAAGGUUCUUUAGUAAAUAAAGAAUUGAGAUCAUAUGUUUCUUCAACAGGCGGUAUAUUAAGACCAUGUAUUUCUUCAAUAGGAGGUAAAUUCUUAACGUCUUCAGCUUUAAUACCUUUUUUCUUUCAUAGAUUUCUUUGCCUCUUGCAUAUCUUCGGGACUGAGAAAUAGAACACCUCUCUUCUUCGGAGUUAGUUUAGGAAUAGACUCAAUAAUUGGAGCAGGAGAUGGCUCAGGAGCUGGCUCAGGAGGUGGCUCAGGAGGUGCCCAAUUAUUUUCAUUUGUCAACAUAUUAUUCAAUAGAAUUUCAGAUUCAUCCGGUGUUCCUUCCCUGAAAAGAGAACCAGCACAACUAUCCAGGUAAUCUCUGGAAGCAUCGGUUAGUCCAUUAUAAAAGAUAUCAAGUAUUUCAGGUUUCUUAAGAGGAUGAUCAGGCAAAGCAUUAAGUAACUUGAGAAGCCUCCCCCAAGCUUGUGGGAGACUCUCUUCUUUAAUUUGCACGAAGUUAUAUAUUUCGCUCAAAGCAGCUUGUUUCUUAUGAGCAGGGAAAUAUUUAGCAGAGAAGUAAUAAAUCAUAUCCUGGGGACUACGCACACAACCAGGAUCAAGAGAAUUAAACCAUAUCUUAGCAUCACCCUUUAAUGAGAACGGAAAUAUUUUGAGUAUAUAAAAGUAACGCGAUCUCUCAUCAUUAGUGAACAGGUCAGCUAUAUCAUUUAACUUAGUAAGAUGUGCCACAACAGUUUCAGAUUCAUAGCCAUAAAACGGAUCAGAUUCAACCAAAGUAAUUAUAUCAGGAUCAACAGAGAAUUCAUAAUCCUUAUCAGGAACACAUAUAGGUGAAGUAGCAAAAGCAGGAUCGGGUUUCAUUUUAUCUCUAAGUGAUUCUUUAUUCCAUUUAAUUAAUAACCUCUUAAGCUCAUAUCUAUCUCUGCAAGCUAAAAUAGUGGCAGAAGAUUCCAUAUCAAAAAGAUAGCCCUCAGGAAUAACACACAUAUUUUCAUCAUCACUAUCAUCAUCGUAUUCAGAUUCAAUAAUUUCUUUUUCUCUAGCCCUAGCAAUUUGUUCAUCAAGAAAUUCACUAAGGGGCACAGUAGUAUCAGGCAUAGAAGCAGUUUCAUCAUAAGUAUCAUGCAUAGCAGAAGUGGCAUCAUCAAUAACAUGCGACAUAUCAGAACGAAUAGCAGAAGUAGGUGUAGGUGUCGCAAAAUUACUCAUAACAGAAGGUGAAUCAAGUGCAGAGCUAGAUGGCAGUUCCUUACCUCCCCUCGUAGUUGAGGGAUAGAUCUUGGUUUUUGGAUCUCUCAAGUUCUUCAUAGUGUCCAGCAGAUAUAAAUCCCAAGUGACUCAAAGAAUAGAGCUAUUCUCCCCGGCAACGGCGCCAGAAAUUAGUCUUGAUAACCCACACGUAUAGGGGAUCGCAAUAGCUUUCGAGGGUAGAGUAUUCAACCCAAAUUUAUUGAUUCCACACAAGGGGAGCCAAAGAAUAUUCUCAAGUAUUAGCAGCUGAGUUGUCAAUUCAACCACACCUGGAAACUUAGUAUCUGCAGCAAAGUGUUUAGUAGCAAAGUAAUAUGAUAGUGGUGGUAGGGGCAACAAAAGUAAAGACAACAAAACUAAUGUUUUUGGUAUUUUGUACUGAUUGUAACAGUAGCAGCGGGAAUGUAAAUAAGCGAGAACCAGUAUACGGCAAACUCGUAGGCACCGGAUCAGUGAUGGAUAAUUAUGCCGGAUGCGGUUCAUCAUGUAACAGUCAUAACAUAGGGUGACACAGAACUAGCUCCAAUUCAUCAAUGUAAUGUAGGCAUGUAUUCCGUAUAUAGUCAUACGUGCUUAUGGAAAAGAACUUGCAUGACAUCUUUUGUCCUACCUUCCCGUGGUAGUAGGGUCCUAUUGGAAACUAAGGGAUAUUAAGGCCUCCUUUUAAUAGAGAACCGGAACAAAUCAUUAGCACAUACUGAAUACAUGAACUCCUCAAACUAUGGUCAACUCCGGGAGUGGUCCCAAUUAUUGUCACUUCGGGGUUGCCGGAUCAUAAAACAUAGUAGGUGACUAUAGACUUGCAAGAUAGGAUCAAUAACUCACAUAUAUUCAUGAAAAGAAAAUAGGUUCAGAUCUGAAAUAAUGGCACUCGGGCUCUAGUGACAAGCAUUAAGCAUAGAAAAUCAUGGCAACAUCAAUCUCAGAACAUAAUGGAUACUAGGGAUCAAACCCUAACAAAACUAACUUGAUUACAUGAUAAAUCUCAUCCAACCCAUCAUCAUCCAGCAAGCCUACGAUGCAAUUACUCACGCACGGCGGUGAGCAUCAUGAAAUUGGUGAUGGAGGAUGGUUGAUGAUGACGACAGCGACGAACCCCCCUCUCCGGAGCCCCGAACGGACUCCAGAUCAGUCCUCCCGAGAGGUUUUAGGUCUUGGCGGCAGCUCCGUAUCGUAAAACGCGAUGAAUUCUUCUCUCUGAUUUUUCUCCCCGAAACACAAUAUAUAGAGUUGGAGUUGGAGUCGGAGGAGCUCCAGGGGGCCCACGAGGUAGGGGGGCACGCCCUAGGGGGGCAGGCACGGCUCCGUAUCGUGAAACGCGAUGAUUUCUUCUCUCUUAUUUUUUUCUCUCUGAAAGCAAAUAUAUAGAGUUGGAGUUGGCGUCAGAGGGUUUCUAGGGGGCCCACNNNNNNNNNNNNNNNNNNNNNNNNNNNNNNNNNNNNNNNNNNNNNNNNNNNNNNNNNNNNNNNNNNNNNNNNNNNNNNNNNNNNNNNNNNNNNNNNNNNNNNNNNNNNNNNNNNNNNNNNNNNNNNNNNNNNNNNNNNNNNNNNNNNNNNNNNNNNNNNNNNNNNNNNNNNNNNNNNNNNNNNNNNNNNNNNNNNNNNNNNNNNNNNNNNNNNNNNNNNNNNNNNNNCACCCUCGUGAGAAGGGUGUGAGCCCCCUGGUCUUCAUCUUUGGCGAGGAUUUUUUAUUUUUUUUCUAAGAUGUUCCGUGGAGUUUCAGGUCAUUUCGAGAAUAUUUGUUUUCUGCACAUAAAACAACACCAUGGCAAUUCUGCUGAAAACAGCGUCAGUCCAGGUUAGUUCCAUUCAAAUCAUACAAGUUAGAGUCCAAAACAAGGGCAAAAGUGUUUGGAAAAGUAGAUACGACGGAGACGUAUCACGGGGUCCUUACGGAAACUAGGGGAUAUUAAGGCCUCCUUUUAAUAGAGUACCAGAACAAAGCAUUAACACAUAGUGAAUACAUGAACUCCUCAAACUGCGGUCACCACCGGUAAGUAUCCCGAUUAUUGUCACUUCGGGGUUAAUGGAUCAUAACACAUAAUAGGUGACUAUAGACUUGCAAGAUAGGAUCAAGAACACUUGUCGGUGUCAAAACCGUCGGAUCUCGUGUAGGGGGUCCCGAACUGUGCGUCUAAGGCGGAUGGUAACAGGAGGCAGGGGACACGAUGUUUUACCCAGGUUCGGGCCCUCUUGAUGGAGGUAAAACCCUACAUCCUGCUUGAUUAUUCUUGAUAAUAUGAGUAGUACAAGAGUUGAUCUACCAUGAGAUCGGAGAGGCUAAACCCUAGAAGCUAGCCUAUGGUAUGAUUGUAUGUUGUCCUAUGGACUAAAACCCUCCGGUUUAUAUAGACACCGGAGGGGGCUAGGGUUACACAAGGUCGGUUACAAAGGAGGAGAUAUACAUAUCCGUAUUGCCUAGCUUGCCUUCCACGCCAAGUAGAGUCCCAUCCGGACACGGGACGAAGUCUUCAAUCUUGUAUCUUCAUAGUCCAACAGUCCGGCCAAAGGAUAUAGUCCGGCUGUCCGAAGACCCCCUAAUCCAGGACUCCCUAAGUAGCCCCUGAACCAGGCUUCAAUGACGAUGAGUCGGUCGCGCAAUGUUGUCUUCGGCAUUGCAAGGCGGGUUCCUCCUCCGAAUACACCACGGAAGAAUUUGAAUACAAGGAUAGUGUCCGACCCUGCAAAAUAAGUUCCACAUACCACCGUAGAGAGAAUAAUAUUUCCACAAAUCCAGUCUGCUGACACGCUUUGGCAGCAUGACAUCAUGCCAUGGCCCGGUAAUUAUUCGAACCAUUUUUCCUUAACCAGCCCCGCACAUAACGCGAGGCGGUUUCUUGACACGUCUUGUCAAAGCAGAGAUCGUGUUCCCCUUAUUACGGGAUUCUCAUCAAUACGGACAUGGGUAACCCAACCGCGCCAUCAAUUACGGCGCUUGGGGGAUAAGCGAGUUUUACCAGGCUAGUGGGGGCGCAUAGUUUAGUCCGCCCUUAUAAAGGGAUAAGAUCUUAGCUUUUUAUAAUCACGCCUUCUUCCUCCUUGCUCAUCCAUUCUCGCGCACUCGAGCUCCAGCGCCAAGUCCGCAUCCUCCUCCUCAACUCUCUCCAAAACAUGUCCAAAGCGGGAGGCAAGUGGAUGGCCUCCUCCGUCACGGAGGGGCACAUCAAAAAGUUGCGCGGAGCCGGAUACUUAGCCGCGGACAUCGCGCACCGGCUGCCAGCCGCGGGGCAGGUCAUCCCUACCCCAGAACCUCACGAGAGGGUGGUCUUCCUCCCCCACUUCGUCUGCGGACUAGGGUUUCCCCUCCAUCCAUUUGUCAGCGGCCUCAUGUUCUAUUAUGGGCUGGACUUUCAUGACCUGGCCCCGAACUUCAUCCUCAACAUCUCGGCGUUCAUCGUCAUGUGCGAGGCUUUCCUCCGCAUCCGGCCCCACUUCGGCCUAUGGUUGAAGACCUUCAAUAUCAAGCCAAGGGUUGUAGGUGGACAACAAGCGGAAUGCGGCGGAGCCAUGGUGGGCAAAAUGCCCAACGUUGCAUGGCUCGAGGGCUCCUUCGUGGAGACCGUAAAGGGGUGGCAAUUGGGGUGGUUCUACAUCACCGAGCCACGCGACACCAACUGGGUGGCGGACCCCGAGUUUCGAUCCGGAAUCCCCACGCGUCUCACUUCCUGGAAGGAGAAGGGCCUGUCCUGGGGUUCAUCGGUGGAGCUGGACGGACUCCAGAAGUGUAUCCGGAACAUGACAAGCAAGAAACUUAAGCUUGUAAACAUAGUCCAAGUCAUGCUCUUCCGCCGGAUCCUCCCGUGUCAAUAACAGGAUUUCAACUUAUGGGAGUUCGACCCGGCCCGGCACCAGACUCUAAGCGAGCUCUUCGACACGAUGCACAAAGACGUCUGGAGGGUGCUGUUCAAGGGCGCCGAGGUCCCUCCGUCUCUCACCGAGGACCGCGGGCUAAGCGUGAAGCGCCCUGCAAAUCCGGUAAGUUCUGUACAUUUGGUAGGAUAUUUAUUUCCCAUAUCUUAACCAUGUGAGGGGUCUAAACUCCCAUGCCUUUAACAGGACUGGGUGGAGGCAUCGGAGCAGAUUGCCUGUCUGCUCCCCCUGGAAGGAGCUCGGGCAGUUCGAUCUGCUCCAGAUGGCGAAGCGAGUUGGCCCGCAGUGCGAAGCCGCCGAAUACAAAGAUCUGUCUGGGGACAAAAGUCUCACCCUGGACAGCAUCGCUAUCGAUGAUCGAAGGAGCCAUCAAGCCUAACGGCGACGACACAGAGGAACUCCCUGAACACUCAUAUAUUGAUGCAAACAUAAUAGGUUCAGAUGUGAAAUCAUGGCACUCGGGCCCUAGUGACAAGCAUUAAGCAUAGCAACAUCAAUCUCAGAACAUAGUGGGUACUAGGGAUCAAACCCUAACAAAACUAACUCAAUUACAUGAUAGAUCUCAUCCAACCCAUCACCGUCCAGCAGGCCUACGAUGGAAUUACUCACGCACGGUGGUGAGCAUCAUGAAAUUGGUGAUGGAGGAUGGUUGAUGAUGAUGAUGGCGAUGGAUUCCCCUCUCUGGAGCCCCGAACGAACUCCAGAUCAGCCCUCCCGAGAGGUUUUAGGGCUUGGCGGCGGCUCCGUAUCGUAAAACGCGAUGAAUUCUUCUCUCUGAUUUUUUCUCCCCGAAACACAAUAUAUAGAGUUGGAGUUGGAGUCGGAGGAGCUCCAGGGGGCCCACGAGGUAGGGGGCACGCCCUAGGGGGGCAGGCGCACCUCCCACCCUCGUGGACAGGUGGUGGGCCCCUUGGCCUUCAUCUUUUGCAGGUAUUUUUUAUAUUUUCCAAGAAGUUGCUCCGUGAAGUUUCAGGUCAUUCCGAGAACGUUUGUUUCUGCACAUAAAUAACAUCAUGGUAAUUCUGCUGAAAACAACAUCAGUCUGGGUUAGUUCCAUUCAAAUCAUGUAAGUUAGAGUUCAAAACAAGGGCAAAAGUGUUUGGAAAAGUAGAUACGACGGAGACGUAUCAACUCCCCCAAGCUUAAACCUUUGAUUGUCCUCAAGCAAUUCAGUUGACAAACUGAAAGUGAUAAAGAAAAACUUUUACAAACUCUGUUUGCUCUUGUUGUUGUAAAUAUGUAAAGCCAACAUUCAAGUUUUCAGCAAAGAUUAUAACUAACAACAUUUGCAAUAAUGCUCAGGUCUCAAGUUUACUCAUAUCAACAGCAUAAUCAACUAGCGAGCAAUAAUAAUAAAUCUCGGAUGACAACACUUUCUCAAAACAAUCAUAAUAUGAUAUAACAAGAUGGUAUCUCGCUAGCCCUUUCUGAGACCGCAAAACAUAAAUGCAGAGCACCUUUAAAGACCAAGCACCGACUAGACAUUGUAAUUCAUGGUAAAAGAGAUCCAGUCGAGUCAUACUCAAUGUAAACUAAUAGUAAUGAAUGCAAAUGACAGCGGUGCUCUCCAACUGGUGCUUUUUAAUAAGAGGAUGAUGACUCAGCAUAAAAGUAAAUAGAUAGGCCCUUCGCAGAGGGAAGCAGGGAUUUGUAGAGGUGCCAGAGCUCAGUUUUGAAAUAGAGAUGAAUAAUAUUUUGAGCGGUAUACUUUCAUUGUCAACAUAACAACCAAGAGAUGGCAAUAUCUUCCAUGCUACACACAUUAUAGGCGGUUCCCAAACAGAAUGUAAAGUUUAUACUCCCCCUUCCACCAACAAGCAUCAAUCCAUGGCUUUCUCGAAACAACGAGUGCCUCCAACUAAUAAGAGUCCCAGGGGGAGUUUUGUUUGCAAUUAUUUUGAUUUAGUUUGCAUAAAGCAUGGGACUGGGCAUCCAGGUGACAAGCCAUUUAUCUCGUGAGUGAGGAGCGGAGUCCACUCCUCUUGAGAAUAACCUGCCUAACAUGGAAGAUACAGACAACCCUAGUUGAUACAUGAGCUAUUCGAGCAUACAAAACAGGAUAUUUAUUUGAAGGUUUAGAGUUUGGCACAUACAAAUUUACGUGGAACGGCAGGUAGAUACCGUAUAUGGGUAGGUAUAGUGGACUCAUGUGGAAUAACUUUGGGGUUUAAGGGAUUGGAUGCACAAGCAGUAUUCCCGCUUAGUACAGGUGAAGGCUAGCAAAAGACUGGGAAGCGACCAGCUAGAGAGCGACAACAGUCAUGAACAUGCAUUAAAAUUAAUCAACACCGAGUGCAAGCAUGAGUAGGAUAUAAUCCACCAUGAACAUAAAUAUCGUGAAGGCUAUGUUGAUUUUGUUUCAACUACAUGCGUGAACAUGCGCCAAGUCAAGUCACUUAAAUCAUUCAGAGGAGGAUACCACCCUAUCAUACCACAUCACAACCAUUUUAAUAGCAUGUUGGUAUGCAAGGUAAACCAUUAUAACUCAUAGCUAAUCAAGCAUGGCACAAGAAACUAUGAUCUCUAGUUGUCAUUGCAAUCAUGUUUAUUCAUAAUAGGCUGAAUCAGGAACGAUGAACUAAUCAUAUUUACAAAAACAAAAGAGGUCGAGUUCAUACCAGCUUUUGUUAUCUCAGUCAGUCCAUCAUAUAUCGUCAUAAUUGCCUUUCACUUGCACGACCGAACGAUGUGAAUAACAAUAAUAGUGCACGUGCAUUGGACUAAGCUGGAAUCUGCAAGCAUUCAAUAAACAGGAGAAGACAAGGCAAUAUGGGCUCUUUUGUCAGAUCAAAAAUAAUGUAUAUAAGAGCCACUUCAACAAUUUAAUUAUGUUCUUCUCCUAUCGACCCCCAAAGAAAAGAAAAUAAAUAAAACUAUUUACACGGGAGAGCUCCCAACAAGUAAAAGAAGAACAGGAAAUCUUUCUGGGUUUUCAUUUUAAUCACUACUACAAGCAUGGAAAGUAAAAAAGCUACAACUAAUUUUUUUGUUUUUUCUUAAGGUUUAUCAAACACACAAGAAGAAAGCAUAAAAAGGAAAUUAAACUAGCAUGGAUGAUACAAAUGAAAAAGUAUGAGCACCAACAUCUAGCAAUGAGUGUGUGAACAUAAAUGUAAUGUCGGUGGGAAAUACGUACUCCCCCAAGCUUAGGCUUUUGGCCUAAGUUGGUCUAUGGCCACGGCUGGCCUGGCGGGUAUCCAUAAUAAUAGCUGGGGUCAUACUGAGAUGCAGCGGCUAUCGCCUCCUGAGCUGCAGCAUGGCGAUGAGCGGCCUUCGCUCUCCUCUCGUACUCAUCUGCCUCCUCUCUGGUAAUACCAUAUCUUCCUUUUGCCUGAUGAUCAAAGAAGGUAGGAGCAGGGAGAGUAAUAUGAACAACACGGCGUCUGUCAAAGAUUAGUCGAUACUGGAGAGGUGAUUCGUUCCUCUCGACAAACUGGUGGUGAACCAUAGCAUUAAAGUCUAGGUAAGCAGGGGGUAAUUCAAUAUCAUCUUCGCGUAUGGCUACACCAAGAAAAUCAGCUAAGCGGGUUGCAUAAAUUCCACCAAAGAAAUCUCCAUUAAAUCUAUUAUUAUGCAACCUACGUGCAACAAUGGCUCCCAAAUUAUAAGACUUAUCUCCUAACACAGCACUCCUAAGAAUACUAAGGUCAGGGACACACAUGUGACAUGCUUCAUCUUUACCAUUAAUGCAUGUACCUAUGAAGAGAGCAAAAUAAUGUAUAGCAGGAAAGUGAAUGCUCCCUAUGGUGGCUUGUUUUAUAUCUCUAGAUUCUCCCAUAGUUAUGCUAGCAAGAAAAUUUCUAAAUUCAGAUUUGCCGGGUUCACUAGCACUACCCCAUUGUGGAAGUUUGCAAGCAUUGGUAAAAUCCUCUAAGUCCAUAGUGUAAGAUUUUUCAUAGAGAUCAAAUAGGACAGUUGGAGAAUUAUGUGAAGAUGAAAAUUCAAACCUCCUCACAAAGGUACUAGUGAGAUUGUGAUACUGGCUGCACUUCUCUUCCUCGAAGCUCACAAGAUCGGCGUUACGCAAAUAUGCAUUGAAUUCUUCCUUAAUUCCUGCUCGAUCCAUAAAGUUUUCAGAAGGCCACUAACAAGGAUGCACUGGAGCGUCUCUUGGUGGCUCUUCAUCAGCAUCGCGCAUUGCAAGCCUGGGUCCUUGCUUCCUUGAAGAAGCACCUUGGAACAUUUUCCUAAGCAUUUUUCUUCCUCUGAAAAAUUCUGAAUUUUUUAGUAACUUCAAAAUAAAAGUAAACCAAACUCAAUAAUAUUGAUAGCAACUACUCCUACAAGUGCCUAGAGCCUAUAUCAUGCAUCAAAACUACUUGGAACCAUAUAAAUUUGACAUGCAAGCUCAAGAACAUGGUCACCUAGGCAGCACAAAUUUGCAAUGAAUAAAUCACUAGAACAAAAACUAAUUUGACCAAUGGAGGAGUCACAUACCAAGGAACAAUCUCCCCAAGCAGUUUUGUGAGAGGUGCUUUGAGCAAGGAGAUCGAAAAUGGUAGCAAAACGAGCUUGGACUCGGGUUUGAACUGGUUAUUCGUGUUUGGGGGAGGAAGAAGGAGUGUGUGGGUGAAAGAAUAAGUGGAGCAGGGCCACUGUGGGCCCACGAGGUAGGGGGCGCGCCCAGGGGGGUAGGGCGCGCCCUCCACCCUCGUGGGCAGGUGGUUGACCCCCCUGCUAUGUUCUUAGUGCCAAAUAUUCUCAAAUAUUCCAGAAAAAUCAUAUUUAAAUUUCAGGGCAUUUGGAGAACUUUUAUUUUCGGGGUAUUUUUAUAUUGCACGGAUAAUCAGAUAACAGACAGAAAAAUACUAUUUUUAUUUUAUUUAAUAUAAAUAACAGAAAGUAAAAGGAGGGUAUAGAAGGUUGUGCCUUCUAGUUUCAUCCAUCUCAUGAUCAUCAAAAGGAAUCCACUAACAAGGUUGAUCAAGUCUUGUUAACGAACUCAUUCAGAAUAACAUGGGACUGGAGAAAUUUCGAAUAACACUAUGUUACCUCAACGGGGAUAUGCACAUCCCCAAUAAUAAGAAUAUCAUAUUUCUUCUUGACAAUAGGAAGAGGAAAUUCAAAACCUCCAAAUAUAAUCGAUGGAAAUUUUCCAAUAGAGUAGAUGCUAUGAACUUGUGGUUGUUUCCUCGGAAAGUGUACCGUGUGCUCAUUACCAUUAACAUGAAAAGUGACAUUGCCUUUAGUGCAAUCAAUAACAGCCCCUGCAGUAUUCAAAAAGGGUCUUCCAAGAAUAAUAGACAUACCAUCGUCCUCGGGAAUAUCAACAAUAACAAAGUCCGUUAAAAUAGUAACGUUUGCAACUACAACAUGCACAUCCUCACAAAUACCAACAGGUAUAGCAGUUGAUUUAUCAACCAUUUGCAAUGAUAUUUUAGUAGGUGUCAACUUAUUCAAAUCUAGUCUACGAUAUAAAGAGAGAGGCAUAACACUAACACCGGCUCCAAGAUCACAUAAAGCAGUUUUAACAGAGUUCCUUUUAAUGGAGCAUGGUAUAGUGGGUACUCCUGGAUCUCCAAGUUUCUUUGGUAUUCCACCCUUAAAAGUAUAAUUAGCAAGCAUGAUGGAAAUUUCAGCUUCCGGUAUCUUUCUUUUAUUAGUAACAAUUUCUUUCAUAUACUUAGCAUAAGGAUUCAUUUUGAGCAUAUCAGUUAAUCGCAUACGCAAAAAGAUUGGUCUAAUCAUUUCAGCAAAGCGCUCAAAAUCCUCAUCAUCCUUUUUCUUGGAUGGUUUGGGAGGAAAAGGCAUGGGUUUCUGAACCCAUGGUUCUCUUUCUUUACCGUGUUUCCUAGCAACAAAGUCUUUCUUAUCAUAAUGUUGAUUCUUUGAUUGUGGGUCAUCAAGAUCAACAGCAGGUUCAAUUUCUAUAUCAUUAUCAUUACUAGGUUGAGCAUCAUCAUGAACAUUAUUAUUAGCAUUAUCACUAAUUUCAGCUUCAUUACCAGAUUGAGUUUCAGCAUCAGAGAUAGAAAUAUCAUUUGGAUUCUCAGGUGUUUCAGUAAUAGGUUCACUAGAAGCAUGCAAAGUCCUAUCAUUUUUCUUUUUCUUCCUAUUAGAAGGACUAGGUGCAUCUAUAUUAUUUCUCUAUGAAUCUUGCUCAAUUCUCUUAGGAUCGCCUUCAGGAUACAAAGGUUCCUGAGUCAUUCUACCACCUUUAGUCAUGACUCUAACAACAUUAUCAUUAUUCUUACUAUUCAAUUCAUUGAGCAAAUCAUUUUGAGCUUUAAGUACUUGUUCUACUUGAGUGGUAACCAUAGAAGCAUGUUUACUAAUAAGUUUAAGUUCACCUUUGACAUUAGCCAUAUAAUCACCCAAGUGUUCAAGCAUAUUUGAAUUGUAAUUCAAUUGUCUACCAAAAUAAGCAUUAAAGUCUUCUUGCUUAGCCAUAAAUUUAUCAAACUCAUCUAAGCAUGGGCUAGCAAACUUAGUAAAUGGGAUUUCAGCUUUAUCAUAUCUAUAGAGAGAAUUUACCUUUACUACGUGUGUCGGGUUAUCAAGACCAUGAGUUUCUUCAAUAGGUAAAGGAUUAAGAUCAUAUGUUUCUUCAACAUGCGGUAAAUUAAGACCAUGUAUUUCUUCAAUAGGAGGUAAAUUCUUAAUGUCUUCAGCUUUAAUACAUUUUUAUUUCAUAGAUUUCUUUGCCUCUUGCAUAUCUUCAGGACUGAGAAAUAAAAUACCCCUCUUCUUCGGAGUUGGUUUAGGAAUAGGCUCAGGAAUUGGCUCCAGAGGUGUCCAAUUAUUUUCAUUUGUCAACAUAUUAUUCAAUAGAAUUUCAGCUUCAUCCGGCGUUCUUUCCCUGAAAACAGAACCAGCACAACUAUCCAGGUAAUCUCUCGAAGCAUCGGUUAGUCCAUUAUAAAAGAUAUCAAGUAUUUCAUUUUUCUUAAGAGGAUGAUCAGGCAAAGCAUUAAGUAAUUGGAGAAGCCUCCCCAAGCUUGUGGGAGACUCUCUUCUUCAAUUUGCACAAAAUUAUAUAUAUCCCUUAAAGCAGCUUGUUUCUUAUGAGCAGGGAAAUAUUUAGCAGAGAAGUAAUAAAUCAUAUCCUGGGGACUAUGCACACAACCAGGAUCAAGAGAAUUAAACCAUAUCUUAGCAUCACCCUUUAAUGAGAACGGAAAUAUUUUAAGGAUAUAAAAGUAAAAAGUUCUCUCAUCAUUAGUGAACAGGGUAGCUAUAUCAUUUAAUUUAGUAAGAUGUGCCACAAUAGUUUCAGAUUCAUAGCCAUGAAAAGGAUCAUAUUCAACCAAAGUAAUUAUAUCAGGAUCAAUAGAGAAUUCAUAAUCCUUAUCGGUAACACAGAUAGGUGAAGUAGCAAAAGCAUGGCCAGGUUUCAUCCUAGCAUUUAGAGAUUGCUUAUUCCAUUUAGCUAAUAACCUCUUAAGUUCGUAUCUAUCUUUGCAAGCUAAAAUAGCUAAAGAAGCUUCUUUAUCAAAAACAUAACCCUCAGGAAUAACAGGCAAGUCAUCAUCAUCAAUUUCAUCAGUAUUAUCAGAUUCAAUAUUUUCAAUCUCUCUAGCCCUAGCAAGUUGUUCAUCAAGAAAUUCACCAAGUGGCACAGUAGUAUCAAGCAUAGAAGUAGUUUCAUCAUAAGUAUCAUGUAUAGCAGAAGUGGCAUCAUCAAUAACAUGCGACAUAUCAGAACGAAUAGCAGAAGCAGGUUUAGGUGUCGCAAACUUACUCAAAAUAGAAGGCGAAUCAAGUCCAGAGCUAGAUGGCAGUUCCUUACCUCCCCUCGUAGUUGACGGAUAAAUCUUGGUUCUUGGAUCUUUCAAGUUCUUCAUAAUGAUAAGCAGAUAUAAAUCCCAAGUGACUCAAAGAAUAGAGCUAUGCUCCCUGGCAACGGAGCCAGAAAAUAGUCUUGAUAACCCACAAGUAUAGGGGAUCGCAACAGUUUUCGAGGGUAAAGUAUUCAACCCAAAUUUAUUGUUUCGACACAAGGGGAGCCAAAGAAUACUCUCAAGUAUUAGCGGCUGAGUUGUCAAUUCAACCACACCUGGAAACUUAGUAUCUGCAGCAAAGUAUUUAGUAGCAAAGUAAUAUGAUAGUAGUGGUAACGGUAGCAAAAGGUAACAGUAGUAAAAAUAAUGUUUUUGGUAUUUCGUGGUGAUGAUAGCAAUAGAAACGGGAACGUAAAUAAGCGAAGAACAAUAUAUGGAAAGCUCAUAGGCAAUGGAUCGGUGAUGGAGAAUUAUGCCGGAUGUGGUUCAUCAUGUAACAAUCAUAACAUAGGGUGACAUAGAACUAGCUCCAGUUCAUCAAUGUAAUGUAGGCAGGCAUUCCGAAUAUAGUCAUACGUGCUUAUGGAAAAGAACUUGCAUGACAUCUUUUAUCCUACCCUCCCGUGGCAGCGGGGUCCUUACAGAAACUAAGGGAUAUUAAGGUCUCCUUUUAAUAGAGUACCGUAAUAAAGCAUUAACAAAUAGUGAAUACAUGAACUCCUCAAACUACGAUCAUCACCGGUAAGUAUCCCGAUUAUUGUCACUUCGGGGUUAACGGAUAAUAACAUAUAAUAGGUGACUAUAGACUUGCAAGAUAGGAUCAAGAACACUCAUAUAUUGAUGAAAAUAUAAUAGGUUCAGAUGUGAAAUCAUGGCACUCGGGCCCUAGUGACAAGCAUUAAGCAUAGCAACAUCAAUCUCAGAACAUAGUGGAUACUAGGGAUCAAACCCUAACAAAACUAACUCGAUUACAUGAUAGAUCUCAUCCAACCCAUCACCGUCCAGCAAGCCUACGAUGGAAUUACUCACGCAUGGUGGUGAGCAUCAUGAAAUUGGUGAUGGAGGAUGGUUGAUGAUGACGAUGGCAACGGAUUCCCCUCUCCGGAGCCCCGAACGGACUCCAGAUCAGCCCUCCCGAGAGGAUUUAGGGCUUGGCGGCAGCUCCGUAUUGUAAAACGCGAUGAAUUCUUCUCUCUGAUUUUUCUCCCCGAAACACAAUAUAUAGAGUUGGAGUUGGAGUCGGAGGAGCUCCAGGGGGCCCACGAGGUAGGGGGGCGCACCCCCCACCCUCAUGGACAGGUGGUGGGCCCCCUGGCCUUCAUAUUUUGCAGGUAUUUUUUAUAUUUUCCAAAAAGUUGCUCCAUGAAGUUUCAGGUCAUUCCGAGAACGUUUGUUUCUACACAUAAAUAACACCAUGGUAAUUCUGCUGAAAACAACGUCAGUCCGGGUUAGUUCCAUUCAAAUCAUUCAAGUUAGAGUCCAAAGCAAGGGCAAAAGUGUUUGGAAAAGUAGAUACAAUAGAGACAUAUCAAUGCUCAUAUUGGCUCCUACAUAUUCUACGGAGAUCUUUAUUAGUUAAACUGCAUAACAACAUACAUUGUCAUCGGUAUGUUACUUGCCCGAGAUUCGAUCGUCGGUAUCAUCAUACCUAGUUCAAUCUCGUUACCAGCAAGUCUCUUUACUCGUUCCGUAAUACAUCAUCCCGUGGCUAACUCAUUAGACACAUUGCUUGCAAAGCUCAUAGUGAUGUCCAUUACCGAGAGGGCCCAGAGAUAACUCUACGAUACACAGAGUGACAAAUCCUAAUCUCCAUCUAUGCCAACUCAACAAAAACCAUCGGAAACACCUGUAGAGCAUCUUUAUAAUCAUCCAGUUACAUUGUGACAUUUGAUAGCACACAAGGUGUUCCUCCGAUAUUCAGGAGUUGCAUAAUCUCAUAGUCAGAGGAACAUAUAUAAGUCAUGAAGAAAGCAAUAGCAAGAAAACUAAACGAUCAUUAUGCUAAGCUAACGGAUGGGUCUUGUCCAUCACAUCAUUCUCUAAUGAUGUGAUCCCGUUCAUCAAAUGACAACACAUGUCUAUGGUCAGGAAACUUAACCACCUUUGAUUAACGAGCUAGUCUAGUAGAGGCAUACUAGGGACACUCUGUUUGUCUAUGUAUUCACACAUGUACUAAGUUUCCGGUUAAUACAAUUCUAGCAUGAAUAAUAAACAUUUAUCAUGAUAUAAGGAAAUAUAAAUAACAGCUUUAUUAUUGCCUCUAGGGCUUCCUUCAGCGUUGCCAUUGCACACGAUAUUAACAAUUUUAUCGUUUGUGUUAUUGAAUGCAUCACAGACGGUGCGUAGAAGAAACUGUGUGGCAAAGGCUGUCCAUCACACACAGUUUUUAUGUGGUAAACGUUUGCACAAGGUGGCCUAACGCAAACAGUUUUCAAGAGAUGGUCGUGUGUGAUUGUUCAUUGAUCCAACACGGUUUAUUCCUAGAAACUGUGUGCGUUUCCUAAGGUCAUCGCCCACGGUAUUUUCUCAAUAACCGUUUGCAAUAGCAAAACCCCAUUAGCAGGCUAAUUGACCUAUUAUUAAUAAUCCAUUUAUUAAUCUAAUUGACAUUCAUAUUAAGCACAUAAUAUAUUUCACUUCCAUAUUAAGGAAGCAAGAUUUCAUAAUUGAAAUACAUCAGAGUACAACAUGAUAUAACUUCAGCACUCAGCUACCCCAUUACACAACUGCACCAGCACCAAGUUUCACAUGCAACAUGCAGAACCUUUCGAAAUUAGCAUCAUAGACGGUAUAUAGACAUAUGCAUCUCAUCUAGAAAACUGCUGAAGCGGAAGGCGAAUAUUGGUCCUUCAUUCAUGUUGAAGGUCUUCGCAACUUUAGGCCAGUGCCUGUGGAUGAUUGACCGUCCGUCCUUCGUCCUCUUUAGAAACACUUCAAUAUUGAACCAUGGGUGUUGUAUGAAAACCUUUCUUGCCUCCUGACCAUAAAGGUGGUUUGAGAUGUAAUCAUCAGUGAACUUCUUUGGAAAGGCCUGAAAACAAGGAUGUGCAUAGAUAUCUUCUCUAUAUUGGAAAUGGGGCAAAGGAAUAAAAAAAGGCAAGGUAUAAUAGUUAGUACCAUCUUGUAGUGAACUGAUGUCUUCUUCAUUGUGCAGACAAAGAUCUUGUUAUUUUUUGUCACUAAUUUCUUUAUCCUAACAAUAUUUCUGAGUUUCUUGACUUGAUUGAUAUUCAUGGACAACUCAUUUCCCCAUAUGUAAAAGGGUCAAACAGCAGGUCAAAACCUCUCACAGCAGGACCUACAUGUGCAAAACCAAAUUGUUAAAAACCUAAAUAUUAGAAUGGUUCCUGCAAUUUCACAAUAAUGUGCUAUUAGACAACGGACCAUGCACGUCGUUAACUAAACACCACAACAAAUGAACCAAACAUUAACUGAGCACCACAUUGCACAAUAUAACAUACUCCUAAUAGAAGAUCAGACAAUUAACCAAACCAAGCAUGCUUAACAACUUGGAAAUAUAGCAAUUGUAUUUGUUUGUCAUAUAUUUAGUACAGCCAAAUUCGAUUUAUUUCUCACAUGGUAUACAAUAACAGAAUGCACCCACAACAAUUGAACAUCACAUUGCAGAGUUGAACCAAGCAGUUAACUAAACACCACAACAAAUGAACCAAACGUUAACCGAGCACAACAUUGCACAAUAUAACAUACUCCUAAUAGAAGAUCAGUGAGUUAAACAAACCAAGCAUGCUUAACAACUUGGAAAUAUAGCAAUUGUAUUUGUUUCUCAUGUAUUUAGUACAACCAAAUUCGAUUUAUUUCUCACAUGGUAUACAAUAACAGAAUGCACCCACAAUAAUUGAACAUCGCAUUGCAGAAUUGAACCAAAUAGUUAACUAAACACCACAACAAAUGAACCAAACAUUAAUUGAGCACCACAUUGCACAAUAUAACAUAGUCCUAAUAAAAGAUCAGACAGUUAACCAAACCAAGCAUGCUUGACAACUUGGAAAAUUACACCUUGAAGAAUUGAGCAUCACAUUUGCAGAAUUGAACCAAACAGUUAACUGAACACCACAUUGCACGACAUAUAGAACAUAUACACUAGAGCAGAAGAUUGCAUGGUAAAAGUAGAUAGCACAAUUCACUAGAAUUUGUUAAGAAAAGGCAGUAGCUAGCAAACUGAACAUGGGUCCUUAUAGUGAGGUAAUAAGACAAGCUACUCCUCAUUGUUGGAGAUAUCGAUGACGAUUGGCUCCUUGGACAUGGAAGAGAGCGAGGCCUCUGCAUCAUGGGUGCCCUCGUCAUAGUGGUGAGUUGUGUGAGCCGCUCCGGGCACCAACCUGCUGGCUCUCGAGAUGAGGUAAGCACGUGCACGCUAAGAAAACACCUCAUAGUCUUCGUCGAAGGCACUGAUGGUAGCCUAGAGAAAAUGCCAUGAACUGUCGUUUAAAGCAUCCAACCAUGUUGCAGCAUCAGUGCACGAGGCGUCGACGGUGGCCUCGAUGGCAAGGUGCUCCUCCAAGAUUUGGGGGUCAACACGAAUGCUCCUUGAGAUCCUGGCUAUACCGCGUGCACCAUGGCUUAGGGCGGUGCUUAUUUGGUGGAGGGGUUGGUGAUUUGGGUGGAAGGUGUCGUGCUCGCACCGGCGGUCGGGGCAUGUGGGAUGUGGAAGGAGGAGGAGGAUGGUGGUCGGGUGUGGAUUACCUGCGUGGAUAGGCGAGGCCGAGCAGCGUGAAGGAGGGUCGCCGGUGAGGAGGUGGCGCUGCAAGCAAGGAGUGAAGGUUUGAACUUGGAAAGGAAGGCGGAGACAUGCUAAAUGUGGCUUUUGGUAAGGGAGAGGGGGCGGGGAGGUAGAUAUUUCAGCGGAAGCCAAAAAUUUGGAAUCGCUUCAGCGAAAAAACUGGCACGCAAAGUGUCAUCAGACAUGGUCCCUUAUUCAGAGCGGGUUGUGGACUAUAGCCGUGGCACCUUCUCACGUAAGCCUAUGCGUACUAUAAUCCGACGGUGCUCCAAGAUAUUUUGUGUCGCAUCUCACACGGUUGGUGAUAAUAAACUAUGUGGGAUCUACUUGAUUUUUUGUCUUGAUUUGAAUUGUAUAAUGGGGUCACAGCGGCAAUGGACGGUGUUUGAAUUGCUAGACCUUUUAUCUGCAGUGAACAUGCAACUAUAUGUGUGUCAUAAAAAAAUUGGAAUUAUUCAGGAUUCGUUUGGAAAUUUUAUACAUUAAAUUGGUUUUCUAGCAAUUUCAGGUGCACAAUUCAAAAUUAAAGCACAUGCACAUGCUCCGGUGCACCAACAUGGGUUGUAAACUCAUAUAUGUGUCCAUGGGUUUAUACUUAUGUCCCAUGCAAGAAAUGGGGAUGAAUUUUGAACAACACGGCACCGUGGCUCUCCGGCAAAUGUUGAUGUACUUGCUUUUGUAAUUCUAGUAAAUCCAAAACCCGUCUGAAAUUCAUGAACCUUGGCAUGCUAUCAUGGAAUGGCAUCAACAUUCUGGGGUAAAAAAUAUUGUCCCAUUUGGGGCAGGUUGUGGUAUAAGCUUGUCACAAACCAGAGCCUCUCACAAGAAAGCCUCAUGGUUCCAUUAGGGAAACGUGUCAUCUUUGUGGACAAAAUGAUAUUUGUCACUUCUUCUUCCUUUCAAUUAUUUUCCUAGUGUCAACAUAGAACAACAGGAGUGUCGUGUUAAAUAAUGGGGUCACAGUGAGUUUUCAAUGCAUUAGGACUUGAUUUUUGGUCUUGAUUUGAAUUACAUAAUGGGGUCACAAUGGCUGAGGGAGUCCUGGAUUAGGGGGUGUCCGGAUGGCCGGACUAUACCUUCAGCCGGACUCCUGGAUUAUGAAGAUACAAGAUUCAAGACUUCGUCCCGUGUCCGGAAGGGACUUUCCUUGGCGUGGAAGGCAAGCUUGGCGAUACGGAUAUGUAGAUCUCCUACCAUUGUAACCGACUUUGUGUAACCCUAACCCUCUCCGGUGUCUAUAUAAACCGGAGGGUUUUAGUCUGUAGGACAACAUACAGAACAACAAUCAUACCAUAGGCUAGCUUCUAGGGUUUAGCCUCUCUGAUCUCGUGGUAGAUCUACUCUUGUACUACCCAUAUCAUCAAUAUUAAUCAAGCAGGACAUAGGGUUUUACCUCCAUGGAGAGGGCCCGAACCUGGGUAAAACUUCGUGUCCCUUGCCUCCUGUUACCAUCCGGCCUAGAGGCACAGUUCGGGACCCCCUACCUGAGAUCCGCCGGUUUUGACACCGACAUUGGUGCUUUCAUUGAGAGUUCCCCUGUGUCGUCGCCAUCAGGAAGGAUGCCUCGCCCCGUCUUUAAAGACGACACCGUUGCUAAGGGAGCUUUGGCUGUCGGCCAAACCCUCCGGCUAGGUGGUUUUCUUAUGACCGCCUAUUCGGCUUCUACGCCGACGAUGACCUCUCGAGCCAUCGAAAACAAUCUUCAAGUCAGCUCGGAACUUGCCGAGCAGUUAGAUCCAAUGGAGCUCUCCUCCAGAAACGAGCUCUUGGAUCGCAUCGCCGCCCUAGGAGUCGCUACGGAUUACGACCAGAUUGGGCCUAAGCCUGAUCUGAGAGAGAUUAACUCUCCCCAAGUCACCCAUCAUGUUGCCGUGGUAGAGGGACAGUGCGGCGACCCUUAAUCUAUCUUAAGGACUAGCUACGUCCGGAUUCCUGAUCCCUCCAAGCCGGAUAUCUGCGGAGGGGAGGAUAUCACUCAAGACCUGAACUCAGAGUCAGGCAACAGGUUGGAUUCAUUGGACAACAUCCAGGAAUCCAAAUUUUCGAGUUCGGAAAUUCCUCGGCCUCUGAGCCUCAGAUGGGGUGAGUCUUUGGAUCUAAUUCCACCCACCCACCCGAACAUAAGCGAUCUAUCCCAAAUCAGGCAAGAGCCCGAAGAAACAGUACAUCAUUACUGGGCCAGAUUCCUCCUAGUUAGGAACAUGAUAAGGGACUGCCACGAGGAAGACACAAUCUCAAUCUUCUGCAAUAAUUGCACGGACAAGGGAAUCCUCAACGCCAUAAGUCGCCGUGAUAUUACAUGCUUCGCUGACUUGGCGUCCAUUGUACAAAAAUACUAUGCGAUGGAAAGCGCCUGGAAAACCAAAUUUUGGGACGAUCCGGCCCUGAAUACAAACCCAGUCCGAAAUACAAGGGUGCAUCAUUGCCAGACACCCGGGUCAAAACACCAAAAAGCAAAAACCCUCUACAGGGCAUGGAACCGUACUGGAAGGAUGGCUUAAUGGACCCUGUAAAAUUCAUAGUACAGAGGACGGCACACCAACUCACAGCCUUAGAGCAUGUUGGAUACUCCGGCAGGUGGCCAAAAUUGGCAAGAUCUCCUAAUUCCGAAGGCCACAGAAAGCCACCCCAGAGACACCAAUACGUUAUUAACAGUCUUCGAGACUUUCGCAUCAAAUAAUAUGCGAAAAAGGAAACUCCGCAGCCUUGCCGAAGUCUACCAAGUAGCAACAAUAAAUCCAUGGAGUGACACGGCUAUUACCUUUAACGCCAGUGAUGAACCUAAAUUCCGAACAGCCCAAGCACCAGCCGCAUUGGUCCUCAGUCCAAUAGUGGACGACUUUCGUCUUACCUAGGUACUCAUGGACGGCGGCGGCGGAUUGAACCUCAUUUAUGAGGAAACCCUUCAAAAAAUGGAAAUAGACUGGAACCGCGUUGAGCGAAGCAGCACGACCUUUAGAGGAAUAAUCCCCAGUCGAGAAGCGCGCUGUAUAGGAAAAAUCACACUAGAUGUGGUGUUCGGCACGCCGGAUAAUUACAGGUCCCUAGAGGUCACGUUCCAUGUGGCUCCGUUCAGUAGCGGUUAUCACGCUCUGUUAGGGCGGGAAGCGUUUACAAUCUUCCAAGCAAUACCCCAUUAUGGGUACAUGAAGCUCAAGAUGCCUGGGCCUAAAGGGAUCAUCACUCUCGCUAGUGAUCCGGACAUAGCACUCCGCGCCGAAAACAAGACAGCCGCACUAGCCCUCGAGGCACUAUCCAAAGCCCUAGCGGUUGAGGAACUGACUGCGCUGCGCUCCAUGGUGAAUAGGGACGAUGUUGUACUCGAUAAAAGAUCCAAGUCCACCUCCUUUAAACCGGCGGACGAAAUAGUAAAAUUCCAUGUCCAUCCAAUGGACCCCAAUAAAAUAGCUUCCAUCGGGGCACAGUUAAACCCUGAUGUAGACACCGCACGGCGAGAGUUCCUACGAGAGAACUAGGACAUUUUCGCCUGGCACCCUUCAGACAUGCCAGGAAUCCCACGCAGACUGGCCGAGCACAGCCUAAAUAUCCUAAAAGGAUUCAAACCUGUCAAACAAGCUCUUCGGCGUUUUUCCGAACCUAAGAGACAGGCUAUGGGAGAGGAGCUAGCAAAGCUAUUGUAGGCCAGAUUCAUCAGAGAUAUAAAACAUCUGGACUGGUAGCAAACCUGGUGAUGGUACCAAAGAAGGACAAAUCCUGGCGCCUGUGCGUUGAUUUCUAAGACCUUAACAAGGCUUGCCCAAAGGACCCCUUCCCCCUCCCCCGCAUCGAUCAAAUUAUCGACGCUACCGCAGGACACGAUUCGUUGUGUUUCCUCGAUGCAUACUCCGGCUACCAUCAAAUCAAGAUGGCAGAAUCAGACCAAGCCGCAACGGCAUUUAUUACACCAUACGACCCAUUCUGCUUCAACACAAUGCCCUUUGGGCUCAAAAACGCCGGCGCAACAUAUCAGCGCAUGAUUCAGACAUGUCUGGCAAACCAGAUCGGCAAAACAGUGGAGGCAUAUGUAGAUGAUGUGGUCGUCAAAACAAGACAUGUCGAAUCUCUAGUAGACGACUUGAGGCUCACAUUUGAUAACCUCCGAACAUACGACAUCAAGCUCAACCCGGAAAAAUGCGUUUUUGGCGUCCCAGCCGGAAAGCUCUUGGGCUUCAUUGUAUCCGGUAGAGGAAUUGAAGCAAAUCCAGCCAAUAUCCGAGCUCUGUCACAAUUGGAUAUCCCAAAGGACCUCAAACAAAUACAAAAGUUAACCGGAUGCGUGGCGGCUCUAAGCCGCUUUAUCUCCCGCUUGGGAGAAAAGGCCCUACCCCUUUACCGCCUCCUUCGGUGCACCGAACACUUCGAAUGGACGGAUGCAGCCACGGCCGGACUCAACGAAAUAAAAGACAUAUUGGCAACAAACCCAGUCCUGGCCGCGCCAAACAUUGGCGAACCAAUGCUAUUGUACAUUGCAGCAACACAUCAGGUUGUAAGCGCAGUGCUCGUCGUCGAAUGAGAAACGGACGGACACAAACUCCCCCUUCAAAAGCCGGUCUAUUAUGUGUCCACUGUCCUCACUCCGUGCAAAUCACGGUACCCGCAUUAUCAAAAGAUUGCGUACGCGGUAUUCAUGGCAUCCCGGAAGCUACGACACUACUUUCAAGAGUGUUCAAUAACAGUAGCCUCGGAAGUACCACUUAACGAUAUUAUAAACAACCGUAACGCAACGGGCCGGAUUGCAAAAUGGGCCAUUGAGCACCUCCCAUUCGACAUAACUUAUAAGCCACGGUGAGCCAUCAAGUCGCAAGUUUUGGCUGACUUCGUCACAGAAUGGACGGAGGCCGAACUCCCUAAAGAGCACGGCACAUAUUCAAAUUGGAUCAUGCAUUUCGACGGCUCCAAGAUGUUGGCCGGACUAGGGGCUGGCGUUGUUUUGACGUCCCCCAUAGGAGACACCGUUCAAUACGUACUCCAGAUUAUGUACACAGACUCCAACAAUGCAGCCGAAUAUGAGGCCCUUCUACAUGGUCUCUGGAUGGCAGUAUCCAUGGGCAUUCAACGCAUAGAGGUGCGCGGGGACUCGAACCUCGCAAUAUCCCAAAUAAAUGGAGACUUCGAUGCCAAGGAUCCAAAAAUGGCAGCCUACCGCAACACCGUUCUCAAAAUGUCAGCUCGGUUCGAAGGGCUUGAAUUUCACCAUAUAGCCCGGGAAAAUAAUCAGGCGGCAGAUGUCCUGGCACGCAUCGACGCAAAACGCGAUGUAGUCCCCCCCAACAUCUUCUUGGAAAGGCUGUUCAAGCCAUCCGUAGUAUGGGAAGGGGAGCCGAACAAUAACAGCCCGGACCCAACCACACUGCCCGACACCGAACAUUCUGACACAAUCGGAGGCUCUGCCAAUGAAAUAACACCUUCAGCCCACGUAAUAAUGGCCAUCAUUGCCCCGUGGACAGAACCAUUCCUCGCCUACCUUACUAGGCAGGAACUCCCCGAGGACCAAAAUGAGGCACGCUGCAUAGUGCGGCGAUCCAAAGCCUACAAAGUCCAUGAGGGAGAGCUUUAUAAGAAAAGCACUACCGGAGUCCUUCAAAGGUGCAUCUCCGAAGAGGAAGGGCGGAACCUCCUGGCUGAAAUUCACGCCGGACUUGGCGGUCAUCACGCUGCAGCUCGGUACCUUGUAAGCAAGGCCUUCCGUACAGGCUUUUAUUGGCCGACGGCCCGGGCAGACGCCCAGGAGUUAGUCGAACGAUGCGUCGGUUGCCAGCUCUUUGCAAACCAAAGCCAUAUGCCACCCACCACCCUCCGAACUAUCCCCAUCACUUGGCCCUUUGCGGUCUGGGGGCUUGACAUGGUUGGACCCCUUAAAGGCGAAACCCACAAGCAAAAAUACUUACUGGUCAUGGUGGAUAAGUUCACCAAAUGGAUAGAAGCCAAGCCUGUUAAGACGGCCGAAUCUGGACCAGUGAUAGACUUUAUAUCCGAGGUUGUACACCGUUACGGCGUCCCCCACAACAUCAUCACUGAUAACGGCACGAACUUUACGGCCGACGAGGUAAAACUCUGGUGCAAAAACAUGGGCAUCAAGCUCAAUUAUGCUUCCGUCUAUCACCCACAAACUAACGGCCAGGUCGAACGUGCAAAUGGUCUUAUCAUGAGCGGCAUCAAACCCAGAUUAGUGCGGCCCCUCAAGGAAUCUAACACGCACUGGGUAGAAGAGCUCGACUCCGUACUCUGGGGGCUGCGGACCAUGCCGAAUCGCACCACCGGAUAGACACCAUUCUUUAUGGUGUAUGGCGCAGAGGCAGUUUUGCCUUGCGACAUAAUUCAUGACUCACCUCGAGUGCGCAUGUAUGAAGAAAGAGAAGCCGAGCUCGAUCGGCAGGACAGUUUGGACGCAUUGGAGGAGGAGCGUGAUGUGGCAAAAGCCCGUUCUGCAUUCUAUCAAUAGCAGGUUCAAAGAUACCAAAGCAGAGAAGUACGGGCCAAAAAUUACAACGUUGACGAAUUAGUUCUACGCCCGCCGGACAAGAAAAAGGACAAACUCAAGCCCAAGUGGGAAGGUCCAUUCAUAAUUGACCAAGUCCUGACUGGUGGAGCAUACCGCCUGCGAGAUGCAUCGGAUAACUGACUCGAGCCAAACCCAUGGAACGCAGCCCGUCUACGAAGAUUCUAUGCCUAGCGCCAGAUUCUAUGUUCGUCUCCUUCCUCUGUCCAUUUUUUAUAUACUAUCUGUCUUACAUUUCUCUCCUUCCCCCCUUCCUUUCUCUUAUAGCCUUUAAAGGCUCAUCAAAUGACGUGCUAUUCGCACUCAUUAAACCUGGGGGCUUCUUUUACCAUAAGCUUAUUUAUACGGGCUUCAUGCCCAACACAUGUGUGACACUUCCGCAUGUACCUUUUAUUUCACCAUUAUAUGCAUCGAUAUGACUUAUGUUUUGGCCAAGCUGGGUUGCCUGGCUCUUGUGCUUACCCCUACGUUCCCGAUUAUUCGGCUAGGCGGUAAAGGGAGCACCUCUACGAUUGUUACUGCCGGAUCAGCCGGAUGUGUACCUCAGACUGGGUGAAGCCGAAAGCUAGCGUUCUUAAGGGAAUAUUCGGUCGGUGACCUAAAAUAUGAUCUUUUUACUUAUAUAUUUAUGCGCCCCUAGAUGCUUUUUCCUGCAUCUUUUUCGCAGAAUGGGCUUGCACUUUAGGGCAUGCCUCCCAGGGAAAGGAACCCCUAACAGAACUAUUCUCCCUGGAAGAUGUUUCUUACUAACCAUGUAAUAUAACAUAACUAGUCGGGCACUUGUCUGUUCACGCACUAAUGACCCCUACACCUAGUCUCCAUGCAUUCCCCGGUUCUUAUAUAACCACAUGGGAAUUCGGACACACUCCGGACCGCCAGGUUCCGAGGUUGAAGCGAAAAGGUCGGCCAUGACAAACGAUCUACAAUUCGGCUAGAAGGCAUUAUAAAUGUCAAUUAAAUUACAUAGUCAUUCUGACUGAUUGUAUUCCUCUUCAAUACCAUCUAACAGGCUGUCUAAUUUACAGUCCUGCUGGGAAUACUUUGCGGCCAAUUCUACUUGGCUGUAUACUAAGCUUAUAGGGAUCUCCUUCCCAUCGGGCCCCACAGGACCGACCUCAGCCAUGUGGUUGGGGUCAGCCUUUGUGUACCGCGUCUUCAGCAUGGCCCAGGCCUUCCUAGCGCCUUGACGGCAGGCCGAUAUCUUCCACAAUCGAAAGAGCCGUCGUGCUCCCUUUAGCUUCUCCGCAAGCUCUCCAAGACCUUCAGGCACGGAGAUGGAUGGCCAUAGGGCCUGGGCGACGCCUCGCAUCGCCUUCCGAACUUGCUCGAGCAGUUGUGAGAGCUCGGGAAGAAGGUCACCCGUAGAACCGGACAUCUCCUCUGCAGGAUGACCUGUUAGCACACCUACAGACAUUACUCUGUUAGUCGACUUCCCCGCCGAACCUUUUUUUCUCCAAAGGUUCGCUCAAGCACUUACUGAAUAUGCCGCACCGAAGCCGCUGAUUCUCCUUAACGGAGUCCGACAGCUGGGCACGAACAUCUUUCAGCUCGACGCCCAGCUUGGUGUUGGCAUCUUGGAGAUCGUUCUUCUCCUGCCUCACCUUUGUCAGCACCUUCUCACCAGCCUUCAGCUGGCGUAGGAGGUGUUGCCUUUCCGGAUUCAAUCCGGCGCCAUCUGCAAUUUCAUUUGUCAGAUUCACACCCAUGUCGUGCUUCGCAAAACACUUAUCUUUCGAAGUGUAUAUUACCAGAGGGGGUCUCCUUGGGCUCCCCUGCCGUGGCUAGUGCGGCCUCAAGUUGGGCUUUGCACUCUUCCAGCUCCUGGGACAGUAGGGAAUUCUUUUCUGUAAGAACCUGCAUAACAUAUGAUCCUUAAAUUAGUUAUUCUAACUGUUUCAAGUCUCGGGGGCUACUGGUAUGUAUAUAUAAUUACCAAAAUUUUCUUACCCGUAUGUCUUUUACAUAUUGCUCCGUGGCUUUGGCUAGACCAUUUCGAGCGGCACGGAGGUACGCAUCUCCCGAAUUGAAGGCAUCUAAUGCCUCUCAGGAGAAACAAGUGUCACGAAGAAUUGUCCGGCAACGCCUGUGGUUCAUGGCGCUCUCCACCUCAGAGUUGGUGGCAGACAACCUGUCCACGUCCUCCGUCGGAGGAGCGUCCGGUGCACGCCUUGUGUUCGCCUCCGCCUCCGGACCAGGCUUUGGAGCCUGGCUGGGGGAGGCGCGAUUGGCAGCCUCUCCGGAUAUAGUCCGGCGAGGUCUCUUUGUCCUGAAGAGAACACGAGUGUUAACAUGCCUUGCAGGUAUAACACCUGGGAUAAGGGGGCGCGCCAUACCUCUGCACUGACGUCUUGAUCCGGACUGCACCUCUUUUCUGCCCACGGGGCCCUGCGGCCCCUCGUUGGCUUGUCGCCGCAGGUUCGGCCUCCCGUCUCAAAAACCUCCCCUGCAAAUUUCUUUUGUAAUCAGGAAACUGAAAACACGAGAGGGAGGACCCCUAUUUGGGGUACUGGGACUUCGAUCUUAGUUACCUGGGAGGCCGGGAUUAGCCCUGGGUAAUCGGCCGUAAUGGCCACCAAGGCAUUAUCCUUGCUCAAUUGAUGGACCACUCCAUCAAUCAGCUCCACAGAUAUGUCCGGAUCCUCUUGAGAGGCCGGGUCGAGGGACCGUCCUGGGUCCUCAGGUUGUGGAGGCGGGCUGUUUAUUUCUUUAACAGUCUGGCGCAGUUCUUGCGUUGAAGUCACUAGACUGAAUAUUUAACGACGAGGAUAUACAACGGAUGGGCAAGAUGCGACCACUUACCCAGCUUGGAGGAUUGUGCAUAGAAAAUCCACCCUUCGGGUCGACACGGAGAAAAUCCUCCUCUUCUCCCUUGUACAAAGCGGACAAGGUCUUUGUUAGAGCCGCAGCCGAAUUUGGCCCCUUACGGCCGUAGCGGGUGGCGUCGUUCUCCCCGUUGAAGUCCCGCAUGGGGUGGCCUCUAUACUGUAGCGGCUGCACCCCUCGCAUGGUGCAUGCGGCCAUGACCCCGAUCAUGGUCAGUCCGGAAUGAGCUAGCAAUCUUAUCCGGCCCAUCAGGUAAAUAAUGUCCUUGUCACUUCCCCUCUGAGGGCUCCGUGGACGCCAACUUAGGCGCUUCUUUAGUGGGGCACUGUCGAACUCAGGGAGGCCGAUCCGGACAGGAUCCGGCAGCGGGACGUCCUCUAUGUAAAACCAUUCCGAAGGCCAGUCCUCGGACGCCUUCUUUGGGGUUCCGGAUAGAUAUCCGGUCCCGGCGAUGCGCCACACUUCGGCUCCGCCGACUUGAUAUAUUGACCCCUUCUUAGAACCGGGCACGAGGCAGAAUAGCUCUUUCCACAGCCCGAAAUGAGCCUCAACACCCAAGAACAGCUCGCAGAGGGCUACGAAGCCCGCGAUAUGCAAUACGGAGGCAGGCGUGAGAUUGUGUAGCUGGAGGCCAUAGAACUCCAGGAGCCCCCGAAGAAAUGGAUGGAUUGGAAAUCCGAGCCCCCUUAUUAAAUAAGGGACGAGGCACACCCGCUCUCCUUUGGAGGGAUUAGGGGCACUCUCCGCUUGCUCUCCGCCAUUAUAGAUGGCAAGACUGGCUCGAACUGGGACCAUAUAGGCCGGGGGGAGAAAUCCCUUGGUCUGGAGCGUCACUAGCUCACUAUGCAGGAUGGAGCAUCUCUCCCAAUAUCCAGGCUGAGGGCUGGAAGGGCGAGAGGAGGAGUUGCGACGGCUGUCCAUGGUGGUAUGGACCUUUGUCGGAUGCGCUCUGAUGAACACUCGCGAAGGGGAGAAGGUGUGCUUUGGAUCUAAUCCUCGUCCCCUUAAAUGGGCGGCUCAUUUACGCGGCUAAGGGUGUGGAUGUAAAAACACUCAGACUUUUCAUAUUCGUUUGACACGUGGGAGAUGGCCACUAUUGGGCGUAGGAGCCGAGGAGCGCAACAUUUACAAGAAACUGGACUUUAUUCAACAGGUACAUGGAAUUUGGAGGAGAACCCGCCUUGCAAUGCCGAAGAUAAUCUGCGCGCCGGACUCAUCGUCAUUGAAGCCUGGUUCGGGGGCUGCUGAGGGAGUCCUGGAUUAGGGGGUGUCCGGAUGGCCGGACUAUACCUUCAGCCGGACUCCUGGAUUAUGAAGAUACAAGAUUGAAGACUUUGUCCCGUGUCUGGAAGGGACUUCCCUUGGCGUGGAAGGCAAGCUUGGCGAUACAGAUAUGUAGAUCUCCUACCACUGUAACCGACUUUGUGUAACCCUAACCCUCUUCGGUGUCUAUAUAAACCGGAGGGUUUUAGUCUGUAGGACGACGUACACAUCAACAAUCAUACCAUAGGCUAGCUUCUAGGGUUUAGCCUCUCUGAUCUCGUGGUAGAUCUACUCUUGUACUACCCAUAUCAUCAAUAUUAAUCAAGCAGGACGUACGGUUUUACCUCCAUCGAGAGGGCCCGAACCUGGGUAAAACUUCGUGUCCCUUGCCUCCUAUUACCAUCUGGCCUAGACGCACAGUUCGGGCCCCCUACCCGAGAUCCGCCGGUUUUGACACCGACAACGGCCAUGGACGGUAUUUGAAUUGCAAGACCUUUUAUCUGCAGUGAUCAGAAAAGAAUUGGAAUUAUUCAGGGUUCGUUUGGACAUUUUUAUGCAUGUAGUGAGUCUUCAAUGCAUUUAUGUGCAUAAUUCAAAUUUGAACUACAUGCGCAUGCUCCAGUGCAUAUAAAUUGGUUGAAAACUCAAAUCUCUGUCCUUGGGUGCAUGCCUAGGUCCCAUGCAAGAAAUGAGAAUGAAUUUCAAACACCAUGACACUGUUGAUUGCCGGCAAAACAUUGAGAUGCCUGGUUUUUAAAUUCUAGUAAAUCUAAAACUCAUCUGAAAUUCAUGAAACUUGGCAUGCUAUCAUGGAGCGGCAUCAACAUGUCGUGGUACAAAUUUUCUCCCAUUUGGGGCAGGUUUGGGUAUAUGCUUCUCACAAACUGGAGCUUCUCACAACAAGCAUGAUGGUUUUCGGUAGGGAACGUCCACUUUUGGGGAUGAAACGAUAUCCAUUGCCUCUUAUUGCUUUCAAGUUUUUUUCUUGUGUCAACAUAGAACAACAGGAGUGUUGUGUGAAUUUUUUUGAUUUUUCGGAGUUCGUGUGGACAUGUUUAUGCAUUAAGUGAGUUUUCAAUGCAUUUAUGUGCAUAAUUCAAAUUUGAACUACAUGCGCAUGCUCCAGCGCAUAUAAAUUGGUUGAAAAAUCAAAUCUUUGUCCUUGGGUGCAUUCUUAGGUCCCAUGCAAGAAAUGAGAAUGAAUUUCAAACACCAUGGCACCGUUGAUUGCCGGCAAAACAUUGAGAUGCCCGGUUUUUCAAUUUUAGUAAAUCCAAAAGUCGUCUAAACUUCAUGAAACUUGGCAUGCUAUCAUGGAGCGGCACCAACAUGCCGUGGUACAAAUUUUGUCCCAUUUGGGGCAGGUUUGGGUAUAUGCUUCUCACAAACCGGAGCUUCUCACAACAAGCAAGAUGGUUUUCGGUAGGGAACGUCCCACCUUUGGGGACGAAACGAUAUCCAUUGCCUCUUAUUGCUCUCAAGUUUUUUUCUCGUGUCAACAUAGAACAACAGGAGUGUUGUGUAAAUUUUUGUGAUUUUUUGGGGUUCGUUUGGACAUUUUUAUGCAUUAACUGAGUUUUCACUGCAUUUAUGUGCAUAAUUCAAAUUUGAACUACAUGUGCAUGCUCUAGUGCAUAUAAAUUGGUUGAAAAAUCAAAUAUGUGUCCUUGGGUGCAUGCUUAGGUCCCAUGCAAGAAAUGGGAAUGAAUUUCAAACACCAGGGCACAAUUGAUUGCCAGCAAAGGAUUGAGAUGCCUGGUUUUUAAAUUCUAGUAAAUCCAGAACUCGUCUGAAAUUCAUGAAACUUGGCAUGCUAUCAUGGAACGGCAUCAACAUGCCGUGAGACAAAUUUUGUCCCAUUUGGGGCAGGUUUGGGUAUAUGCUUCUCACAAACCGGAGCUUCUCACAACAAGCAUGAUGGUUUUCGGUAGAGAACGUCCCACCUUUGGGGACGAAAUGAUAUCCAUUGCCUCUUAUUGCUUUCAAGUUUUUUUCUCGUGUCAACAUAGAACAACAACAUUGUUGUGUGAAUUUUUGUGAUUUUUUGGGGUUCGUUUGGACAUUUUUAUGCAUUAACUGAGUUUUAAAUGCAUUUAUGUGCAUAAUUCAAAGUUGAACUACAUGCGCAUGCUCCAGUGCAUAUAAAUUCGUUGAAAAAUCAAAUCUUUGUCCUUGGGUGCAUGCUUAGGUCCCAUGCAAGAAAUGGGAAUGAAUUUCAAACACCAUGGCAUCAUUGAUUGCCGGCAAAACAUUGAGAUGCCUAGUUUUUAAAUUCUAGUAAAUCCAAAAGUCGUCUGAAAUUCAUGAAACUUGGGAUGCUAUCAUGGAGCGGCAUCAACAUGCCGUGGUACAAAUUUUGUCCCAUUUGGGGCAGGUUUGGGUAUAUGCUUCUCACAAACUAGAGCUUCUCACAACAAGCAUGAUAAUUUUCGGUAGGGAACGUCCCACCUUUGGGGACGAAACGAUAUCCAUUUCCUCUUAUUGCUUUCAAGUUUUUUUCUCGUGUCAACAUAGAACAACAGAAGUGUUGUGUGAAUUUUUGUGAUUUUUCGGCGUUCGUUUGGACAUGUUUAUGCAUUAACUGAGUUUUCAAUGCAUUUAUGUGCAUAAUUCAAAUUUGAACUACAUGUGCAUGCUCCAGUGCAUAUAAAUUGGUUGAAAAAUCAAAUAUGUGUCCUUGGGUGCAUGCUUAGGUCCCAUGCAAGCAAUGGGAAUGAAUUUCAAACACCAGGGCACCGUUGAUUGCCGGCAAAACAUUGAGAUGCCUGGUUUUCAAAUUUCUUGUAAAUCCAAAACUCGUCUGAAAUUCAUGAAACUUGGCGUGUUAUCAUGGAAGGGCACCCGACAUGCUGUGGUAUUUUUCCUAUCCAUUUUGAGAGAAGACGCACUCGAAUAAUGACAGCCAACAAAGGCAUUUUGAAAAAAAUAGCUGCCACUUUAAUAUCUUAAACGUUUGUAUAAUUCAAACCGUGUGCGUUCAGUUAACCGUUCACGUGACGCCACGUGUCUUGGUUUUAAUGGCUAUAGGAGGUGCCGUGUGGACAGCUUCUUGACUGAACGGGAGGUGUGCAAGCACAGUCCUAUGCGCAGGCUCACCGGGAAGCGUACAAGCUGUUCAAUGCAGGAUCUGUGCAUCUCUUCAAUGCAAACGGUUCAGAUUACGGUAUGCAAAUUAAAGCCAGACUUCGGCACUAAGCCAAGAGACACUGUGAUUUGUCAAAAUAUGCAGCUAAAAAUCAAUAUCACCAUCUAUUUUUUGCAACUAAAAUUCAGUAAUUAAGCAUAGAUUUCAUUCAUACUAGAGAUUAAGCAGUCGUUCUCACCGGGAAGCGAGACAAUCUUGGACCGCCACCCGCCUCGCUCCCACUGGUCUAUAUUAAUGGCGCCGCCGAGCGGCUGCACCCCCAUCCUUGCCACACACACAAUUACUCUCUCUCCGUCCGCAUCCUUGAUGCCUCUCUAAUUCCUCAAAGCCGUCAGUGUACGAGGAUGCCACCGAAGCACCCCAUCGGAGGGAGUGGCGACAUUGGGGCUGCUGAAGCACCGGAGCACGACGUGAAUAUGGAGACAGAGGUUCCCAUCCCCGCCAACAAGGUGGAGAACGAGGCUGCCAACAAGCGGAGGCGGGUCAAGAAAGAACUGCAAGCGACUCCGACAUGCCUAGACUUCAUCAACAACCUCACCUAUGAUAUGUUGAUAGUCAUCAUAUCCCUCCUCCCAAUCAGAAAUCAGGCGAGGACAGUCGUUGUUUCCCGGUGGUGGCGCACCCUAUGGCUUCGCACCCCUGUCGACCUCCUCCACGCCCACAAGCUCUGCCAUGGCUAUCGCAAAGUUUGGAUGCAUUCUUCCAGAUCCUCGGUAGUCACCAUGGCCCAAUCAAAGGCCUUAUCGUGGGAAAGUUCCGUUCCAAUGGCAAGGAGCGAGCCAAGCUUGACGAGUGGUUCCAAUCCCGCGCCAUAGAUCAGCUCGAGAAGCUAAGUUAUAAUGAUGGACAUAUGAGCUUGCUGCCAACGUCCGCGCUCCGCUUCGCGCCCAUGCUGCGCCUCACCAAGUUCAUGAACUGCCAUCCCCCUUAAUGACGCGCCUGCUCUUUUUCUACCAUGACUGAAGCACCUCGAGCUCGUCGCCAUCUGCAUCCCAAAGGAUGACAUGGAGCGCCUGCUCCGCGGCUGUACUGCACUCGAGUUCCUUCGUCUUCAGGCGAUGAAUUGGUCGAGCACCUUGCACAUCACCUCCAGGACUCUCCGCACUAUUUAUGUGUGUUGCUGGUGCUGCAACAAGAGAUCACAAAAGGUGGACCACAAUAUGGUCAUCCAGGACACACCUUCGCUUGAGAGAUUACUUGCAGUUGAUCAACAAGAUCCAACAAUAAUCAAUGUCAUUUCUGCACCAAAAUUGAAAGUGGUGGGCUACUCGUCUAUCAAAUACUACAACUUUCAGGUACAACAGUCGCCUUAUAUACCUCUCCUUGAUAUCAAUGUUAUAACUAGUUUUGAAGAUGUAUGUUCGUCUGUCAUCCAACGAAGCUUCACCCAGACUCUGGGCACAGUGAAGGUCUUGGCACUAGAAUCCAUCGUCCCCAACCUGGACCAAGUUUUUAGUUGCCUGAGAUGCUUUCCGUGCCUGAAGAAGCUGUAUAUCAAGGUGAUGUUCCUUUCCUAUUAAAUGUUAACCAUAAGGGAGUUCAAUUUUUUGCACCUUUUCCCAAGUUUAGAAUGACUAUGUACUACGAUUUCUGAAGGAAUUUUGGAGGAUUUUAGGACACACACCCCCACCCCAUAUUGGUUGCUUCAUUCAUAUGGUUACAAUCGUCCAUAAGCAUUUCUCCUUUGGAUUCAUCUGUACUAGUUUUCUUAGGGAAUUUUUCAUCAAAUCCAACCUCUUGUGAAGAAAGCUACAUGUUUCUAGAUUGUAAUCAAAUUAAUGCCCAUGUUAAUCAUGACAGGUCGAAGAUGGCACGUUGGUGCAUUUUACAAAUCCUGCAAACCAAAUGGGCGUGUAGCACUGUUCAAAACUGCAUGUAGGCACUAACACGUUCUCUUCUUUUGCAGUGCAUAUUAGGCCCAGUGGAAGAUGUUGAUAACGACAGUCACAUCGAAUGCCUGGAUCUGCAUCUCUCAAAUAUUACUUUGAACUCCUACCGAGGGACCCCACAGGAGAUUACACUCUCCAUGUUCUUUUUUUUUGAAUAUGUACUGCAAGGCAACAGCCUCAUAGCUCUUUAUUGAAAACAACAAAGAACAAAGUCCUAUUACAAGUCCAUACAAGAAGAGAAAAGAGGAAGACAGAAAUACUUACAAAGUUACAACCCAAGCAGGGCAAAGAAAAACACUACCUAAGGAAGGCUAGAGAUCCAUGUUAGAAGGCUAUCCUUGUAUUUACAUUUUAUCCUAUGAGAAAGAAGGGUUAUGUCAUGGAUGAAGUUAUGCCUCCAUGCUCUGAAAGAAGGUGUCUCAUUCCUGAAAACCUUGCCAUUCCUCAAGAUCCAAAUGUUCCAAGCUGUUGUAAAGACCACUUCAGUGAAGAAAGAAUGCCCAAAAUCCUUCCUAGCCUUUACUGCCAUGUUGUAAGUUGUCAUCCCAGGCUGUGGGUCCCAGAUAAUCUGCAGGUAAUUCCAGACUCUAAUGCUAAAAUUACAAGAGAAGAACAGAUGUGCACUAUCUUCAUGGAUCAGAUAUGGACAUAGGACACAAGUAUGAUCUUCCACAUGCCAAUGCCUUCUGAGUAGCAUGUCUCUGGUGUUUAAACGAUCUCUCAGCAGUAACCAACCAAAAAUUUUGAUUUUCAAUGUACAUGAAGAUUUCCAAAUCCAUUGGAAGAUUGGAUCAACAACAAUAUGCUGAUGCUCAUACACAUAGAAGGAUUUGGGUCUGAAACAACCCUUAUGAAAAGGCCAAAUCCAUGCGUCAUGAGUUGCAGAGCAAGAAUAAUCAUGAGUCAGCUAUUGAAGACAUUCCAGCUCAGCAAAGGCCUGUGUAGAGAUGGGCAAAUGCAAAUUUGACAAAAACUCCUGGGAAAGCGCAUCAGACACUGAAAGUUGCUCAUCAAUAACAAAGGAGAAGAGCCUGGGAAAUUUUUCCCUGAGACAGGAACCCUUAAGCUCAGCCAUCCAUCUGACCAAAAGAGAAUGGACCUUCCAUCACCCAACGCUGGAGUAUCCAUCUGACAAUAUUUGUCAACCAAUUUAAACACAUCACGCCACCAAAAAGAUCCACAGAGCGUGGUAGUAUGAGGGACAGAGUUGGCAUAGUAGGCAUUCCAAAUAAGGCCAACCCAGGGGAUGUCAUGAUGAUUAUAGAAUUUGUGCAAGAACUUCAUAAGCAAGGCAUCAUUCUGCACCCUGAGAUUAAGCAUACCAAGACCCCCUUUGUUUUUUGGUAAGCAUACCAAGUCCCAGGUGGCCAGAGAUUGUCUCGGAGUAUCAGAGUUUCCUCUCCAUAGACAUUGUCUCUGAAUCCUUUCAAUUUGCUUCAAAAUUCCAGUUGGGAUGACCAGUGUGCACAGGAAGUAUAUAGGCAUUGAUGUUAGGACAGAGUGGAGCAACUGCAACCUACUACCUUGAUUCAGAAAACAUGAAGUGGCAGACAAUCUUCUUUCAAUCCUAUGCACAAGGGGCAUGAGGUCUUGGAUUGAGGGCCUUGUAGUCCCCAUGGGUAGACCCAAGUAAGUAAAAGGCAUGGUUCCUAUGCUACAACCAAGAAUUGAGGCUAACCUAUUAGCUUCAUCAGAUGACAAGUUCCUAGGCACCAUAAGGGAUUUUGUAAAAUUUACAGAUAAUCCUGUUGUCGCAGCAAAGACAUCGAGCAUGUCUUUAAGAGCAAGCAGUUGGUGAUCAAUAGCAGGCAACACAAUUAGUGUAUCAUCAGCAUACUGAACAAUGGGGUAAUCCUGACUGUUGGAAGGGAUUGGCAAAGUCAGAAUUCGUUUACUGCACAUGUCGUUGACAACAGACUGAAGCAGGUCAGCGGCAAGGACAAAAAGAAGAGGUGACAUUGGGUCUCCUUGCCUGACUCCUCUCUUACAUUUAAAAUGGUUACCAAGAACACCAUUAAGAAGCACAGAAGAAGAGCCAGACAAAAUAGUUUGCAUCCAGGAGAUCCAUUUUUCAUUGAAACCCUUGUAUCUUAAGAUUCUAAGAAUGGCAUCAUGCUCAAUAGUGUCAAAGGCUUUAGUAAAAUCCAAUUUCAGCAGCACUAUUGGUCUCUUUGAAGCAUUACACUGGUGAAUAUACUCAAAGCACCAAGCUAGACAAUCCUAAAUAGACCUAGAUUUAAUAAACCCAUAUUGGUUUUUAUGAAUACAGGAAAGGAUGACCUUCUGCAACCUGUUUGCCAAAAGUUUAGUGAGGAAUUUCAAACAGGUAUUUGUCAAAGAUAUUGGCCUGUAAUCAUUCAAACCCUCAGGUGAAAGCUUUUUUGGGAUCAAGGUUAUGAGAGAACUGUUGAUACACUCCAAAUCAAGGUGCCCCUCAAACAACUCUUUGACCAGUUGAUGAAAGUCAUCUUUAAUUAUGUGCCAACACUUUUUAAGAAAAAGGCCAGUGAAACCAUCUGGCCCAGGUGCUCUGUCAGGAGGCAUUUCCUUAAUAACACAAUCAAUUUCCUGCUCAGAAAAGGGCUUGGUCAAGUCAUCUAGUCCCUGAACCUUCUUAAUAAUAUUUGGCAUAUCAAAACCCAUUUGUGUAUUAUUUGUGCAUCCCAUCCUCUGCUUGAACUCCUGCAGAAAUAAUCCAGCAAUUGAUGCAUGAUCAGAGGUCACUUGCCCAUCAUCAGAAGUUAUACUAGAAAUAGAGUUAUUCCUGUAUCUCUCUGUGGCCAUGGCGUGGAAAAAUUUGGCGUUUUCCUCUCCCACUUUAAUGUUUCUAAUGGUACAUCUCUGCUUCCAGUAGAUAAAUUGCAACCUUAGAGUUUCCUCCAAGUGUAACUUUACAAUUUUCCUGAAAUUUUCCUCAGGCCCAGACAAAGGCCUUAACUCCUCAAGACCAUCCAGACAAAGAAUUACUUUAUUGCAGUUGGAAAUUAGAGCCUUGAUGGUAGAAAGGCUAAUGUGCUAGUGUUUGAGUGCCUGCCUGAGAGCUUUGAACUUUGCAGAUAUUAUAGCAGCAGAAGAUCUCUUAUGAACUGAUCUAUUCCAAGAUUCACUGACACAAUCAAGAAAACCAGGCAAAUUAGUCCAGUAAUUUUCAAAUCUAAACACUUUGGCCUUGGGAAUAGUGGUUUUGAUUUGCACUACACAAGGCACAUGAUCUGAAGUGGUUCUAGCCAGAGGAAGGACCAUAGUGUUAGGAAAAGAACAUGUCCAUGAAGGGGUUGUAAAAAACCAAUCAAUCUAUUCAAGCAAAGGAGCAGUUUGCAUAUUUGUCCAAGUGUACCUUCUGCCCUUGAUAGGUAAUUCAAUUAAGCCCAGAUGCCCAAUAACCUCAUUAAAGAUGAACAUGUCAUUAAUAUCACCACUUGGUUUAUUCCUAUUAUCCAUUGAUCGCAUGAAAUUGAAAUGACCCAGUAACAACCAGUUAGCAUCAUCAGGGAUAGUUAUAUCAUGCAACCAAUUAAUAAAAUUAUCUCUAGCUGGAUUUUGACAGGGUCCAUAGACUAAAACUAGAGUCCAGGUUUGGGAGUUAUGAACAGACAUGAACUCCACCAUAAUACCAAAACUAUUGGACUCAAUUAGCUUCCCAGCAAACAAAGCAGUAUUCCAUACGACUAACAACCCACCCGAGGCUCCAGACGAAGGCACAUGGAUAAACUGAUCAAAACGUCGUGGACAACACUUACAGAUGAAAUGCUGAUCAAUGACCUCACAUUUUGUUUCUUGGAGGCAAACAAUGGAACAAGCACUCUCAUCGAUUUUCUGACGAACUGCACGCUUUCUGUCAUCUGAAUUCAGACCUCGCACAUUCCAACAGAGAACUUUCCAAUCUCUAACAUCAUUGUGGUUCAUUACAGACCAUAAUUAAGUAACAGCAAAAGACUGUCACAUAAUGACAGUACCAGUUCAGCCAAGGGAUAGCAUAAAAGUUCAGACAAAGCCUAAAAGAUAAGUGCAGAUAAAUGGUUUUCACAAGGGUUAACCAUAAACCCCACCAAAUGAAAUGAUCAGCUAUCAUUGGAGCUAGGAGGAGCAGAAGACUUGCAAGAAGAAGCCUCAAGCUUCUCCUUAGUGAGCUUCUCCGGCCCAAUGCCGAGGCGAAGACCAACCUGCUGCAGCACAUUGAUUGGCGUGGGCGGCGGCACAGUAGGUUGAUCUGCAUCGUGAGGAGGAGCCCGCGGUAGUUCGCCAUCCACAGUAACCUUGCGCUUCUUCUGGGGCUUUGCUGCAGGUUUCUUCAUAGGGGACUUGGCUGGAGUAGAAUGCCUGAAGCCAUCACGUAAAGCUGAGAGCCUGGCACUGCGCCUAACCUCAGACUCAACAAUCACAAACUUUGGUUUACGAGCACGAGCUGGACGCUGACUUGGGGCUGCAGAGAAAUUAAAGGCAUACAUCUCAACCGCAGACAACGCUGGGUCAACCACGGCACAAUUCUCAGCAACAUUGUCAAAACAAAGUGCACGAGCAUCAGGAGGCUUCCUUUGAAUAUUUACCAUCCGACGAACAGGUGAAGGAUGAAAAACCAGCUUGUUCUUCAUAGCAAAGUAAGAAAAAGAUAACUCCCAAGAGCGCUUAGACAGUAGAACUGGUUUGAAAGGACUGAAAAACUGUAACCCUCGAGGAAUGUGCAUUGUAUCAAAGACUGGCAUCAUACGCUGAAAAGAUCUUGUCCAUUGCAUUACCGGAGGAAGCUCUGGUCUGAAAACUGUCAGAACUUGACCAACAACAACGUGAGGCUGGAUCAGAGGAGGCACAUAAGCUGCCACAACACCUUGCUGGUUAUUGACAGAUCCCUCAGUAGAAUCAACCGGCCCCGAGUUCUCUAAAACCACUGACUCUUGAGAAGCAGGUAGUGCUUCAUCAUCAUGAAUCUCCUCAAUAAUGACAUUGUCAUGCUGGUUAUGAGGCUGCGGAUCAUCAUUAUGAGCAUGAGGGUCCUUAUUCCAACCCAGCUCUGGAAACUCAGGCAUGACAAAGUUAACAUAUUCAAAGUGCAUGUUCCCGGGCAACAGAUGAGGGUUUCCAUUGAAAGGCAUCGGAUCUUCAUCAGCUGGCAUAAUGUCAGCAAAUUCUGCAGAGAGCACAUAGAUAGGUGCUGUCCAAGAAAGACGCGUAGCUCCAAAGUCUGCAUACUCACGAUAGACAACAUCCCUAGGUACUUGCUGAGGGCUUGGGAAAGAAACAUAAACAAGAGUCCUGACUAGCCGCGGAUCAUCCCGAUGCCAGAUAUGAAAACGACCAAAGGUGCUAACUGCCUCAGAAAUAUGUUGUGUUGUGCGGUAGUCCAAAGGAACACCUAACAUCAUAAUCCAGCCCUACGAAAACCCUGAAUAGCUCUGUGAUUGAUGCCUUGAUCAUGAGGAACAAACCAAACAAAGUGACCAUUGCCAAGAUCAUAAGGAGGAUGAUUUAUAAUGGCAUGCCUGGAUGCAGGAGAUCGGAACUCAAAUAAACCAACACCCUCAAUCCAUUGUUGAUCACUAAGAACGUCACAGUGAAGCUGAGUCAUCACAAAGUCACUAACCAGUUGCCUGAAGUGAAGGAUCUAUCCGGGUGGCGGCGGAGGCUCAACAAAGCCAAUGGCAAACUGCUCAUGGCGACGGUCCGGCGCAAUGGCUGGAGAGUAGAAAGUCCGAGGCACGCGGGUUGGCCCUCCAUCGAUGAACUCGAACCCUGGUGGAAGGAACUCAAGAGGAUCUAGUGGAAAAUUUGCCAUGGCUUGCUUUGGUGGAGGUGGAGCAGGUUGGUGGUGCACGGGAAGUGGUGAAGACGUGAUGUGACUCGUCUGCGCCGGCGCGUGGGUCAUCUCUAUACCCGAGGAGUCCCUAGGCGAUGGAGUAGUAGGCUGACUCGUGGCGGGCAUGGGAACCAACAGUGGAUAUUUUUCUGGAUUUUGUUUCGUGUGUUUAACUCUCCAAACAUAACCAUUAUCCUGGGCCCAAUUAAUGCAAUCCCGACGACGAUGACCAUAACGUGAGCAAGCCAGGCAAACAGGACAAGAGACCGACAAGUGGCCCCGCUGGUGACAGUUGGAACAAGUUAGAACUCGGUCCACCAUGUCAUUGACCAUAUCAUCAAACAAAACAGCAGCUUCCUGAGUAGACGGAAUGUCCAUUGGCUAGGUGGUGGGCUGUAGUCCGUCAUGGAGGGCUGGCCCAACAUGGGAUGCAGGAGAAUCGGGAGCAGAUGAGAACAAACUAACCGCCUCAGGUGAAUUCCGUUGAAUCCGCGGCGGGUCAACAGAACCGAAAGUAAUCGACGGAGAAGCAACAGUCCACUAGAGAUUCACCGGCGGCGAUGGUUGAAUGAUCAAACGCUCAUUUGCCGGGACAACAUAUCCAGCAUCAGAAAGAGUAUCAAUACAAUCCUGCGUGGCCGGAUAUCUAUAACCCUUGCAUGCAUCAUAGCUUUGGAACAUUGAAAAAGACAUUUUCUUUUGCACAGAACCAGAAGAUCUAAAAGAGGACUUAGACGGUGGUUUAUGCAUAGCGAUUAUCCCAAGCGCCGCCCGUCUCUUAGAUGGGCUAACUAAGAUCCAUUCCGCAUCACUUUGCAACUUCCAAAGUUUAAACUCUCGAACCCAAUUUGGUCCUCCACGGCCCCAAAGAUUGAAAUAACAUUUGAAUUGCGGGCAAGCAAAAGAUCGAAGAUCAACAAUAGAAAAACCAACUUGCUUGGAAGAAACAUUGAAGGAAUAAACCUUGUCACGUAAGCAUGAGACACCCAACUCGAUCGCAGAUCCACCAAUAGCAGCCUCUAGAGCCGCCGCCACAGAAUGAUCAUCAAGCCUGAAGACAUGACGGCUAAAGGACACCACCAACAUGAAGUGACCUGUGUCCUCCGUAGGGUGGACCGAAAAACUAGUAGAUCUGAAAACUUUAUCCGCAAACUCCAAACCCUUGGAGAAGUCCAAGCCAAGGGUUGAUCCAGAUGAGAAAACCAUGACCCCUGAGUGAGGGGGAGACGCCGGAGAGAUUGGUAGGGAAAGAUUAGGGUUUUAGUGGUGGUGGGAGGAGAUCGCCGGAGGUGGGGUGGGAGGUGGGAGGUGGGAGGGAGGAGACGCCAUCCGCUUUGUUAAAAAAACCAAGGGUUAGGAGAGAUUGUCCUCCAUGUUCUUUCUUGCCAGAGCAAAGGUGCUAAGGGUACUAAGGUUGAACAUGAAUUUAAUUAGGAAAGAUCAAUGGUAUGAUUAUCAGAGGCGGUUGGUACUACGAAUGGAAGUGCCUCCAAAAAUGCCAAACUUCAUAUUGGAAGAGCAUAUGGCAAAGCAAUUGGAAGUUAUUGUGUCAAACCCAUACAUGACUUAUCAGCGGCUGAUCCCUUUUCAAAAAUGACACAGCUUGCAAUGUUUGAAUUUGGGUGUUGUAAUAUUUGUACUAGAACCUUGCAAUAUUUAUGGUAUUUGUUAUAUUGAACCAUUUCUGUUCUCUUGUCUCAACGCAAACUAUUCAUCCGGGUGAACCGCAUGUCGUACAUCGCCCACACCUUGAUCUGGCCGACCGUUUCUUUUGUGUUGCCUAAUCACAAAUAGUUCAUCUGAGUGAACCGUAUGUUGUACGUCGCACACGCCUUCAUCAGGCUGCCCGUUUCUUUUGUUGCUCCUCAUCGCAAACGGUUCAUCCAAGUGAACUGUAUGUUGUACAUCGCACACACCUUGAUCUGGCUGACCGUUUCUUUUGUGUUUCCUAAUCACAAACAGUUCAUCCAAGUGAACCGUAUGCUGUACAUCGCACAUGCCUUCAUUAGGCUGCCCGUUUCUUUUGUUCCGCCUCAUCGCAAACGGUUCAUUGGACUGAACAGUAUGCCCUAGAUCGCACACGCAACUAAAAUCUGAACCGUGUUUGAUGCAUCCUCCAUUGCAAACGUUUUGCACCUUUUUUUACAGUUUUUUACAUCCUCGUUUGUGAUUAAUGCAUGGCACACAGUUUCAUGAAAGGGUCUCUGAUCGUAGUGUCGGGUUAGCAGCAUCCUACAGUAGUGUCUAUACAGCGAAAAUACCAAAAAUAUUUAUCUUAUUAUCAUUAUCAGAUCUCACUUUUGCAAGUGGCCGUGAAGGGAUUGACAACCCCUUUAUCGCGUUGGUUGCCAGGUUCUUGAUUGUUUAUGAAGGUACUAGGCGACUCGUGUGUUAUCUCCUACUGGAUUGAUACCUUGGUUCUCAAAAAAUGAGGGAGAUACUUACGCUACUUUGCUGCAUCACCUUUCCUCUUCAAGGGAAAACCAACGCAUGCUCAAGAGGUAGCAAGAAGGAUUUCUGGCGCCGUUGCCGGGGAGAUCUACGCUCAAGUCAAGACAUACCAAGUACCCAUCACAAACUCUUCACCCUCGCAUUACAUUAUUUGCCAUUUGCCUCUCGUUUUCCUCUCCCCCACUUCACCUUUGCUGUUUUAUUCGCCCCUUUUUUCGUUCGCCUCUUUUUGCUCGCUUCUUGUGUGAUUUUGUGUUGGAUUGAUUGUUUGUCACGAUGGCUCAAGAUAAUACUAAAUUAUGUGAAUUUUCCAAUACCAACAACAAUGAUUUUAUUAGCACUCCGAUUGCUCCUAUUAUCGAUGCUGAAUCUUCUGAAAUUAAUGUUGCUUUGUUAAAUUUUGUCAUGAAAGAUCAAUUUUCUGGUCUUCCUAGUGAAGAUGUCGCUACCCAUCUAAACAACUUUGUUGAUUUGUGUGAUAUGCAAAAUAAGAAAGAUGUGGAUAAUGAUAUUGUUAAAUUGAAGCCAUUUCUGUUUUCUCUUAGAGAUCAUGCUAAAACUUGGUUCUCUUCUUUUCCUAAAAAUAGUAUUGAUUCAUGUAAUAAGUGCAAAGAUGCUUUUAUCUCUAAGUAUUUUCCUCCUGCUAAGAUCAUCUCUCUUAGAAACGAUAUUAUGAAUUUUAAGCAACUUGAUCAUGAACAUGUUGCACAAGCUUGGGAGAGGAUGAAAUUAAUGAUACGUAAUUGCCCUACACAUGGUUUAAAUUUAUGGAUGAUUAUACAAAAAAAUUAUGCCGGAUUGAAUUUUGCUUCUAGAAAUCUUGUAGAUUCGGCCACGGGAGGCACUUUUAUGGAAGUCACUUUAGGAGAAGCUACUAAACUCCUAGAUAAUAUUAUGGUUAAUUAUUCUCAGUGGCACACUGAAAGAUCCACUAGUAAAAAGGUUCAUGCGAUUGAAGAGAUUAAUGUUUUGAGUGGAAAGAUGGAUGAACUUAUGAAAUUGUUUGCUAAUAAGAGUGUUUCUUCUGAUCCUAAUGAUAUGCCUUUGUCCACUUUGAUUGAGAAUAAUAAUGAAUCUAUGGAUGUGAAUUUUGUUGGUAGGAACAAUUUUGGUAACAACGCGUAUAGAGGAAAUUUUAAUCCUAGACCGUUUCCUAAUAAUUCCUCUAAUAAUUAUGGUAAUUCCUACAACAACUCUUAUGGAAACUUUAAUAAGAUGCCCUCUGAUUUUGAGACUAGUGUUAAAUAAUUUACGAAUUCGCAAAAGAAUUUCAAUACUUUGAUUGAAGAAAAAUUGCUUAAGAUUGAUGAGUUGGCUAGGAACGUGGAUAGAAUUUCUCUUGAUGUUGAUUCUUUGAAACUUAGAUCUAUUCCACCUAAGCAUGAUAUCAAUGAGUCUCUGAAAUCCAUGAUAAUUUCCAUUGAUGAAUGCAAAGAAAGAACCGCUAGGAUGCGUGCUAAAAAAGAUUACUUUGUGAAAGCGUGUUCUUCUAGUCUACAUGAUAAUAAAGAUGUAGAUCUAAAAGCGAUUGAUGUGUCCCCUAUUAAAUAUUUGUUUUCCAAUAUGAAUCUUGAUAAAGAUGGGACUGGAGAUGAGUCAACUUUAGUUAAAAGGUGUCCCGAUGAUUCGGAGUUUUUAGAUCUUGAUGCUAAAAUUAAUAAAAGUGGGAUUGAAGAGGUCAAAACUUUACAUAGAAAUGAACCCACUAUUUUGGAUUUCAAGGAAUUUAAUUAUGAUAAUUGCUCUUUAAUAGAUUGUAUUUCCUUAUUGCAAUCUGUGUUAAAUUCUCCUCAUGCUUAUGAUCAAAAUAAGGCUUUUACUAAACAUAUCAUUGAUACUUUAAUGCAAUCUUAUGAAGAAAAGAUUGAACUUCUAGUUUCUAUCCCUAGAAAACUUUAUGAUGAGUGGGAACCUACUAUUAAAAUUAAAAUUAAGUAUUAUGAAUGCUAUGCUUCAUGUGAUUUGGGUGCUAGUGUUUCCACGAUUCCAAAAACUUUGUGUGAUGUGUUAGGUUUCCGUGAAUUUGAUGAUUGUUCUUUAAAUUUGCACCUUGCGGAUUCCACCAUUAAGAAACCUACGUGAAGAAUUAAUGAUGUUCUUAUUAUUGAAAAUAUGAGUUAUGUGCCCGUAGAUUUCAUUGUUAUUGAUAUAGAUUGUAAUCCUACAUGUCCUAUUAUUCUUGGUAGACCUUCCCUUAGAAAUAUUGGUGCAAUUAUUGACAUGAAAGAAGGAAAUAUUAGAUUCCAAUUUCCAUUAAUGAAAGGCAUGGAACACUUUCCUAGAAAGAAAAUUAAAUUACCUUAUGAAUCUAUUAUGAGAGCCACUUAUGGAUUGCAUACCAAAGAUGACAAUACCUAGAUCUAUUCUUGCUUUUAUGCCUAGCUAGGGGCGUUAAAUGAUAGCGCUUAUCGGGAGACAACCCAAUUUUAUUUUUGUUCUUUACCUUUUUAUCCUGUUUAGUACUAAAUAAAUCAUCUAUCAUAUGUUAUGAUUGUGUUUUUUAUGUUUUAAAUAGUGUUUGUGCCAAGUAAAGCCUUUAGGAUCUUCUUGGGUGAUUGCUGUUUCAUCUUGCUGAAAAAACAGAAAGUAUGUGCUCACGAGAAUAAUUUUCAUUUUUUACCUGAGAGCGAUAAAAUACCAAUUCCAGAUGCAUUAGAUAAAUAUACGAAUUAUUUAGGUCAUCCUAAUUUUUACGAAUUUUUGGAGUGACAAAAGUAUUCGAAACCUCCAGAUUGCUACAGACUAUUCUGUUUUUGACAGAUUCUAUUUUUCACGUGUUGUUUGCUUAUUUUGAUGAAUAUAUGGCUAGUAUAGGGGGUAUGAACCAUAGAGAAGUUGUAAUACAGUAGGUUUAACACAAAUAUAAAUAAAAAAUGAUUUCAUUACAGUACUUUAAAGUGGUGGUUUGUUUUCUUAUACUAACGGAGCUCAUGAGAUUUUUUGUUGAUUUUUGUGUUGUGAAGUUUUCAAGUUUUUGGGUAAAGAUUUGAUGGAUUUUGGAACAAGGAGUGGCAAGAGCCUAAGCUUGGGGAUGCCCAAGGCACCCCAAGGUAAAAUUUAAGGACAACCAAAAGCCUAAGCUUGGGGAUGCCCCGGAAGGCAUCCCCUCUUUCGUCUACAUCUAUCGGUAACUUUACUUGAGGCUAUAUUUUUAUUCACCACAUGAUAUGUGUUUUGCUUGGAGCGUCUUGUAUGAUUUGAGUAUUUUCUUUUUAGUUUAUCACAAUCAUCCUUGGUGUACACACCUUUUGGGAGAGACACACAUGAAUCAGAAUUUAUUAGAAUACUAUAUAUGCUUCACUUAUAUCUUUCGAGCUAGAUAAUUUUGCUCUAGUGCUUCACUUAUAUCUUUUUAGAGCACGGUGGUGGUUUUAUUUUAUAUAAAUUAUUGAUCUCUCAUGCUUCAAUUAUAUUAUUUUGAUAGUCUUUUAGAACAGCAUGGUAAUUUGCUUUGGUUAUGAAAUUAGUCCUAAUAUGAUAGUCAUCCAAGAUGGGUAUAAUAAAAACUUUCAUAUAGAGUGCAUUGCAUACUAUGAGAAGUUUGAUACUUGAUGAUUGUUUUGUGAUAUGAAGAUGGUGAUAUUAGAGUCAUGCUAGUAGAUUAUUUGUGAAUUUUAUAAAUACUUAUGUUGAGUUUUGCAAGUCCCAUAGCAUGCACGUAUGGUAACCGUUGUGUAACAAGAUUGAAGCAUAAGGUGUUUCUUUGAUUGUCCUCCUUAUGAGUGGUGGUCGGGGACGAGCGAUGGUCUUUUCCUACCAAUCUAUCCCCCUAGGAGCAUGCGCGUAGUGCUUGGUUUUUGAUGACUUGUAGAUUUUUGCAAUAAGUAUGUGAGUUCUUUAUGACUAAUGUUGAGUCCAUGGAUUAUACUCACUCUCACUCUUCCAUCAUUGCUAGCCUCUUCGGUACCGUGCAUUGCCCUUUCUCACCUCGAGAGUUGGUGCAAACUUCGCCAGUGCAUCCACACCCGGUGAUAUGAUACGCUCUAUCACACAUAAGCCUCCUUAUAUCUUCCUCAAAACAGCCACCAUACCUACCUAUUAUGGCAUUUCCAUAGCCAUUCCGAGAUAUAUUGCCGUGCAACUUUCCACCGUUCCGUUUAUUAUUACAUGAUUCAUCAUUGUCAUAUUGCUUUGCAUGAUUAUGUAGUUGACAUAGUAUUUAUGGCAAAGCCACCGCUCAUAAUUUAUACAUGUCACUCUUGAAUCAUUGCACAUCCCGGUACACCGCCGGAAGCAUUCAUAUAGAGUCAUAUUUUGUUCUAGUAUCAAGUUGUAAUUUUUGAGUUGUAAAUAAAUAGAAGUGUGAUGAUCAUCAUUAUUAGAGCAUUGUCCCGUGUGAGGAAAAAAGAGAGAGAUAAAGGCCAAAAAAAGAUAAGGCCCCAAAAAAAUGAGAGAAAAAGAGAGAAGGGGCAAUGUUACUAUCCUUUUUCCACACUUGUGCUUCAAAGUAGUACCAUGAUCUUCAUGAUAGAGAGUCUCUUAUUUUGUCACUUUCAUAUACUAGUGGGAAUUUUCAUUAUAGAACUUGGCUUGUAUAUUGCAACAAUGGGCUUCCUCAAAAUGCCCUAGGUCUUCGUGAGCAAGCAAGUUGGAUGCACACCCACUUAGUUUCUUUUGUUGAGCUUAGCUCUAGUGCAUCCGUUGCAUGGCAAUCCCUACUCCUUGCAUUGACAUCAGUUGAUGGGCAUCUCCAUAGACCGUUGAUUAGCCGCGUCGACGUGAGACUUUCUCCUUUUUUGUCUUCUCCAUACAACCUCCAUCAUCAUAUUCUAUUCCACCUAUAGUGCUAUGUCCAUGGCUCACGCUCAUGUAUUAUGUGAAAGUUGAAAAAGUUUGAGAAUACUAAAGUAUGAAACAAUUGCUUGGCUUAUCAUCGAGGUUGUGUAUGAUGAGAGCAUUUUGUGUGACGAAAAUGAAGCAUGGACAAACUAUAUGAUUUUGUAGGGAUGAGCUUUCUUUGAGUAUGUUAUUUUGAGAAGACAUAAUUGUUUGGUUAGUAUGCUUGAAGUAUUAUUAUUUUUAUGUCAAUAUUAAACUUUUUUCUUGAAUCUUUCAGAUCUGAAUAUUCAUGGUACAAUAAAGAAAAUUACAUUGAAAAUUAUGUUAGGAAGCAUUCCACAUAAAAAAAAUCUGUUUUUAUCAUUUACCUACUCGAGGACGAGCAGGAAUUAAGCUUGGGGAUGCUGAUACGUCUCCAACGUAUCUAUAAUUUUUUAUUGUUCCAUGCUGUUAUAUUAUCUGUUUUGGAUGUUUAAUGGGCUUUAAUAUGCAUUUGAUAUUAUUUUUGGGACUAACCUAUUAACCAGAGGCCCAGUGCCAGUUUCUGUUUUUGCCUAUUUCAGUGUUUCGAAGUAAAGGAAUAUCAAACGGAAUCCAAACAGAUGAAACCUUCGCGAGGAUCUUUCUUGGAACAAACGUCAUCUAGGAGACUUGGAGUGGAAGUCAGAGACGCAAUGAGGCAGCCACGAGGUAGGAGGGCGCGCCCCCACCCUCGUGGGCCCCUCGUAGCUCCACUGACAUACUUCUUUCGCCUAUAUAUACUCUAAUACCCUAAAAACAUCCAGGGGAGCCACGGAACCACUUUUCCACCGCCGCAACCUUCUGUACCCGUGAGAUCCCAUCCGGGCUCCUUUUCCGGCAAUCUACCGGAGGGGGAAUCGAUCACGGAGGGCUUCUACAUCAACACCAUAGCCUCUUCGAUGAUGUGUGAGUAGUUUACCACAGACCUUUGGGUCCAUAGUUAUUAGCUAGAUGGCCUCUUCUCUAUCUUUGGUUCUCAAUACAAAGUUCUUCUCGAUGUUCUUGGAGAUCUAUUCGAUGUAAUAUUCUUUUGUGGUGUGUUGCCGAGAUCCGAUGAAUUGUGGAUUUAUGAUCAAGUUUAUCUAUGAACAAUAAUUGGUUCUUCUCUGAAUUCUUAUAUGCAUGAUUUGAUAUCUUUGCAAGUCUCUUCGAAUUAUCGGUUUAGUUUGGCCUACUAGAUUGAUCUUUCUUGCAAUGGGAGAAGUGCUUAGCUUUGGGUUCAAUCUUGCGGUGUCCUUUCCCAAUGACAGUAGGGGCAACAAGGCACGUAUUGUGUUGUUGCUAUCGAGGAUAAAAAGAUGAGUUUUAUAUCAUAUUGCUUGAGUUUAUCCCUCUACAUCAUGUCAUCUUGCCUAAAGCAUUACUCUGUUCUUAUGAACUUAAUACUCUAGAUGCAUUCUGGAUAGCGGUCGAUGUGUGGAGUAAUAGUAGUAGAUGUAGAAUCGUUUCGGUCUACUUAACACGGACAUGUUACCUAUGUUCAUGAUCAUGCCUAGAUAUUCUCAUAACUAUCCGCUUUUCUAUCUAUUGCUCGGCAGUAAUUUGUUCAUCCACCGUAAUACAUGCUAUCAUGAGAGAAGCCACUAGUGAUAUGGCCCCAGGGUCUAUUUUAUAUCAUAUAAGUUUCUGAUUUACAAUUCUAGUUUACUAUUUAUUUUAUUUUGCAAUCUUUACUUUUCAAUCUAUACAACCAAAAUACCAAAAAUAUUUAUCUUAUUAUCAUUGUCAGAUCUGACUUUUGCAAGUGGCCGUGAAGGGAUUGACAACCCCUUUAUUGCGUUGGUUGCAAGGUUCUUGAUUGUUUGUGCAGGGACUAGGCGACUUGCGUGUUAUCUCCUACUGGAUUGAUACCUUGGUUCUCAAAAACUGAGGGAAAUACUUACGCUACUUUGCUGCAUCACCCUUUCCUCUUCAAGGGAAAACCGACGCAUGCUCAAGAGGUAGCAAUAGGUGGGAGGCAACCCACCAGAGUAACGACGGCCUUAAUGGCGUGUCGGGAGAUGUAUGUGUGGCAGACGACUCAGGAACCACCACCUUGACGGUCACGCAGGCUGCACGAUGUGUCUCCUGACGUCCAGAAGCUGACCUUUGUGCUGACGACCCAGUUCUUUGUCGUCAGACGGCAAACGACAAAGCCUCCCGUUAGCCAGCUAACGGGGCUAAUGCAUGGAUUUUGCCGUCCAUGUUAUUUGCCAUCUGCCACCGAUGGCAAAGGGCCUUUGCCAUCCUCUUUGAGGAAGCUGAUGACAAAGAACAUGUUUACCGUCACUCUCUUUGUCGGGCAGGUUUGCCGUUGGUGGCAGACGGCAAAGAGCUUUAUCGUCCGCUUUUGGUGCCUUUGCCGUUUUCCAUGGCAGACGACAAAUAAGCUGAUUCCUGUAGUGUUCAUUAGGGCUACCAGAAAGUUGUUCUUUCAUAACAAGAUUUAGCAAAGCAACAUUAAUAUCACAAGUCUCCACACUAGCCGUGGAAGAGCAAUAGGAGUACUAAUACAAUCAUUAUUAUUAGUAUUGGAAAAAUCACACAAUUUUGUAUUUCUCUUGAGACAUCGUGGCUAUGCAAACAGGAAAACGAGCAAACAAGAAAAAGGCAAAAAGGAAAAUAUUUUUGUAUUUUUUUAAAAGCUUUUCUAUAAGUGGGGGAGAUAAAAACGAGAGGCAAAUGGCAAAUAAUGUAAAUGCAAGGACAUGAAAGUUUAUGCGCAGGUACUUGAUAGAUGUUGGUGAUGUCUCCCCAGCAACGGUGCUAAAUUUUUUCCUGCUACUUGUGAACUGUGUUGGGAUUUCCCGAAGAGGAGAUGAUGAUGCAGUACAGUAGAGAUAAUUAUUUCCCUCAGUUAUGAACCAAGGUUAUCAACCCAGUAAGAGAACCAAGCAACAACUCGUUAGCAGCACCCGCACACAAACAACAAAUCCUUGCAACCCAAUGCGAACAAGGGGUUGUCAAUCCCGUGACGGUUACGAGCAGGAUUAAAUUGUAUGGUAUUUGAUAGAUAGAUCGGAAAAAAUACAAAAUAAACUAAAUAAAAGAAAAACGCAGCAAGGAAUAUUUGGUUUUCAUAUCUUUACUCUUUACCUAAUCUAUACCUACUAUUAAAAGGAGGUGAUAUUCUUGGUUUCAUCCCGCUUCGUUUGGUCCCGCUUCAAUUAAUUUCACAUACGCUAUUUUGUUUAGUUAGUUGCCACCCGUUCUAGCCCAACGGAGGAAGCCACUUGUUGGCGCACUAUGACCCAGGUCCAAAGAGCUGGCAAAAAAUAAAAUUGCCCAUGGAAGAGUUCGAUCUCAUAACCUGCCAACCGGCCACGCACCCAUCUAGCGAUAUGAGAGGAUUUCUUUUCUCCUGUUGCAAAUCACAUGCCUUUUUGCUAGUAAUAAUAAAGGGGCUAUUGCUUCUUAUACCACCAUAAUUUCGUCCGUAGUUUCGUCCGUCCGUAUAUACCUUAUAUCAUCUAUCGUCCUACUGCAGCAUUGUGCGUUAGCGCUCGACAAAAAAACUAAUACAUGCACGCGAAGCCACAACCUGUAGCAAAGUCCUAAUACAAUACGGUCACGAGCCGGCCCUCCUUCAAUAAAUACAGCCACAACUAAUCCUCCUCCUCUACUUCUUCGAAGCACGACCUAUGGUCUCGGUCUGGGUGGGAUUGGCCUCCAUCGGCCCGUGCACGUCGUGCCGUGUUACCCGAUGGCGAGCACUCGGUACCCUAGGCACUACGGCAUACCGUCUCAACGAGAUGACAUAGAUUGGCACAUGACACCAAAUCGUGGAGCCCGACGAUGAGGAUGGGCUCACAGAGCUUGGGCAACCACUAGCAUCACCGUCUCACGAGGUCUUCUCCUGCAUCGUGAUAUUCAUAUCCGCCUGCUUAAUUUUUCAUCCUCAGUUCACAAGAAAUCAUCAUCGGCGGCGACGAUCGGACGAUGACACUCCAGAGACCAAUUAACACAGCGAGGAAUUCCUUCAAUGCGGGCGUGAACUGGGCGCCGCCGUGGGAGUGUGCAGGCAGGCACACUAUGCAGUAGCAGGAUGGGUGACUGCAGUAUCACGAUGGACUCAUCGCCCCAGUCAUGACAGCUCCCCUGCCGAACCAACGAGAUCGAAGCUAUGCAGGCGAGCCCAGUGCUGGAGGAGGGCCGGCCUAAUCUUCCCGGUGAAGAAAUCCCUACAAGCAAAUUCAUAAUUAGACCAUGCUACUUGCGUCCUUACGAAAUUCUGAGUCAUAUAGAUUGGAUCCCCUAAUCAUGUCAGGCGCAUAUGCGGUUCCAGAACGGCACUUGGUAGCAAGGCCCUUGAAGAAAUCUUUCAGUAAGACGGCCAGGAGGCCGAUGGCAGGGUCGCCGUGCCAGGCAGCGAUGUUGGCAACCUCUGUCGGAUUUCGGGUUCCGGCAGACCCUUGAGGUUCGAACACUGGGGUGCACGCGGAGAUUUCGCCUCCUACCUACCUGCACCCCUCCGCCUCGCUAAGAUCUAAGCUAUGGAAAGAACAACAUGAGAGACACAGGGUUUAUACUGGUUCGAGCCAUCGUUGUGGUGUAAUACCCUACUCCAGUGUGUGGCAUGGUGGAUUGCCUCUUGGGCUGAUGAUGAUGAACCAUACAAGGAAGAACAACCUCGCGAGGGUCUGUUGUUGGCUGGGGCGAUGAACUGCUGGGAGGAGUUCAGUCACCCUUCUCUCUCUCUCUCUCUCCGAUUGUUGAUGCCCCUCUCUGCCCCGGGGGUGGCUAGUCCUAUUUAUAGAGGCCCUGGUCCUCUUCCCAAAUAUCGAGCGGGAAGGGAGCCAACAAUGGCGGGCUAAUUUGAAGGGGGACAGCUAGUACCAGCUAUCCUAACAAAAGCAGUCUUCGACUGCACAAAGCUCUAGUGGUGACGCCGUCUUGGGCUCCACAAUGACCUCCGUCUUGCAGUCAUCCUGGUCCUGGUCUUGUUGCACCGAAAUGACAACCUUUGCCUGAUGCCUCGGUACUCUGCGGCUGUGCUUGCCCCCUUUGUACCAAAGAGGAAAGGAGGACACUCCGCGGGCUGGCACCCACCUGGCGCCCUUGGUCGUCAUGGCUUGCGUCAUGGGCACCUCGUGAGGUACCCCGCCUUGAUCUCUCCGCCUCCUCGCGAGCCAGCCUGAUGAGGCCAUGCCUAAGGAAGCUCCGCGUCGUCUGCCCCGCGAGGCUUGGCCCCUCGCAAGGGUCUUGGGUCUGUGUUGAUGAAGAUGGGCCGUGCUGGGCCCCCUUUGAGCCACGCCGCAGGCCGCGGGCAGGCAAGUCUGGGGACCCCCGUUCCCAGAACACCGACAGUAGCCCCCGGGCCCAAGGCGCGCCCGGACUUGGCUGUGCAGGGAGGCGGAAGGGCAAGAGCGAAGCGCCAUGGGCCCUAACAGCCUGCGGCCUUGGGCGCCGCGUGGCGGUUGAUUGGACGUGGGCGUCUCCACUUCCCCAUGGCGCCUCGGCAACUGCACAGAUUGGACAAGUCCCUGCAUGCAAAGCGGGUCAUGAUUACCUGCGAUCGUGGAGGUCGGCGGUUGGCCUUCGCCGGCUAUAAGUAUGGAACGGUGCGCGCCCUUCCAGUCCAUCCCUUCUUGCUUCUCCUUCUUCCCGAUCCUUGCUCUGUCUUGCUGCGCUGGCCCUGAUCCGCCAGUUCUCAACGGCAGAGAAGGAAAAGGCUCCCCGAGAGGAACCAGUCCCGCUCCCGCCGAAGAAACGACUCGUCCUCCGCGGCCCGGAUGAGGGGGCUCAUCAGGUGGUGUCGAGGCCCUGGUGCGAGCGGGCACCGCCGGGGUUCCCGCUUCCCUUGUACGCCCACAACGAGGGCCCUGAAGGAGCUGAUGCUGAUUGCCACGGGCGGCGCCACCGUCGGCGCCGACGGGUCACGAAGGUGUGGGUCGUCCCCCCUGGGGUCCACACCGAGGGCUCCUCCCGAGAGUUCGUGUUUCACGCCGCCAUGCCUCCUCAGUCUUGGAUUCGCCUUCCUCCCUUCUUCGCCUCCAUCAUCCCGCAGGGAGAGCCCCUGGAGCUUUGGCUGCAGCACGCCGGCUGCAGCACCCUCGCGACCGAGGCAGAGGUCGCGGUCGUUGCCCCGGGCGAGGUCUUCAUGACUCGGGGCUGGAGCGAAAUCGCCCGGGUUUGCAGGACAAGGGGUGCCUUCGCGAUCCACUUGGAUUACGACGGUGCUUCGGUGAUGUUCUUCAAGGUCUUCGAUGCGAACGGGCGCCGGCUGGAGUGCUGCCCCAGGAGAGGUGGCUGGGACCCUGCUGCGGCGAGGACUGGGCCCGCCGACCGCUCCCUUGGCGGCUCCUCAGGCGGCGGAGGCAUCGGGGGUUCCAGCGACUCCAACGAGCUCUUCGCGACUCUGGAGACGAGCGACGACAGCUACGAGCCCCCGAGCCGGCGCCGCUCCUAGAGCAGGGCGGGCUCGUCAGGCCGCCGCCGACUCUGAUCUGGAUGGGGUUGGCGCCGGUGCUUGACGGCCCACUGUUGAUGAUGGUGUAUUCUGCAGGGGCGCGCGUAGUUAGUGUCCCUUUAGGAUCUGUUCCCUGCGAGGAAUCAAAGACGCGUCCCGUGGGGGCUUGUAAGGUGCCUGUGAUCCUAUUUUGUUAAUAUAACCCUUGUCGUAGAAUUGUGCGAGUUGCUCAUUCCGUCUUGGCUCAGUCCUCCCUUUCAAACCUCACGAGGGCUUGGUGCUCUGCGCCGAUAGGCCCCAAUCCCAAGGCGGCUUCAGCUGUCGCUGGUAUGCCAGGUCACGAUGCCGUGGUCAAGGCCAGGAGGUGAGCGACCCGGAGUCCGAUAAGAGCCCCUGAGUCGCGAUGCUUAGGAGGUCCCCUUUGGCGCUCAAGCAGCCGUCAUUCGGUGAGAAAGGAGAGCGGCGUCGCUAACAUGGGAUUGCAUUAGGUGCGGGGGUGGUGCCAUGGUAGCUGGCGCUUCCGGGUGGUGACUUAUCUCGAGAAUCAGGGGCCGCUCUCUGGUGUGUCGCCGGGUCCAUGCAUCGGCAGGCGCGAGGUUGCUCGGCGAGGUCCUCGCGUGUCCCUCCCCUCUCGCCUUUGCUCCCCUUUCUGCUCUACGUCCUUGGGUCCCGGCCCUCGAGCGAGUCUCAGCCGUCGCUGGUAUGCCAGGUCGCGAUGCCGUGGACAAGGCCAGAGGGUGAGGGCUCGAGAGCCAGUAGGAGCCCCGAGUCGCAAUGCUCAGGCACCCCCCUUUAAUGUGCAAGCGGUUCGCGCGGAUGAGAGUGAAGGAGACACUGCAAGGGCCUCGCCUGACGCAGCUCCUUCAGGAGAUCCUAUAGACCCAUCACAGAAAAAACAAGGGGUUGCCAUGACAAUUGAUAGUCAGCCGUUGGUUGCUUCCGAGGGGUACGAGGCACUGAAGGCUUGACGAGGUGGCGCCAUGCGGGGCUGCCGCGGCCAGAGCUCAGCCAUUCAGGUUUGUCGGUGUUGCAGGGACGGACCCAUGCGCAAGCGUCGUGCCUUUUGAGAGCAGUUCCGUCAGUUGGCGUCAGUUGAGCGGGCAGCUAGGUCAAACACAUUAUCCGCAAAGGAGUGGAUUCAUCCAAAUAGAUGCUGGGAAGGCAGACAUCACUGGGUCAGGCCUGGGUAAGCUAACAACAUGAAAUAAAAGGGGUACAUGCCGCAGGGAUGGACCCACGCGGCCUGGGAAUAAUGCAGCCCUGGGGGGCGCUCCCAGCUGGAAGUGAAACUUGAAAGAUGUCACCUGAUGACGUUGAGGACGAAGGGGUGUUGGUGUAGCAGACUUGGUGGGCUGCAGAAGCCGAUCCUCAUGAGCCCCCAGGCCCGGGGGCCUCGGGAGGCACCGGAGGUGCCGGCGGCUCCCCGCGGACCAUCUCCAUCUCCGCCAGGCCUGUGGAACGCCUGGCCUCUUGUGCCUCCAUGAUGCCCCUCAUGAGGCGCGGGUACAUGGCAGCCGCGUUCGGCAAGCCGUAAGGCAUGCGAACGUAGCUGUGGGGUGGACCUCCGCAGCGCCCCACUCGCGAUGGCCAGAGGCACUCCAGAGAGGCGACUCGGUUGAGCCCUGGUAUGUCGAUGUAGACGCGUAGCCCACCAUCCUCGCCUGGAUGGGGAGCCACUGCUGGUAGACGGCGGCCGCCUUUCAUGACCCUUGACUCCUGUAGCUCCUGAAUGGCCUUGCUGACAAACUCCUGAGGGUCUGGCUCUCCUUUCCUUACUCCUUCUUGAGGGAAACAUGCUUCGAAACACGCCUCCAUGUGGUUCCCAAGCGCCUCCCUCGUGACUCUAGCCAGGUCGGUGGCCCUCCAGGGGAGAGCCCCCGAGCCCUGCCUGAGGAGGGCGCCGAGCGCGCUUUCCUAUUCGAUGGAAGGAGGUUCCCCCUGGGCAGGCACGGGCCCAGAGGGGCCUGCCUCCUGAGGGGCCGGGUCGGACAAUGUCUUCUUCGUCUUGGGGGCGGUCUCAAGAAGCCUCCUGCUUCCGUGAUCUGGGUCUUCCAGUGACGCGGCCUGAAAGGCUCGUUCCAGGGAACACACCGCGUCCUUCUCUUCACAGGGCACCGUGAUGACUCCGCCACUUCCUGGCAUCUUGAGGACGUUGUAGCCGUGGUGAGUCACGGCCAUGAACUUGGCCAGCGCUGGGUACCCAAGGAUGGCGUUGUACGGCAGGCGAAUGUGAGCGACGUCGAAGUCGAUGAGCUCGGUGCGGUAGUUGUCGUGUGCCCCGAAGGUGACAGGGAGGUGGACCUGCCCAAUCGGGACCGUGGAGCCGUCGGUGAUUCCGGAGAAGGGCUUGGUUGGCUAAAGCUGGCUGUAGGGCACUUGGAGAUUGUUGAAUGUUUCCACGCACAGGACGUUGAGCCCUGCUAUCACACCCUCGAUGCGACUAUAGCUCCUACGUGUCGAGGCACGACUUAGAGACAUAAUCGCAUUGAAGGCAGAUGUCGCAAGUUAGGCAAUCUACACAACAUCCCAUGUAAUAAUAAUAAAAGGGGAGAUAACAUAGUUGGCUUACACUCGCCACGUCAAUCAAGUACAUAAAUAACAUUACAUCAACCAUACACUCAAGGCCCGACUACGGCGCCAAAAUAAAAGAGAACCCAACAUGCGACAACGGUCCCGUUCACCCCCAACCGGGCACCACUACUGAUCGUCGGGAAAGGAAACGUAGUAUCAUUGAGAGUCUUCGUCAAACUCCCACUUGAGCUCAUACGCGUCUCCUAGAGCAGAAUCAUCAGGACCUGCAUCUGGUGAUAUAGUAAUCUGUGAGCCAUGGGGACUCAGCAAUCUCGCACCCUCGCGAUCAAAACUAUUUGAGCUUAUAGGUAUGGCAAGGUAAAAUAUGAGUGGAGCUGCAGCAAGCGACUAGCAAAUAUGGUGGCUAACUUAUUCGCAAAAGAGAGCGAGAAGAGGAGGCAAAGCACGAGCGAGAAGCUAGAGAACAACCUGCACAAACAUUACUCCAACACCGUGUCCACUUCCCGGACUCCGCCGAGAAGAGGCCAUCACGGCAACACACUCAGUUGAUUCAUUUUAAUUAAAUUAAGGUUCAAGUUAUCUACAACCGGACAUUAACAAAUUCCCAUCUUCCCAUAACCGCGGGCACGACUUUCGAAAGUUCAAUCCCUGCAGGGGAGUCCCAACUUAGCCCAUGACAAGCUCUCAUGGUCAAUGAAGGAAUAGACCUCCUCCUAAGAUGUUCCGAUCAGACUCGGUAUCUCGGUAACUCAAGACACUUCGACAGGUUAAAACAAGACGAGCAAUACCGCCCGAAUGUGCUGACAAAUCCCGAUAGGAGAUGCACAUAUCUCUUUCUCAGGGAACACUUAGAUGAGCAAGACGUCGGGUGGGCCAGCCCAGAGUUGCCCCUGGUAGCCCCCGGACAUCGCUCAGUGGGACCAACACUCAGAGGAGCACUGGCCGGGGGGGGGGGUAAAAUAAGAUGACCCUUGAGUCUGCAGAACCCAAGGCAAAGAAAAGGCUAGGUGGCGAAUGGUAAGACCAAGGUUGGGCAUUGCUGGAAAAGCUUUAAACAAGGCGUAAUAUCAAGGGGUUCCCAUUAUAACCCAACUGCGUAAGGAACGCAAAAUCCGGGAACAUAACACCGAUAUGACGGAAACUAGGGCGACAAGAGUGGAACAAAACACUAGGCGAGAGGCCGAGCCUUCCACCCUUUAACAAGUAUAUAGAUGCAUUAAGAUAACAUGGCAAUAUAAUGAUAUCCCAACAAGUAAAUAAAAGAUGUUCCAACAAGGAACGGCCUCCAAUCUUCACCUGCAACUAGCAACGCUAUAAGAGGGGGCUGAGCAAAGCGGUAACAUAGCCAAUCAACGGUUUGCUAGGACAAGGUGGGUUAGAGGUUUGACAUGGCAAUUUGGGAGGCUUGCAAGCAAGUGGUAGUCAUCGUAGCAAUGGCAUAGCAAAAGAGCGAGCAAACUAGCAUAGCAAAGAUAGUAGUGAUUUCGAGGGUAUGAUCAUCUUGCCUGCACAGUUGUCAGAGUUGACUGGAUCCUCAAAAGCAAACUCAACGGGCUCCUCGUUAGCGAACUCGUCUCCCGGCUCUACCAAACAAGUCAAACAAGCAAUAAGGAUACAAUCAACCACGUGCGAGAACAAGUAAUAUGAUGAAAUGAUGAUAUGCUAUGCGGGAUGCGAUGCGGGAUGCAAAAUGCAAGAUAUGAUAGGAAAUGCAUGAACCUGGCCUCAACUUGGAAUUCCAAGGGUGCCACUGGAAAGAUGAGAUGAAAUCGCUUGAAAAUGAUAUAAAGAACGCCGGAAUCGGAGUUACGGUUUGGAAAAGGCAAGCGAUUCAAAUAUGACACCGGUCUGCGAUUUACAGCAAGUAGGCAUCUAAAUGCAAUGAGAUGAACAUGCUACAACACCCAAACAUGACAACAAAAUACAUGGCAGGGAUGCACACAAGAUGCUUAACAAAAGUCUAGCACUGAGCUACGGCCAAUUCAUCCAUUAGGAGGUUUAAACAAGCAUGGCAAAAACGCAAAUGGUAAAACAGAUCUUAGACUUAGUAAAAUUAACACUUGUCUGGAAUUUCAGAUCAUAUAGCCCUCUUCGGAGCAACAAAAUAACAUGCUACAGGACCUGAACAUGACAAAGAAAGACAUGGCAUGGAGCUACUCAACAAGCUUAACAAAAGUCCCUUAGUGACCUUGAGCCAAAAGGGAUCACAAAAUAUACUAACAAGCACACGAACGUAGCAAAAACAUAAUUAGUUUUCAGACUUAGUGAAAACUGGGACAUGCUGAAACAUAACUCACGAAGGCAUGUUUACGAGCUCGAUGCACUCACCGCGGUGCAAGUCAUGGCAAGACAAGCGUACAUCCAACAAGAAGGCACAAAAAACAAGCUAGAAAUGGCAAGAACAAUAGCAUAGCAUGCACGGAUCAACUACAAUAACAUCGGCAAAAUCGCAAACAAGUUGACGAUCUGCCCAGAUUCACAACGAAGCAAAAGUAGAGCUCGAUUGACUCAAGCUAGGCUGCUCCAUAAUUGAAAACAAAGACAUGGAUGGAUAGAGCACUACAAGAUUAACAAAACUCCCUUACUGAUCAUCCUCAAAAGAGGCACGGAUCACUAGGAAACAACAAGAACAUAUGGCAUUGUGAGAUAAACAAUCCCAGGACUUAGUGAAAUUACUAAGUCCCUGAAAACAGAAUUAGCAAGUGCACCACUUUGCAAGCUUGCACAAGUCACCACACACAUCCUAAAAAUACAUGGGUUGCACCUCUGGAAAGAUGACAAAACCCUUAACAAAACAUAUGAAGAACUCACGGGCAUAUCAUGCACACAUUAAUCAUGGCAAAAAUGAUAAAAGUGCUAAACAGAGUAGCAGAUCUGACAAUUAACUCAAGUAGCCCUCUUCUAACAGCAUUUCGGGCAUCAAGAUGAACUCAAAUGAAAAUGAUGCAAUGGAAUGAAAUGAUGCACUCUCUGAGAUGAACAUUUUGAUAUUCUAUAUGCCCAAAUCGGAGCUACGGAUGCGAAGUUACGGGGCCGCGAACAGGGGCAUAUGGACUGAAAAUUUGAGGACUUGAAGAAAAAAACAACCCCAGAUCUAGGGUUUGCACGGAAACCGAGGCGGCGGCGGCACUGUAGCUGUUCGUCGGGGAAGAAGCAAGCAGCAGCCGGUGGUGGAGGGAGGAGGCGGCGCCGGCGUCGCCUGGGGCCGACGAUGGCCGGGGCGGCGGGGCCGGACGAAGGGCUGCGGGGCCGGNNNNNNNNNNNNNNNNNNNNNNNNNNNNNNNNNNNNNNNNNNNNNNNNNNNNNNNNNNNNNNNNNNNNNNNNNNNNNNNNNNNNNNNNNNNNNNNNNNNNNNNNNNNNNNNNNNNNNNNNNNNNNNNNNNNNNNNNNNNNNNNNNNNNNNNNNNNNNNNNNNNNNNNNNNNNNNNNNNNNNNNNNNNNNNNNNNNNNNNNNNNNNNNNNNNNNNNNNNNNNNNNNNNNNNNNNNNNNNNNNNNNNNNNNNNNNNNNNNNNNNNNNNNNNNNNNNNNNNNNNNNNNNNNNNNNNNGAGGACGGGCGGCGGCGUGCUUCGAUCGCCGGAGUUGGUCGCCGGCGACGGCAAAGAUCCGGCAAGGCGAGCGGAGCCGGGCGGCUCGGGCAGCUCGGCCGGGCGGCGGCGGAUCUGGGCCCGCGCGGGCCUGCCUCGGGCCCCGCGGGCCGGUGCGUUGGGGAGGAGAGAGAGGAGGCGGCUGGGAUGAGGUGGCGGCGUCCGAUUGGGCCGGAGCAGUGGCGCGGCUGAUGUGGCGGACCCUGAUUCGUCGGGAUGAUGUGGCGGCCGCAGUGGACACGUCCAGCGGCGGGAUGGACACGUCCGGUGGCGCGAGGAGGAAGAUGGCUAGGGUUCAUCCGCGAAUUUCGGGAGGGGAGCACAUAUUUAUAGGUAGAGGGGGCUAGGAGAGUCCAAAUGAGGUGUGGUUUUCGGCCACGCGAUCGUGAUCGAACGCUCUAGGACAUGGAGCAGAGUUUGGUGGGUUUUGGGCAAAAUUGGAGGGGUGUUGGGCUGCAACACACACGAGGCCUUUUCGGUCCCUCGGUUAACCGUUGGGGUACCAAACGAAGUCCAAAUGGUACGAAACUUGACAGGCGGUCUACCGGUAGUAAACCAAGGCCGCUUGGCAAGUCUCGGUCCAAUCCGGAAAUGUUUAAUCCCCACACACGAAAGAAAGCUAGAAAUGGCCACCGGAGGAGAACGAAGCGCCGGAAUGCAAAACGGACAACGGGGAAAAUGCUCGAAUGCAUGAGACGAACACGUAUGCAAAUGCAAUGCACAUGAUGACAUGAUAUGAGAUGCAUGACAAUGAUAACAACACACGGAGACAAAGACCCGAACCCAAGAAAAUAAAUAUAACUUAACGCUGGAAACGGCAAGAGUUGGAGUACAAAUUGGGAAAGUUACAUCCGGAGUGUUACACCUGCCUCGCCAUCGAUAAGGGUCCUGGUGACCACCACGUUGCUGAUGAUUGGGGAACAAAGCACUGGGAGGACUCCGGCUGUAGCCGCACACUUGAGCUGAUCUGCUGAGCUGAACGUGAUGGCGCACGCCGACCAUCUGAGAGGGCGCGUGGCUUCAAGCCUGGGGAGGACUGCAUUCACUUCGCGGGCGAACUGCUUGAAGAUGCGUUGAGAGGCCGGGGCUUGAGCCCCGCCCAGGAUGCAGGCGAUCGCGCGCGGCUCCUGGAAGCCGCCAGCCCCCUCGUCUUGGUGGCGGUCCUCAUUUCUCCUUGGCUGCGACGGCAGCGGAGGGAGGCCUGCGUUGCCUUGCGGGCGAUCCUCGCGAGGCUGAUCCCUCCAGUCUCCCUCGCGAGGCGGGUGUUGCCAGCGAUCCUCGCGAGGUUGAUCGCGCCACCCUUGGCACGGGCCACGGUCUUCCAAGCGUCCUGCGUUCCUUCCUCCUCCUCGACCGUAGCCCCGGUCAUCGCGGUCGGGGCGACGGUCGAUCCUUCCUUCCUGCACGGCUCGGAGCUCUUGACAUUCGUUGGUGUUGUGGGUGUGGAGGUCGUGGUACACACAGUACCGGCUGCCCUUGGAAGGUUUGGGCUGAUCUCUGCCCCGCUUGGUGUCUGGUUUUGCCGCGAGCACGGCAGCCCCCUUGCGCUUCACAUCCUUGGCCUUGGGCUUCUUCUUUUCUGGGUCUGUGGCAGGCAGCUCGAGGAGGGAGAGACGCCCUUCCUCAUCCCUGGCGCACUUGGUUGCCAAGUUGAACAACUCCAAAGAAGUGCACGGGUCUUCAUGCAUCGCCAGCUCCUCCUUUAUCUUGACAUCGCGCACGCCGUCGGAGAAGGCUGAGAUGAUGGCCUCCUCAUUGACCUUGGGAAUCUUGAGGCGUGCGUUGUCGAAGCGCUGGAUGUACUUCUACAGGGUCUCCCCGGGUUGUUGCUUGAUGCGGCGCAUGUCGCUCACGGCGGGUGGCCGGUCGCGAGUACCUUGGAAGUUGGCGAUGAAGCGGGUGCGCAUCUUGUACCAGGAGGAGAUCAUGCCUGGAGCCAGGUUCAGGAGCCAGGUGCGGGCCCCGUCCUUGAGUGCCAUGGGGAACCAGUUCGCCAUGACCUUCUCGUCUCCGUUGGCAGCUUCGAUGCCCAGCUCGUAGAGCUGGAGGCACUCCACAGGGUCAGCCGUGCCAUCAUAACGAGGAGGCAGGUCUGGCUUGAACUUGCCAGGCCACACGACGCUGCGUAGCUCGGUGAUGAAGGCACGACAGCCUACUGUGGCCAUGGGAGGCCUUGGGUGAUGGAGAGCUUGGUCUUGCAUGUCCCCACGCGCUGCAGCUGGGAGCAGCGCGGGGUCUUGACAUGCUGGAGCAGGAGCAUGGCCGUGACGUGCUGGAGCAGGGAGCGCCCAGGCAGCUUCUUGCGGGCGAGGGAUUUCCUGGCAGCUCUACCCAGGGGCCACGCGCCUUGGAGCCAUGGCGCCUUCUUGAGGAGGAGGCAGCCGGGGCGCCGCCGGAGCUUCGUUGCCCGCGCGGGGCGGGGUGCGGUGCAGCGGAACGGACGACGCAGGAGAGCCCCCUGCGGCGCGGACGAGCUCGGCGACGCGGUCGAGUCAUUCUUUGCAGACGUCAUCGACGGGACGGUAGAGCAGGAGCUUGUUUGCCGCGAUGAGCGCAGCUCGAGCCUCCAUGGGUGCGCGGAGCACGCGGGACGAAGAACCAGCUGGGGUGAGCGAGGGAGUUGCGGUGCGGCCGUCUUGCCGCACGGACGGAUGCUGAGACGAUGCUUGCUGCUCUUCCCCCGCCGGGCUGGUGGCGGCGUUGACGGCAGGUGACGGGGAACGGCGAGGAGCCCACCGACAGGAGCCGUCUGGGCGACGCGGGAAGCGAGAGCGGCCCAGUGCUCGGCGCGGGCCCGACAAGCGUCAGACAUGGGCACGAUGGUCGGAGGAGAACGGGGUGGUGGAAGAUGAAUUCCGGCGCACCCCUACCUGGCGCUCCAAAUGUCGGAUUUCGGGUUCCGGCAGACCCUUGAGGUUCGAACACUAGGGCGCGCGCGGAGAUUUCGCCUCCUACCUACCUGCACCCCUCUGCCUCGCUAAGAUCUAAGCUAUGGAAAGAACAACACGAGAGACACAGGGUUUAUACUGGUUCGGGCCACCGUUGUGGUGUAAUACCCUACUCAAGUGUGUGGCGUGGUGGAUUGCCUCUUGGGCUGAUGAUCAUGAACCAUACAAGGAAGAACAGCCUCGCGAGGGUCUGUUGUUGGCUGGGGCGAUGAACUGCUGGGAGGAGUUCAGUCACCCUUCUCUCUCUCUCUCCGAUUGUUGAUGCCCCUCUCUGCCCCGGGGGUGGCUAGUCCUAUUUAUAGAGGCCCUGGUCCUCUUCCCAAAUAUCGGGCGAGAAGGGAGCCAACAAUGGCGGGCUAAUUUGAAGGGGGAUAGCUAGUACCAGCUAUCCUGACAAAAGCAGUCUUCGCCUGCACAAAGCUCUGGUGGUGACGCCGUCUUGAGCUCCUCAAUGACCUCCGUCUUGCAGUCCUCCUGGUCCUGGUCUUGUUGCACCGAAAUGGCAACCUUUGCCUAAUGCCUCGGUACUCCGCGGCUGCGCUUGCCCCCUUUGCACCAAAGAGGAAAGGAGGACACUGCGUGGGCUGGCACCCGCCUGGCGCCCUUGGUCGUCAUGGCUUGCGUCACGGGCACCUCGUGAGGUACCCCGCCUUGAUCUCUCCGCCUCCUCGCGAGCCAGACUGAUGAGGCCGUGCCUGAGGAAGCUCCGCGUCGUCUGCCCCGCGAGGCUUGGCCCCUCGCGAGGGUCUUGGGUCUGUGUUGGUGAAGAUGGGUCGUGCUGGGCCCCCCUUUGAGCCACGCCGCAGGCCGCAGGCAGGCAAGUCUGGGGACCCCCGUUCCCAGAAUGCCUACAACCUCCGUGCUAUAUAUAUUGCUGGGCCUUGCCUUCUGAUAGUGAUACAUAACCAAAUAGCUGAUGACGACAAUGAUGUUGAACCCCAUCAGCGCCAUCGUCCCGGCCCCACGCGGCAGUCGAACACCUUGCUGGUGCAAGACCUCCUAUUGGAAACGAAUAUUUUGGCAAUGCAACUCGAUGUAUUGAUCGGUGCAUAGCGCACGUAUAUAUGGAGUACAAGGUGGGCCACAACCUCAACUAUACAAUGACUAGGAGGUGGGCCGGACUAUACAAUAUACAUGCACAAACCAUAUAUUCAACACCCCCCCCCCCCGCAGUCGAAGCGUCGCCAGAGACGCAAAGAUUGGACCUGAACUCCUCGAAAACAGAAGUAGGAAGUCCUUUUGUCAUAACAUCGGCAAACUGUUGUGCCGUCGGGACGUGGAGGACCCGGAUGCGCCCAAGGGCCACCUGCUCACGAACAAAGUGUAUGUCGAGCUCAAUGUGCUUCGUUCGUCGAUGAUGGACCGGGUUGGCGGAGAGGUACACGGCGGAGACGUUGUCGCAGUAGACGAGUGUGGCCUUGUGAACAUCACAAAGCAACUCCUGGAGCAGCUGACGAAGCCAAGAGCAUUCGGCAAUGGCGUUAGCCACUGCCCGAUACUCUGCCUCGGCACUCGAGCGAGAGACCGUGGGCUGUCGCUUGGAAGACCAAGAGAUUAGAGACGGCCCAAGGUAGACACAGUACCCCGAAGUGGAGCACCGUGUGUCCGGGCAGCCAGCCCAAUCCGCAUCAGAGUAGGUGACAAGGUCGGUAGAGGCGGAGGCCGUCAGUGUAAGUCCCAUGGACGUAGUGCCGCGUAUGUAACGGAGGAUAUGCUUCACCAAGGUCCAGUGAGAGUCACGCGGAGCAUGCAUGUGAAGACAGACCUGCUGAACGGCAUACUGCAAGUCGGGGCGCGUCAGAGUGAGGUACUGCAAGGCACCCACAAUGGAGCGAUAGAAGGCCGCAUCGGAUGCGAGAGAGCCCUCCAGAGCUGAAACCUUGGCCUUGGUGUCAACAGGCGUGGGAGCAGGCUUGUAGUUAAGCAUGCCGGCAUGAUCGAGAAGCUCAUGGGCGUAACGCUGCUGGUGCAGAAAGAACCCAUCUGGCCGUCAAACCACCUCAAUGCCGAGGAAGUAGUGGAGGGGACCCAAGUCCUUCAGGGCAAACUCAUCGCGAAGACGAGCAGUAAGCCGCUGGAGAAGCACGACAGUGGAAGCCGUCAGGAUGAUGUCAUCGACGUAGAGCAACAAGUAGGUCGUGUCAACCCCGUGAUGGUACACGAAGAGGGACGCGUCGGAGUGGGUCGAUGUAAAUCCGAGCGUCUGCAGGAAGGCAGCGAUGCGCGCUGGUACCAGGCCCGAGGCGCCUGCUUCAACCCGUAAAGAGAACAGAAGAGCAAGCACACAUGGUCCGGAUGUGUGGCGUCGACGAAGCCGGUGGGCUGCUCACAGAACACCUGCUCGGCGAGGUGGCCGUGCAAGAAGGCGUUGGAGACGUCCAACUGAUGCACGAGCCAAGCUCGGGAGACGGGCAGCUGAAGCACGGUGCGGAUCGUGCCCGGUUUAACAACCGGAGCAAAAGUGUCGGUGAAGUCCAUGCCCGCACAUUGCCGAAAGCCUCGAACCACCCAGCAAGCUUUGUAGCGCUCGAGAGUCUCGUCGGGACGAGUCUUAUGCCGAAAGACCCACUUGCCCAUGAUGAUGUUGGCACGAGGUGGCCGAGGGACAAGCUGCCAGGUGCUGUUCCAUUGGAGCGCAUCAAACUCUUCCUGCAUCGCAGCAAGCCAAUGAGGGCCCCGAAGGGCGGCUCGAGCUGACGAUGGGAGAGGGGACGGCUCGGAGAUGGAAGAGGCGAGAAGACACUCAUCGCUGGUGUACCGCGUACUCGGGCAGAAGGUACCGGCCCGAGAGCGAGUCAUCGGGCGGGGCAGCGAGUCCGGGGCGACGGGCGAGGCCAAAGAAGAGCCCGCUGCCACUGAUGCCGCGAGUGAGACCACGGGUGAGGCCGCGGGCGAGGCCACCGGCGAGGGCGCGGGGGGCGCCGAGGAGGCCCGCGCCGAUGGUGGCGCAGGGGGCGUCGCAGGCGCCGAGAGGGGUGCAGCCCCUAAGGAAACCGGCCACGGAGGAACUUGACCCGGGGCACGGGGGGCACCCUCAAAGCCAGGAGGCGGCCCGAGAGAAGCACCCGAGCGGCCGUCACUAGGAGCGGGCAAGGCCGCAACAUCCGAAGGUACCUGCUGAAACGGAAAAACCAUCUCAUCAAAGUAAACAUGUCGGGAAGUGAUGACCCGAUGUGAGAUAGGAUCAUAGCAGCGGUAGCCUUUGGUGUUGGGGGGAUAGCCAAGAAAAAUACAGGCCACAGACCAUGGUGCAAGCUUAUGAGAAGUAGUGGAAGCGAUGCUAAGGUAGCACAAGCAAUCGAAAAUGCGAAGCUCGAUGUAGGAAGGUGGCGUGCCGAACAAAAGAUGAUGAGGAGCAAAAUUCCCGCGAGUGCGACAGGGAUGGUGCGGUGGCGAGCGCGUCAGGCUAGAAACGUGGUGGCACGUUGGCGUGAAAGAGGAGGGUGCGAACACAGUCAUUAAGAGUGCGAAGCAUGCGCUCAGCGCGGCCAUUUUGUUGCGAAGUGUACGGGCAAGUGAGACGAAAAAUUGUGCCGUGUGUGGCGAGAAGGUUGCGGAUUGCAAGAUUAUCAAACUCCUUCACGUUGUCUGUUUGCAACACAUGAAUGGGGCGACCAAACUGCAUGGAGACAUAGGAGUAGAAUACGGUGAGAGUGGCAAUAGAAUCCGACUUUCGCCGCAACGGGAAGGUCCACACAUAGUGCGAAAAAUCAUCAAGGAUAACAAGAUAAUAGAGAUAGCCCGUGUUACUUGCAACAGGAAAGGUCCAAACAUCACUAUGAAUUAACUCAAAUGGGUAUGAAGCAACAUGCGAGGAAGUGCUAAAGGGUAAAUGAGUAUGUUUGCCUAGACGACAAGCAUGAAAAGUGUGAUUGUCGAUCUUAUUACACGUGAAUGAAAAACUGCGAAGAAUAUGACGAAGGGUGGCAGGGUUGGGAUGACCGAGACGAGCAUGCCAAAGGUCCAAUCCAGCGGAAAGCUCCAUGGGUGCAGCGAUGGAGGAUGUGGAGGAGUGGAUCGGGUAGAGAUCGUCGGGGCUGUCACAUCGGUGGAGCACCAUCCGGGUACGGGCAUCCUUAACAGAAAAGCCAAACAUGUCAAAUUCAACAGUGACAAGAUUUUCACGUGUAAGAGAACGAACAGAAACAAGAUUUUGACACUACUAGGGAAAACCUUAUACACAGAAUCUUAGCAGCAGCACGGCUUAAAAACAAACGCUACUGCUAAUUAGCAGUAGCGAGCUUCAGAAAAGAGCGCUACUAAUGACUAAGUAGCAGUAGCGCCCUAGGUGAAAGAGCGCUACUACUAUAAUUGCCACGGUGUUUCCCCCAGGCUAGAUAUAGUAGUAGCGCCCUUCCCAUGGAUGCGCUACUGCUAAAGAACUUAGUAGCAGCGGUUUUCUUCAAAACACGCUACUGCUAAGUAUCACCGCAACUAAUUAAGUUUAGUCCCAUACUGCUAAGCGAACAAGGUGUUUACCACCUUAAAUAUGCUACUUCUCAACCUAUCUCGAGCACUUGGUCUUCAUUGAACUAUAUGUGUAUGAUUUGUGGUUGCAAUAUGAAUCCUCGCCUGUACCUAUACAGGUACAGUGAGGAUUCAUGUUGACUAUUUAGAUUAUACACAAAAAGAUCAAUGAUGACCAAUGUAUAUUUUUGAUAUAACUGCUUCCAUUAGCAGUAGCGGUUUUCACUGAAGCGCGCUAUAGAUAAGUUAGCUAUAACGCGUUUUCCAUAUGAGUGCUACUGCUAGUUCGAGUUAACUACCCCCCAGCUCAAAAUUUCGCUAAGUCCUCCUCCCCCCCGGCCUGUUCCCCUACUCCUGUCGCCGCCGCCCGAGCCCGAGCGCGCCUUCCCUCACUGCCGCCGCCCGAGCCCGCCCUCAACCUCACCGCCGCCNNNNNNNNNNNNNNNNNNNNNNNNNNNNNNNNNNNNNNNNNNNNNNNNNNNNNNNNNNNNNNNNNNNNNNNNNNNNNNNNNNNNNNNNNNNNNNNNNNNNNNNNNNNNNNNNNNNNNNNNNNNNNNNNNNNNNNNNNNNNNNNNNNNNNNNNNNNNNNNNNNNNNNNNNNNNNNNNNNNNNNNNNNNNNNNNNNNNNNNNNNNNNNNNNNNNNNNNNNNNNNNNNNNNNNNNNNNNNNNNNNNNNNNNNNNNNNNNNNNNNNNNNNNNNNNNNNNNNNNNNNNNNNNNNNNNNNNNNNNNNNNNNNNNNNNNNNNNNNNNNNNNNNNNNNNNNNNNNNNNNNNNNNNNNNNNNNNNNNNNNNNNNNNNNNNNNNNNNNNNNNNNNNNNNNNNNNNNNNNNNNNNNNNNNNNNNNNNNNNNNNNNNNNNNNNNNNNNNNNNNNNNNNNNNNNNNNNNNNNNNNNNNNNNNNNNNAAUUAGCAGUAGUAGAUGUUAAUUAGUAGUAGAUGUAGUAGUUAGAUCUUAAUUAGUAGUAGUAGAUGUACUAGUUUCUUUCUAUUUAUAGUAAGUUUAUAUUUAGUAAGAAUGAGUUGAAUUAAUAGAACUAGUUUAGUUUUAGUUGAACUAGUAUAGUAAGUAAAUUAAUAACUAGUUGAACUACUUUAUUUUUAGAAAGAACUAGUUUUUUGUUUUUAUACUAAGUUUAUAUUUAGUAAGAACUAGUUGAAUAAAUAGAACUAGUUGAACAUGUCAUAUUUGUUGUUAUUUUUUAGUUUAAGCAAUUAUUUCAUGUUUUGGUUACACCUCCGAGUGGCCUAUGUUUUGCCGGAGUGUUGAUUAAUUUCCGUUCCGGAAAAUUUCAGGCGCUCGAUAUGUCCUUUUUUUAGCAAAGGUCAUGCCGGAUUUUUCCGUGAAUUCUAGCAUGACUUGUGCUAGAAUAUGUACAAGUUUAAUCUUUGAAUUAUGAACGUAGGAAAUGUCGUACUCGGACGACGACAGUCUCCCAGGGGAGUGCAGCUGGUGCCACGAUGAUCGAGGUAUGUGCUACAAGUUCGUUGAGCUGGAUGAAGAUCGACGCUUGAGCAUUAAGCUUGAGGAGACGUUCGAUGUUGAAACGGUACGCAACAACGACAACUGUUUUUUUCGUAAUUAAGCAUGACUUCAACUAUUUCAACGUCUAAUUUUCAUCUUUUACAAUUCGACUAGCUUAUCCCAUGCCAUGCAAGACGCUAUGUCUUGGAGAGGAUGGGUUUUGAAGACCAGGAAAAUUAUGAAACAAAGAAAAUACACCUAAGGACCCAUCAUGAUAUCGAUUUUGAAGUAAAUUUGUACAAUUCUCAGAGUGUAACCCAUUUUGGUUGCCAAAACUGGGAAGCACUUUGCAAAAUGUAUGGUUUUUAUGAGGGUAUGAUUGUCACCAUGGAUCUUGGUAAUCCUGACAUCGAGCAAGACAAUAUGGACAUUUGGGUCCUUGUUGAUACGCUUCCGAUUCUACCGCAAUGUGAGUUUCUCAAACAUAGUUAUUAACUAACUUAUAUUGUUUAUUUCAAAAUAGUUGACAGCUUAUUUCCAUUGACAGCUUAUUUUGAAUCUUCAAAGAAUGUGCAAAAGAUGGUAGACAAAACCCACUACACUGAUGGCUCCGAAUUAACUUAUAAGGAGAAAAGUCAUCUGAUUGCUUAUUGUACUUUUCUUGAGAAUUACAAUACCUAUUAUCAAACUCCUCCAAAUUAUGGUGAAUACGUGCCACUAGUGCACGUGUUGAACCACGUUAACUUCUAUGGAGAUACCCUGGUAAGAUUUUUUACUAUUACGACAUCCAUGCAUCUUUUGCAUACUUCUAAAACUAGUACAUCAUUGCUAACUACGAAGUUAUUACUAUGUUUUUCAACAGGAAAUCCCGAUGGAUUGUGUGCCUCAUCUGAUGUAUCAGAACGGUCGCCUUGCAGUUAUGAACAUACAGCCAGGUGAAUCUAAGGAGCUCACCUGUGCAUAUCGGAUUUCUAAAAGCGGUGAACACAUGCUAAUCAAAGAAUGGAAAAAAUGUUUGGACAUUCGCAAGGAGGUUCUUGGAAGUAACAUUAAGCGAAAGGCAAGAAUUGGAGACAGGAUAAUCUCCAUUCUCCAUAAUGGAGAGUCAGGGGCUAUCUUGUUUUUUUCUAUUUUACCUUAGAGAAUAUAGUAGGUCCUAAGAGAAUGUAGUAGGUCCUAUCAGGUACAAUAUGUUUUUAUGUGAUACAAUGUGUUAGAGUUGAUGAUGUGAGGAGUACUUGUGAUUACGACUAGUGACCAAUGAUAUGAUGAUGAUGACGACAAGUUGUUAAUGAUAUGACGAUGAUGAUAUUUAUUAUAUCAUUGGGUGAAAGAACCGCGGAUUAGUUUCAAGUGGAUGUCCAUCCAAUUGAAACUAGUCCACACGGUUCUUUCACCCUAUGAUGUAAUAACUCAUUAUGAUGUAAAAACAAUUUCGAAAUUCCUGUUGUAUGAAAACUUGUGUAAAGGUGUAUGAAUACAACAUGAAAUUAAAAAGAAAUAAAAUAUGAAAUAAUAGUAGCAGUGCGGGCAGGGAGAAGCGCUACUACUAAUUACCAGUAGCGCUCCUCCGGGAACUCGCUACUACUAAGUCCAUUUAGCAGUAGCGUGGGAGGAGGCACGCUACUGCUACACGUUAGCUGUAGCGCCUUAUCACUAGCGCAUAACCCCGCGCUACUGAUAGGUCUAAAACCCGCGCUACUGCUAGGCUUUUCCCUAGUAGUGUUAAUGAUGUCAGGUGAAACGAGUACGUUAGAAAGAUGUAAUGGAACGGAGUUAGAAGGAAAAGCAGCAUGGCCGACAUGAGUGAUGGGCAUGGAAGAACCGUUGCCCACGGUAAUACGAGCAGCAGUGUGAACAGGGUGAGCGGUAAGAAGGUUACCGGGGUUGGCGGCCAUGUGAGCCGUGGCUCCGGUGUCCAUGUACCAGUCACCAUCGCCGGUGUACUGCUCUGGCAUGGGGGCGGUGUGGAGGGCCGCUAGCAGCGCAGGGUACCAUGGUGCCGGCGGGAGGGCCGGGGCCGACAGCAGAGGCUGUGGCAGCGGCGCCACGAGCCCACCGGCCGGAGGCAGCCCAUAGGCCGCCGAGGGGCCGUAGAGCGGCGCCGGCAGAUACGUUUGAGGGGCCAUGUACAGAGCCUAAUGAGGGGCCGGGCGGGCGCCAAAAACACCGGGGACGGGGGCGCGUGGUAUGGGCAUGGAGUAUGCGUGAACAACCCCCGUCCAGGGGUUCUGGCCGGCCUGCUAGGGCGCCGGCGGGAGCGGGUGCUGCCGCUGGCGUGGCGCCUCGCCAUUGGUAGCCGGCGGCUUCUGCUGCUGCUUGCGGCCACCUUGGCCAUGACGCCCGCCCCGGCGCUNNNNNNNNNNNNNNNNNNNNNNNNNNNNNNNNNNNNNNNNNNNNNNNNNNNNNNNNNNNNNNNNNNNNNNNNNNNNNNNNNNNNNNNNNNNNNNNNNNNNNNNNNNNNNNNNNNNNNNNNNNNNNNNNNNNNNNNNNNNNNNNNNNNNNNNNNNNNNNNNNNNNNNNNNNNNNNNNNNNNNNNNNNNNNNNNNNNNNNNNNNNNNNNNNNNNNNNNNNNNNNNNNNNNNNNNNNNNNNNNNNNNNNNNNNNNNNNNNNNNNNNNNNNNNNNNNNNNNNNNNNNNNNNNNNNNNNNNNNNNNNNNNNNNNNNNNNNNNNNNNNNNNNNNNNNNNNNGGGGCGGAGGGGCCUGCGGCGGCACGGGAUAUGGGAACCCGGGCGGCGGCUGCACGUGGAGGGGCCCCUAGGUGGGCCGCGGCGGGGGAGCCGGAGCGGUGGGCGGCGCACCGCCGCGGGUUCCGGCGGUGAGAGCCGUAUGGGUGGCCCGGGCGCGCGACAUCCGCAUCCUCUUCUCCUCCAGCUUCAGGUACGCGACGAUCUUGGGGAAGGUCGGGUUGGUGAUGAGAGGGAUGUUGGAGGUCGCGUUCCUGAAGUCUUUGUUCAGGCCGACAAUGAGAGUGCUGAGGAAGAGCUCGUCGGAGACCUUCUUGUUAGAGUUUGAAUACUAUACGUGUAAUUUCAACUAUCUCUCUCAUAUCCUUCUCUACCUCUCUCUCCCUUACCGACUCCAACUCUGUAUCGAGAGGUGAAUCCUUGCGAUCGCCCUGACUUGUAAUCUACGACAAAACAUCAAUAUAUAGCGAGGCAACUAUCCUUCUGGAGGGUAGGAAAGCCUAUACCAAAUCAAUCUUACAUGGUAUACAGAGCAGCCUCUUCCCUAUCUCUAGCAGAAACAAAAAACCAGAACCCUAACGCUUCUCCAUCGCCGUCGCCAUGAGCUCCAGUGCCGUAGGCCUCAACCUCGGCGCUCCACCAACAGAGAAGCUCGCAAGGGGGAACUACCUCCUAUGGAAGGCGCAAAUUAUGCCGGCACUGCGAGGCGCGCAAGUGACCGACCUCCUCGACGGCAGCGAUGCCGCACCGCCGAAAACAGUGGAGAUCACCAAGGCGGACAAGUCCACGGCCAUGGAGCCAAAUCCUCUGUACAGUCCGUGGAUUGCAAAGGAUCAGCAGGUCCUAAGUUAUCUGCUAAACUCUCUCACCCGGAGAUUCUUGCGCAGGUCAUCGGUAAGGAGAAUACCUUUGAUCUUUGGACAACUCUUACCACGUUGUUUGUUGCGCAGUCACAAUCCAGAAUAACAAAUCUAAGGAUUGCUAUCUCCAACACCAAGAAGGGCAACAUGUCCAACAAUGCCUUCAUCGCCAAGAUGAAGAGCCUUGGAGACGAACUUGCAGCAGCAGGUCAUCCAGUAUUAGAUUGCGAGAUGGUGGACUACAUCCUCGCCGGACUCGAUCGGGACUACGAUCCCAUCGUUGCAGCAGUUGGCGCAAUCAAGAACUCCAUCACCGUUGACGAUCUUUUUCACAGAUUUCCGCGUUUGACCAGAGGAUGGAGAUGUUGGAUGAUGGACCUACGGGUUUUUGCUCAUCUGCCAAUGCUAUGUACAGAGGGCGUGGCCAGUACCGCAACAGACGAGGUCGCGGACGAGGGAACAGAGGCCGCGGUCGCUUUGAUCGCGCUUCUUCCUCUCCUGGUCGCACCAGUGGAAGCGGUGGCCAGCAGCAACGUCAACGCCAGCAACCACCACCACAGCAGCAGCAGCACGAGGGAGACUACCCUGAGUGCCAGAUAUGCUAUAAGUUCCAUGCCGGCGGUGCUAGGGAUUGCUAGCACCGGUAUGACGAGGAUCGUUAGGAGAAGAAAAAGGCCAAUCUCAUCACCAACUCCUAUGGAAUCGACACAAAUUGGUAUGCAGACUCUGGCGCCACCGAGCACAUCACGGGGGAGCUUGACAAAUUGACAAUGCGAGAAAGGUACCGCGGUGGUGACCAAGUGCACACGGCAAGUGGAACAGGUAUGGAUAUUGCUCAUAUUGGUAACUCAAUUGUUAAAGCCCCCGAGAAAAAUUUGCAUCUAAAUCAUGUUCUACAUGUUCCUAAUGCAUCAAAAAAUCUUGUUUCAGUUCAUCGUUUCACUCUUGACAACAAUGUUCUCAUAAUAUUCUAUCCUUACUCUUUUGUUAUCAAGGACUUGGCAACGAGGAGAGUAAUAUUUAGAGGAAGAUGCGAGGGAGGUCUUUAUCCAAUCGUAUCAUCAUCCCCUUCAUCAUGGUCAAAUAAACAAGCUUGGAGUGUAACCAAACCAUCUUCGGCAAAGUGGCAUAGUCAUUUAGGUCAUCUGUCUUCAACUAUUGUUCAGCAUGUACUUAGUAGAAAUAAACUUCCUUAUGAGUCUAGUGUUGGGUCAGUUUGUGAUGCGUGUCAACAAGCUAAAAGUCAUCAAUUGCCAUAUCCCAUCUCUACCAGUGUAUCCACUGCUCCUUUGCAACUUAUUUUUUCAGAUGUGCGGGGGCCAGCCCCUACUUCAGUUGGUAGAUUUUCAUACUAUGUAAGCUUCAUUGAUGAUUAUAGUAAGUUUACUUGGAUAUACUUGUUAAAGAAACGGUCCGAUGUUUUCCAAGUCUUUGGAAAUUUCCAAAAUCUUGUUGAACGCCAACUAAACUCCAAAAUUCUUGUUAUGCAAACUGACUGGGGAGGUGAGUAUGAGAAACUUAAUUCCUUUUCUCAAAAGAUUGGAAUUUCUCAUCAUGUCUCAUGUCCGCAUGCUCACCAACAGAACGGUUCUGCUGAACGAAAACACCGUCAUGUUGUUGAAGUAGGACUAUCAUUGUUAGCCAAUGCAUCCAUGCCUCUCAAAUGCUGGGACGAAGCUUUUCUUACUGCCACUUAUCUUAUCAACAUUCGUCUUAGCAAAGUCAUCAAAUUUGAGAAUCCUAUAACACGACUCUUUGGUGUCACUCCAGAUUACACAUCUCUCCGUAUAUUCGGUUGUGCAUGUUGGCCAAAUCUUAGACCAUACAAUACACGCAAACCUGCAUUUCGCUCGAAAAGGUGUGUCUUCAUUGGUUAUAGUCCUAUGCACAAAGGAGUUAAAUGCCUUGAUGUUUCCACCGGCAGGGUCUAUAUAUCUAGAGAUGUUAUCUUCGACGAAUCAGUCUUCCCAUUCGAGUCCCUUCAUCCAAAUGCCGGAGCCCUCCUUCGAAAAGAGAUUCUUCUUCUUCCAGAUUUUGAUCAAGGGGGUGAUAACAAUUAUGCUAACCAAUCUGACAAUGUUCAAUCUGACAAUGUUCUUGCUCCUUGUAUUAUGCCUGUGCAGGUACCCGGAGAAAACAGCAGAGAAAAUGAUCAAAAUCAUGAAAAUUUGGCUCAAAACGAUCUAUUAUUUCAUGCCAAUGGAGAAGAAGGAGCCGGCGCGGAACCCGAGGAAGAUCUAUCUGCGCCUGCGCCUGCCACACCAGCGCGUCAGCCGACCUUGGAUCAUGCGCGUGGAUCCGCUUUGGGUUGCACACCGGUGCACCAGCCCGGUCGGGCGAAUCAGGCCAUAUCGGGCCGAGCGACGAGCCCCUCUAUGAGCGCGGGCCACUCCAUGAGUACCACGUCGUCACGCAGAAGCGGUAGUGCGCGGACCACGCGACAGUUGACAGCGACAGCGGCUUCAGGAUCUUCUGCGGAAAGCCUUGAUUCAGAUUCAGCCACACCGCUGUCCUCAGGAUCAUCUGCAUCGGCAUCUGCAGGUUUGGAAGGAUUGUGUGGAUCCUCUGCGGUUGAUCAUAUUGAGCAGUCUUCUGUGCAACUACAGCCACAACCACUCACCACUUCAAGGAUUAUGACUCGAUUACAAAAAGGUAUUAGAAAUCCCAAAGUAAGAACAGAUGGUACUAUCUCGUAUGGCAUGCUGUGUAUUUCAGGUGAACCAACAAAGUUGAGUGAUGCACUUGAAGAUCCUAAGUGGAAAAGGGCCAUGGAUGAAGAAUAUGGUGCACUUAUGAGGAAUAAAACAUGGCACUUGGUACCAAGUCAAAGAGGUAAAAAUGUUAUUGAUUGCAAAUGGGUUUACAGAAUCAAAAGAAAAGCAGAUGGCUCCAUUGAUAGGUACAAGGCACGUCUGGUUGCAAAAGGUUUCAAGCAACGUUAUGGUAUUGAUUAUGAGGACAUCUUUAGUCCUGUUGUGAAGGCUGCUACCAUUAGACUUGUGCUAGCUAUUACUGUUUCCAGAGGAUGGAGCCUUAGACAGCUAGAUGUUCAGAAUGCGUUUUGCAUGGUGUUCUGGAAGAGGAGGUCUAUAUGAGGUAACCACCAGGGUAUGAAAAUAAACAAACACCUCACUAUAUUUGCAAACUUGAUAAAGUGCUUUAUGGUCUGAAACAGUCUCCUAGAGCAUGGUUCUCAAGGCUAAGCUCACAAUUGAAGCAUCUUGGUUUUGUUGCAUCCAAGGCUGAUACAUCUCUCUUCAUCUAUAAUAAGGCAAAUACUGUCAUGUUUGUGCUCAUUUAUGUUGAUGACAUCAUAGUUGCAAGCUCCUCAUCAAAUGCCACUGAUGCUCUCUUGCAUGAUUUAAGUUCAGAAUUUGCCUUGAAGGACCUUGGUGAUUUACACUUCUUCCUUGGUAUUGAAGUUAAGAAGAUUCAAGAUGGCAUAGUGUUGAGUCAGGAAAAAUAUGCCACUGAACUUUUAACUCGUAUGGGAAUGAAGGACUGCAAGCCUUCGCCCACACCUUUGUCUUCUUCAGAACAACUUUUAGCACGUGAAGGGGAACCACUUAAGGAAGAGGAGAGCACAAAAUAUAGGAGUAUUGUUGGAGCUCUACAGUACUUAACUUUGACACGGCCAGACAUAUCAUUUGCUGUGGACAAGGUUUGUCAAUAUCUGCAUGCUCCUACUUCCACCCAUUGGACGGCUGUCAAAAGGAUUGUGCGAUACAUUAAGCAUACUUUGAGUUUGGGACUAUAAUUCAAACGUUCUAAUUCUUCACUAGUUAGUGCUUUUUCUGACGCCGACUGGGCAGGAUGUAGUGAUGACAUAAAAUCAACCGGAGGAUUUGCAGUAUUUUUUGGUUCAAACCUUAUUUCUUGGAGUGCUAGGAAACAAGCUACAGUGUCAAGAUCAAGUACAGAAGCUGAGUACAAGUCAUUGGCCAAUGCUACUGCUGAGAUCAUUUGGAUGGAAUCAUUACUUGAUGAGUUGGGAAUCAAGCAACGUCGUGUUCCAUGUUUGUGGUGUGACAAUUUGGGGGCCACCUAUCUCUCAGCUAAUCCAGUUUUCCAUGGCAGAACUAAACACAUUGAAAUUGAUUUUCAUUUAGUGCGAGAAAGAGUGGCGGAGAAGAAGUUGGACAUAAGGUUCAUUCCAUCCAAAGAUCAAGUAGCCGAUGGGUUCACUAAAGCUUUAUCAGUUAAGAUUUUUGAAGAGUUCAAAAGAAACCUCAACAUAGGAUAGUUUAGAUUAAGGGAGGGUGUUAGAGUUUGAAUACUAUACGUGUAAUCUCAACUAUCUCUCUCGUAUCCUUCUCUACCUCUCUCUCCCUUACCGACUCCAACUCUGUAUCGAGAGGUGAAUCCUUGCGAUCGCCCUGACUUGUAAUCUACGACAAAACAUCAAUAUAUAGCGAGGCAACUCUCCUUCUGGAGGUUAGGAACGCCUAUACCAAAUCAAUCUUACACUUCUCGCCGAGGUCACAGAGCUCGUCGACAAGCUUCUUGAGGCGUAUGCAAUAAUCGUCGACCGACGAGUCAAGCUGCUGGCACCCAAAAAACUCGCCGUGCAAGAAAACCUUGCGUUGGAGCGCGUUGUCGGUGAAGAGGCCGUUGAGCUUAGUCCAAAUGGCGUGAGUGAAGGAAAUAUGCCCUAGAGGCAAUAAUAAAGUUAUUAUUUAUUUCCUUAUAUCAUGAUAAAUGUUUAUUAUUCAUGCUAGAAUUUUAUUAACCGGAAACAUAAUACAUGUGUGAAUACAUAGACAAACUUAGUGUCACUAGUAUGCCUCUACUUGACUAGCUCAUUAAUCAAAGAUGGUUAUGUUUCCUAACCAUGAACAAGGUGUUGUUAUUUGAUUAACGAGGUCACAUCAUUAGUUGAAUGAUCUGAUUGACAUGACCCAUUUCAUUAGCUUAGCACCCAAUCGUUUAGUAUGUUGCUAUUGCUUUCUUCAUUGCUUAUACAUGUUCCUAUGACUAUGAGAUUAUGCAACUCCCGUUUACCGGAGGAACACUUUGUGUGCUACCAAAUCACAAUGUAACUGUGUGAUUAUAAAGGAGCUCUACAGGUGUCUCCAAAGGUACAUGUUGGGUUGGCAUAUUUCGAGAUUAGGAUUUGUCACUCCGAUUGUCGGAGAGGUAUCUCUGGGCCCUCUCGGUAAUGCACAUCACAUAAGCCUUGCAAGCAUUGCAACUGAUGAGUUAGUUGCGAGAUGAUGUAUUACGGAACGAGUAAAGAGACUUGCCGGUAACGAGAUUGAACUAGGUAUUGGAUACCGACGAUCGAAUCUCGGGCAAGUAACAUACCGAUGACAAAGGGAACAACGUAUGUUGUUAUGCGGUCUGACCGAUAAAGAUCUUCGUAGAAUAUGUAGGAGCCAAUAUGGGCAUCCAGGUCCCGCUAUUGGUUAUUGACCGGAGACGUGUCUCGGUCAUGUCUACAUUGUUCUCGAAUCAUAGGGUCCGCACGCUUAACGUUACGAUGACAGUUAUUAUGAGUUUGUGCAUUUUGAUGUACCGAAGUUAGUUCGGAGUCCCAGAUCUGAUCACGGACAUGACGAGGAGUCUCGAAAUGGUCGAUACAUAAAGAUUGAUAUAUUGGAAGCCUAUGUUUGGAUAUCGGAAGUGUUCCGGGUGAAAUCGAGAUUUUACCGGAGUACCGGGAGGUUACCAGAACCCCCCGGGAGCUAUAUGGGCCUUAGUGGGCUUUAGUGGAAAGGAGAAAGGGGCAGCCCAAGGUGGGCCGUGCGCCUCCCCCCUCCCCUGGUCCUAUUAGGACAAGGAGAGGUGGCCGGCCACCCUCUCUCUCUUUCCCCCUCGGGGAAUCCUAUUCCAACUAGGAUUGGGGGGGGGGGAGUCCUACUCCCGGUAGGAGUAGGACUCCUCCUGCGCCCUCCUCCUGGCCGGCCACCCCCUCCCCCUUGGAUCCUUUAUAUACGGGGGCAGGGGGGCACCUCUAGACACACAAGUUGAUCCUUGAGAUCGUUCCUUAGCCGUGUGCGGUGCCCCCUGCCACCAUAUUCCACCUCGAUCAUAUUGUAACGGUGCUUAGGCGAAGCCCUGCGAUAGUAGAACAUCAAGAUCGUUACCAUGCCGUCGUCCUGACGGAACUCCUCCCCGACGCUUUGCUGGAUCGGAGCCCGGGGAUCGUCAUCGAGCUGUACGUGUGCUAAGAACUCGGAGGUGACGGAGUAACGGUGCUUGGAUCGGUCAGAUCGGGAGGACGUACGACUACUUCCUCUAUGUUGCGUCAACGCUUCGGCAGUCAGUCUGUGUGGGUACGUAGACAACACUCUCCCCUCUUGUUGCUAUGCAUCACCAUGAUCUUGCGUGUGCGUAGGAAUUUUUUUGAAAUUACUGCGUUCCCCAACAGUGGCAUCCGAGCCUAGGUUUUAUGGUUUGAUGUUAUAUGCACGAGUAGAACACAAGUGAGUUGUGGGCGAUAUAAGUCAUACUGCCUACCAGCAUGUCAUACUUUGGUUCGGCGGUAUUGUUGGAUGAGACGACGCAGACCGACAUUACGCGUACGCUUACGCGAGACCGGUUCUCCCGACGUGCUUUGCACAUAGGUGGCUUGCGGGCGACAGUCUCUCCAACUUUAGUUGAACCAAGUGUGGCUACACCCGGUCCUUGCGAAGGUUAAAACGGAGUCUAUUUGACAAACUAUCGUUGUGGUUUUGAUGCGUAGGUGAGAUUGGUUCUUGCUUAAGCCUGUAGCAGCCACGUAAAACUUGCAACAACAAAGUAGAGGACGUCUAACUUGUUUUUGCAGGGCAUGUUGUGAUGUGAUAUGGUCAAGGCAUGAUGCUGAAUUUUAUUGUAUGAGAUGAUCAUGUUUUGUAACCGAGUUAUCGGCAACUGGCAGGAGCCAUAUGGUUGUCGCUUUAUUGUAUGCAAUGCAAUCGCGAUGUAAUGCUUUACUUUAUCACUAAGCGGUAGCGAUAGUCGUGGAAGCAUAAGAUUGGCGAGACGACAACGAUGCUACGAUGGAGAUCAAGGUGUCGCGCCGGUGACGAUGGUGAUCAUGACGGUGCUUCGGAGAUGGAGAUCACAAGCACAAGAUGAUGAUGGCCAUAUCAUAUCACUUAUAUUGAUUGCAUGUGAUGUUUAUCUUUUUAUGCAUCUUAUCCUGCUUUGAUUGACGGUAGCAUUAUAAGAUGAUCCCUCACUAAAUUAUCAAGAAGUGUUCUCCUUGAGUACGCACCGUUGCCAAAGUUCGUCGUGCCCAGACACCACGUGAUGAUCGGGUGUGAUAAGCUCUACGUCCAUCUACAACGGGUGCAAGCCAGUUUUGCACACGCAGAAUACUCAGGUUAAACUUGACGAGCCUAGCAUAUGCAGAUAUGGCCUCGGAACACAGAGACCGAAAGGUCGAGCGUGAAUCAUAUAGUAGAUAUGAUCAACAUAACGAUGUUCACCAUUGAAAACUACUCCAUCUCACGUGAUGAUCGGUUAUGGUUUAGUUGAUUUGGAUCACGUGAUCACUUAGAGGAUUAGAGGGAUGUCUAUCUAAGUGGGAGUUCUUAAGUAAUUUGAUUAAAUGAACUUAAACUUAUCAUGAACUUAGUACCUGAUAGUAUCUUGCUUGUUUAUGUUGAUUGUAGAUAGAUGGCUCGUGCUGUUGUUCCGUUGUAUUUUAAUGCGUUCCUUGAGAAAGCAAAGUUGAAAGAUGAUGGUAGCAAUUACACGGACUGGGUCCGUAACUUGAGGAUUAUCCUCAUUGCUGCACAGAAGAAUUAAGUCCUGGAAGCACCGCUGGGUGCCAGGCCUGCUGCUGGAGCAACACCAGAUGUUAUGAACGUCUGGGAGAGCAAAGCUGAUGACUACUCGAUAGUUCAGUGUGCCAUGCUGUGACGCCCCCGAUUCAAUCGUACACUAAUCAUGCACACAAAUGUGUACGAUCAAGAUCAGGGACUCACGGGAAGAUAUCACAACACAACUCUACAAAUAAAAAUAAGUCAUACAAGCAUCAUUCUACAAGCCAGGGGCCUCGAGGGCUCGAAUACAAGUGCUCUAGCAUAGACGAGUCAGCGGAAGCAACAAUAUCUGAGUACAGACAUAAGUUAAACAAGUUUGCCUUAAGAAGGCUAGCACAAAAUGGGAUACAGAUCGAAAGAGGCGCAUGCCUCCUGCCUGGGAUCCUCCUAACUACUCCUGGUCGUCGUCAGCGGGCUGCACGUAGUAGUAGGCACCUCCGGUGUAGUAGGAAUCAUCGUCGACGAUGGCGUCUGGCUCCAGGGCUCCAGCAUCUGGUUGCGACAACCAGGUAGAAGGGAAAGGGGAAAAGAGGGAGAAAAGCAACCGUGAAUACUCAUCCAAAGUACUCGCAAGCAAGGAGCUACACUACAUAUGCAUGGGUAUAUGUGUAAAGGGCCAUAUCGGUGGACUGAACUGCAGAAUGCCAGAAUAAGAGGGGGAUAGCUAAUCCUGUCGAAGACUAUGCUUCUGGCAGCCUCCGUCUUGCAGCAUGUAGAAGAGAGUAGAUUGAAGUCCUCCAAGUAGCAUCUCCAAGUAGCAUCUCCAAGUAGCAUCUCCAAGUAGCAUCUCCAAUAGCAUCGCAUAGCAUAACCCUACCCGGCGAUCCUCCCCUCGUCGCCCUGUGGAAAAGCGAUCACCGGGUUUUCUGUGGAACUUGGAAGGGUGUGUUUUAUUAAGUAUCCGGUUCUAGUUGUCAUAAGGUCAAGGUACAAUUCCAAGUCGUCCUGUUACUAAAGAUCACGGCUAUUCGAAUAGAUUAACUUCCCUGCAGGGGUGCACCAACUUACCCAACACGCUUGAUCCCAUUUGGCCGGACACACUUUCCUGGGUCAUGCCCGGCCGCGGAAGAUCAACACGUCGCAGCCCCACCUAGGCUCAACAGAGAGGCCAGCACGCCGAUCUAAACCUAAGCGCACAGGGGUCUGGGCCCAUCGCCCAUAGCACACCUGCACGUUGCGUACGCGGCCGAAAGCAGACCUAGCCUAGUGGCAUUCCAGUCCAAUUCGGCGCGCACCGCUCCGUCGCUGACGUCUGAAGUGCUUCGGCUGAUACCACGACGUCGGGAUACCCAUAACUACUCCCGCGUAGAUGGUUAGUGCGUAUAGGCUCGUAGCCAACUCAGAUCAAAUACCAAGAUCUCGUUAAGCGUGUUAAAUAUCCGCGAACGCCGAACAGGGCCAGGCCCACCUGUCUCCUAGGUGGUCUCAAUCUGCCCUAUCGCUCCGCCACCAAGUAACAGUCGGGGGCCGUCGGGAACCCAGGCCCACCUCUACCGGGAUGGAGCCACCUGCCCCUUCAGCCCCCAACUCCGAACAGUAUCACAGGUAAUGUAACAGUGUAAAGUAUAUAGUAUAUGCCCGUGAUCACCUCCCGAAGUGAUCACAGCCCAGUAGUAUAGCAUGGCAGACGGACAAGAGUGUAGGGCCACUGAUGGAACACUAGCAUCCUAUACUAAGCAUUUAGGAUUGCGGGUAAGGUAUCAAUGACUGUAGCAGCAAGGACAGGCUAUGCAUCAGAAUAGGAUUAACGGAAAGCAGUAACAUGCUACACUACUCUAAUGCAAGCAGUAUAGAGAAGAGUAGGCGAUAUCUGGUGAUCAAAGGGGGGGCUUGCCUGGUUGCUCUGGCAAGAGAGAGGGGUCGUCAACUCCGUAGUCGAGCUGGGCAGCAGCAGCGUCGGUCUCGUAGUCUACCGGAGAGAAGAGGGGGAAGAAACAAUGAAUACCAAGUAAACAGAUGCAUAUCGAUGCAUGACAUGCCAAGAAGCGAUGCUAGGCGUGCCCUAACGUGGUAUGAGGUGGUACUGGUUAAGGGGGGAAUCAUCCGGGAAAGUAUUCCCGGUGUUUCGUGUUUUCGGGCAGAGGAGCCGGAGGGGGAAAGUUGCGGGUUCGAUAGGUUAGGGGGGUGUGGCGGACGAACGGACUGCGUAUCCGAAUUCGUCCCGUCGUUCUGAGCAACUUUCAUGUUGAAAAUAUUUUAAUCCGAGUUACGGAUUAAAAGAUAUGAUUUUUUAAAGAUUUUAUUAAUUUCUGAAAUUUAAUCAAUUAAUUAUUUAAUUCGAAAAAUGGAAUUAUGACGUCAGCAGUCAACAGGGUUGACUAGGUCAACCCGGACAUGUGGGUCCCGUUUGUCAUACUCUGUUAACUAAUUAUCUUAGUUAAGUUUAAUUAAUAGUAGUUAAUUAUGUUAAUUAGUCAUUAGGUUUAAUUAAUCAGGAUUAAUUAAAUUAAUUAUUUACUUAAUUAAUUAAUUAAUUUUAUUCAUUAUUAUUUUUAUUAAUUAUAUUUAUCUAAAUUCUUUUUCCCUUUUCUUUUAUUUUAAAAACGUCCUGGGGGUGGGGCCCCCAUGUCAUAGGCAGGNNNNNNNNNNNNNNNNNNNNNNNNNNNNNNNNNNNNNNNNNNNNNNNNNNNNNNNNNNNNNNNNNNNNNNNNNNNNNNNNNNNNNNNNNNNNNNNNNNNNNNNNNNNNNNNNNNNNNNNNNNNNNNNNNNNNNNNNNNNNNNNNNNNNNNNNNNNNNNNNNNNNNNNNNNNNNNNNNNNNNNNNNNNNNNNNNNNNNNNNNNNNNNNNNNNNNNNNNNNNNNNNNNNNNNNNNNNNNNNNNNNNNNNNNNNNNNNNNNNNNNNNNNNNNNNNNNNNNNNNNNNNNNNNNNNNNNNNNNNNNNNNNNNNNNNNNNNNNNNNNNNNNNNNNNNNNNNNNNNNNNNNNNNNNNNNNNNNNNNNNNNNNNNNNNNNNNNNNNNNNNNNNNNNNNNNNNNNNNNNNNNNNNNNNNNNNNNNNNNNNNNNNNNNNNNNNNNNNNNNNNNNNNNNNNNNNNNNNNNNNNNNNNNNNNNNNNNNNNNNNNNNNNNNNNNNNNNNNNNNNNNNNNNNNNNNNNNNNNNNNNNNNNNNNNNNNNNNNNNNNNNNNNNNNNNNNNNNNNNNNNNNNNNNNNNNNNNNNNNNNNNNNNNNNNNNNNNNNNNNNNNNNNNNNNNNNNNNNNNNNNNNNNNNNNNNNNNNNNNNNNNNNNNNNNNNNNNNNNNNNNNNNNNNNNNNNNNNNNNNNNNNNNNNNNNNNNNNNNNNNNNNNNNNNNNNNNNNNNNNNNNNNNNNNNNNNNNNNNNNNNNNNNNNNNNNNNNNNNNNNNNNNNNNNNNNNNNNNNNNNNNNNNNNNNNNNNNNNNNNNNNNNNNNNNNNNNNNNNNNNNNNNNNNNNNNNNNNNNNNNNNNNNNNNNNNNNNNNNNNNNNNNNNNNNNNNNNNNNNNNNNNNNNNNNNNNNNNNNNNNNNNNNNNNNNNNNNNNNNNNNNNNNNNNNNNNNNNNNNNNNNNNNNNNNNNNNNNNNNNNNNNNNNNNNNNNNNNNNNNNNNNNNNNNNNNNNNNNNNNNNNNNNNNNNNNNNNNNNNNNNNNNNNNNNNNNNNNNNNNNNNNNNNNNNNNNNNNNNNNNNNNNNNNNNNNNNNNNNNNNNNNNNNNNNNNNNNNNNNNNNNNNNNNNNNNNNNNNNNNNNNCCGACCGGGGGGGAUAAGGGAGUGAGGGGGUUGGGCCGGGCCAGGGGGUGGCCGGCUGGGCCAGGUGGGGGCUUGGCCCAGUUGGGCCAGUGGGGUUUUCUCCCCUCCCUUUAUUUAUUCGGUUUGUUUUUAUUUUCUUUUCUUAUUUUUCCUUUUCUGUUUUAAUUCAUUUUAAAAUAUUCAGACACUUUAUAAAAAUGUGUGCACUCCACCAUAAUUGCCGAUGUAAUAUUUGACAACCACCGAACUUUUUAGUUUUAAUUUUUGAAAACUUUUAUUGUUAUCAUUAAUUUGAAUUUUGAAUUUUGGACCGGUUUUGAACUAACUCAAGAUUAGCAACUAUAAUUCAGGUGACGUGGCAUCACUAGCAGAGGAUCACUGUAGCUUAAUUUCCCGGGCGUCACAAUUCUCCUCCACUACAAGAAAUCUCGUCCCGAGAUUUUAGAGGGGAGUAAGGGGGAAAGGUCUGGUUAUGAAAUCCUAACGAAUCUUCUCAGUCUUGGUUGUUCUUCUUGAAGAGGUCGAUCCAUUACCUUGACAUCAUCAUUUCUCUGCUACAGGUCAUCAUGGUGAUGCCGCCCUUUUCUCGGGAACUCCAACAUACUUACGAAUAGGGAAGGGGGUAUUCCGGCAGAACGAACCUAUGCAAGGUUGACUAUCUGGUAGCUAACAUAGGGGAAGGUGGCGGAAAGUAACUCUCGAACUGGAACUCAAGAAAAUAUCGAGAGCAAGUAAGAAGGUACCAUGAGAAGUUUCAAGUGGGUAGGCAAUCAUCCGAUGCCUGAAACAAAGUGUAAAAGGGGUCCAGAGCAAUGGUAAUAAGUUUUGUGUCUGAUACCAGAAUAGAUCAACAGGCAAGUGGCCCGUGAAUUACAUACAAAGCCAAGCACGAGGAAUAACUUUGACAACAGGUUGUACAGGAGAGUCAGCUUUCGUUCCUGGGACCUGUGGGUUAUGGGCCCACCAUGUGGGUUAAAAGUAGAAAGGGGGGCUGACAUCUUGUACGAUCACGAUAGCAAGGCAUGUCAGAGAGUAGCAUGUCAGUUAUGUCGGCAACAAUGUCGGUACCAAGGGCGAGGGACGAAGAGAACCAUUUUCCUGCUCGUUGAACGAGGCGGACCAGUAGGCAAAGUUCUCGUCCAUCGGUGGUUACCAGAAUGUCAUCAACAAAAGUAACAGGGUCUUACUGACAGAAUUGUACAACAAGGUGUUUACAUAAGCAGGAAAAUAUUACUUCUCAGAUCAUAUAGAUCACAAGAAAGGUUAAACCAACAAUGGAAGGAAAAUAUGAUCAUCAAAUUAAACAGAACAAUGGAAAGGAAAAUGUGUUUAAACACAUAUUUCAGGGGUAUAUCCUUCCCAAUGACAAGCAGAGCAUGAUAUCCAUGACAGGAUAUAAAGUAGAAAACCAUUUAGGUAAGGGGGAAGGAAUCUCAUGAUAUUACCCAUACAACGGUGUUAGGAUAAGUGAUAAAUAAAAUUUAGCAUCGUGCUUCAAAUGUUCCUGUUGAAAAUCGGAGUACCAUUGACAUGCUUCGAGAUAGCAUUGACAUGGUCUUCAGGUGAAGAUCAGACUUUGGAAACACGAAGGAUCCAUCAGGAAUAACUUGUAGAAUAAGUCUUACAAUUUCCUCAUGGACGAAUGGGUAACCUUGCUGAAAAGGAAUCUAUAAUGAUAGGUCCUCCAGCCGGGGGGGGGGUGCUAGGCAUGACAUCAUGUUACCGGGUCAUCAAAGGAUCAACUUCAUGACUCUUGGAAAAUUGUCUCAACCAUCAUAUCUGACCGAGAUUCAGAUCUGAUUGGUGUCAGGAUACCUCAGACUUAGGAUACCUGAGAAGAAAGGGUGCAACGCAAAUUGACGAGAUGACAUUGUAAGAUUCUCGGGGAAAUGAACUACGAAGUGAUUUCCGUUAACAAGAGUCCAUCAUUAACCCAAGGAGAGGACAAGGAGGUGUCUGGUGAACUCAACGGCAAUUCACCGAGAUUCCCAAAAGAUGGAUUUCCACCAUUAAGUGAACAAGGAGAUAACAUUUGUCAGAUCAAAUGAUAUAAGGAAGUAUGCUCGAGGAAAACAUACACAAUUAAACAUUGGUUGAAAGGUGCGCCCGAAAUAUGGGUUGGGUUGCACGACCAAUGUCAGAAUGGUGAUUCAAUUAGCAAAGGACUUAGAAUGAACUAUUGCCCAUUCACUUCAAAGCAAUAGGGUUGUUAGAAGUUUUGAAUUCACACGUCAUAGCUCCAUUGUCGGUAUUCCGGUUGAAAACAAUACGGGGACCAAGGAAUGAACGAAGAUGGCAAGAAGUAUUAUGUUAUGAAGAAUUAUUAAGAGGUGGUGAAAUUCUCACCACAUUCUUGACAAAAAGAGAUGGUAAUACUACCGAGGUAAGGAAGAUCGACUGCUGGGUAGCAGUGAUCUCAAGGUUUACACCAAACACGAACAAGUUGUGUUGAACGGAAGGCAAUAAAGUGGUCGAUGAGAACAGGAAUCAUCGAGGGGCAAGGAUGGUAUUACCCAUCAUGAAUUCAAUUGAAUUCCUGGAAGAGCUCAUAAGGUUGAUGAUGAUCACGACACAAUUGUCGAGAGAUUUCAUGCAGAUGUAGUCAAUCAGCGACGACAUCAAGUCAAAGGAAUGAUGAAGCAAGAGGUUAUUGGAACCACCGUUACGACACAAACUCGAACUCAAGCUUGUUGUUUAAGGUGAAAGGGUAUGACGAGGACAAUCGACGUAAGGUUAGUUCAUCGUCGAAAAUUGGUGCUCCGAAAAUAAGGACCAGGUAGCCCCGUUAGAAUUCGUCACGACAACGAUAUAGCCAAACAGGCUAGGAAUGGCGUGAUCGGGUAACAAACUCGUACUUAUAGAAGUUUGCUGAAGAGUUGUUGAACCGUAGAGCGGACUCGGUUCAGUUAUCGGUGUCUUUGAGUGUUCAAUAACUCAGAGCCCGCGAAAAAUUGGAAUCGAUGGGAAGGUAGCACUUGAUGAAGAACUCAUAAAAAGUUAUGCAGUUCCAUGAUAAUCUCGAGAUACCAGGGGGGUAAUACUCGACACAAGAUCAAAGUAAAGGUUGGACUGGUGUACUGAUCCAUAGAAGACAAUUGUUUUAACUUGUCCGAGAAAUGAGAUCAAAAAGAACAAUCAUGGUCGGAACCACGGUUGCAAGGGAUCAAUUCACAGAUACCAUAGGUUAGUUAUCAAGGAAAUAGUUAUUGUUACAAGAAGCUUUCAUGAUAGGAUAUAUAUCGCGUCCAUGGGCAUGAACACAAGUUCAAGGUCGACUCCCACUUCUCCAAUGCAUAACCUUUCAUUCACUUCUCACGUUCGAUGAAGUUGUAGUGUUGAAAUUUUGUCUGGUGAAGCACCAGAAGGGUAUGACUCGUGAAAACUUUCGGGUUCACACGGUUUAGAGAAGGCAUAUGUUCAACCCAUAGGGGCUUCUUAGAAACAUAUACCACAAGUUUCAAGAGUAAAUAACACAAACUCGAUGGCAGAGCAUGGUUGAGAAAAGAAGAGGAUACAAUUUACCAAAGGCAUUAUGUAUCCGAGGAAAGGCUCACAAGGUUAUUGAAUAUGAAGGGCGUUGUCAGAUAAAUCCAACAAAGGACUUGAUGGUCCACAAGGGAUCUGAUACGAGUAUCGGUACUGAACUAGAGGAAGAAGAAUGCAAGGAGAUCAGAUUAUAGAAACAACUGACUAACUCAAUUGUCAAAUGCAAAGGAAUUAUGAUUUCCAAAUCAAGGGAUCAAAAGCAAUGCUCUGAUUAGGGAUGGAUAAGUUGAAUAGCCUUAGGGUACAACCAACGACAAUUGGAUUGGUCGAGAACCAACUCCAGUUAAAAGAAUGGAAGCUCAGUCGGAAAGGUAAUUUAUAAGGAUCAAUGAUGAUUGCGUGUAUUCGCAGCAUAUUGAGUCAACAGACUCAAAAUGAUAAUGACAAGGAAUGUCAAUAAGAUUUCUAUACUUAUGGGAUUAACCAUAAUGCAAGCAAGCAAGAAUUUCAAGAGCCAAAGGCUCCAGAGGGUUUUCGGAAGAUCGAAUAUUAUUUUGAAGACUUUUGUGAAACACAAGAACAACUGGGGAUGAGCGGAUACUCGGCAAGCGCGAGUAAUUAUCCGUAGGGGUAUUCAUGCAGCAAGGAACUGCAGGGCAGUAAGCGUAAAGAAUUCUCGGAAUAUCGAAGAGUAUUUCAGGACAUCUUGUAAUAACAAGAGCAACUGGGGAUGACAAUAUGAACGAUAGGUGUAAGUAGUUAUCUAGAGGGAUUUAUCGAUGGAAGUGAAUUGCAAGAGCGAUGGCACAUAGUCUCGGGAGCACAUCGUAGAGUAUCUUUGGAAUCUUCUGGUGCAGCAGGCGGUCAUCAGUAACAAGUGGCUCUCCGGGAGAAAGUACUUGCGAGAACCUAAAGUUAGUUUUGUUUUUAGCGAAAUCAUUUAACCCAAAUAGAAGAGAGCUUAGAGUCCCAGAGUAAAGGUCGAGGAGUAAAAGAUCCUAGUACCACCCAAUGGCGACGUGGGCCCGUAAGGCACACAACCAAGUUAGUAAAAGUUUUGCAAUGUCUAGACUCGACUUCGGCCAAGAAGUGUGAAAGGGGGAUUCCUACAGGCAGUCGGCUCUGAUACCAACUUGUGACGCCCCCGAUUCAAUCGUACACUAAUCAUGCACGUAAAUGUGUACGAUCAAGAUCAGGGACUCACGGGAAGAUAUCACAACACAACUCUACAAAUAAAAAUAAGUCAUACAAGCAUCAUACUACAAGCCAGGGGCCUCGAGGGCUCGAAUACAAGUGCUCGAUCAUAGACGAGUCAGCGGAAGCAACAAUAUCUGAGUACAGACAUAAGUUAAACAAGUUUGCCUUAAGAAGGCUAGCACAAAAUGGGAUACAGAUCGAAAGAGGCGCAGGCCUCCUGCCUGGGAUCCUCCUAACUACUCCUGGUCGUCGUCAGCGGGCUGCACGUAGUAGUAGGCACCUCCGGUGUAGUAGGAAUCAUCAUCGACGAUGGCGUCUGGCUCCAGGGCUCCAGCAUCUGGUUGCGACAACCAGGUAGAAGGGAAAGGGGAAAAGAGGGAGAAAAGCAACCGUGAGUACUCAUCCAAAGUACUCGCAAGCAAGGAGCUACACUACAUAUGCAUGGGUAUAUGUGUAAAGGGCCAUAUCGGUGGACUGAACUGUAGAAUGCCAGAAUAAGAGGGGGAUAGCUAAUCCUGUCGAAGACUAUGCUUCUGGCAGCCUCCGUCUUGCAGCAUGUAGAAGAGAGUAGAUUGAAGUCCUGCAAGUAGCAUCUCCAAGUAGCAUCUCCAAGUAGCAUCUCCAAGUAGCAUCUCCAAGUAGCAUCUCCAAUAGCAUCGCAUAGCAUAACCCUACCCGGCGAUCCUCCCCUCGUCGCCCUGUGGAAAAGCGAUCACCGGGUUUUCUGUGGAACUUGGAAGGGUGUGUUUUAUUAAGUAUCCGGUUCUAGUUGUCAUAAGGUCAAGGUACAAUUCCAAGUCGUCUUGUUACCGAAGAUCACGGCUAUUCGAAUAGAUUAACUUCCCUGCAGGGGUGCACCAACUUACCCAACACGCUUGAUCCCAUUUGGCCGGACACACUUUCCUGGGUCAUGCCCGGCGGCGGAAGAUCAACACGUCGCAGCCCCACCUAGGCUCAACAGAGAGGCCAGCACGCCGGUCUAAACCUAAGCGCACAGGGGUCUGGGCCCAUCACCCAUAGCACACCUGCACGUUGCGUAUGCGGCCGAAAGCAGACCUAGCCUAGUGGCGUUCCAGUCCAAUUCGGCGCGCGCCGCUCCAUCGCUAACGUCUGAAGUGCUUCGGCUGAUACCACGACGUCGGGAUACCCAUAACUACUCCCGCGUAGAUGGUUAGUGCGUAUAGGCUCGUAGCCAACUCAGAUCAAAUACCAAGAUCUCGUUAAGCGUGUUAAAUAUCCGCGAACGCCGAACAGGGCCAGGCCCACCUGUCUCCUAGGUGGUCUCAACCUGCCCUGUCGCUCCGCCACCAAGUAACAGUCGGGGGCCGUCGGGAACCCAGGCCCACCUCUACCGGGAUGGAGCCACCUGCCCCUUCAGCCCCCAACUCCGAACAGUAUCACAGGUAAUGUAACAGUGUAAAGUAUAUAGUAUAUGCCCGUGAUCACCUCCCGAAGUGAUCACAGCCCAGUAGUAUAGCAUGGCAGAUGGACAAGAGUGUAGGGCCACUGAUGGAACACUAGCAUCCUAUACUAAGCAUUUAGGAUUGCGGGUAAGGUAUCAAUGACUGUAGCAGCAAUGACAGGCUAUGCAUCAGAAUAGGAUUAACGGAAAGCAGUAACAUGCUACACUACUCUAAUGCAAGCACUAUAGAGAAGAGUAGGCGAUAUCUGGUGAUCAAAGGGGGGGGCUUGCCUGGUUGCUCUGGCAAGAGAGAGGGGUCGUCAACUCCGUAGUCGAGCUGGGCAGCAGCAGCGUCGGUCUCGUAGUCUACCGGAGAGAAGAGGGGGAAGAAACAAUGAAUACCAAGUAAACAGAUGCAUAUUGAUGCAUGACAUGCCAAGAAGCGAUGCUAGGCGUGCCCUAACGUGGUAUGAGGUGGUACUGGUUAAGGGGGGAAUCAUCCGGGAAAGUAUUCCCGGUGUUUCGUGUUUUCGGGAAGAGGAGCCGGAGGGGGAAAGUUGCGGGUUUGAUAGGGUAGGGGGGUGUGGCGGACGAACGGUCUGCGUAUCCGAAUUCGUCCCAUCGUUCUGAGCAACUUUCAUGUUGAAAAUAUUUUAAUCCGAGUUACAGAUUAAAAGAUAUGAUUUUUUAAAGAUUUUAUUAAUUUCUGGAAUUUAAUCAAUUAAUUAUUUAAUUUUAAAAAUGGAAUUAUGACGUCAGCAUGAUGCCAUGCUGACGUCAGCAGUCAACAUGGUUGACUAGGUCAACCCGGACAUGUGGGUCCCGUUCGUCAUACUCUGUUAACUAAUUAUCUUAGUUAAGUUUAAUUAACAGUAGUUAAUUAGGUUAAUUACUCAUUAGGUUUAAUUAAUCAGGAUUAAUUAAAUUAAUUAUUUACUUAAUUAAUUAAUUAAUUAAUUUUAUUCAUUAUUAUUUUUAUUAAUUAUAUUUAUCUAAAUUCCUUUUCCCUUUUCUUUUAUUUUAAAAACGUCCUGGGGGGUGGGGCCCCCAUGUCAUAGGCAGGGGGGUGGACCGGUCNNNNNNNNNNNNNNNNNNNNNNNNNNNNNNNNNNNNNNNNNNNNNNNNNNNNNNNNNNNNNNNNNNNNNNNNNNNNNNNNNNNNNNNNNNNNNNNNNNNNNNNNNNNNNNNNNNNNNNNNNNNNNNNNNNNNNNNNNNNNNNNNNNNNNNNNNNNNNNNNNNNNNNNNNNNNNNNNNNNNNNNNNNNNNNNNNNNNNNNNNNNNNNNNNNNNNNNNNNNNNNNNNNNNNNNNNNNNNNNNNNNNNNNNNNNNNNNNNNNNNNNNNNNNNNNNNNNNNNNNNNNNNNNNNNNNNNNNNNNNNNNNNNNNNNNNNNNNNNNNNNNNNNNNNNNNNNNNNNNNNNNNNNNNNNNNNNNNNNNNNNNNNNNNNNNNNNNNNNNNNNNNNNNNNNNNNNNNNNNNNNNNNNNNNNNNNNNNNNNNNNNNNNNNNNNNNNNNNNNNNNNNNNNNNNNNNNNNNNNNNNNNNNNNNNNNNNNNNNNNNNNNNNNNNNNNNNNNNNNNNNNNNNNNNNNNNNNNNNNNNNNNNNNNNNNNNNNNNNNNNNNNNNNNNNNNNNNNNNNNNNNNNNNNNNNNNNNNNNNNNNNNNNNNNNNNNNNNNNNNNNNNNNNNNNNNNNNNNNNNNNNNNNNNNNNNNNNNNNNNNNNNNNNNNNNNNNNNNNNNNNNNNNNNNNNNNNNNNNNNNNNNNNNNNNNNNNNNNNNNNNNNNNNNNNNNNNNNNNNNNNNNNNNNNNNNNNNNNNNNNNNNNNNNNNNNNNNNNNNNNNNNNNNNNNNNNNNNNNNNNNNNNNNNNNNNNNNNNNNNNNNNNNNNNNNNNNNNNNNNNNNNNNNNNNNNNNNNNNNNNNNNNNNNNNNNNNNNNNNNNNNNNNNNNNNNNNNNNNNNNNNNNNNNNNNNNNNNNNNNNNNNNNNNNNNNNNNNNNNNNNNNNNNNNNNNNNNNNNNNNNNNNNNNNNNNNNNNNNNNNNNNNNNNNNNNNNNNNNNNNNNNNNNNNNNNNNNNNNNNNNNNNNGAGGGAGGAGGAGGGGAUCGGGGGGGAAUGGGUGCGGCUAGGGUUUCCUGCCGACCGGGGGGGGGAUAAGGGAGUGAGGGGGUUGGGCCGGGCCAGGGGGUGGCCGGCUGGGCCAGGUGGGGGCUUGGCCCAGUUGGGCCAGUGGGGUUUUCUCCCCCUCCCUUUAUUUAUUCGGUUUGUUUUUAUUUUCUUUUCUUAUUUUUCCUUUUCUGUUUUAAUUAAUUUUAAAAUAUUCAGACACUUUAUAAAAAUGUGUGCACUCCACCAUAAUUACCGAUGUAAUAUUUGACAACCACCGAACUUUUUAGUUUUAAUUUUUGAAAACUUUUAUUGUUAUCAUUAAUUUGAAUUUUGAAUUUUGGACCGGUUUUGAACUAACUCAAGAUUAGCAACUAUAAUUGAGGUGACGUGGUAUCACUAGCAGAGGAUCACUGUAGCUUAAUUUCCCGGGCGUCACACAUGCUUUACGGGUUAGAAUCGGGACUUCAACGACGUUUUGAACAUCAUGGAGCAUAUGAGAUGUUUCAGGAGUUGAAGUUAAUAUUUCAAGCAAAUGCCCGAAUUGAGAGAUAUGAAGUCUCCAAUAAGUUCUAUAGCUGCAAGAUGGAGGAGAACAGUUCUGUCAGUGAGCAUAUACUCAAAAUGUCUGGGUAUAAUGAUCACUUGAUUCAGAUGGGAGUUAAUCUCCCAGAUGAUUGCGUCAUUGACAUAAUUCUCCAAUCACUGCCACCAAGCUACAAGAGCUUCGUGAUGAACUAUAAUAUGCAAGGGAUGAACAAGACUAUUCCCGAGCUCCUCGCAAUGCUGAAAGCUGCGGAGGUAGAAAUCAAGAAGGAGCAUCAAGUGUUGAUGGUUAACAAGACCACUAGUUUCAAGAAAAAAGGGCAAAGGGAAGAAGAAGGGGAACUUCAAAAAGAACAGCAAGCAAGUUGCUACUCAUGAGAAGAAACCCAAGUCUGGACCUAAGCCUGAAACUGAGUGCUUCUACUGCAAGCAGACUGGUCACUGGAAGCGGAACUGCCCCAAGUAUUUGGCAGAUAAGAAGGAUGGCAAGGUGAACAAAGGUAUAUGUGAUAUACAUGUUAUUGAUGUGUACCUUACUAGAGCUCGCAGUAGCACCUGGGUAUUUGAUACUGGUUCUGUUGCUAAUAUUUGCAACUCGAAACAGGGACUACGGAUUAAGCGAACACUAGCGAAGGACGAGGUGAUGAUGCGCGUGGUAAACGGUUCCAAAGUCGAUGUGAUCGCGGUCGGCACGCUACCUCUACAUCUACCUUCGGGAUUAAUAUUAGACCUAAAUAAUUGUUAUUUGGUGCCAGCGUUGAGCAUGAACAUUAUAUCUGAAUCUUGUUUAAUGCGAGACGGUUAUUCAUUUAAAUCAAAGAAUAAUGGUUGUUCUAUUUAUAUGAGUAAUAUCUUUUAUGGUCAUGCACCCUUGAAGAGUGGUCUAUUCUUAUUAAAUCUCGAUAGUAGUAAUACACAUAUUCAUAAUGUUGAAGCCAAAAGAUGCAGAGUUGAUAAUGAUAGUGCAACUUAUUUGUGGCACCGCCGUUUAGUCAUAUCGGUAUAAAGCGCAUGAAGAAACUCCAUACUGAUGGACUUUUGGAACCACUUGAUUAUGAAUCACUUGGUACUUGCGAACCGCGCCUCAUGGGCAAGAUGACUAAAACACCGUUCUCCGGUAAUAUGGAGAGAGCAACAGAUUUGUUGGAAAUCAUACAUACAGAUGUAUGUGGUCCGAUGAAUAUUGAAGCUCAUGGCGGAUAUCGUUAUUUUCUCACCUUCACAGAUGAUUUAAGGAGAUACGGGUAUAUCUACUUAAUGAAACAUAAGUCUGAAACAUUUGAAAAGUUCAAAGAAUUUCAGAGUGAAGUUGAAAAUCAUCGUAACAAGAAAAUAAAGUUUCUACGAUCUGAUCGUGGAGGAGAAUAUUUGAGUUACGAGUUUGGUGUACAUUUGAAAAUUGUGGAAUAGUUUCGCAACUCACGCCACCCGGAACACCACAGCGUAAUGGUGUGUCCGAACGUCGUAAUCGUACUUUACUAGAUAUGGUGCGAUCUAUGAUGUCUCUUACUGAUUUACCACUAUCGUUUUGGGGAUACGCUCUAGAGACGGCCGCAUUCACGUGAAAUAGGGCACCAUCAAAAUCCGUUGAGAUGACGCCUUAUGAACUGUGGUUUGGCAAGAAACCAAAGUUGUCGUUUCUUAAAGUUUGGGGCUGCGAUGCUUAUGUGAAAAAGCUUCAACCUGAUAAGCUCGAACCCAAAUCGGAGAAAUGUGUCUUCAUAGGAUACCCAAAGGAGACUGUUGGGUACACCUUCUAUCACAGAUCCGAAGGCAAGACAUUCGUUGCUAAGAAUGGAUCCUUUCUAGAGAAGGAGUUUCUCUCGAAAGAAGUGAGUGGGAGGAAAGUAGAACUUGACGAGGUAACUGUACCUGCUCCCUUAUUGGAAAGUAGUUCAUCAGAGAAAACUGUUUCUGCGACACCUAUACCAAUUAGUGAGGAAGUUAAUGAUAAUGAUCAUGAAACUUCAGAACAAGAUACUACUGAACCUCGUAGAUCAACCAGAGUGAGAUCCACGCCAGAGUGGUAUAGUAAUCCAGCUCUGGAAGUCAUGCUACUAGAUCAUGAUGAACCUACGAACUAUGAAGAAGCGAUUGUGAGCCCAGAUUCCGCAAAGUGGCUUGAAGCCAUGAAAUCUGAGAUGGGAUCCAUGUAUGAGAACAAAGUAUAGACUUUGGUUGACUUGCCCGCUGAUCGGCAAGCAAUUGAGAAUAAAUGGAUUUUCAAGAAGAAGACUGACGCUGACGGUAAUAUUACUGUCUACAAAGCUCGACUUGUCGCAAAAGGUUUUUGGCAAGUUCAAUGAUUGACUACGAUGAGACUUUCUCACCCGUAGCGAUGCUUAAGUCUGUCCGAAUCAUGUUAGCAAUUGCCGCAUUUUAUGAUUAUGAAAUUUGGCAGAUGGAUGUCAAAACUACAUUCCUGAAUGGAUUUCUGGAAGAAGAAUUGUAUAUGAUGCAACCAGAAGGUUUUGUCGAUCCAAAGGGAGCUAACAAAGUGUGCAAGCUCCAGCGAUCCAUUUAUGGACUGGUGCAAGCCUCUCGGAGUUGGAAUAAACGCUUUGAUAGUGUGAUCAAAGCAUUUGGUUUUAUACGGACUUUUGGAGAAGCCUGUAUUUACAAGAAAGUGAGUGGGAGCUCUAUAGCAUUUCUGAUAUUAUAUGUGGAUGACAUAUUACUAAUUGGAAAUGAUAUAGAAUUUCUGGAUAGCAUAAAGGGAUACUUGAAUAAAAGUUUUUCAAUGAAAGACCUCGGUGAAGCUGCUUACAUAUUAGGCAUUAAGAUCUAUAGAGAUAGAUCAAGACGCUUAAUUGGACUUCCACAAAGCACAUACCUUGACAAAGUUUUGAAGAAGUUCAAAAUGGAUCAAGCAAAGAAAGGGUUCUUGCCUGUGUUACAAGGUUUGAAGUUGAGUAAGACUUAAUGCCCGACCACUGGAGAAGAUAGAGAGAAAAUGAAAGAUGUUCCCUAUGCUUCAGCCAUAGGCUCUAUCAUGUAUGCAAUGCUAUGUACCAGACCUGAUGUGUGCCUUGCUAUAAGUUUAGCAGGGAGGUACCAAAGUAAUCCAGGAGUGGAUCACUAGACAGCGGUCAAGAACAUCCUGAAAUACCUGAAAAGGACUAAGGAUAUGUUUCUCAUAUAUGGAGGUGACAAAGAGCUCAUCGUAAAAGGUUACAUUGAUGCGAGCUUUGACACUGAUCCGGACGAUUCUAAAUCGCAAACCGGAUACGUGUUUACAUUAAACGAUGGAGCUAUCAGUUGGUGCAGUUCUAAACAAAGCGUCGUAGCGGGAUCUACAUGUGAAGCGGAGUACAUAGCUGCUUCGGAAGCAGCGAACGAAGGAGUCUGGAUGAAGGAGUUCAUAUCCGAUCUAGGUGUCAUACCUAGUGCAUCGGGUCCAAUGAAAAUCUUUUGUCACAAUACUGGUGCAAUUGCCUUGGCAAAGGAAUCCAGAUUUCACAAGAGGACCAAGCACAUCAAGAGACGCUUCAAUUCCAUCCGGGAUCUAGUCCAGGUGGGAGACAUAGAGAUUUGCAAGAUACAUACGGAUCUGAAUGUUGCAGACGCGUUGACUAAGCCUCUUCCACGAGCAAAACAUGAUCAGCACCAAGGCUCCAUGGGUGUUAGAAUCAUUACUGUGUAAUCUAGAUUAUUGACUCUAGUGCACGUGGGAGACUGAAGGAAAUAUGCCCUAGAGGCAAUAAUAAAGUUAUUAUUUAUUUCCUUAUAUCAUGAUAAAUGUUUAUUAUUCAUGCUAGAAUUGUAUUAACCAAAAACAUAAUACAUGUGUGAAUACAUAGACAAACUUAGUGUCACUAGUAUGCCUCUACUUGACUAGCUCGUUAAUCAAAGAUGGUUAUGUUUCCUAACCAUGAACAAGGUGUUGUUAUUUGAUUAACGAGGUCACAUCAUUAGUUGAAUGAUCUGAUUGACAUGACCCAUUUCAUUAGCUUAGCACCCGAUCGUUUAGUAUGUUGCUAUUGCUUUCUUCAUGACUUAUACAUGUUCCUAUGACUAUGAGAUUAUGCAACUCCCGUUUACCGGAGGAACACUUUGUGUGCUACCAAACAUCACAACGUAACUGGGUGAUUAUAAAGGAGCUCUACAGGUGUCUCCAAAGGUAGAUGUUGGGUUGGCGUAUUUCGAGAUUAGGAUUUGUCACUCCGAUUGUCGGAGAGGUAUCUCUGGGCCCUCUCGGUAAUGCACAUCACAUAAGCCUUGCAAGCAUUGCAACUGAUGAGUUAGUUGCGAGAUGAUGUAUUAAGGAACGAGUAAAGAGACUUGCCGGUAACGAGAUUGAACUAGGUAUUGGAUACCGACGAUUGAAUCUCGGGCAAGUAACAUACCGAUGACAAAGGGAACAACGUAUGUUUUUAUGCGGUCUGACCGAUAAAGAUCUUCGUAGAAUAUGUAGGAGACAAUAUGGGCAUCCAGGUCCCGCUAUUGGUUAUUGACCGGAGACAUGUCUCGGUCAUGUCUACAUUGUUCUCGAACCAUAGGGUCCGCACGCUUAACGUUACGAUGACAGUUAUUAUGAGUUUAUGCAUUUUGAUGUACCUAAGUUAGUUCGGAUUCCCGGAUGUGAUCACGGACAUGACGAGGAGUCUCGAAAUGGUCGAGACAUAAAGAUUGACAUAUUCGAAGCCUAUGUUUGGAUAUCGGAAGUGUUCCGGGUGAAAUCGAGAUUUUACCGGAGUACCGGGAGGUUAUCGGAACCCCGCGGGAGCUAUAUGGGCCUUAGUGGGCUUUAGUGGAAAGGAGAAAGGGGCAGCCCAAGGUGGGCCGUGCGCCUCCCCCCUCCCCUAGUCCUAUUAGGACAAGGAGAGGUGGCCGUCCACCCUCUCUCUCUUUCCCCCUCGGGGAAUCCUAUUCCAACUAGUAUUGGGGGGGGGGAGUCCUACUCCCGGUAGGAGUAGGACUCCUCCUGCGCCCUCCUCCUGGCCGGCCGCCCCCUCCCCCUUGGAUCCUUUAUAUACGGGGGCAGGGGGAAACCUCUAGACACACAAGUUGAUCCUUGAGAUCGUUCCUUAGCCGUGUGCGGUGCCCCCUGCCACCAUAUUCCACCUCGAUCAUAUUGUAGCGGUGCUUAGGCGAAGCCCUGUGACAGUAGAACAUCAAGAUCGUCACCAUGCCGUCGUGCUGACGGAACUCCUCCCUGACGCUUUGCUGGAUCGAAGCCCGGGGAUCGUCAUCGAGCUGUACGUGUGCUAAGAACUCGGAGGUGCCGGAGUAACGGUGCUUGGAUCGGUCGGAUCGGGAGGACGUACGACUACUUCCUCUACGUUGUGUCAAUGCUUCCGCAGUCAGUCUGCGUGGGUACGUAGACAACACUCUCCCCUCUCGUUGCUAUGCAUCACCAUGAUCUUGCGUGUGCGUAGGAUAUUUUUUGAAAUUAUUGCGUUCCCCAACAGUGAGCGUCAUCAUCGGCGGAGACCACCGUGUGGAAGAGGUCCUUCGAGAUGGUGGUGUAGAACCAGCGGAUAAGAGUGGCGUCGAUGGACGUCCACUCCUCAUCGUCCUCCAUGAAGUGGGAGUCGACGGAGCCAUCGAUGUGAUCCCGGAGAUUCUACUCACGGAACACAAGGGAGAAGUACGUCUUCCAGGCAUAGUAGGUGGAGGUGAGUUGAUCAAGGACGAUGGGAACCCGAGCGAGGAUAUUGAGAUCAUGGAUGACGACGGGAUCGGGGCCGUCGAAGGGGUUGGUGCGGCGGCUGCGGGUGGUACCGGUGGAACCGGGGGAGGCCAUGGCCGAGAGGGGAGGGCGGCGACGCGUGGUGAAGCGGCGUGGCGGGAGGGAUGGCGGUGCGGCGCGGGUGGCGGCGCUGCGGGUUAUGGGCGGACGCGAGAGGCUGCGGUGGCACACAGGAGGGCGGAGGCGUGGCGGCGAGGAGACGCGACGGCGGCGGCACGAAGUGGCGGCGGCGGCGAUGGGAUCGCGGCGGCGGCGGCAGGAGUUAUGGUUAGGAUCGUAGGUAUGAUACCAUGUUGGAAACGAAUAUUUUGGCAAUGCAACUCGAUGUAUGUGCAUAGCGCACGUAUAUAUGGAGUACAAGAUGGGCCACAAACUCAACUAUACAAUGACUAGGAGGUGGGCCGGACUAUACAAUAUACAUGCACAAACCAUAUAUUCAACACCUCCCAUAGGCCAUUGCUGUGUCCGACGUCCACGUCAGCGACCUCUGUAUCCGUAGUGCUGGGCCUUGCCUUUCUGAAUUCUAGUAGAGCCCUAGAUAGCUGAUGACACUGAUAAUGCAUGCUGAACCCCAUCCGCACCAUCGUCCCAAGCCCGUACAACAGGCGGCCACCUCGCUGGUGCAAUACCUCCGUGGGAUGCCGCCGCGGUUGGCAGGCUGGACUCCUACACCACCGCCGGCUGUACCUCCUCGGGGCUCAUCCUUUGCAUGUCAGCAUUGAGACGCCACUCCUCCAUGUCAGCUGCUCUUCGCCAUGCGCCUAUGCAUGUGUCCUCCUUUCGCUUGUCACUGGUGUGUUCGUGCAUGCAUUAUGUGUUGUACUAUGGAGCUGUGGAGUUUAUGUGAGUCCGACGCGUGCGUACGGUCUGUAUCGGAGGCUUGUGCAACAGCUAUUGUUCUAUGGAGCAAGCUUCGUGAAGUCUGCCAUGAGAUGGUGCACAUAAUGCAAAAUGCAACACGUAGUAGGGGCAGGUGUUGCAAGCUCGCAGGCGAGGCGAACGAGGCGGCGCCAGAUUCUGCCCCGUGCUCUAUGAUAGAUGCACAUGUGAGUUCUUCAUUUUGUGGUGAGUUAUCCACAUUUUAAUGGGAUGCAUAUGCACCAGUAUCCUAAAACAAAAGUAAAACAAACAAUCGACCAUAUCUUUUGGAUAGAGUUUGGCUUUCAAUCUCUAUUUUCUAUUAUGAUUGACAUAUCAUACAAUUCUACAUUAUAGGAACCAAAAACAUCUACAAGCAAAAAAGACGAAUUGUCAGAUCAUUUGUAUUUAAAAUACAACAAUUUUUUUGAAGAUUAAUAAAUAAAUACUACUGAUUGCCUUAACCUUUUUAUCUCCAAUUGCUUCAAGCAAAAGAAUAGUAAUAUUAAAUUAUGAACGUCGCUUCGGGUAGUUCCUCCUCCCCAUGUGUCGGUGUGUGUGCAACCUCCCCAAACAGCAUGCUCACGUCUCAUUGUCGAUGCCUCGAGAAGCAUAUUGCCAUGGGAGCUCCUACAAAAGCAAGAUCUUGACGACACUGACCAAGUAUUCUUCCUAGGGUACCAUUAAAAUUGCAUAGUCAAGGUGGCAACUGGCAGAGGCAGAAUACUUUGUGAUCGUCACUCUGGUGCACCUCGACAAUGAUGGUUGAGGUGGACAUCAAGUAUAAGUGGUAUAACCUCACCUUCUACCUCGACACGAUGAGCUUAGUGAAGACUUUAUCAUGCACGAGUAUAAGUUUAUCUCUGCCACCCCCAGCCACCAUACUCACCCGCCUCAAGGUCACAAAAGAUCCAAAGAACUGGAUAGUGAAGGGGAUGGCUGUGACCUCUGCCAACACCCGAGCUAUGAUGUGUGUCUCCAUAAUAUGGUCAAGCCUGCUUCAUGAAAAUUGGUAUUCGCUCCUCAGUGAAGCACAUCCGUUUCAUUCAAUGUUUGAUGCAGCCAUCAGAAUGUUGUUCUAACGUGGUCUUUUCGUGUCAUUUUGUCAGGCUUAUCCUUACGAGUUCAGAUUACCGAGCCGCAAUAUGCCAGUGGUCUGGUUGCACACUCAGCAUGUAUUGUUAAUAGUUAUCCAUUGAAAAACUUAUUUAUUUUCUCUCCCGUUGCAACGCACGGACAUGUGUGCUAGUAUGAUAAAAGAUAUACUCGGGGGGCACAGUUUUCGCUAGAGGCUUCUCUCUUGAAAAUAGCAUACGGUGGGUAAUUUUUUUACCACUGGGCAAUUGAUAGAAAAGCAAAUAAUUAUGACAAUAUCCAAGACAAUGAUCAUGUAUAUAGGCAUCACAUCUGAGACAAGUAGACCGUCUCCCACCUACAUCUACUACUAUUACUCCACACAUCGACCACUAUCCAGCAUUCGUCUAGUAUAUUAAGUUCAUAAAAAACAGAGUAACGCCUUCAUCAAGAUGACAUGAUGUAGACAAGAUAAACUCACGUAUGAAUAAGCCCUAUCUUUUUACCCUUAAUAGCAACGAUACAAUACGUGUCAUGUCCCCUUCUGUCACCGGGAUUGAGCGCCACAAGAUCGAAACCAUUACAAAGCACCUCUCCCAUUGCAAGAAAAAUCAAUCUACACUACUAGGGAAAACCCUAGCAGUAGUGCUGGUUUUAUGCUCACUAGUAGCGCGGGUAGGCGCGCUACUAAUAAGGCGCUACAGCUAUUGCUUAGCAGUAACGCGUGCCCGCACGCGCUACUGCUAGGACAAAUAGCUGCAGCGUUUGUUCACUCCCACGCUACUGCUAAUGUAACUACUGGCAGCGUGUUUUCUCUCCAUCGCUACUAGUAUUCUUUUUAUUUUUUAUUUUUAGUGUAUUUAUGCGCCAUCGUACAAAUAUUGUACGAUACCAAUUAUGAGGUUUACAUCAUUAUGUCCAUAACAGUGUGUCAAAUGAAGGUGGAUUAGGUUCAAGUGGAGGCAAUAUGUGGUGCAUGUCAAAAGUAUACUACUAAUCCAAACUUGAUCUAGUUUGGACUAGUAGUACUUUCGAUGUGCACCACAUGUUGCCUCCACUUGAAUCUAAUCCGCCAGCACAAGCUAUUUAAUCACCAUCAUAGUCAUUACCACCAACAGUAUUUAUUUAAUCACCACUAACACUAGCUAAUAAUAAUUAUCAUAGUCAUUACCACCAACACUAGCUAUUUUAUCAUCAUAGUAAUAGUGUAGCACAUCAUCAUCCUCAAACUCAUUUCUAGCUAGCUAAUCACUCCUGCUGCUCUCUUUUAGGUAAAAUAACAUAAAACAUGUGUAGCUCUCCUCCUUGAUCAAGUUGGAGCAUGCAGAUGAACCUGUCUCCUAAUCGUGGGUAGCGCAUCUGUUUGCUGCCCCCUAGUACUUCUCUGCGCUUCUCCAUCACACAUUUGGUCCAGUCUUGCACUAUUAAGCAUCCGUCAUUAAUCUUGAAUGCACUAAAGUAACAUGUAGGAUAUCUUGGCCGUAAGCUAAUAAUACUCAUGGUACCUUUAGUCUCGAUCCCAUAAGGCAAAACAUUCAUCGGGAGUCCCUGUUGAAAAAACAUCGUAUGGUAACAUACUUAGCAAUGAAGUUUAGCUUCAAAAAUAAUGUAUGGAAAAGAUGCACUGAGGACAAAUAGUAAAAAUCUUACCAUCCUUCUUAAAUAGAUGUGACCGUAGUUCAUUACGAACACUAUUGUUCGCACAUUGUCAGUACUAACAUUUCUAAGUCCAGGAAGAAAAUUUGUCUUGACAGUAUCAAGAUCCUCAAGCCAUGAAACAUAAUGACUUAGCUCCUCGCAGUUUAGUUCAGCCUCAGGACAAUAGUAGGUCCUGUCUACCAAGCGCUGGACAUGUUUGCUUGCACCGAAAUAAGCUGACAGUACAAAUUAGUUGUCAACUAUUUUUGAAUAAACAAUAUCAAAGACAUAAAUAUGGUUGAGAAACUUACAUAAUGGUAUAACUAGAGGCGUCUGCACAUCGACCCAGAUGUCGGUAUUACCUUCAAUAUCAUCUUCCGGACGAAUAUCAAAGGUGAUAACCAUAUCAGGCUCAAAUGCAUAAGUCUUGCAUAGUGCUCGCCAUGUUUUGCAUCCAAAAUAGGUGUAGUCGUCUGAAUUGUAUAAUUUUGCGUGGAAAAUAUAACCAUGCUCGGUCUUCAAGUAAACUUUCUUUUCCUCCAUAGUACAGCUGAAACCUAUCUUAUCCAAUACAUAAACUCUUGCAUGGCAGGAGAUUCGCUAGUAGAAUAGUAAAAAAAAGACUUGUCAUGCUUAAUGUCAUGCUUAAAUUAUAAGUUGAAGCAAAUGAAGCAAAUGUCAUGCUUAAUUACGAAAAAAGACUUGUCAUUGUGACUUACUGUAUCCACUUUGAAGUUCUCGUCCAGCUUGAUGCUGAAGCGCCUAUCAUCAUCUAGGAAGAUUCCGUCGCACAGGCCGCGCUCUUCUUCGCAGUAUUUGCAAAUACCGAAAUCCUUUUCGUCGUCAGACAUUUCCUAUGUUAAUAGUUAAAACAUUAAUUGAAAAUCGAUCAAAGACAACUACCAGGAUACUCAACACACAAAUCUGGGCACUCGAUAUUUCCUAUAUAUUCUGGCACAAGUCAUGCCAAAAAUCGUGGAAAAAUCCUGCAUGACCUUUGCUAAAAUAGGACAUAUCGAGCGCCUGAAAUUUGCUGGAACGGAAAUGAAUCAACACUCCGGCAAAACAUAGGCCACUUAGAGGUGUAACCUACAAACAUGACCGGCCACUUGGGCAAGCACAUAUCCUAUUUGAGCAACACAAGAUAUACAUUUAAAAAUAUCUUAUAGGACUCAAAUUAGCAUGCAUUCAAUAAGGAAAAGUAAAUCAUCUCAUGCGUCUAUACAUCAUCAUACUUAUAGUGUCAUACAUCCCGAAUAGUGUCAUACAUAUAACAACACUAAUACAACUAAAACCCUAGCACACGACGAGUAUCGGUGCGGGCGGUGGACACCCACAGAGAAGGAACCAUCACGGGAUCAUAGCUCCAGUGAGAUCCCUGGAGAACCUGCCAGGUAUUGGAGAACAUGUGCUCCAACGCAAACAAGUAGUGACGGACGUGCGCGUCCUCCUCACUGACACGGUGACGCACCACCUCCGCGGGGUCCUCUGGUCCAUCACUGGCCCACGCGACCGCCACCAAAGAAGGUUCGGGUCAACGACAGGCUGGCUCCUCACCAACCUGCGCCCCCCGGUAGGUAGCCUCCCAGUACCACCCCGGCGGAGCCCAGUCCCGGACAUGGCCCAUCUGGUCAAGCAGGUGUCGUCCUCCGCCGACUCGAUGGCGAGGAUGCGGGAUAGGCAUCGUCCAUGUCGAUGCAGGAAAAAUUGCUUUAACUAAAAAAUAGCAACAAGUUCUUACUAACUAGUUGUAUUAAUUCAACUAGUUCUUAUUAAAAAUAAACUUACUAUAAAUAAAAAUAAACUAGUACCUGAUUAGUACCUAGUUCUUACUAACUAAUCAGUACCUAGGAACUACUACCCUAAUUAACAUCCAAUUUGAUGAAGCUAGGGGUGGAAAGUGGUAGCGAAUAUGCAAUUAUCCAACUAUAAAGUGAAAUAAGUGGUCAAAUUUUACUCGUUUUAUGAUUCAUCUUAGAAAUUUGAUUCGUAUCCACCCUUACAUGAACCCUAACUCAUUUGAGCCGCAUCCGCAUCCGAUUCGUUUCCACCCUUACAUGAACCCUAACUAAUUUGAUGCAACUAAAAUAUAAAGAAACCCUAGGCAGAGGUAGGGGAGAGGGAGGAAUAGGCGUGCUCACCUCGGGUUCCUACGACGAGGGAGGGGCAGGCGGCGUCGAGGUCGGGGUCGGGGCUCGGGCGCGCGGCGGAUGGCGGCGUCGAGGUCAGGGUCGGGGGCGGCGUCCGGGGCGGCGUUGAGGUUGGGGGCGGGGGCGGCGUUGAAUCUGGGGUCGGGGCGACGUAGAGAGUGUGCGGAGAGCGCAUGGCGGCCGACGGGCGACAUCGGCGGCAAGAGUGGAGAGUUGGAUUUGGGGGAAGUGGCCGUGGGGAAGGACGAACCCCGUGGUUAAGUCAGAAGUAGCAGUAGCGCGUUCCAGAAAGCGCGCUACUGCUACAUUAGCUACAUCGCGUUCUGGGAUACACGCUACUGCUACCCCUUUCUCUUUUCCCCCCUUUUUAUUUAGUUUUCUUCACAUUUUGUUUUUUUCCUUUCACCUUAUUCUAUUUCUUUCAUUUUGAAUUACCUUUCUAUUUGCUUUCCAUUUAAUUUUAUAUCCUUUAGCAGUAGCGAGUUUAGAUUAAAACGCGCUACUACAAAGAAAGUAGCGGUAGUGCGGUUCGAUAUAGGUCGCUACUACUAUGUGUAGCCUAUCGGCUAAGCCGUGGGAAUUUUAGUAGUAAUGUGUUUAGAACAAGACGCGCCACUGCUAAAACUUUAUCUGCAGCGCUGUUUGCACAGGCGCGCUACUGCUACUUAGCACCAGCGUGCUUCUUUGACCCGUGCUACUGCUAAAGUUCUGUGUAUAAGGUUUUCCCUAGUAGUGUUAGCUGGCCAGACCAAAUCAAUAUAUCAGAGAGAAAUAUGAUGCUAUAACAAUGAUGCAUAAAAGAUUCAAAGAAAAAUCAAAUAAUAUUCAUGCAUAGAUCUGAUCAUAAACUCACAAUUCAUUGGAUCCCAACAAACACACCACAAAAAGUAAUUACAUCGGAUAGAACUCCAAGAAAAUCGAGGAGAACAUUGUAUUGAAGAUCGAAUAGAGAGAAUAAGCCUAGCUACUAACUAUGGACCUGUAGGUCUAUGGUAAACUUCUCAUGCAUCAUCGGAAGGGCAGCAGGGAUGAUGUAGAGCCCCUCCGUGAACGAAUCCUCCUCCGGCAGAGUGCUGAAAAAGGCCUCCAGAUGGGAUCUGUCAAGAACAUGAACUUGUGGCGGCAGAAAAAGUAUUUCGUGGACUCCUCUGUUGGUUUCAUAAUUUUAGAGAAUUUAUAGACGUGAAGGUAGGUCAAAUGGAGCCACGUGGGCCCCACAAACCACUAGGCGCGCCCUACCCCCUGGGCAUGCCCUGGUGCCUCGUGGGACAUUGUGCCAUGUUCUCUUCCCCUCCUGAAGCUUCCAGGGUCUCUUAUUGCCAGAAAAAAAAUCCCCAAUAAGUUUCAUGCCAUUUGGACUUCGUUUGGUACUAAUAUUCUAAAAAACCAAAAAGAAGCAAAAAAUAGCAAUUACCACUAGCCACUAAGUUAAUAGAUUAGCCCAAAAAAUGAUAUAUAAUUGCUUGAAAGUGUAUAUAAAAAUACAAGGUUGAUACUCUAAUAGCAUGGAACAAUAAAAAAUUAUAGAUACGCUGGAGACGUAUCAGGUUUCUGUUGAGUUUUCUGUGCUGAAGUUUUUAAGUUUUAGGUGAAAUCACGAUGGAUGAAGGAAUAAGGACCGGAAAUACCCUAAGCUUGGGGAUGCCCAAGGAACCCCAGGUAAUAUUCAAGGAGACCCAAGCAUCUAAGCUUGGGAAUCCCCUCUUUCGUCUAAAAUCCUUCGGUAUACUACUUGGAACUAUAUUUUUAUUCAUGACAUGAUAUGAGUUUUGCUUGGAGUGUCUUGUAUUAUAGUAGUCUUUACUUUGUUUGAUUUUUAGUUUGCCACAAUCAUCAUUUGCUACACACACCUUUUGAGAGGGACACGUAUGUACCUUUUAUUGCAUCCCAUAUUUUAUUGCUACACACACCUUUUGGAGAGAGUUGGGGAUUUCCUUAUUUUCAUAUUUGAGUUUUUCUUGAAUUUUGAAAAGAGGAUCGUUUAAUUUUAAUUAUUUUAUCUUCGAAUAUUUCUUUUAUAAAAAUAAAAGAGAGGGGAUAAAACGACUUCCUCAAAAUAAAGAAAUAUUGGAAAUUUAAUGUUAUUAUCAAAUAAGAGUUUUAUUCAGAUUUUUAUCGCUAUUUUAUUUGAAUUAGGAAAAAUAUGCGUUUUUCAAAAUUGCAUCUGAGUCCUAAAUAAAUGUUCACCUUGUCCGGUAGAUUUUUAGACGACGGGGAAAAUUUAUUUCAGGAUUUUUGGAGUCCGUUUAGUAUAUCUUUUAUUUGUUUUUCUUCGCGGAAUAAUUGAAAAAAACAAGUUACCGACCUACCGGGCCGUGUCCGCCUGGGACACCGACCCGGCCGGCCCUUUAAGAGGCGAGGGGGCCGAGCCACCAAACCCUAGCCAGCCCAGCCCCGCACCCCGUCGCUAGCCCCGCAGCCCGGCGCCACCGACCGCCGCCCGCCGCCGCCGCCCUGCCGAAGUACGCCGCCGCAGCCUCGCCGCCCACCGCCGCCACCGCCGCCGACCCGUUCCACGAGGUAGCCACCGUUUUUUUAUAAAACCGAUUGGUUUUAUUUCGUAAACCCUAGAUCUGUUUUUUUCAGAUCUGGUUCGGUUUUUUUGGUUUAGUUAUUUAGCGGACGCUCGUCCGUACGUUCGUUUUCACGAACGGUUUUCGCCCGUUAGCCACAGACAGCGAACGUUCGUUCGUUAGCCUGUUCGUCAAUUUUUCUUUUUCUCAAAUUUUUCGUGAUUAUUCUCGAUCGCGAUUUCUGAUCCGAUUUUCGUUUUAGUUUAUCUUUUCGCUCAUUUAUCGAAAUCAGGCGAUUCAAGCGCCUAGAGUAUUGUCUCAAAGCCCUCUUUCUGUUUAACCAACUUAAACAAGUUUUUGCUACUGUAAAAUUUGACUUUAGUCCAGAUUAGUAAACGAAGCUUGUUUCUUUCGCAGUUUGAGUUUCGUUGCUUCGUUUGAUUUGAUUCUUUUUGCAAACCGGAGUUCUUAAGUUGAACUUUCUGGUUAGAUAUUCUUAUUUGAGUUUUACCCGUGCCCCUUGUCUGAUUGCUUAUUGUAUGCUUGUUUGAUUGAGAUAGAGUACCCGGAGUGUGAAGCGUGCUACUACGUGUCUCUAGGUUUCACGGAUCAUCAGCAAGGCAAGUAACACUUUGAUCAUACCUCUUUACUACCCAGUUUUAUUGCAUUAGAUCAAUCCUCAAAAACUUGCAUGGUUAGGAUCUGAAUAAAUUGUGGGUUGUGAAGUAGAUGAGGUAGAACCUAUUCACCUGUUUAUUAUCAAACCCUUGGGAGUUACUUCUACGUUAUGCUUAUAUUGCCAUGCUAUGCUCGUAGACGUGGAUUGGGUUUGAGAGUAUCCAUGACAGAUAUGAGUUGUUAAUUAAUGGUUAACUUAAGGUGGCAAAUUUAAUGCACAUCUGGGUCGAUUGAGGCACCUGGGGAACCCAAUGAUUGCCUGUAUUUUUGGAAAUCCCGGGGUACCGUUUGAUUCUCCUAUGGACUACCACCCAGGCUCAAAGGGAUCAUAAGAUUAUUCAUGCUGGAAACUUCCGUGUGCACCCACAUGCCAAUAUGGGCUCUGGCAUAGAUGAGUAAGUUGUGGGAAACCUUUCCAUGAUGGACUAGCAGAUGUAGGGGAUUUUAGGUGUACAGGUCUAUCUAUCGGUUAAGGGGACCUCUUCGGAAAGACUGUGUCUCGGUCAUCCGUUUCUCAAGCAUUAUGUAGUGCGAGAAAUCCAACGGAGGAGAUCGAGUCUUGUGGGGAAAAGUGCACAAACCUCUGCAGAGUGUACAAACUAAUCAUGGUUAGCCGUGUCCCCGGUUAUGGACGUCUUGAGUAUCUAGUUCUUGGAUUAUCACGUGGAUAUCAUCACUCUUAAUAUAAAUUUGAUUGGGUUAUUAAUUACUUUUAAUUGGGAUUGAGAGGGGGUUUACCUUCUCAAUGUUUUUCAACCAACUUUGUAGUUAAAUAAAAUAUAUUCCUUUGCAGUAGGGAAAAAUUGGCUUCCCGAAAAACAUAUAACCAUACAACCUCCACCAGCCAUAUAUGCAUGUAGUGAUAACAUUAUUCUGUUCAUUACUCUCUUGUGUUGCAUUGCCAACAUAUUCCAUGUGCUGACCCGUUUCGUGCUGCAACGUAUCAUGCUGCAGACUUUUCAGACGACGAGUAAGGAGCCUUAGGUCGUGGUCUUUCACUCAGUGAUGCCGUUGGAGUUUAUGGACUCACUUUAUCUUCCAAGCCUUUCGAUGUUAUCAUAUUAGAUGGCCUUAAGCCAUAUUUAUUGUAAUAAGUUCUCCUUUGAGACAUUCGAUGUAAUAAGUGUGUGAUUGCUAAUUUGUUAUAAAUCCUCCAGUACUGUGCGUGUCAGCAUUACUGAUCCAGGGAUGACACUGAUGCACAGAGAUCAGACUGUUUGAGGUCUGGUCGCUACAAGAUGGUAUCAGAGCACACGCUGACUGUAGGACACGACCACUAAGCUAAAGCCCUAGAUCACUACUCUCUUCUCAUUUCUGACUCCUCUCCAUUUUUAUACUCUUUAGGAUGGCGGACGCAAGGAACAAGUUUGCACAACCGGAUGAAGAAACACCCUUUGGACGACACUUGAAGGAAGUCACUAGGUACCUGAACAUUGGCAUACCAAGCUUCACCGGGACUUACAACGCCACUUUACCAGAAGAGGAGCACUGGAUGAUUCAAGUUCAAGUUCCAGGAAGGACAUUUACGCCAGUCACUGAGCCCAUAGAGUUUUCCUUCGAUGCACCAACCUAGAGUUUAGGAAAGAGUAUGGCAGCCCACAUCACCAUGGGAUGCAUUGGAGAAGUUUACCACAAGGAUCUCAAGGAUACUAUCUACUAUAUUUGUGGGUGCCGAGAUGAGCAAUGGGAGAUGAUCAGCACCAGGAAGGAUAGAUUCAUUGCCGCUUUCAUCCAGGAGUUAAACCAGCACAUUCGUCGCUAGGAGAACCAGAUGUGCGCAGGCAUGAUAGAUCUGAAGAAGGCGAUGACAAGGAUCACGAAGCUUGAAGAAGAACUCAAGGCAACUCGCGAAGAUUAUGAGGAGGAAAUCGUCGUACUAGUGGAGAAGAAUGAUGACCUGACAAGGAAGCUAGGAGUAUUCAUGGGAGACCUCGCGCCAGGAGGAGAAGAUGACGGUUCCACUUGCCCGGAGAACUACAUCAUCAUCAACGACACCGACUCGGACCCCGACGAUAGCGAUGAUGACUAUGUUGAUGAAGCUGGAGCAGAUAUCAUGGAGUCUUCGACCGAUCAAUAUUUCUAGUUGACCACCAUAUUAGUAGUAGUAUUCCACCAUGUAUAUAGUAUAGUCGGAGCACUUUUGUAACGAUAGUUCUAGACUGAUUGUAUGCCCUUGCUUGAUUGAUUGAGUGAUAUGAUUGUGUUUGUCUCAUGUGCAUAUGGGUAGUGUUUUCUCACUAGACCUCAUUCUAUUCUAUUUCUCUUCCCUCUAAACCCUCAGAUGCCUCCGAGAUGUGACCCCGUAUUUAGCUUUCCACUAGAGCUCACUCAGUUGAUCCAGCAGCAGAAUACCCUGAUGCAGUUGUUAGUUCAGAACCAAGGCAACAACAACAACAACAACAACCCACCACCACCACCACCAAUUGACAACUUAGCCCGUUUUCUGAGGUUGCAGCCACUGGUGUUUUCCAGUAGCACCGAGCCGAUAGUGGCAGAUGAUUGGCUCCGCAGGAUUGGAAGGGAGUUAACCACUGUAGGAUGCAUAGAUGCUGAGAAUGUGCGUUUUGCCGGACACCAAUUGGAUGGACCAGUAGCCUCAUGGUGGGAGAAUUACACUGUCACCUAUCCUAUAGCCACUAUUACAUGGGACCAGUUCCAGCAGGCUUUUCGCACAGCCCAUGUAUCAGCAGGAGCUAUGGCCAUAAAGAAGCGUGAGUUUCGCAACUUACGCCAAGGAGGACGCACCAUUAGCCAGUAUGUGGAUGACUUUAGCAAGCUAGCACAUUAUGCCCCAGAUGACGUUGCUACGGAUGCAGCUAAGCAGGAGAAGUUUCUGGAAGGACUGAAUGAUGAGCUGAGCAUGCAGUUGAUGGUAGCAACCUUUAAUAACUACCAACAGUUGGUAGAUAGAGAUCUCAUGCUUGAAGGGAAGCACCAGCAGAUUGACAACCGCAAGAGGAAGUAUGGACAAGGGAAGUAUAAUUCUGGAGCUCAGCAGAGACCCUGUUUCACCCCGAACUCGGGAGGACCCUUACAGCAUAACCAUGGAGGUCACAAUCACACUGGAGGAAGUUCGCACAACCAUAGUGGCCCUAAGAACGGAAAUGGUAAUGGGGGAAGUAACGGACAGAACCGUUCCAACCCAGCAACGCCCGCCAAGAAAGAUCUAAGCCACGUUACUUGCUACAAGUGCCAGAAGACUAGACAUUAUGCCAAUGAAUGUCCUGAAGCUAAGAAUGGAAACGGCAAUGGAAGCUCUGGGAAGAAGCCCAACCCUUUCAACAGGGGACAAGUGAACCAUGUUAACGUGGAGGAGAUUGAAGCCCAGCCAGAUGCAGUAAUAGGUAUGUUUUUGGUUAAGUCAUUUACUACAGUCGUGCUUUCUGAUACUGCUGCAUCACAUUCAUACAUAUCAAGGGGAUUUGUGGAUAAGUAUAAACUGCCCACCAAAGUUCUUAGUACACCUAAGUUAGUGAGCUCGCCAGGGGCCGAGUAUAUGGCAAGCCAAGGAUGUUUUCAGAUGCCAUUGACCAUAGGUAGGCACGUUUUCCACUUAGAUCUGAUAAUUUUGGAGUCACAAGGUUUGGAUGUGAUUUUGGGUAUGGAUUGACUAUCGAUGUAGCGCCUUUGGUAGGUGGAAUUUGGUAAGGAAAAAUUUAUAUAGUGUGCUGAAAUUUACUGUCACUUGCUACUAUGGAAAGUAAUUCUCUGAGGGGCUUGUUCGGGGUAUCUUCACCCCGUCCAGUAGAGCAAAGAGUUGCUCCUCAACCUACUGAACCUAUUGAAAAUGAAACUCCUUUUGAAUUUCCUUCGGGUAUGAUGGAAAAACUGCUAGCUAACCCUUUUACAGGAGAUGGAACAAAGCAUCCUGAUGAGCACUUAAUAUAUGUGGAUGAAGUUUGUGGAUUAUUUAAGCUUGCAGGUAUACCUGAUGAUGUUGCUAAGAAGAAGGUCUUCCCUUUAUCUUUGAAGGGAGACACAUUGAUAUGGUAUAGGCUAUGUGAUGAUAUGAGAUCAUGGGACUAUAAAAGAUUGAAGUUGGAAUUUCAUCAGAAGUAUUACCCUAUGCAUCUUGUUCUUCGUGAUCGCAAUUAUAUAUAAAAUUUCUGGCCUUGCGAAGGAGAAAGCAUCGUUCAAGCUUGGGGGAGGCUUAAAUCAAUGUUAUAUUCAUGCCCCAAUCAUGAGCUCUCAAGAGAAAUGAUUAUUCAAAAUUUAUAUGCUCGGCUUUCUGAAAACAAUCGCACCAUGCUCGAUACUUCUUGUGCUGGCUCUUUUAUGAUGAAGACUACUGAAUUCAGAUGGAAUUUAUUGGAUAGAAUUAAAUGCAACUCUGAAGAUUGGGACCUCGACGAAGGUAAGGAGUCAGGUAUGACACCUAAGUUUGAUUGUGUUAAAUCUUUUAUGGACACCGAUAUUUUCCGUAAGUUUAGCACUAAAUAUGGACUUAACUCUGAGAUAGUAGCUUCUUUCUGUGAAUCUUUUGCUACUUAUGUUGAUCUCCCUAAGGAGAAGUGGUUUAAAUAUCAUCCUCCCAUAGAAGUAAAAGUAGCUGCACCUAUUAAAGUUGAAGAAAAGACUGUCACUUAUAAUGAUCCUAUUAUUCCUACUUCUUAUAUUGACAAACCACCUUUCCAUGUUAGAAUAAAGGAUCAAGCUAAAGCUUCAACUGUUGUUUGUAAGAGCAAUAUUAGAAAUUAUACACCUCCUGAGCAAGAUAAAGUAGAACCUAAUAUUGCUAUUGUUAAAGAUCUCUUGUCUGAUAAUAUUGAUGGGCAUGUUAUUCAGUUCGAAGGUGAAACUGCUAGAAUUGCUAAACCUUGUGCUAAAGAUAAGCAUAGACCUGUGGUAGGCGUGCCUGUUAUUUCUGUUAAAAUAGGAGAUCAUUGUUAUCAUGGCUUAUGUGAUAUGGGUGCAAGUGCUAGUGUUAUACCGCAUACUUUAUACAAAGAAAUUAAGAAUGAAAUUACACCUGCUGAGUUAGAAGGUAUUGAUGUCACAAUUAAACUUGCUAAUAGAGAUACUAUUUCACCAAUUGGAAUUGUUAGAGAUGUUGAAGUCUUGUGUGGGAAAACUAAAUAUCCCGCUGAUUUUCUUGUUCUUACUUCUCUGCAAGAUAGCUUUUGCCCCAAUAUAUUUGGUAGACCCUUCUUAAAUACUAUCAAUGCUACCAUAGAUUGCAAAAAGAAUGUUGUUACUGUUGGCUUGGAUGAUAUGGUUCAUGAGUUUAAUUUCUCUAAAUUUAGUAAACAACAUCGUGAGGAAGAAUUACCUAGUAAGGAUGAAAUUAUUGGUCUUGCUUCUAUUGCCGUACCUCCUAGUGAUCCUUUAGAACAUUAUUUGCUAGACCAUGAAAAUGAUAUGUUCAUGAAUGAAAGAAGGGAAAUAGACGAAGUAUUCUUUAAACAGGAACCUAUUUUGCAACAUAAUUUGCCUGUUUAAAUCUUAGGGGAUCCUCCUCCACCCAAGGGUGAUCCCGUGUUUGAGCUUAAACCGUUGCCUGAUAAUCUUAAAUAUGCUUAUCUUGAUGAAAAGAAGAUAUGUCCUGUUAUUAUUAGUGCUAACCUUUCAGAGCAUGAAGAAGAAAUAUUAUUGAAAACUCUGAAGAAGCAUCAUGCUGCUAUUGGAUAUACUCUUGAUGGUCUUAAGGGCAUUAGUCCCACUCUAUGUCAACAUAAAAUAAAUUUGGAAGCAGAUGCCAACCCAGUUCGUGAUCCUCAACAAUGUCUGAAUCCUAAAAUGAAAGAAGUGGUCAGAAAAGAAAUACUAAAGCUUCUGGAGGCAGGUAUAAUCUAUCCCGUUGCUGAUAGUGAGUGGGUAAGUCCUGUCCAUUGUGUCCCUAAGAAGGGAGGUAUUACUGUUGUUCCUAAUGAUAAAGAUGAAUUGAUUCCACAAAGAAUUAUCAUAGGCUAUAGGAUGGUAAUUGAUUUCCGUAAAUUAAAUAAAGCUACUAAGAAAGAUCAUUACCCCUUACCUUUUAUUGAUCAAAUGCUAGAAAGAUUAUGCAAACAUACACAUUAUUGCUUUCUAGAUGGUUAUUCUGGUUUCUCUCAAAUACCUGUGUCGGCUAGAGAUCAAUCAAAGACUACUUUUACAUGCCCUUUUGGUACUUUUUCUUAUAGACGUAUGCCUUUUGGUUUAUGUAAUGCACCUGCUACCUUUCAAAGAUGCAUGAUGGCUAUAUUCUCUGACUUUUGUGAAAAUAUUUGUGAGGUUUUCAUGGACGAUUUCUCCGUCUAUGGUUCCUCUUUUGAUGAUUGCUUGAGCAAUCUUGAUCAAGUUUUGCAGAGAUGUGAAGAAACUAAUCUUGUCUUGAAUUGGGAAAAGUGCCACUUUAUGGUUAAUGAAGGUAUUGUCUUGGGGCAUAAAGUUUCUAAAAGAGGUACUGAAGUUGAUAAAGCCAAGGUCGAUGCUAUUGAAAAGAUUCCAUGUCCCAAGGACAUCAAAGGUAUAAGAAGUUUCCUUGGUCACGCUGGAUUUUAUAGGAGGUUCAUUAAGGACUUCUCAAAAAUUUCCCGGCCUCUGACUAAUUUAUUGCAAAAUGAUAAUACCAUUUGUCUUUGAUGAUGAUUGUUUAGAAGCAUUUGAAAUACUUAAGAAAGCAUUAGUCUCUGCACCUAUUGUUCAGCCACCUGAUUGGAAUUUACCCUUUGAAAUUAUGUGUGAUGCUAGUGAUUAUGUUGUAGGUGCUGUUCUAGGGCAAAGAGUUGAUAAGAAAUUAAAUGUUAUUCAUUAUGCUAGUAAGACUCUAGACAAAGCUCAAAGAAAUUAUGCUACUACCAAAAAAGAGCUUUUAGCAGUUGUAUUUGCUUGUGAUAAGAUCAGAUCUUAUAUUGUUGAUUCUAAAGUAACUAUUCAAACUGAUCAUGCUGCUAUUAAAUACCUUAUUGAAAAGAAAGAUGCUAAACCUAGACUUAUUAGAUGGGUUCUCUUUCUACAAGAAUUUGAUUUGCAUAUUGUUGAUAGAAAGGGAGCUGAGAACCCCGUUGCAGACAACUUGUCUAGGCUAGAAAAUAUUCUUGAUGACCCACUACCUAUUAACGAUAGCUUUCCUAAUGAACAAUUAAAUGCUAUAAGUACUUCUCGUAGUACUCCAUGGUAUGCUGAUUAUGCUAAUUAUAUUGUUGCUAAGUUUAUACCACCUAGCUUCACAUACCAACAAAAGAAAAAGGUUUUCUAUGAUUUGAGACAUUACUUUUGGGAUGACCCACAUCUUUAUAAAGAAGGAGUAGAUGGUGUUAUUAGACGUUGUGUACCUGAGCAUGAACAGGAACAGAUCCUACGCAAGUGUCAUUCCGAGGCUUAUGGAGGACACCAUGCUGGAGAUAGAACUGCACAUAAGGUAUCGCAAUCUGGUUUUUAUUGGCCUACUCUCUUCAAGGAUGCCCGUAAGUUUGUCUUGUCUUAUGAUGAAUGUCAAAGAAUUGGUAAUAUUAGUAGAUGUCAAGAAAUGCCUAUGAAUUAUUCUCUUGUUAUUGAACCAUUUGAUGUUUGGGGCUUUGAAUAUAUGGGACCUUUUCCUGCCUCUAAUGGAUACACACAUAUUCUAGUUGCUGUUGAUUACGUUACUAAGUGGGUAGAAGCUAUUCCAACUAGUAGUGCUGAUCAUAACACUUCUAUUAAAAUGCUUAAAGAAGUUAUUUUUCCAAGGUUUGGAGUCCCUAGAUAUUUAAUGACUAAUGGUGGUUCACACUUUAUUCAUGGUGCUUUCCGUAAAAUGCUUGCUAAAUAUGAUGUUAAUCAUAGAAUUGCAUCUCCUUAUCACCCACAGUCUAGUGGUCAAGUAGAGUUGAGCAAUAGAGAGCUCAAAUUAAUUUUGCAAAAGACUGUUAAUAGGUCUAGAAAGAAUUGGUCCAAGAAACUUGAUGAUGCAUUAUGGUCUUAUAGAACUGCAUACAAAAAUCCUAUGGGUAUGUCUCCGUAUAAAAUGGUUUAUGGAAAAGCAUGACACUUACCUCUCGAACUAGAACAUAAGGCAUAUUGGGCUAUUAAAGAGCUUAAUUAUGAUUUUAAACUUGCCGGUGAGAAGAGGUUAUUUGAUAUUAGCUCACUUGAUGAAUGGAGAACCCAAGCUUAUGAAAAUGCCAAGUUGUUUAAAGAAAAAGUUAAAAGAUGGCAUGACAAAAGGAUACAAAAGCAUGAGUUUAAUGUAGGUGAUUAUGUAUUCCUAUACAACUCUCGUUUAAGAUUUUUUGCAGGAAAACUUCUCUCUAAAUGGGAAGGCCCCUAUGUUAUCGAAGAGGUCUAUCAUUCCGGUGCCAUAAAAAUAAACAACUUUGAGGGUACAAAUCCGAAGGUGGUAAAUGGUCAAAGAAUCAAACAUUAUAUCUCAGGUAAUUCCAUAAAUGUUGAAACCAACAUUAUUGAAACCAUAACCCUGGAGGAAUACAUAAGAGACACUUUCCGGAAUGUUUCAGAGUCCGAAAAGGAAUAGGUAUGUGGUACAGUAAGUAAACCGACUCCAAAACAAUUUUUAAGGCAAUAUUUCUCCGUCUUGGAAUAUUUAGACAAAUAGAAAAAUAAGUAGCAGUCCAGGAAGGACACGAGGGCCCCACGAGAGUGGUGGGCACGCCCUACCCCCUAGGCGCGCCCCCCUACCUCGUGAGCACCUCGCAUGCCUUCCGGACUCCGUUUUCUUGCACGUUACGUAUUUUGGUCGGUAAAAAUUCAUUAUAUAUUCUCCCGAAGGUUUUGACUCCCGUAUAACGCAAAUAUCCUAUGUUUUUGUUUCGAGCUAUCCCGUUGCAGAUUAAAUCAACAUGUCUUCCCAGGAUUCGGAAGGAGAAAGCUAUGUGGAUGAUUACUUAGCAAAUCCCAAGGUCUAUGGAGAUGUGGAACACGAUGGAUGGACCACGAAGGAAGAAUAGGACUUUGAACCCAAGGGGAAGGAGGAGACGAGCUCAGAUGAAGAUGAAGCACCAUUACCUCAACCUGGGGACAUGCACGUGGAAUUCAAAAAGUCAAGUCUCCCGGAUAGGGUAAAGAAACCCAAGUUCGAGUUUAUCCCUUUUCCUCUCUUGCAGGAAAAUAAGAAGGACCUAUGCAAGAAGAUAUUAACCCUGGAGUGGGAGAUUGAUGAUCUGGGGGAUCAAAAUGCCGUCCUCAAGCGCAAAUUAAGGGAGAAGCCUAAGCCAUCAACUAAGCCAACAUCAUCACCACCUUUUUCACCGACAACAAAGAAGGAGACAUAAUCACAUGGGUAUGGGCACUCCCCUUGGCAACUGCCAAGCUUGGGGGAGGUGCCUCGGUAUCGUAUCACAAUCACAACUCCUAUCUUUACCAUUUUUCUUAGUUCGAUCCUAUUAGUAGUAUCGUGAUUUAGUAGAAUAAAGUUUAUGGCAUGAUCUAGUUUUGAGUUUUGCUUUAUGAUCUCUCUUUGUAAUCGAGUCCGUGAGCUAUAUAUAAUAAAGAUUAGUGUUGAGUCAAGGGCUUGAUUAUUUUGCCAUGAUCUUGGGUGAAUAAAAGAAAAGAGAACAAGAACAAAAAGAAACAAAAAGUUCAUAUUGAUCUUAUUGAGAGUAAUGACUUCACAUAGAAAGAGUAUGAUGAUUAAAAGUUGUUGGGAGUUGGCAAACAUAGCUUUGGUCAUUGUUGCAAUUAAUAGGAAGUAAUAAGGAAAGAGAGGUUUUCACAUAUAGAUAUAUUAUCAUUGACAUCUUGUAUGAUUGGGAGCACUCAUUAAAAUAUAAAAUGCUAAAGAGUUGAUGUUGGACAAGGAAGACAACGUAAUGAGUUAUGUCUUUCUUAUAUCUGAGAUAAAGUAUGUUGUCAUGGAUCCUCUAACUUGUUGAGCUUGCCUUUCCCCCUCAUGCUAGCCAAAUUCUCAGCACCAAGUAGAAAUACUACUUGUGCUUCCAAAUACCCUUAAAACCAGUUUUGCCAUGAGAGUCCACCAUAUCUACCUAUGGAUUGAGUAAGAUCAUCCUUCAAGUAAGUUUUCAUCAGUGCAAAGAAAUAAAAAUUGCUCUAAAUAUGUAUGAUUGAUUAGUGUGGGAGAAAUAAGCUGUAUACGAUCUUGUGAUGUGAAAGUAAUAAAAGCGAUGGACUGCAUAAUAAAGGUUCAUAUCACAAGGGGCAAUAUAAAGUGACGUUCUUUCGCCUUGAGAUUUUAUGCAUCCAACCAUAAAAGCGCAUGGCAACCUCUGCUUCCCUCUGUGAAGGGCCUAUCCUUUAUUAUUAUCUUCUACCUUAUGCAAGAGUCAUGGUGAUCUUCACCUUUUCUUUUUCAUUUUAUCCUUUGGCAAGCUCAGCAUGUUGGAAAGAACAUGAUAUAUAUAUCUAAUUGGAUGUAGGGGAGCAUGAACCAUUAUUGUUGACAAUACCCUUGAGGUAAAAGGUUGUGGGGCAAAACUAUAAGCCCCUAUCUUUCUCUGUGUCCGAUUAAAACUCCAUAAGCACAAGUAUUGCGUGAGUGUUAGCAAUUAUGGAGGACUAAAUGAUAGUUGAGUAUGUGGACUUGCUUUUUAGCUCUGACAUAGACUCUUUCCGAUGUUAUGAUAAAUUAGAAUUGCUUCAAUGACUGAGAUUAUAGUUUGUCGGAGCCCAAUAAGGUUUAUGAUUCAUACUUUUGCAUUGUGAAUAGAUCAUCACUUGAACAUAAGUAAUCAUAUGACAAAAUCUAUAUAUGUUGUUGUUAUGAGAAUAAUCAUGAUGCCUUCAUGUCCGUAUUUUAUUUUUUUAUCGACGCCUCUACCUCUAAACAUGAGGACAUAUUUAUUGUUAUCGGCUUUUAGCUUGAGGACAAGCGAGGUCUAAGCUUGGGGGAGUUGAUACGUCCAUUUUGCAUCAUGCUUUUAUAUCGAUAUUUAUUGCAUUAUGGGCUGUUAUUUCAUUUUAUGUCACAAUACUUAUGGCUAUUCUCUCUUAUUUUACAAGGUUUUCAUAAGGAGGGAGAAUGCCGGAAGCUGGAAUUCUGGGCUGGAAAAGGAGCAAAUAUUAGAGACCUAUUCUGCGCAACUCUAAAAGUCCUGAAACUCCACGGAACAUCUUAAAAUAAAUAAAGAAAAAUCCUCGCCAAAGAUGAAGGCCAGGGGGCCCACACCCUGCUCACGAGGGUGGGGGGCGUCCCCCCUAGGGUGCGCCCCCUACCUCGUGGGCCCCCUGGUGGCUCUCCGACGUCCAUCUUCUCCUAUAUGAGGUUUUUCGAUGAGAAAAAAAUAAGAAGGAACGUUUCGGGAUGAGACUCCACCGCCACGAGGCGGAACCUUGGCGGAACCAAUCUAGAGCUCCGGCAGAGCUGUUCUGCCGGGGAUACUUCCCUCCGGGAGGGGGAAUUCAUCACCAUCGUCAUCAACAACGCUCCUCUCAUCGGGAGAGGGCAAUCUCCAUCAACAUCUUCACCAGCACCAUCUCAUCUCCAAACCCUAGUUCAUCUCUUGUAUCCAAUUCUUGUCUGAAAGUCUGGGAUUGGUGCUAGUAGGUUGCUAGUAGUGUUGAUUAGUCCUUGUAGUUGAUGCUAGUUGGUUUAUUUGGUGGAAGAUCAUAUGUUCAGAUCCUAUAUGCAUAUUAUUACCCCUCUGAUUAUGAACAUGAAUAUGCUUUGUGAGUAAUUACGUUUGUUCCUGAGGACAAGGGAGAAGUCUUGCUAUUAGUAGUCAUGUGAAUUUGGUAUUCGUUUGAUAUUUUGAUAAGAUGUAUGUUGUCUAGCCUCUAGUGGUGUUAUGUGAACGUCGACUACAUAACACUUCACCAUUAUUUGCGCCUAGAGGAAGGCAUUGGGAAGUAAUAAGUAGAUGAUGGGUUGCUAGAGUGACAGAAGCUUAAACCCUAGCUUAUGCGUUGCUUCGUAAGGGGCUGAUUUGGAUCCAUAUGUUUCAUGCUAUGGUUAGGUUUACCUUAAUACUUUUGUUGUAGUUGCGGAUGCUUGCAAUAAAGGUUAAUCAUAAGUGGGAUGCUUGUUCAAGUAAGAACAACACCCAAGCACCGGUCCACCCACAUAUCAAAUUAUCAAAGUAUCGAACGCGAAUCAUAUGAACAUGAUGAAAACUAGCUUGAUGAUAUUCCCAUGUGUCCUCGGGAGCGCGUUUCCUAUUAUAAGAGUUUGUUCUGGCUUGUCCUUUGCUACAAAAGGAUUGGGCCACCUUGCUGCACUUUAUUUACUUUUGUUACUUGUUGCUUGUUACAAUUUAUCCUAUCACAAAACUAUCUGUUACCACUUAUUUCAGUACUUGCAGAGAAUACCUUGCUGAAACCGCUUAUCAUUUCCUUCUGCUCCUCAUUGGGUUCGACACUCUUACUUAUCGAAAGGACUACGAUAGACCCCCUGUACUUGUGGGUCAUCAGGUAUUAGAGAGGGCCUUCAGAGCAUAGGUUCCUGAAAGGAAGAAAAUGGUAAAGAUAUACGGGUCCUGAGGUGGUUGAGCCUCAUUGUGGGCCGUUCCAUAGCCAUGCCUCUGCCUAUGCCCAUGGUAUCUUGAGUGCGUAAUUAUGUACGCGCGGCGCAAAUUUCGCCGCUUGACUGGGACUAGGACGGAGGCCGAAUUGCUAGGCGAGCUCUGAACGUGCCGGGCGAUCCUAUUGCAGGGUACUCCAGACUCGCUUGAAGGUGUCCGGGGGCUUUAUCGCCGAAUUGGCGGUUUGCCUCAGAAGGCUGCUUUGUACUUCUGCUGCGAGGGCCGCAGUGUGCUCCUCCGUACAGAGCGAGCAUUCUGUGUUUCCAUUAACUGUUAUAACCCCGCGAGGUCCUGGCAUUUUGAGCUUGAGGUAUGCAUAAUGCGGUACUUCAUUGAAUCUGGCGAAUGCGGUUCGUCCGAGCAAUGCGUGAUAGCCACUGCGGAGGGGGACAAUAUCGAAGAUCAACUCCUCGCUUUGGAAGUUGUCCGGGGAUCCGAAGACCACUUCCAGUGUGAUUGAGCCCAUGCAGCAGGCCUCUACACCUGGUAUGACACCUUUAAAGGUGGUUUUUGUGGGUUUGUUCCUCAAGGGGUCGAUACCCAUCUUGCGCACUGUAUCCUGAUAGAGCAGGUUCAGGCUGCUGCCACCGUCCAUAAGGACUCGAGUGAGGUGAAAUCCGUCAAUGAUGGGGUCAAGGACCAAUGCGGCAGAACCGCCAUGACGGAUACUGGUAGGGUGGUCCCUGCGAUUGAAAGUGAUCGGACAAGAAGACCAUGGGUUGAACUUUGGGGCGACUGGCUCCAUCGCAUAGACAUCCCUUAGUGCACGCUUCCGUUCCCGCUUGGGAAUAUGGGUUGCGUAUAUCAUGUUCACCAUUUUCACUUGGGGAGGAAAUUUUUCUGUCCUCAUGUGUUCGGCGGCCGGGGCUCCUCCUCAUCGUCUCUAUGCAGCCCCUUUUCCUUGUUUUCGGUAUUCAACUUGCCGGUCUGUUUGAACACCCAGCAUUCUCUGUUGGUGUGGUUGGCUGGUUUAUCGGGGGUGCCAUGAAUUUGACACAAGCGAUCGAGUAUGCGGUCCAAACUGGACGGGCCCGGAUUGCUUCUUUUGAAUGGAUUUUUCCGUUGAUCGGAUUUAGAGCCACUGAAUCCGGCAUUGACUGCCAUGUCUUCGGCGUUUUCGCCGUUGUUGUGGCGCUUGUGUCUGUUGCGACGUGGCUUGCCGUUGCUAUCUUUGGCAUCUGAAUUGCCAGGAUUUCUUGAUGUGUUGUUGCUGCGAGCCAGCCAGCUGUCCUCGCCCGCACAAAAGCGGGUCAUGAGUGUCGUGAGGGCUGUCAUGGUCUUCGGCAUCUCUUGGACAAGGUGUCGGGUGAGCCACUCAUCGCGGAUGUUAUGCUUAAAUGCUGCUAAGGCUUCGGCAUCCGGACAGUCAAUAAUUUGGUUCUUUUUGGUUAGGAACCGGGUCCAGAAUUUCCUGGAUGAUUCCCCGAGCUAUUGGGUUAUGUGACUCAAGUCAUCAGCAUCCGGUGGUCACACAUAAGUGCCCUGGAAGUUGUCAAGGAAUGUGUCUUCCAAGUUCUCCCAACUGCCAAUGGAGUUUGCCGGCAGGCUAUUCAGCCAAUGUCGAGUCGGCCCUUUGAGUUUUAGUGGGAGGUACUUGAUGGCAUGUAGAUCGUCACCGCGGGCCAUGUGGAUGUGGAGGAGGAAAUCUUCAAUCCAUACCGCGGGGUCUGUUGUACCAUCAUAUGAUUCAAUGUUCACGGGUUUAAACCCUUCUGGCAAUUCGUGAUCCAUUACUUCAUCAGUGAAGCAUAGGGGGUGUGCGGUGCCUCUGUGCCGGGCUAUGUCACGACGCAGUUCAUACGAGUCUUGUCUGCUGUAUUCGGCCCGGCUGGAUUUGCUUUUAGUAUAUCCGUCGUGACGGUUGUCGUCAUGCGUUGGGGUGCGCCCCCGUGAUCCGUAGAUCGAUCUUGUAUGUCCUGCUUUGUUUUCCAAUAAGUCUCGCAGGUCCUGCGUGUAGCCCCGGGCCUUGGUGUUUUUGUUUGACUGGCAACAGGGUGCAGGCUGGACUUCAGGCUGAUAUAUGCCUCUUUGUCUAGGCAACGAGGUGGCCGGUUAGCCGCAUCAUAUACUGGUAGUGUAGGCUUUAAUGCUUCCUCCUCCAGUUGGGGUAGCAACCUGCGCUUUUGGUAACUUUUGGUUGGGCGCUCGAGUUCGUAUUCCUCGGCUGCCAGGACCUCGGUCCAUCUAUCCGCUAGCAGAUCUUGACCAGCUUGAAGCCGUUGCUGCUUUUUCUUCAGGAUUUUUGCUGUGGCUAUAAGCCGGCGCUAGAAGCGCUCCUGCUCGACGGGAUUCUCGGGCACGAUAAAUUCUUCGUCGCCAAGGCUCACCUCGUCUUCGGAGAGGGGCAUGUAAUUGUCAUCCACUGAUUCUCCGUCUGUCGCCUGUUCCUUAGGGCAAGCUUGCCCAUCCUCCCGCUCGAAGCCUGGCUGGAGGGGAUUGUAUUCGUCUUCGGCACUAUCCGCAGCGUUAUUGUCUCUUGUGCCGGUAUCGCUGAUUUUGCUAUGGCGGGGCUUAGAGCAGCAUCGAUGACGCCGGUGCUUAGAUUGCUUCUCGAGGGGAUUAUCCUCCCUUGACUUAUUGCCAUCGCUUUCUUUGGGGGUGUCCACCAUGUAUAUAUCAUAUGAUGAGGUGGUUGUCCAGCGCCCUGUGGGUAGUGGUUCCUGUUCUUCUCCUGCAUCGUCGUCCAUACUGUCUAAGUCUUCGGAGCCGAAAUCAAGCAUGUCGGUUAAGUCGUCGACAGUGGCUAUUAAGUGGGUGGUGGGUGGGGAAUGAAUUUAUUCGUCGUCUGCUUCCCACUCAAGUCGUACAUAGUUCCGCCAAGGGUCUCUUGACAAGGAGAGAUACCUCAAUGAAUUUAGCACGUCGCCCAAGGGCGAGUGCUGAAAGAUAUCCGCGGAGGUAAACUCCAUGAUUGGUGCCCAAUCAGAUUCGAUAGGCAUGGACGCAGGCGGUUCGGAGCCUGUGGCCGGGGACGAAUCCAAGGUUCCGGCAACACAGGUCUCAUAGGAGGUGAAGUCAGUAUUCGACUCUAUCGCCGCUGAGUGUGCGGCCUCCGUGACGGGGUCCAUCCCCCCGUCCUCGGACGGCAUGAUCUGCUCCAGAUUGAGGACCGGAGUAGCCACAUGUGUGAUCUCCCGAACACCGCCCGACAGCAGAGCUAAGUCAUGCUCGUCAUGACUGUGCGGCGCACCUGACAUGGGCUCGAAUCCGUCAAAGAUCAAGUCUCCACGGAUGUCAGAAGUAUAGUUCAAGCUUCCAAACCUGACCUGAUGGCCAGGGGUGUAGCUCCCGAUCUGCUCUAGAUGGCCAAGCAAGUUGGCCCGCAGUACGAAGCUGCCGAAUAUGAAGAUUUGUGCGAGAAAAAAACCUCACCCUGGAUCGCAUCGUUGCCGAUGAUCGAAGGAGCCAUCAAGCCUUUACGUGACGGUAUAGUGGAACUCUCAAUGAAAGCACCAAUGUCGGUGUCAAAACUGGCGGAUCUCGGGUAGGGGGUCCCGAACUGUGUGUCUAAGGCUGAUGGUAACAGGAGGCGGGGGACACAAUGUUUACCCAGGUUUGGGCCCUCUUGAUGGAGGUAAUACCCUACUUCCUACUUGAUUGAUCUUGAUGAUAUGAGUAUUACAAGAGUUGAUCCCAUGAGAUCGUAGAGGCUAAACCCUAGAAGCUAGCCUAUGAUUCUGAUUGUUGUUGUCCUACGGACUAAACCCUCCGGUUUAUAUAGACACCAGAGGGGGCUAGGGUUACACAGAGUCGGUUACAUAGAAGGAGAUCUAAAUAUCCGAAUCGCCAAGCUUGCCUUCCACGCAAAGGAGAGUCCCACCCGGACAUGGGAUGAAGCCUUCAAUCUUGUAUCUUCAUAGUCCAACAGUCCGGCCAAAGUAUAUAGUCCGGCUGUCCGAGGACCCCUAAUCCAGGACUCCCUCACCGGUCAUGAGUGUAUUGACAUGACUCUUGCGGCUCAACACAUUGGCUACUAUGUUAGCCUUUCCGGGAUGAUAGUGCAACUCCAUAUCAUAAUCCUUUAUGAGUUCCAACCAUCUCCUCUGCCUAAGAUUCAACUCCUUCUGCGUGAAGAUAUACUUCAAACUCUUGUGAUCCGUGUAUACCUCACAAUAAUUUCCAAUGAGAAAAUAUCUCCAAUUCUUCAACGCAUGCACUACGGCUGCUAACUCCAAAUCAUGGGUAGCAUAAUUCAACUCAUGGGGUUUAAGCUGUCGUGAGGCAUAUGAAACAACUCUUCCUUCCUGCAUAAACACUGCUCCAAGUCCUCGACGAGAAGCGUCGCAAUACACUUCAUAAUCUUUGCGUUGAUCGGGCAGAAUCAACAAUGGUGAUGUAACCAAACGUUUCUUCAAUUCCAGAAAACUAGCCUCACAUUCCUCAGUCCAUUUGAACUUGGUGUCCUUCUUCAACAACUCCAUCAUAGGCUUUGCAAUCUUCUAGAAAUUCUCAAUGAACCUCUGGUAGUAUCCUGCGAGUCCAAGAAAACUCCGGAUCUCUCCAACUGACAUGGGUGCCUCCCAAUUUGUCAUAGUGACGACCUUGUUGGGGUCUACUGCUAUUCCUUCUCCGGAUAUAACAUGUCCAAGGAAUCCAACUUCCUUCAACCAAAACUCACACUUGUUGAACUUGGCGUAUAGCUGAUGUUCUCUGAGCUUCCCAAGUACCAAACGCAAAUGCUCCUAAUGCUCCUCUUCAUUCUUCGAGUAGACCAGAAUAUCAUCAAUGAACACCACAACGAACUUAUCUAAAAACUCCAUAAACACCUUAUUCAUCAUGUUCAUGAAAUAGGGAGGUGUGUUAGUUAGGCCAAAUGACAUAACGGUAUACUCAUAUAGCCCGUACCUUGUGGUAAAAGUUGUCUUAGGUAUAUCAUGCUCUUGAAUAUUCAACUGGUGGUACCCUGCCCGCAGAUCGAUCUUGGAAAACACCUUAGCUCCUUGUAGCUGAUCAAACAAAUCAUUGAUCAUCGGUAGGGGGUACUUGUUCAUGAUCGUCACCUCAUUCAAUCCUCGAUAAUCAACAACCAUCCUCAACGAUCCAUCCUUCUUGCCCACUAGAAGUACGGGUGAUCCCCAAGGUGACGAGCUUGGGCGAAUAUAUCAUUUAUCCAGUAACUCCUUAAUCUUCUUCUUAAUUUCUUCUAAAUCAUGUGCGGGCAUCCUGUACGGUCUCUUAGAUAUUGGCCCUGUGCCUGGUAAAAGCUCAGUCAAAAACUCAAUGUCCCUAUCCGGCGGCAUGCCUGGCAACUCUUCUGGAAAUACAUCCGGGAAAUCCUUCACCACUAGUACUUCCUCCUGUACAACUCCUGAUAAGGAAUUUACUUGAGUCCUAAUCGGCGCAUGCCGGGAUACAUACUUGAUCCUUCUUCCUUCUGGGGUGGUGAGCAAAAUAGACUUACUGGCGCAAUCAAUGUUUCCUCCAUACACUCCCCGGAAACGGCGCCAGAAAAGAGUCUUGAUGACCCACAAGUAUAGGGGAUCUAUCGUAGUCCUUUCGAUAAGUAAGAGUGUCGAACCCAACGAGGAGCAGAAGGAAAUGAUAAGCGGUUUUCAGCAAGGUAUUCUCUGCAAGUACUGAAAUAAGUGGUAACAGAUAGUUUGGUGAUAGGAUAAAUUGUAACGAGCAACAAGUAACAAAAGUAAAUAAAGUGCAGCAAGGUGGCCCAAUCCUUUUGUAGCAAAGGACAAGUCGGAACAAACUCUUAUAAUAGGAAAAGCGCUCCCGAGGACACAUGGGAAUAUCGUCAAGCUAGUUUUCAUCACGUUCAUAUGAUUCGCAUUCGAUACUUUGAUAAUUUAAUAUGUGGGUGGACCGGUGCUUGGGUGCUGUUCUUACUUGAACAAGCAUCCCACUUAUGAUUAACCUCUAUCGCAAGCAUCGGCAACUACAACAAAAGUUUUAAGGUAAACCUAACCAUAGCAUGAAACAUAUGGAUCCAAAUCUGCUCCUUACGAAGCAACGCAUAAACUAGGGUUUAAGCUUUUGUCACUCUAGCAACCCGUCAUCUACUUAUUAGUUCCCAAUGCCUUCCUUUUGGCCCAAAUAAUGGUGAAGUGUUAUGUAGUCGACGUUCACAUAACACCACUAGAGGCUAGACAACAUACAUCUUAUCAAAAUAUCAAACGAAUACCAAAUUCACAUGACUACUAAUAGCAAGACUUCUCCCUUGUCCUCAGGAACAAACAUAAUUACUCACAAAGCAUAUUCAUGUUCAUAAUCAUAGGGGCAAUAAUAUGCAUAUAGGAUCUGAACAUAUGAUCUUCCACCAAAUAAACCAACUAGCAUCAACUACAAGGAGUAAUCAAUACUACUAGCAACCUACUAGCACCUAUCCCGGACUUUGAGACAAGAAUUGGAUACAAGAGAUGAAAUAGGGUUUGGAGAUGAGAUGGUGCUGGUGAAGAUGUUGAUGGAGAUUGCCCUCUCCCGAUGAGAGGAGCGUUGGUGAUGACGAUGGUGAUGAUUUCCCCCUCCCGGAGAGAAGCAUCCCCGGCAGAACAGCUUUGCCGGAGCUCUAGAUUGGUUCCGCCAAGGUUCCGCCUCGUGGCGGCGGAGUCUCAUCCCGAAAAGUUCCUUAUUAUUUUUUCCUCAUCGAAAAACCUCAUAUAGGAGAAGAUGGACGUCGGAGAGCCACCAGGGGGCCCACGAGGUAGGGGGCGCACCCUAGGGGGAACGCCCCCCACCCUCGUGAGCAGGGUGUGGGCCCCCUGGCCUUCAUCUUUGGCGAGGAUUUUUCUUUAUUUAUUUUAAGAUGUUCCGUGGAGUUUCAGGACUUUUAGAGUUGCGCAGAAUAGGUCUCUAAUAUUUGCUCCUUUUCCAGCCUAGAAUUCCAGCUUCCGGCAUUCUCCCUCCUUAUGAAAACCUUGUAAAAUAAGAGAGAAUAGCCAUAAGUAUUGUGACAUAAAAUGAAAUAACAGCCCAUAAAUGCAAUAAAUAUCGAUAUAAAAGCAUGAUGCAAAAUGGACGUAUCAAUACCCUGAUUAUCGGACCCUUCACGGGAAGGAAACACCAAGGAAGCAAGAAGCUUUGACGUACAAGGGAAUCCCCAGGUGGUCUCUGAUAACGAUCGCUAUACAUGUUUUACAUACCCACACGCAGCCUGCCCUUGGAUAGGACAUGUCAAAUAGUGCUAUCAUUUAAAUAACAAUGUACUGCGUUACCUUAUUAUUGUAUUUCUUCAUCUUUUUCCCCUGUCCCCUUAUUUACGACAAAUUGCAACCGUACAUUCUGGUAUGUCCAGUGCGCUAGGGGCUUCAGUGUACCCCAUAACAUGGCAAGAAAAGUCCAAACACUAUCGACAGUGCGGCACCCCGAACUUAUAGCAUUAUAUGCAUCAGCUCCGAAUCAUGUCUUGGGUCAAUAGUUGGGUUUGCCUGGCUCCCAUGUUUUGGUACCUUACGUUUCGCUAUAUCGGCUAAGGUAGCACUGGGAGAACUACUGCGAUUGUGUCCCGGUUCUUCUAGACGAGCACCUCAGUAGAGAAAGACAAAAACUGACUAUCAUGAUGCGGCGAGAUCUGGUUGCUAUUCGCGAGGUCUCAAAUCCUUAAAGAUUUUUUCCUCUUCGGGCAAGGAAUUGGCCUUGUUCGAUUUAGGCGUAUAUAGCGCCCCAAGUUCGACCUUCUGAAUACUAGGGGCUUCGCCAAAAUUUAAAAUUGUAGACUUCUAUGGCUAAGUGAGAGUGAUAAAGAUGUAUAGUCCGAUUGCCUUGUUCGCUGCGCUAAACACCUCCUUAAAGGACCAAUUUUUUUUGGAUAAAGAGUGUUUAGGAUUUAUCCUGAACACCUCAGUACUAGUUACAUGGGGGCAGAAGCCGACGACUGGCCAACUCUCAGAUUUUAUAAACGGCCGCACAGAAGGUAAUAUUUUAAAUCGACAAGCGUUAUAUAGCGCACAUGAACUCGUUUUCAUAUUACAGGAUCACAUGAGUACAUUCAUUCAAAUAUUACAUCCUUAGCACAUUCCUCCGCCACAAAGGCGGGCACCCUUUAGGACACUAUCAUAAUACUUUUUGGGAUGGCGAUGCUCCUUGCCCUCUGGUGGCCCCUCCUUCACCAGCUUCUCGGCGUCCAUCUUCUCCCAGUGCACUUUCGCACGGGCAAAGGCCCUGCGCGCACCUUCAAUGCAGACGGACCGCUUUAUGACUUCAAACUGUGGGCAGGCAUUCACAAGCCGCUUUAUCAGGCCGAAGUAGCUGCCAGGCAGGGGCUCGCCAGGCCACAUCCAGACUAUGAGACCCUUCAUGGCCAGUUCGGCCGCCUUGUGAAGCUUGAACAGUUGCUUCAGCUGGUCGCUCAAGGGAAUCGGAUGUUCGGUCCCAGUAUAUUGAGACCAAAACAACUUUUCCGUCGAGCUCCCUUCCUCGGCCCGGUAGAACUCCGCGGCAUCCGAUACGCUGCUGGGUAGGUCUGCGAACGCUUCUGGGGAGCUCCGAAUUCGGGUAAGUAAAAGGAAAGUUUCCUCCACAUGCUUGCUUUGCAUAAUGAAUGCCUUACCUGCCUCUAUCUUCUUGACCGCCUGAAUCUCCUGGAGGGCCUUUUGAGCUUCGACCAUGGCAUUUUGUGUGUUCUCGAGGGCCUUCGCAAGCUCGGACCCCUGCGUCUUAGAGUCACGCUCCAACGACUCGUAUUUGUUGACGAAAUCCUGGAGCUCUUGCUGAACCUCGCCGACUCGGGCUUCUUGCUUCUCGCGCUCGAUGCGCUCCUGGGCUACUUUGUCUUCGGCCUCGGACAGCGCCUUCUUCAGGGCCACCACUUCAGUCGUGGCCCCUAGCAAAAUUCAUGAUGAUCCUAUGAUCUAAUAACCACUUUUUUCUUUAUCAAUAUAUAGACGGGGUAUCACUUACCUUUAUUCCCUUCGAGCUGCCUCUUGGUAAGGCCGAGCUCUUCCUCAGACCACUCGAGGUCCCGCUUCAGUCCGCAGACCUCCGCAGUAUGAGCGGCAGCGGCUAGUAGCGAAGCCUGCUCAUUCACAUAGACAUAUUCUGAUUAGGCUCCUGUGAUUGUUAUUUGAUCCUCUGUUCGGCCUUUCUUUGCGAACACCAAACAGAGCAUCAGGGGCUAUUUUCUAUGUUGUGAUAUUUUCUCAUAAUUCGAUUACUUACCUCAAAGCCUGUUAGGAGGCUGGCACAGGCUUCGGUCAAUCCGCUUUUGGCGGACCGAACCUUCUCGACCACCGCACUCAUAAUAGUGUGGUGCUCUUCAUCAAUGGAAGCACCGCGAAGUGCUUCCAGCAAGUUGUCCAAUGCCUCUGGAUGGACAAAGGCCAUCGGCACAGAUGGCUCGCCCCCCUUAGCGAGGGGUCGCCUAACAGAAUCCAGAACCACUAGAGGUUCCGGCACAGUAUCCGGCUGGGGGCCAAACUUGCUGCGGCCCCUGUCAUUAGAACCCACGGGAGUCUUAACCCCCAUAUGCCCGGCAUCUGGGAUGUCGCCUUGGGGCUCCUCUAGAAUUAUCUCCCCUUGGUCCGGUGCCCUUUGAGACAACACCUCGAUGUUGUCCGUGGGCCGGGGGGAGGUGGCUGUCGGGAGUGAAUCGCUGUUCAUCGCUGACUGGCCCAAAGACUCACCCGAAGAGGAUACGUCGAUAUGGGCUUUGGAUGGACUGCAUGAUCAUGUUUGACAUGAUAAGAAGCAAUAAAACAAAACAUACCAGAACUAUUAUAGUAUGUGGAUACUUACGACUUCGCCAGGGGCUUGUCCCUGGGCAACCACUCCUCGUCGCUGUAAGUGGCCAUUGUGGAGUGGUCCAGAAGGAGGGUCCUUCCCUUCUUGGACCCUUCAGCCUCCCCUAAUGGGGCGGCUUUCCUUUACUUGCCCCCCCGGUUGGGGGCGGGAGAACUUUCCUCUUCCUCCUCCGCGUUUUCGUGGGAGGAGUGCGCCUCGGUGUUUUCGGACGAUGAGUCCGAUCCAACCUUGCGCCGGAGACCUUUCCUGGUGCCCGCGGCCUUCUUCUUGGCCUUCUUCUCCGGCUCCUCAUAGGGCGCCGGAACCAGCAUCUCUGUUAAGAGAGCCCUUGCUGGAUCUUCGGGCAGUGGGGCCGGACAAUCGAUCCGCUCCGCUGUCGCUACCCAGUCCUGUUAAAAUGGCGUGGAGGCUCAGAUCCCUCACAUGAUUAAACUGGGGAAAGGAACAUCUUAUGAGAUAUAAAGAGCUUACCGGAUUGGCAGGGCACUUUGCGCUGAGUCCGCGAUCCUCGGUAAGGGGAGGAGGUACCUCGGCGGCCUUGAACAUCACCUUCCAGACGUCUUUGUGCGUCAUGUCGAAAAGCUCUUGCAGCGUCUGGUGCUUGGCCGGGUCGAACUCCCACAUAUUGAAUGCCCGCCUUUGACAAGGAAGGAUCCGGCGGAAGAGCAUGACCUGGACCACGUUGACAAGCUUGAUUUUCUUGCUUAUCAUAUUUUUAACACAGUCCUGGAGUCCGGUCAGCUCCACCAAUGAACCCCAGGAUAGGCCCUUCUCUUUCCAGGAGGUGAGCCGCGUGGGGAUGCCGGAUCGAAAUUCGGGGGCCGCCACCCAGUUGGUGUCACGUGGCUCGGUGAUGUAGAACCACCCCGAUUUCCACCCCUUCACGGUCUCCACAUAGGAGCCUCCGAGCCAGGUGACGUUGAGCAUUUUGCCCACCAUGGCGCCUCCGCACUCCGCUUGCUGGCCUACCACCGCCUUCGGUUUCACGUUGAAGGUCUUCAGCCACAGGCUGAAGUGGGGCUUGAUGCGGAGGAAGGCCUCGCACACGACGAUAAACGCCGAGAUGUUGAGGAUGAAAUUAGGUCCAGAUCAUGGAAGUCCAUCCCGUACUAGAACAUGAGCCCACGGACAAAUGGGUGGAGGGGAAAUCCCAGUCCGCGGAUGAAGUGGGUGAGGAAUACAACCCUCUCAUGGGGUUCUGGAGUAGGGAUGAUCUGCCCCGCGUCUGGGAGCCGGUGUGCGAUGUCUGCGGCCAGGUAUCCGACUUCCCGGAGCUUCGUAAUGUUCUCCUCCAUAACGGAGGAGACCAUCCACUUUCCUCCCGCUCCAGACAUGUUCGGAAUGGCUUUGCGGAGAAGAUGAGAACUUGGGUGCUGGAGCUCGAGUGCACGAGAAUGGAUGGGCAGGGGAAGAAGAGGGCAUGGGUGAAAAAGAGGAAUCCUUGUCCCUUUAUAAAGGCGGUAGAAACUGUGCGCCUCCCUACUUGCCCCAUAAAAUCGCUUAUUCCCCAAGCGCCACGAUUGAUGGCACAGUUGGGUUACUGCUACCUCUUGAGCACUGCGUUGGUUUUCCCCGAAGAGGAAGGGGUGAUGCAGCAAAGUAGCGUAAGUAUUUCCCUCAGUUUUUGAGAACCAAGGUAUCAAUCCAAUAGGCUACGCGCGAGUCCCUCGCAUCUGCACAAAACAAAUAAAUCCUCACAACCAACGCAAAUAGGGGUUGUCAAUCCCUAUAAGGCCACUUACGAGAAUGAGAUCUGAUAGAUAUGAUAAGAUAAUAUUUUUGGUAUUUUUAUGAUAAAAGAUGCAAAGUAAAAUAAAGGCAAAGUAAAUAGCAAAGGAAAUAACUAAGUAGUAGGAGAUCAAUAUGAUAAAGAUAGAGCCGGGGGCCAUAGGUUUCACUAGUGGCUUCUCUCAAGAGCGUAAGUAUUCUAUGGUGGGUGAACAAAUUACUGUUGAGCAAUUGACAGAAUUGAGCAUAGUUAUGAGAAUAUCUAGGUAUGAUCAUGUAUAUAGGCAUCACAUCCGAGACAAGUAGACCGACUCCUGCCUGCAUCUACUACUAUUACUCCACUCAUCGACCGCUAUCCAGCAUGCAUCUAGAGUAUUAAGUUAAAUACAAAGUAACACCUUAAGCAAGAUGACAUGAUGUAGAGGGAUAGACUCAUGCAAUAUGAAGAAAACCCCAUCUUGUUAUCCUCGAUGGCAACAAUACAAUACGUGCCUUGCUGCCCUUACUGUCACCGGGAAUGGACACCGCAAGAUUGAACCCAAAGCUAAGCACUUCUCCCAUUGCAAGAAAGAUCAAUCUAGUAGACCAAACCAAACUGAUAAUUCAAAGAGACUUGCAAUGAUAACCAAUCAUACAUAAAAGAAUUCAGAGAAGAUUCAAAUAUUAUUCAUAGAUAGACUUGAUCAUAAACCCACAAUUCAUCGAUCUCAACAAACACACCGCAAAAAGAAGAUUACAUCGAAUAGAUCUCCACAAGAGAGGGGGAGAACAUUGUAUUGAGAUCCAAAAAGAGAGAAGAAGCCAUCUAGCUACUAACUAUGGACCCGUAGGUCUGAGGUGAACUACUCACACUUCAUCAGAGGGGCUAUGGUGUUGAUGUAGAAGCCCUCCGUGAUCAAUGCCCCCUCCGGCGGAGCUCCGGAACAGGCCCCAAGAUGGGAUCUCGUGGAUACAGAAAGUUGCGGUGGUGGAAUUAGGGUUUUGGCUCCGUAUCUGAUCGUUUGGGGGUACGUGGAUAUAUAUAUAUAGGAGGAAGGAGUACGUUGGUGGAGCAACAAGGGGCCCACAAGGGUGGAGGGCGCGCCUGGUGGGGGUGGGCGCGCCCCCCUACCUCGUGGCCUCCUGUUUCCUUUCUUGACGUAGGGUCCAAGUCUCUUUGGUCUUAUUCGUUGAGAAAAUCACGUUCCCGAAGGUUUCAUUCCAUUUGGACUACGUUUGAUAUUCCUUUUCUUCGAAACCCUAAAACAGGCAAAAAACAGCAAUUCUGGGCUGGGCCUCCGGUUAAUAGGUUAGUCCCAAAAAUAAUAUAAAAGUGGAUAAUAAAGCCCAAUAAUGUCCAAAACAGUAGAUAAUAUAGCAUGGAGCAAUCAAAAAUUAUAGAUACGUUGGAGACGUAUCAGUUACCCAUAAAUCCGCAUUGAUGAGAAUCCUGUGAUAAGGGGAACACGAUCUCUGCUUCGACAAGACGUGCCAAUAAAACCGCCUCGCAACGCGUGCAGUGGCAGGCACGGAAAAAUGGUUCGUAAUGACCGGACCACGGCAGGAUGUCACGUUAUGAAAAGUUGUCAGCAGAUUAGAUUUGUGGAAAAAUAUACUCUCUAUGGUGGUAUGUGGAAUUUGUUUUGCAGAGCCGGACACGAUCCUUAUGUUCAAAAUCUUCUAUGGAAUAUUCGGAGAAGGAACCCGCCUUGCAAUGCCAAAGACAAUCUGCGCACCGGACUCAUCGUCAUUGAAGCCUGGUUCAGGGGCUACUGAGGGAGUCCUGGAUUAGGGGGUCCUCGGACAGCCAGACUAUAUACUUUGGCCGGACUUUUGGACUAUGAAGAUACAAGAUUGAAGGCUUCGUCCCGUGUCCAGGUGGGACUCUCCUUUGCGUGGAAGGCAAGCUUGGCGAUUCGGAUAUGUAGAUCUCCUUCUCUGUAACUGACUCUGUGUAACCCUAGCCCCCUCCGAUGUCUAUAUAAACCGGAGGGUUUAGUCCAUAGGACAACAACAAUCAGAAUCAUAGGCUAGCUUCUAGGGUUUAGCCUCUAUGAUCUCGUGGUAGAUCAACUCUUGUAAUACUCAUACCAUCAAGAUCAAUCAAGUAGGAAGUAGGGUAUUACCUCCAUCGAGAGGGCCCGAACCUAGGUAAACAUUGUGUCCCCCGCCUCCUGUUACCAUCAGCCUUAGACGCACAGUUUGGGACCCCCUACCCGAGAUCCGCUGGUUUUGACACCGACAACCGGAGAGUUACCCAAGGAGUUAUCAGAAGACCUUCGUGAGCUAUGUUUGGAGAUAGUUCCGAGAGGUUUUGUAGCAGCUUUGGAAAUUCAGUCUACUUUGAUGGAUAAGAUCAGAGAAGCGCAGAAGACGGACAAGGAGAUUGCCGAGAUAAAGGAAUGGAUGAGCAAAGUAAAGGCUAAAGGAUUUCGUGAGGAUGAGCACGAUACCUUAUGGUUCAAGGACCGCGUAUAUGUACCAAAUGAUCAGGAGAUCAGGAAGCUGAUUUUGCAGGAGGCCCAUGAUUCACCAUAUUCGAUUCACCCAGGAAAUACCAAGAUGUACCUGGAUCUGAAGGAUAGGUUCUGAUGGACCGGAAUGUCAUAGAGUGAAGCAGAGCAUCAGAAGCCAGCAGGAUUGCUACAACAAUUGCCGAUACCCGAAUGGAAGUGGGAUAAGCUAGGCAUGGAUUUUAUCACAGGAUUACCCAGGACUUGUUCAGGCUAUGACGCGAUAUGGGUUGUAGUCGAUCGUUUGAUGAAAGUAGCUCAUUUCAUCCCGGUGAAGACCACUUACACCAGUGCUAUGUUGGCAAAGAUAUACAUGACCAAUAUAGUAUGUUUGCAUGGAGUUCCGAGGACAAUUGUAUCAGAUAUAGGAACCCAAUUUACCUCAAAGUUUUUGAAUCAGUUGCAUGAAACUUUGGGAACCAGGCUAGAGUUUAGUACAAGUUUUCACCCGCAGACGGAUGGACAGACUGAGAGAGUCAAUCAGAUUUUGGAGGACAUGUUGAGAGCUUGUGCACUAGAUUAUGGAUCUAGUUGGGAUGAUAAUUUUCCUUACGCAGAGUUCUCUUACAACAACAGUUACCAAGCCAGUUUGAAGAUGGCCCCUUUCGAAGCAUUAUACGGAACUAGGUGCAGAACACCGUUGUUGUGGGAUGAAGUUGGGGACCGACAGUUGUUUGGACCAGAUUUGAUUAAAGAGUUUGAAGAGAAGGUUAAACUGAUUCGUGAUAGACUCAAGGUAGCCCAGUCCAGGCAGAAGAGCUAUGCAGAUUCUAAACGCAAGGAGACAGCUUACGAAGUUGGAGACAAAGUGUAUCUUCGUGUAUCACCACUCCGAGGAGUUAAGCGCUUUGGAGUUAAGGGAAAGUUAGCACCACGUUUUGUGGGACCAUACAAAGUUUUGGAACGUAUGGGAGAAGUUGCUUACAAGUUGGAAUUUCCCGAAGGAUUGUCAGGAGUUCAUGAUGUGUUCCACGUUUCUCAGUUGAAUAAGUGCCACGCAGAGAUGGCUAAUAUCCCUAUGAGAGAUACAGUGCCACUAGAAGCGAUAUAGUUGGAUAGCGAUUUGACCUACAAGGAAAAGCCAGUCAAGAUUCUUGAUUUUGCUAGCCAAGUUACAUGCAGCAAAGUUAUCAAGCUUUGCAAGUUUUAGUGGAGCCACCAUACUGAAGAUGAAGCCACCUGGGAACGCAAGGAAGACUUACAAAAAGAUCACCCUCACCUAUUUUCUAGCCAACCCGAAUCUCGAGGGCGAGAUUCAUCUUAAGGGGGCACUACAAAAAACCUGUUAAUCUAUGACAGAUUUCUGAUGAUAGUAUUGAAAAUCGUCAUGAAUGUCCCAGUAUAGCCCGACAAGCAUACUGAAGCCCGCCCUGAAGCCCGGCUAAAGCCCUAAAUCUUUCCCCAUAUAAAAACUAACCCUAAGACCCUCCUGCCCAAUCUCAAUCUCCAUCCGCCGCCACGCCUUGCCUCUCCUCGGCCCUGUCCUCCGCCUCCACCUCCCUGCCUCCAAGCGAUGACGACGGCCCGAGAUCCAUGGUGAUAGAGGCUAUAGUGGUCCGAUGGAAGCGGCGGCCAUCCAUAGCUGUUGCCACGUGAUUCCGCUACUCACGUUGACCAUGGAUCUGCAGCAAGGGCUGUUGGCACAAACCGGAAAACUAUAUGCACAAGAUAACCCAACUCGAGCACAAACUCAAAGCAAUGGCGAUGAACACCGCGGCCGUGAACCGGCCUGUAUCUUGGCAACCUUUAUUCAUUGGAUUUGGGACAUACCGGCGCUCCCUAGAGAGCUAGAUAGGGUUAGACCCAACAGGGGCCUCCCUCCUUCGUUUCCCAGAGCACGCAGCAGCUGAUUCGCCAUCCGGAGAUUCAAAGCAGCAAGCGCCGGACGAGGAGAGGACGAGGACGGUGACCUACUGGAGGCCCGAGCGCGACCCAGUCAACGGUGGCGAUGCCCCACACAAGGUUCGUCCCUGCUCCCCCCCGUCUCCUCUCCUUUAUUACUUUCAAUCCCAUCCCCAAUCACAAUUUCUUUCUUCGAUUCAGAUUAGUAGGAGCUCUCUGCCUCUCCAAUUCCAUGGACGGCGACGACCAGGACCCCACGCUCAAACCCGACGAGCUGGAAUGGCGAGGUCAUCCGAGCCGACCAUCAUGAUUCGCCACAGAACAAUGAGGUUGACUCUCUUGUUCUGUUUUUCUUUUCUUUCAAGUGCCUGCUGCUCUUCUCUAGCAUAGUUCUCUAGGGGCUCACCAAUUUUCUUGAACUGAACCUGAUGUAGAAAACGUGUUCAUUUCGUUUCCUGAUACUCGCAAGCUACAGCCAAGUUACAGCCAACGACAGACUAGUACUGCUAGCUAUUUCCUUUUUCUUCUCUCACCGUGCCAGCAUUAGCAGUGUAGAAUUUGUGUUAAAUAACUACUAGCUAGAUAAGCUGUGUGGUGGUUCACGUCUAGUUCCUAAUUAGGCCAUGCUAGUAAUGAAUAAAGCAUAUUAGUGUUCUUCUCCUUCUAUUGUUAUUAGCCUGGUAUAUCUCUAUAUUUUUAUAUUGUCUUUACUCCCUGGCGUAGUUGCAAACUAAUAAUUAACGAUGUGCAGAACUUUUCUAAGUUAGAUGUACUCAGUGGCGGAGCUACAACAAAUAAGUUGGGCGGGCCAAUUUUUUUUCUAAACCAUACAGUCCGGUAGGCAUGAGUUAGUGAAAUUUCAGGUUGCCUGUAUAGGGAAAUUGGUAACAGGAUGAUGCUGUCAAGUAAAAUUUGGACAAAUAAACGAAAUUUCUUGUGCGCUAGCUGCCUGCUGGUUGUAUGGUCUUGUGCUCGUCACCUGGGUAGUUCAUCGGUGGCUAGCCGCUGGCAGCCGCCAUGGCCACGCCCGUCGUGGCAUAGGGAUGGGUCACCGUAGGGGUUGCUACAUGCGGCGCCCGGCUGCCUGGCUAUUGGACCUCUCCAUCUCUAAGUGGCUUGCUCAGUGCUGAAUCGGGGCAGAGAGCUCAUAGCUGGAUGCGAGGGAGACAUGCUAUUGGAUUAAACUGUUACAUGUACAAAAGAGUUUUAUUUGUCUCUAGAGCUGGGCGGGCCACGGCCUUGUUUUGCCCUCAUGAAGCUCCACUAGUGGAUGUACUCAUCUUUGUUGCUGUUAGGAUCAAAUAUCAAUGCUAAUUGAGUCAUACUACCUCCAUCUUGAAAUAUAAGUCAUUUUUAUAGGCUAAACUAGCCUACAAAAAUGUCUUAUAUUUUGAGACAGAGUCAGUACUUGUUAGUUCUGACCAUGCCUAGCUUAAGGGCUCAUCAGUAUUCUUGAUAAGAAAAUCCUGCAUAUGUACGUACAUGUUCCUAUCUGAAUUAAUAUUGGAUGUUUCUUGGUGUGUGCAUGUGACAGUCAAGGCACAUUUUCACAAUAUAUGUUGGUAUAUGGUGUAAGCGAAGCUUAUGAUGUCGAUCCUCCAGGCUGCACUGCCAUCGUGUUACCUCACAAACUGCUGGUGGUAACUUUGCAUCACCACUUAUUAAUUUAUUUACUAUUGUUCCUGUCAAAUGCUUCUUGUCAAAUAGUAAUUCUUCAGCUGUAUGUUGAUGAUCUCUUAUGGUUGCAAGAGAAAUUUAUCCUUGUAACAUCCCAAAUUUUCAAUUUGAAUGUUAUACAUUAGAUCAUCAUGGCAUAUCAUAUUUUAUUGCAUUUUGGCUUGAUCCUAGAUAUUCUACGCAACUCAAGGACCUACGGAGAGACUUGGGGAUUUCGUUAUUUUCAUAUUUGAGAUUUCUCGAAUUUUGAAAAGAGGGUCGUUUGAUUUUAAUUAUUUUAUCUUCGAAUAUUUCAUUUAUAAAAAUAAAAGAGAGACGAUAAAAUGACUUCCUCAAAAUAAAGAAAUAUUGGAGAUUUAAUGUUAAAAUCAAAUAAGAGUUUUAUUCGGAUUUUUAUCGCUAUUUUAUUUGAAUUAGGAAAAAUAUGUGUUUUUCAAAAUUGCAUUAGAGUCCCAAAUAAAUGUUCACCUUGUCCGGUAGAUUUUUAGAGGACGCGAAAAAUUUAUUUCAGGAUUUUUGGAGUCCGUUUAGUAUUUCUUUUAUUUGUUUUACUUUGCGGAAUAAUUUUUAAAAAAGUUACCGACCUACCGGGCCGUGUCCACCUGGGGACACCGACCUGGCCGGCCCUUUAAGAGUCGAGGGGCUCGAGCUGCCAAACCCUAGCCAGCCCAGCCCCACGCCUCGUCGCUAGCCCCGCCGCCCGAUGCCGCCGCCCGACGCCGCCGCACCGCCGGAGUACGCCGCCCGACGCCGCCGCCGACCCGUUCCACGAGGUAGCCGUCGGUUUUUUUAUAAAACCGAUCGGUUUUAUUUCGUAAACCCUAGAUCUGUUUUUUUAGAUCUGGUUCGGUUUUUUUUGGUCUAGUUAUUUAGUGGACGCUCAUCCGUACGUUUGUUUUCACGAACGGGUUUCACCCGUUAGCCACAGACAGCAAACGUUCAUUCGUUAGCCUGUUCGUUAGUUUUUCUUUUUCUCGGAUUUUCGCGAUUAUUCUCGAUCGCGAUUUCUAAUUCGAUUUUCGUUUCAGUUUAUCUUUUCGCUCAUUUAUCGGAAUCAGGCGAUUCAAGCGCCAGAGUUUCGUCUCGAAGCCCUCUUUCUAUUUAACCAACUUAAACAAGUUUUUGCUACUAUAAAAUUUGACUUUAGUCCAGAUUUGUAAAUGAAGCUUGUUUCUUUCGCAGUUUGAGUUUCGUUGCUUCGUUUGAUUUGAUUCUUUGUGCAAACCGGAGUUCUUAAGUUGAACUUUCUGGUUAGAUCUUCUUAUUUGAGUUUUACCCGUGCCCCUUGUCUGAUUGCUUAUUGUAUGCUUGUUUGAUUAUGAUAGAGUACCCGGAGUGUGAAGCGUGCUACUACGAGUCUCUAGGUUUCACGGAUCAUCAGCAAGGCAAGUAACACUUUGAACAUACCUCUUUACUACCCAGUUUUAUUGCAUUAGAUCAAUCCUCAAAAACUUGCAUGGUUAGGAUCUGAAUAAAUUGUGGGUUGGGAAGUAGAUGAGGUAGAACCUAUUCACCUGUUUAUUAUCAAACCCUUGGGAGUUACGUCUAUUUUAUGCUUAUAUUGCCAUGCUAUGCUCGUAGAUGUGGAUUGGGUUUGAGAGUAUCCAUGACAGAUAUGAGUUUUUAAUUAAUGGUUAACUUAAGGUGGCAAAUUUAAUGCACAUCUGGGUGGAUUGAGGCACCUGGGGAACCCAGUGAUUGCCUGUAUUUUUGGAAAUCCCUGGGUACCGUGUGAUUCUCCUAUGGACUGCCACCCAGGCUCAAAGGGAUCAUAAGAGUAUUCAUGCUGUAAACUUCCGUGUGCAGCCACAUGCCAAUAUGGGAUCUGGCAUAGUUGAGUAAGUUGUGGGAAACCUUUCCAUGAUGGACUAGCAGAUGUAGGGGAUUUUAGGUGUACAGGUCUAUCUAUCGGUUAAGGGGACCUCUUCGGAAAGACUGUGACUCAGUCAUCCAUUUCUCAAGCAUUAUGUAGUGCGAGAAAUCCAACGGAGGAGAUCGAGUCUUGUGGGGAAAAGUGCACAAACCUCUGCAGAGUGUACAAACUAAUCAUGGUUAGCCGUGUCCCCGGUUAUGGACGUCUUGAGUAUCUAGUUCUUAGAUUAUCACGUGGAUAUCAUCACUCUUAAUAUAAAUUUGAUUGGGUUAUUUAUUACUUUUAAUUGGGAUUGAGAGGGGGUUUACCUUCUCAAUGUUUUUCAACCAACUUUGUAGUUAAAUAAAAUAUAUUCCUUUGCAGUAGGGAAAAAUUGGCUUUCCGCAAAACAUAUAACCAUACAGCCUCCACCAGCCAUAUAUGCAUGUAGUGAUAGCAUUAUUCUGUUCAUUACUCUCUUGUGUUGCAUUGCCAGCAUAUUCCAUGUGCUGACCCGUUUUGGUCUGCAACGUAUCAUGUUGCAGACUUUUCAGACGACGAGUAAGGAGUCUUAGGUCGUGGUCUUUCACUUAGUGAUGCCGUUGGAGUUGAUGGACUAACUUUAUCUUCCAAGCCUUCCGCUGUUAUCGUAUUAGAUGGCCUUAAGCCAUAUAUAUUGUAAUAAGUUCUAUUUUGAGACAUUCCAUGUAAUAAGUGUGUGAUUGCUACUCUGUUAUAAAUCCUCAAGUACUGUGCGUGUCAGCAUUAUCGAUCCAGGGAUGACACUAAUGCAUAGAGAUUAGACUGUUUGAGGUCUGGUCGCUACACUUAUAUCUUUUGAGCUAGGCAGUUGCUCUAGUGCUUCAUUUGUAUCUUUUAGAGCACAGCGGGUGGUCAUAUUUUAAAUAAAUAGUUGCACUCUUAUGCUUCACUUAUAUCUUUUUGAGAGUCUAAUAAAUAUUAAUGGCAAUACACACAUGUUAUGAAGUCAGCCUUUAUAUGAUAUGUAUCCAAGGGGAUAUAAUAAAAACUUUCAUGUAGAUCACUAAAUAUGAAAUGUAUGAUUUAAUAAUACUGAUGUCGUAAUAUGAAAGGGUAUAAGUUCAUGAUCAUUGAUUAGUAGAAAUAUCAGUAUUAAAGUUUGUUAUCACUGUUCAUCUAAAUAUUGGUCAUGGCAUGACGGGGAAGUCCGAGCAAUCUUAGGUCCGACAGAAAUCAUGUUGUGCUGUUAUAAUCAGGGAGGGGGGCAAUGGUUAAUUCCUACCAACUUCCUCCCUAGGGGCAUGUGGUUAGUACUUUGCUUCGAGGGCUAAUAGACUUUCACAAUAACUAUUUGAGUUCUUUAUAACUAAUGUGAGUCCAUAGAUUAUACGCACUCUUAUCAUUCCGCCAUUUGCUUGCCUCUUCAGUACCGUGUAAUGCCCUUUCUCACCUCGAGAGUUGGUGCAAACUUAGCCGGUGCAUCCAAAUCUCGUGAUAUGAUAUGCUCGUUUACACAUAAACCCCUUUACCUUCCUCAAAACAGCCACCUACCUACCUAUAUGGCAUUUUCAUAGCCAUUCCAAGAUUAUAUUGCCAUGCAACUUCCACUGUUCCGUUUUUAUGACAUGCACAUUCAUUGUCAUAUUGCUUUGCAUGAUCAUAUAGCUGACAUAGUAUUUGUGGCUUAGCCACCUUUCAUCAUUAUUAUACAUGUUACGCUAGCAUCAUUGCACAUCCUGGUGCACUGCAAGAGGCAUACAUAUAAUGUCAUAUUGUUAUAGUAUCGAGUUGUAAUAUUGAGUUGUAAGUAAAUAAAAGUGUGAUGAUCAUCAUUAUUAGAGCAUCGUUCCAGUGAGUAAAUAAAAAAAGGCCAAAAAGAGCCCAACAAAAAGAGUCCAACAAAAAAAUUGAGAGAAAAAUAGAGAAGAUGCAAUGUUACUAUCCUUACCACACGUGUGCUUAAAAGUAACACCAUGUUUUUCAUAUAGAGAGUCUCACAUAUUGUCACUUUCAUAUACUAGUGGGAAUUUGACGUUAUAGAACUUGGCUUGUAUAUAUCGAUGAUGGGCUUCCCCAAAUGCCCGAGGUCUUCAUGCGCAAGCAAGUUGGAUGCACACCCACAUAGUUUCAGUUGAGCUUUCAUACACUUAUAGCUCUUAGUGCAUCUGUUGCAUGGUAAUCCCUACUCCUCGCAUUGAUAUAGGUUGAUGGGCAUCUCCAUAGCCCAUUGAUCUGCCUAGUUGAUGUGAGACUUUCUCUCUUUUUGACAUCUCCUUAUUAAUUCCUAUCAUCGCAUUCUAUUCCACCUAGUGCUAUGUCCAUGGCUCACACUUAUGUAUUGUGUGGGAGUUGAAAAUGUUAUAGCGUGUUAGAGGUACAAGCUAAUUGCUUGGUUUAACACCUUGGUGCUCAGAUUUGUAUUUUUGCGGUGAAGGCGGAGUCAUGCCAUGUUAACAUGAUAAAAUAAGGAUUGGGGAUGUUGAUACGUCUCCUAUGUAUAUAUAAUUUUUGAUUGUUCCAUGCUAUUAUAUUAUCAAUUUUGGAUGCUUUAUAUGCAUUUAUAUGAUAUUUUAUAUCAUUUUUGGGACUAACGUAUUAACCUAGUGCCUAGUGCUAGUUGCUGUUUUUUUGCUUCUUUUUGGCUUUUCAGAAAAUCAGUACCAAACGAAGUGCAAAUACAAAACAGACCCUAUAAGCUUCAGGAGGUGGUCCAGAAGACCUACAAGAGAGCCACAAGCUCACAGGACGCGCCCCUGAGCUUGUGGGCCACUUGCAGCUCCAUUUGACCUAAUUCCAACGCUAUAUACUCUCCAUUAUCCCCAAACCUAUAGAGAGCCAACUGAAACACUUUUUUUCUCCACCGCAAGUUUCUAUUCUUUCGCGAUCCCAUCUGGAGGCCUUUUUCGAUACUCUGCUGGAGGGGUGUCGAUCACGGCAGGUUUCUACAUCAUCCUUGCUGCCUUCUGAUUAUGUGUGAGUAGUUCACCAUAGAUCUACGGGUCCAUAGCUAGUAGUUAGAUGGCCUCUUCUCUCUCUUUGAUCUUCAAUACAAUGUUCUCCUCGGCGUUCUAGGAGUUCUAUCCAAUGUAAUCUUCUUUUGCGGUGUGUUUGUUGGGAUCCGAUGGAUUGUGGGUUUAUGAUCUGAAUAUCUAUGAUAAGUAAUUGAGUCUUUUCUAAACUUUAUUAUGCAUGAUUAUUAUAGCUUUGUAUUUCUCUAUGAUUUAUCCCUUUGGUUUGGCCAACUAGACUGAUUUAUUUUCAGUGGGACAGGUGCUUUGUGAUGGGUUCAAUCUUGCGGUGCUCUAUAUCCAAGUGACAGAAUGGGACAAGACAUGUAUUUAUAUUGUUGCCAUUAAGGGUAAAACGACGGGGUUUAUUCAUAUUGAUUGGUUUACUUUAUCUACAUCAUGUCAUCUUGCUUAAGGAGUCACUCCAAUUUUCAUGAACUUAAUACCAUAGAUGCAUGCUGGAUAGCGGUCGAUUGGUGGAGUAAUAGUAGUAGAUGCAGGCAGGAGUCGGUCUACUUGUCUCAGACGUGAUGCCUAUAUACAUGAUCAUUGCUGAUGACCCACAAGUAUAGAGGUUCAAUCGUAGAGCUUCCGAUAAGUAAGAGUGUCGAACCCAAGGAGCAGAAGGAAAUGACAAGCGGUUUUCAAUAAAGUAUUUUCUGCAAGCACUGAAAUUGCUGGUAAGAGAUAGUUUGCUAACAAGGUAACUUGUGGCGAGCAAUAAGUAGUAAUGGUAACAAAGGUGCAGCAAAGUAGCCCAAUCCUUUUGUAGCAAAGGACGGGCCAAAACGAUCUCUUAUAAUAAGCAAAGCGUUCCUGAGGACACACGGGAAUUUCAUCUAGUCACUUUCAUCAUGUUUGUUUGAUUCGCGUUCGUCACUUUGAUAAUUUGAUAUGUGGGUGGACCAGUGCUUGGGUGUUGUUUUUACUUGAACAAGCCUCCUACUUAUGAUUACCCCCCUCACAAGCAUCCGCAACUACAAAAGAAGAAUUAAGAUAAAUCUAACCAUAGCAUGAAACAUAUACAAGCCAAUUUCUACAAUAAAAAAUUCCCACUAGUAUAUGAAAAGUGACAAAAUAGGAGACUCUCUAUCAUGAAGAUCAUGGUGCUACUUCGACGCACAUGUGUGGAAAAUGGAUAGUAACAUUGCCCCUUUUCUCUUUUCUCUCAUUUUUUGGGCAUUCUCAUUUUUUAGCCUUUCUCUCUUUUUUAUUUCCUCACAUGGGACAAUAUUGCUCUAAUAAUGAAUAUCAUCACACUUUUAUUUACUUACAACUCAAGAAUUACAACUCAAUACUAGAACAAAAUAUGAAUCUAUAUGAAUGCCUCCGGCGGUGUACCGGGAUGUGCAAUAAAUCUAGAGUGACAUGUAUGAAACAAUUAUGAAUGGUGGCUUUGCCACAAAUACGAUGUCAACUACAUGAUCGUGCAAAGCAAUAUGACAAUGAUAGAGCGUGUCAUAAUAAAUGGAACGGUGGAAAGUUGCAUGGCAAUAUAUCUCGGAAUGGCUAUGGAAAUGCGAUAAUAGGUAGGUAUGGUUGCUGUUUUGAGGAAGGUAUAUGGUGGGUUUAUGGUACCGGCGAAAGUUGCGGGGUACUAGAGAGGCUAGCAAUGGUGGAAGGGUGAGAGUGCGUAUAAUCCAUGGUGUUGGGGAUAUAACUAUUUGAGUAAGCCAGCCAGGAGGGGCCGGGUUAUGCAAAUAGGACUAAUCGUCAAGGAAGCCCAAGACCCAGCAUGAGGAUGGCGGUUCAUAGAGCUUAAGGCCCAUAGAGACAAACCGCCGUAAUGGCAUGACUUGUAACAUAAGGUAGAGGUAACUAGUCACCGAGCCGGACACUGUUUAUGAGCCGGCCGGGACUCUGUAGGCUGGAGGGCGUCAACCCAUAUAUAUACGGGAACGACCCACCGGCGGCUUAGGGGAGAGACAACCGAUCGAGAACCGGGCAUAGCGUAUCUCGCUCCCUGGUCAUCGAAACCUCAAGCAAUACCAACCCAACUAGACGUGGGCCUUCCUUCACCGCAAGGGGCUGAACUAGUAUAAACCUCGCGUGUCCUUUGUCCCGAUUAACCCCUUUAAGCUUCCUAGUUGCGAUGUCUCCACGAUUAAGUCCUUGCAAGAGGACAUCUGCCGUGACAAUUCCACAAUAGUUGGCGCCCACCGUGGGGCCAGCGCACGGUGGAUUUGAGUUCUUGAAGGGCAGCUUCGAAGGGCUCAAGGGAUACGCAGUUGGCCGAAUGACCAAGAGUCGUCGCGGCAAGAUCUACAUCAACGACGAAGGCUGGGGACCCGACGCCGGCUCAAUUGAGUAUGGGUACCGGGUCCCCUUUGGCAGAAUUCACGUCUUCGUCGGCCGGAUUGGUGAGCCGGGCCCUGAGCCGGACAGCUGCACAGACCUCAUCGAGAUGGCUCAGCAUGCGAAACCCGCCCGAGCUCAACCUGUCGUGAAGCGUGCCUUUGUGGGUUGCAUCCAUGGAGGUGAACUUUCUGAAGGAUCUGAAGGUGAUGGUGAGCCGGUCGUCCUCUCUUACGGUGAUUCGUCCGUCGGGUCAACAGAUUCGCUGUAUCAAGUUCAAGAUGGUGUGCUUGGGGGCUGUUCCGAUGGCAGCACUAUUCCGGACCCCUCAGAGUCGCCAAACUGGGCAGGAGUCUUCAUGGCUGGUACUCAACCCGGCCAAAAUUCUACGGCUUCAGCAGCGAUAACGUCCAGGUUAGGAGCAGCCGGGGCAGGAGGCCUUGUGCGCUCACCGACUCAGGUACUGAUGGAUCUCAUGGAUAAACUUACGGCCUUGUUAACUGCUACAGUCGUCCCUGCGAACCAAUCUGAGCAUGAGGAGGAGGUGGCACAGGUUCGCGAUGAGAUCGCCCGGGCCAAGGAAACCUUAGCAGCUGAAGAUGCUAGAUUAGCCAUAGAGCGGGCGGCUUUGGACGCACGGGCGCAGCAACUUCAGGCAGAGGCCUUUCAGCUCACGUUGAGCUUAAAUGCAUCUAAUGAGGUAAUGAGGAGGAGACAUCAGAAAACUCAGUCCCGUUUACCUCAGAUUUAUGAUCCUCGGAAUCUCUUUGCUAUACCCGGGGCCGGCCCAAGCAACCCGCUAGGUGCAAAUCAGUUUAUGACAUCCGGAGCGGGAGGCCCAGUCCAGCCUCCGGUGACGGCGCCUUUUCACGGCAAUAUGGCACCACCCCAUCACGUACCGAUACCACAGGGUCACUUCUCCAACCCCAUGGAGAACUUAAUCGCAGCAUCAGCAUGUUUGGCGGCUCUCCCAGUAGAUGGUGAUGAUCCAACAGCGGUGGAAACCCGGAGGAUCAGGAAACUUGUCCAAACAGCCUUGGCUCAGCAAGAGACCUACUCCUACAGCCGGGACAUAAUUCACUCAACUCCUCCGCCUUGGUUAGCUCUGCCUCGUCAAAACCGGAGCCCGAGUUACAGUAAACACAUGGAGUUAGAGGCCUUGUCAAGUAGCGCUCAGCGCCGGAACCAGCCCGGCGGGUAUAACCCGGUUCAGGAUCGGAUACGUCAGGAGGACGAGCGGGCGGCUCAGCUAGCAACCCAACAGGACUCACCGGCUUAUCUGAUGACUUCCGUUGAGGCACGUAUUGCUACUAGAACCGGAGGUGUUCCUUGUCUGGUACCGGCUCUAUGUAAUGUACGUCUGCCCAAGGAUUUCAAGGGACCUCGAAAGGUGUCGAAUUAUACGCCCGAUUUAUAGCCUGGGGCAUGGAUUGAAAGUUACGAGAUGGCCAUGGAGCUGCUGGAGGUUAGUGAUGAAGCGAUGGCUAAAUACUUCACCAUGAUAUUGGACGGAACGGCCCGUUCUUGGUUAAAGGGUUUGCCACCCGAUUCCAUUAGUUCAUGCGCGGAGCUAAAGGCCCGUUUCAUCUAGAACUUCAAGGACACUUGCAAGCAGUCUAUGUCGAUUGUGGACCUGAUAAAUUGUAAGCAGGAGGAAGGUGAAUCUACGACUCAUUGGGUGCGCCGGGUCAAAUAUAUAAUACAUUCGUCUGACAAGAUGGAUGCCGGUUCAGCAGUUCUCAUGCUGCAGAAGAAUUGCCGCUUUGAGCCUCUGAGACAAAAACUGGGGCGCCUGAAGCGUGAUUGCAACGAUAUGGGGACGCUGAUGACGGCUUUAGUCAAGUAUGCCGAUUCUGAUAGUACCAAGGAUCCCGCAUCUGAUGAGGAAAAGAUAGGGAAGGGAAAGAAGAACGGCAAUGGAAAGGGUCAGCGGCAUAACCCGGUGAGUCAAGGAGGCAAUAAGCGUAAAGCGGAUGUUAACCCGGAAUUUGUGGCCAAUGCACAGGGUAACAAUUAGAAGCGCAAAGGAAAGCCACCCCCUCGGUUUGGCGGGUCAGGUCCGUCUCUUGAGCAACUACUCAAUGAGCCCUGCCCGAAACACGGCACCCGGGAACGACCAACGACUCAUUUAUGGAAGGAUUGCGCAAUCAUGAAGGCUUUCAAGAAUUCUAAUACAUUUGAUGGCAAUCAAGGCCCAGGCGGCGGCUCAGGAGCUGGCGGCUUUCAUGGCCCGGGUGGCAGUUCAGGAUCCGGUUUUCAGGGAAGCCAGGGUGGUUAUAAUCAACAACAGUCUGGUCAAGGAGGUCAGCAGCAGCAGCAGUCGGGUUAUCAGAGCCAUCCAAAACAGCUAAACAGUGGGCAGUAUCACGUGUUCACCACAAGUUUGUGUAAACGUGAUCAGAAAGUUCAUAGGAGGGUGGUGAAUUCUGUUGAGCCGGCAGUCCCUCAUUACUUGAGGUGGUCGGAAUAGCCUAUUGUCUGGAGCAGGGAGGAUCACCCUCCCCGGGUUGAUAAUCCAGGUCAACUGGCCCUGGUAGUGGCACUGCAGGUUGGUGGUUAUAAAUUUACUAAGGUGAUCAUGGAUGGAGGUAGCGGCAUCAACAUCCUCUAUCACGAGACCUUUCGGCGCAUGGGCUUAACUGACAAGAAUUUAAAGACUUCCAACACCGCCUUCCAUGGAGUGGUGCCUGGUAAGUCGGUGUAUCCUGUGGGUAAAAUCGAGCUAGAGGUGGCCUUUGGAGACGAGCAUGAUUCUAGGGCGGAGAAGUUAACUUUUGAAGUGGUCAAAAUCAAGAGUCCAUAUCAAGCUUUGUUCGGGCGGCCGGCUUAUGCCAAGUUCAUGGCGCGGUCGUGUUAUGUUUAUUUACAGCUCAAAAUGCCGGGUUACAAGGGUACCAUCACUGUGCAUGGAAGCCAAAAGGUGGCCCUGGAAUGCGAGGAAGGCGAUGCGGCUUAUGCCGAGUCUGUCUGUGCAGCAGAGGAGCUCAAAUUUUAUCAAGAUAACGUUGACCUGGUAGAUAUGACCUCCCUCAAGAAGCCGACUACGGAGCAUAACCCGGCCAUGAAGUUUAAAUCGGCUGCAGAGACUAAGCUUGUUGAUUUUACUCUGGGCAAUUCAUCUAAGCAAUUCAGCAUCAGUGCCAACUUGGAUCCUAAAUAGGAAAGCGCGCUCAUCGAGUUCAUCCGUGAGAACCGGGACAUCUUUGCAUGGAAGCCUUCUGACAUGCCGGGUGUACCGAGAGGACUCGCUGAGCACACUCUUAAUAUUGAUCCGAAGUAUAAGCCGGUCAGGCAGUUUCUGCGACGAUUCAAUGAGGAACGACGAAAAGCUAUAGGAGAAGAGGUCGCCCGGCUCUUGGCGGCUGGGUUCAUUGUCGAAGUUUUUCACCCGAAGUGGUUGGCUAGCCCGGUGCUCGUGCUCAAGAAAAACGGCACCUGGCGGAUGUGUGUGGAUUACACGGACUUAAAUAAAGCUUGUCCGGCUGAUCCUUUCGCUCUCCUCCGGAUUGAUCAAAUCAUUGAUGCUACGGCGGGUUGUGCGCGUUUGAGCUUUUUGGAUGCUUACUCUGGUUAUCAUCAGAUCAAGAUGGCAGUUAAGGACCAGGAGAAGACGGCUUUCAUCACUCCGUUUGGAGCCUUCUACUAUGUGUCUAUGCCUUUUGGGCUCAAGAGUGCCCAGGCGACUUAUCAACGGUGUGUACAGAAUUGUCUUCACAAUCAGAUUGGGCGCAAUGUUCAUGCUUAUGUGGAUGACAUAGUGGUGAAAUCCAGAGAGGCGGAAACCUUGAUAUCUGAUCUCAGAGAAACCUUUGACAAUCUCCGGGUUUACAAAAUGAUGCUUAACCCAGAGAAGUGUGUAUUUGGUGUGCCUGCAGGCAAGCUUUUGGGAUUCUUGGUCUCAAACAGGGGCAUCAAGGCUAAUCCGGAGAAGAUUAAGGCAAUCACUUCUUUGGCUAAACCGGCAUGUAUCAAUGAUGUUCAGCGAUUGGCGGGCCGUGUUGCCGCCUUAAGCCGGUUCAUAAGCCGGUUAGGUGAGAAGGCCCUACCGAUGUACCAGCUGAUGAAGAAGGCAGACACCUUUGUCUGGAGUAAUGCUGCUAAUACUGCUUUUGAGGAUUUGAAGAUGCAGUUAUCCGAGCCACCAGUUCUUGCAGCUCCCAUUGACAAAGAGCCUUUGCUGUUAUAUGUGGCUGCUAAUUCACGAGCCGUCAGUGUGGCAAUUGUGGUAGAGCGCAAGGAGGCUAGUAAGGAACAUCCGGUUCAACGGCCGGUUUAUUAUGUCAGUGAGGUACUCAUCGAGUCAAAACAAAGAUAUCCUCAUUGGCAGAAACUUGUUUACGGGGUGUUCAUGGCAAGCCGGAAGCUGAAGCAAUACUUCCAAGGUCACCCUAUCACUGUAGUGAGUUCUGCCCCCUUGGGAGACAUUAUUCAGAACAGAGAGGCUACAGGACGAGUCGCCAAGUGGGCCAUUGAGCUCGGGCCUCAUGGUCUGAAGUACGUACCAGGCACUUCCAUUAAGUCUCAAGCUUUGGUGGAUUUCAUCAAUGACUGGACAGAGCUACAGGCACCUGAGGAGAAGCCCGAUAACACUUAUUGGACUAUUCACUUUGAUGGGUCCAGACAGUUGGAAGGCUUGGGGGCUGGAGUCGUGUUAACUUCCCCUCGAGGUGACAAAUUUUGUUAUGUGCUCCGGCUUAUGUUUCCUUGUACUAACAAUGCAGCUGAGUACGAGGCCCUACUCCAUGGUCUCCAGAUGGCCAAAGAGAUGGACUUGAGCCGGGUAAGAUGCUUGGGAGACUCAGACCUUGUGGCUCAACAGGUGUCAGGCAAGUGGGACUCUAAAGACCCCCUUAUGGCGGCUUACCGUCGUAAAGUCGAUGCUGUGGCUGGGCAUUUCAAGGGUUAUGCGGUGGAACACAUUGAUCGAAGGAAGAAUGAGGCGGCUGAUGCCUUAAGCCGGUUGGGGUCUCAGCGUAAGCCAGUGCCGGCUAACACCUUUCUUGAUGUUUUGCAUAAUCCUUCUGUUAAGUUGCCUACAAAGGAAGAUCUGGCAAUAGCAGACCCGGAGGCACAACUGGUGGCGGCUCUCCAUGUUAUCCCGGAUUGGACAGUGCCUUAUUUGGCUUACAUGACCCGGGGAGAGUUGCCUGAAGAUGAGACCUUGGCAAGACAAAUCGCCCGGCGGUCCAAGUCCAUGACAAUUGUCAAUGGCGAGUUACAUCACUGCAGCGUCACUGGAGCAUUUCAACAUUGCGUGUCACCUACAGAGGGUCAGGAGAUCCUUCAUGAGAUUCAUGAAGGCGAUUGUGGUCAUCACGCUGGCUCAAAAUCUCUUGUGGCCAAAUCUUUCCGUCAUGGGUUUUAUUGGCUGACGGCUCAUGCGGAUGCAGAAGACCUGGUCAGUAAAUGUGACGGAUGUUAUAAAUUCUCACAACAAGCCCAUGUGUCGGCUCAAGAAUUGAGGAUGAUUCCAAUUACUUGGCCGUUUGAAGUCUGGGGGCUUGAUAUGGUCGGGCCUUUCAAAAGGUCUAUGGAUAAAAAGACGCACCUCUUGGUAGCGGUUGACAAGUUCACAAAGUGGAUGGAGGCGGAGCCAGUCAGUAAGUGUGAUGCAGCCACGGUGGUCCAGUUUAUGAAAAAGGUGAUUUUUCGCUUUGGUUUUCCACACAGCAUUAUAACUGAUAAUGGCACUAACCUCUCCAAAGGAGCUAUGGAAGAGUUCUGUCAACGAGAGCAUAUCCGGCUUGACGUUUCAGCUGUGGCUCACCCUCAAUCCAAUGGUCGAGCAGAAUGAGCUAAUCAAGAAAUCUUGAGGGGUAUCAAGCCCCGGCUCUUGGUCCCCUUGCAGCGGACGCCGAGUUGUUGGGUGGAGGAGUUACCUUCUGUACUUUGGAGCAUUAAUACUACACCUAACAGAUCUACGGGUUAUACGCCUUUCUUUAUGGUGUAUGGAGCAGAGGCGGUCCUGCCAAGUGACAUCCGUCAUGACUCACCUCGUGUGGCGGCUUAUGUUGAAGAAGACAAUGAAAAAGAUCAGCAAGACGCACUUGACCUGUUAGAUGAAGAGUGAGACUUGGCAAUAGCCCGCUCGGUGAUUUACCAGCAAGACCUGCGCCGCUACCACAACCGCCGGGUUAGGUCCAGAACCUUUCAGGAAGGCGACUUAGUGCUCCGACUCAUCCAGGAUCAAUCUGACAUGCACAAGCUAUCCCCUCCUUGGGAAGGACCCUUUGUGGUCAGCAAGAAUCUGAACAACAGAUCAUACUACCUUAUCGACGUUCGGGAGCAUAAAGACUCACGUAAGUCGGAGGAGGAGACCCGUCGGCCAUGGAAUAUCGCUCAUCUUCGGCCUUAUUAUACUUGAUCCAUUGGCUCUAAUGUGUAUAUACUUAUACUAUGUAUAUUACACAAAGCAAUAAAGCAGGACCUCUGUCCUUUUUUCCACUCCCAAAAAGGUUUAUGUGUUUUCUUUGUCAGGUGGUGGAGAUAACCAAGGAAAAGCGGGUCAUAUCUGAAUCCGGCUUUCCUUUGGUCCGGCUUAUGAUCAUAUAUGAAUCUAGCCGUGAUCAUUUGGGGGCUUCCUGUUCAAACAUAGGUCGUAUUCGAACCAAAGAGAACAUAGCUGUCGAUACCCACUUGAUCAGCAUACUGCCAAACCCACUUGGGGGCUUCUUGAUCAUAUUUGAAUCAUAGCUUAACCCCUUUGGGUCUGACGUGGAUCGUAUUCGAAUCAGCGUCAUUAAACAACUCUUAUGGUCACUUGGGGGCUUCCUGUUCAAACAUAGGUCAUAUUCGAACCAAAGAGAACAUAGUUGUCGAUACCCACUUGAUCGACAUCGCCACAGCCACUGGGGGCUAACAGAUUGUAUCUGAAUCUUAGCUCAACCCCUUUGGAACGGUUCACUGAUCGUAUUCGAAUCAGAAACCCUUGAAUUAACGGCGGCUUAUGCAAGUAUUAAGGGCCAUAAGCAUGCGCAAAGGCAUAGCAAAACUCAAAGUGUUUUCUACUCUGUUACAAGACUCCCCGAGUCUGAAUGAUGUGACAUUUUUUUCUACAAUGACAUAACCAGGUGGCGCCUGGCAAUCUACUCUUGGGGUUGACUUGAAGCCUCCGGGUUAUCCUUCUCCGCCUCUCCGCCGGCUGCUUUGUCCUAGAAGGAUGAUGAGGCCCAGUCAAUGCCACUCAUAGCCUCAAACUCAGCUUCAUCAUCUAUUAAACGGGUUGGGUCGACUUCAGGGGCAAAGGUGUGCUUACAUAUCGGAGGAAUCAAGCUGACAUCAUCAUAAUGCAGCGUGGGGAUUCUCUGAUUCUCCUUGUCAUAACCCGGCUGACACUUGGUGAGGUCAGUGUCGUUUCCAAUUUGAGUGGCCACAGGGCGUAUAUCCCUAACGCAGGUGGUGAAAUCCUUUUCAUCAAAUGGAGUGCCAUCCUCCUUUAAACUUGGAUACCCAAGAGCGAUGUCGGCCGGGUCUAGCUCUGGUAACCAGGCUUUGGCCCGACUCAAAGCGGCUAUUGCUCCGGCUCUUGCUUGGGCCCGUCUCAACUCUAGAAUCCGCUGAGGAAGUAUAGCAAGCCAUUGUAACACAUCUUGCAAGAGGUGGGGCACAUCAUUUGAUAAGGCUACAAUGGCCAAGGCACGUUGUGACCCGAUGUACAGUUGCUCUACUAGAGUAUACACCGCCUUCAAUUUGAUCAGCGUAUUCUGCUUGAGGUUUGUGCUCCUGGGGCCUGUAUUGGUAAGUAUAAGGUAAACCUCAGGUAACAAUUAAAGGAAUAUUUACAAUAUUUAAUGCUUGCUUAAGAUAACUUACUAAAGAUCGCUGAGACCAUCCGAGAUAUCUGGCGUUGUAAGUCGGUCAGUUCGGCUGUUGCAUUUUCCCGCAACACCUCUGCUGUCUCAGCCCGGGUCACUAGUCCGGCCUUUUCGUCAGCUCAAAUUUUCUUCUUCGACUCAAAAUUUUUCUUCAGCUUCUCUUGUUCAGAGACGCUGAAUUCAAAUUUGGAGUUAGCCUUUUGAGUUUCAAUCUCCUGGGCUGCCACGCGGUUCUUCAGGUCAACAAUCUCCGAUUCAAAUUGACUUAUGAUGGCCUGCAUUGCACCGGAUAGUAGUCAAGAUUACGGUAAAUAAUAUUAAGUCCCAAGCACUUUGCAAGCAAAGAUACUUGACACUUGGGGGCUAAUGUAUACCGAAGCUUUCUAAAUUAUUAAGCCGGUCCUGGAUAUUAAGUCCCAAAUACUUUUCAAGCAAAGAUACUUGGCACUUGGGGGCUAAUGUAUAUCGCAAGUUAAAGGUAUUGUGUUACAUCCGGUUUAAAUAUUUCUCUUUAAGCCGGGCAAGCAGCUCUAACAAUUUUUAUAAGUCUACAGCAUAUUUAUUCAUAAGCAAUAGACUUGGGGGCUGGUACAGUAAGUAUGACUGAAAGUAAGGAAGCAUAAGUCAUACCUCAGAUUUUUGCUGUAUUUGCUUCACCAUGUCAAUUUCCAGGCCACGACUGCUUUGCACCUGGUUGAUAUAGCCCGAGACGAUCUCUCCAAUACUCAAAUGAGUAUAGUCGGUGAUAUUCAUCUUGGCCUUACGGCAUUCUAGUAACUUCUCUUUAGCCGAACAUUUGGCAAGGACGGUGGGCCUGGCCGGCUCAACGAAUUGAGCCUUGAGAAAUUCCACUUCUGAGUCAGCCGUUUUGACUGGGCUAGGUGCCUCCGUGUUAACAGAACCAUCAAGAAUAUCUUCAGCAGGCGGGUCAGAAGUUGGUGUUGCAAUGUCUUGAGCCGGCUCAGGCGGCGGUUGAUGUGUGGAAGAGUUGGGAGCAGCUAUACCCUGUUCCGGUUUAGUCACCAUAGGGGUUUGGGCCGGUUUAUCUUUCUUGGUUUUCUUCCUGGGCUUAACCUGCACGCUGUGGGCAAAGCAAAGAAAUAAGUAAAGAAACAUGAAGAAAGAAAAACAUAAGGUGAAUAAAUUGAUAUUACCCAGGGGCAGUCUUAAAAGCCGGCAUGUUUGAUUGCAUGGACUCGCCGGAUGAAGGAGAAGUAUCCUGGUAAUUGGAGUCAGAGGAAUGGAGAGGUUGACGGAUUAGACCCGCCAAAGGUAAAAAAGGGUAUAAAUUGGAGAUAACCUCAGUCCGACGCUUCCGGGUUAUGUCAGGCAAGCCGGAGGAUAGCUCUGCAUCCUUGCUGGUCCGGGUCUGCCUUCGGUUUUCAAAUUGCUAUUGCUUCAAAAGAAAGUCAGGAUCUUGGUAAGCCAAAGGGUGUGAAAAUCUUACUUUCCGGGUUACUCUUUGAAUUUUCUGACGUGGCCGAAGUUCGGAGUCGGAGGAGAUUAUAAUUACCUCUUCUUCGACGGGUUGGCUGUUGCCCGUGUCUCCCUGAAAGAAGGUUAAUAUCAGUAAAGUAGUGAUAAAGGAGAAAGGGAAAUUAAAAAGUUACCUCUUCCUCAUUAUCAUCAGUAUCAUCAAGCUGAAGCAACUCAGAAGUGCUUGGCUUCCUUUUCCUUGAAGUGGUGGGCUUGGCGGUUUUCCUUUCGGCCCUCUUGGCCGCCCUGGCUGUCUUGGCCGCCUCAUGAUCAUAUUGGAUUUUCCAGAAGUUAUCAUUUGCCUGUAAAAGGUUAUAAAGGGUUAUGCGUAAGAAUACAGUAUAACAUGGUGAAAAAAUAACCCGACGGCUGGAAACUUACUGCAGGGGCCGGGUUCUUCUGGCAAAAAGGUAGUAAGCCGAAAGCGUUACUAUUCACUAUGCCCUCUUUCAACAAAGACUGAGUUGUAGCUUCCACUACGUCAUCUGGUAAGUCGUCAGGACUAUGACGCUGAGGGCCAUCUUUCUCGCCUGAAAUAUUACACAUUAAGCCGGGGCGGCGGCUUAACGGAAUUAUUCUCCAAGCAACCCAGACUCGGACCAGGUCAAUGCCAUCUAAGCCAUUCCCUAAAAGAGCUUUAAUCUUCUUGAUCUUGGGGGUGAGUGGCAGACAUUCAAUAGCAGUCAACUUAUCCGGCAACGGGUGAGUAGGUUCAAGGCGCAAUGCACGGAAGCCGGGCAGCGGGUUUUCACCAGCCGGAGAAGUAUCUUGGUAGUAGAACCAUGUCUGGUUCCAGUCCUUUGGAUGACUCGGCAAUUCAGCAUAAGGGAACAGGCAGUCUCUCCGCCUUUGAAUCGAUAUGCCACCAAGCUCCAGACUGGGCCCGUUGGCCCGCUCAUUCUACCGGUUCAAAUAGAACAAUUCCCUGAACAAAAGUAGGCUGGGUUCUUCUCCAAGGUAGACCUCACAGAAAACUUGGAAGUUGCAGAUAUUUGACACGGAAUUGGGCCCGAUGUCUUGAGGUCUUAAGUCAAAGAAGUGCAGAAUGUCUCUAAAGAAUUUUGAACCGGGAGGAGCAAAUCCCCGGCUCAUGUGAUCGGUAAAAAUGAUCACCUCCCCUUCCUUGGGUUGAGGUUUCUCUUCAGACGGUUCUGGAGCACGAUAAGACAUGACAUCCUUCUUGGGCAGAUGGCCAGACUUUACAAACUCAGACAGUUUGCUCUCUGUAACAAUGGAUGGGACCUAGUUGCAGGUAACCGGAAGUUUAACAGCUUUGGGUGCCAUUGGGUAAAUUGAAGCCUACAACAAGAUAAAGGAAAUUUUUCUGGUUCAUUAUAACCCGGAGAAUAAACAUUAUUGGGUUAUUUAAGAUGGCAGCUUAAGAAGGGGCCUCAUGACAUACAGGUAACUAUGUGAUAAUGUUUAACAGCUGCAGGUAUUAAAGAUGAUUAAGGUUUUCUUAAGUCGCCAGAGGCAAGCAGUGCUGACAGCCGGUACUAUCUUAAACCGGCUACACGGACUACUAUGGCUGAAACACAGUCAACAGAUGCAGUUUUUUGGCUAAGUGUGGAACAAACAGGUUUCGCAAGUUUCAAUCAUUAUUUUGGAUCAAACGAUGCUCUGGAAAGGAAAAUAUUUCUAGAUCUAAAACAGUACAGAGAAGUUCAUAUACUCGUGGAGGGCUUCAAAACAAGGGAAAUGAGAUCUGUUCUCAUACAUGAUAAGCACAAACAUUUUCCGCAGCAGUUCUAAGUUGUUUUUAUAAUCUAAGCAAGGAAUUAGAGGUGAGAACUAAUGCAGGUUUGCGUCGGGCGGCGAUGAACGACGACGAACUCAAGACGGUUUCAAUGCAGAUCUGAGAAGGGGGAAAAUAGGAACUCACAGAUGCGGAAGAACUGCGGAGGGUCGCCGUCGUUUUCUGGUCAGAAUCAUGGUGAUGCAGCGGCCUGAGUCGGUGAAGACGAGGGGGUCGACCGCGGCGGCGGCAGAGCUUGAGCAGCAAAGAAGGAGGUGCGAGGAGGAAGAUGACUGAAGGAAAUGAAAAAGACCUAGGUCGCAUCUAUUUAUAAGGAAGGGCCAACCAAGACGGCGCGAGAAACGAGGAGACAGAAUAUCAUUUGACAAUGACCCCGACGCCUUGAUUUUUGGGAUGGUCAGUUAAGGCAAAGAUCCGUUGAAGAUAUGAUGAAAUAAGAUAAGGAUUUAAUUAAAAGAUGAUGUCACGGUGGGUUAACCCGGAUCCAGAAGAUGACGUCACAAUGGGUUAUGACCUUUUUACGGACAGAAGACAGAAGGACUGAUUCUUAAGGUAUUUUAAGAUUGACAUGAACCGGUCCAAAUCAAUCUGGGCCUAAUGUUGGGGAUAUAACUAUUUGAGUAAGCCGGCCAAGAGGGGUCGGGUUAUGCAAAUAGGACUAAUCGUCAAGGAAGCCCAAGACCCAGCGUGAGGAUGGCGGUUCAUAGAGCUUAAGGCCCAUAGAGACAAACCGCCGUAAUGGCAUGACUUGUAACGUAAGGUAGAGGUAACUAGUCACCGAGUCGGACACUGUUUAUGAGCCGGCCGGGACUCUGUAGGCCGGAGGGCGUCAACCCGUAUAUAUAAGGUAACGACCCGCCGGCGGCUCAGGGGAGAGACAACCGAUCGAGAACCGGGCAAAGUGUAUCUCGCUCCCUGGUCAUCGAAACCUCAAGCAAUACCAACCCAACUAGACGUAGGCCUUCCUUCACUGCAAGGGGCUGAACUAGUAUAAACCUCGCGUGUCCUUUGUCCCGAUUAACCCCUUUAAGCUUCCUAGUUGCGAUGGCUCCACGAUUAAGUCCUUGCAAGAGGACAUCUGCCGUGACAAUUCCACGACACAUGGACUGAACAUUAGUCAUAAAGAACUCAUUUACUUAUUGCAAAAAUCUAUUAGUCAUCGAAACAAAGUACUACGCGCAUGCUCCUAGGGGGAUAGUUUGGUAGGAAAAGACCAUCGCUCGUCCCCGACCACCACUCAUAAGGAAGACAAUCAAAAAAUAUCUCAUGCUCCAACUUCUUUACAUAACGGUUCACCAUACGUGCAUGCUACGGGACUCACAAACCUUAACACAAGUAUUUAUCAAAUUCACAACUACUCACUAGCAUGACUCUAAUAUCACCAUAAUUAUAUCUCAAAACAAUCAUAAGGAAUCAAACUUCUCAUAGCAUUCAAUGCACUUUAUAUGAAAGUUUUAUAUCCCUUUUGGAUGCCUAUCAUAUUAGGACUAUAUUUAUAACCAAAGCAAAUUACCAUACUAUUUAGAGACUCUCAAAAUAAUAUAAAUGGAGCAUGAGAGUUCAUCAAUUUCUAUAAAAUAAAGCUACCGCCGUGCUCUAAAAAGAUAUAAGUGAAGCAGUAGAGCAAAAUUGCCUAGCUCAAAAGAUAUAAGUGAAGCACAUAGAGUAUUCUAAUAAAUCACGAUUCAUGCGUGUCUCUCUCCAAAGGUGUGUACAACAAGGAUGAUUAUGGCAUACUAAAAAUCAAAGACUCAAAUCAUACAAGAUGCUCCAAGCAAAAUACAUAUCAUGUGGUGAAUAAAAAUAUAGCCACAAGUAAAGUUACCGAUAGACAAAGACGAAAGAGGGGAUGCCUUCCGGGGCAUCCCAAGCUUAGGCUCUUGGUUAUCCUUGAAUAUUAACUUGGGGUACCUUGGGCAUCCCAACCUUAGGCUCUUGCCACUCCUUAUUCCAUAGUCCAUCAAAUCCUUACCUAAAACUUGAAAACUUCACAACACAAAACUCAAUAGAAAAUCUCAUUAGCUCCAUUAGUAUACGAAAAUAAAUCACCACUUUUAGGACUGUUGUGAACUCAUUCUUUAUUUAUAUCAGUGUAAUAUCUACUGUAUUCCAACUUUUCCAUGGUUCAUACCCCCCGAUACUAGCCGUAGAUUCAUCGAAAUAAGCAAGCAACACAUAGAAAAUAGAACCGGUCAAAAACAGAACAGUCUGUAGCAAUUUGGAGAUUUCGGAUACUUCUGUAACUCCAACAAUUCUGAAAAAUAGGAAAAUAUAAGAAAUUUGUUUAUUAAUCUAUUGCAAAAAUAAUCAGUAUUUUAUCGCGCUUCUGCUAAAAUUGAAAAUUAAUUUCCUGGGCGCAAAUGUUUCUGUUUUCAGCAAGAUCAAAUCAACUAUCACCGUAAGCUAUCCCAAAGGUCUUACUUGCACAAACACUAAUUAAAACACAAAAGCACAUCUAACUAGAGUCUAGAUGAAUUAUUUAAUGCAAAAUAGAACCUAAAAAAGAAAAAAGAAAAAUAAAAUUGGGUUGCCUCCCAACAAGCGCUAUUGUUUAAUGCCCUUAGCUAGGCAUAAAACACGAAUAGAUCUAGGUAUUCUCAUCUUCGGCAUGCAAUCCAUAAGUGUCUCUUAUAAUAGAUUCAUAAGGAAAUUUAUUUUUCUUUCUUGGAAAUUGUUCCAUGCCUUUCCUUAAUGGAAAUUGAAAUCUAAUGUUUCCUUCUUUCAUAUCAAUAAUUGCACCAAUCGUUCUAAGGAAAGGUCUACCAAGAAUAAUAGGACACGUAGGAUUGCAAUCUAUAUCAAGAACAAUGAAAUCUACGGGCACAUACUUACUAUUUGCAACAAUAAGAACAUCAUUAAUCCUUACCAUAGGUUUCUUAAUAGUGGAAUCCACAAUAUGCAAAUUUAAAGAACAAUCAUCAAAUUCACGAAAACCUAACACAUCACAUAAUGUUUUUGGAAUCAUGGAAAUGCUAGCACCCAGAUCACACAAAGCAUAACACUCAUAAUAUUUAAUCUUAAUCUUAAUAGUAGGUUCGCACUCAUCAUAAAGUUUUCUAGGGAUAGAAACUUCCAAUUCAAGCUUUUCUUCAAAAGAUUGCAUCAUAGCAUCAACGAUAUGUUUAGUAAAAGCCUUCUUUUGAUUAUAAGCAUGAGGAGAAUUUAACAUGGAUUGCAACAAGGAAAUACAAUCUAUUAAAGAACAAUUAUCAUAAUUAAAUUCCUUGAAAUCCAAAAGAGUGGGUUCAUUGCUACCUAAAGUUUUGACCUCUGAAAUCCCACUUUUAUCAAUUUUUGCAUCAAGAUCUAAAAACUCUGAAUCAUUGCGAAGCCUUUUAACUAAAGUUGACUCAUCUCUAGUCCCAUCUUUAUCAAGAUUUAUAUUGGAAAACAAAGAUUCAAUAGGAGUCACAUCAAUCACUUUAAGAUCUUCAUCAUUAUUUAAAUAUUCUGGUUUAGCGGGCAUCUUAUUCACCAAGGUAGCUUAUUUAUCGGAGAUUUGGCCUACUAAAGUUUCAAGAUGAGCAAACGGUGAUCUCAAACCAUAAAAUUCCUUAGACAUACCAUCGAGCUCUUUAUUCAUGUAUUCCAUAAAAAAUUUCUGCUCCUUAAGCUCGUUUGUAAAGAAAUUAUUAUGCUCAAAUUGCAAAGACAUGAAGCUUCUAACGUUAAUUUUCAAUUUCUUCCAACCUCCUGAAGUGAAGGUCAACAUUUUUUGGUUGAGCCAUCGUGACAAAGCAAGCAACCCACCCCCAAGCACACAAAAAGCAAGCAAAGAAGAUGAAUGGAAGAGGGGUGAAGAAAAGGCAAAUCUUUUCGAAAAUCAUUUUAGAAGUGGGGGAGAGGAAAACAAGAGGCGAACGACGAAUAAUGUAAUGCAAGAGAUGAGAGUUUAUGAUGGGUGCUUGGUAUGUCUUGACUUGUGAUGCGGCUUGAAGCUACGUCGGUAUUUCCCCCAAAGAGGAAGGGCUGAUGCAGUACAACGAUGGUAGGUAUUUCCCUCAGUGAUGAAACCAAGGUUAUCGAACCAGUAGGAGAACCAAGCAACAAUACGUAAACGGUACCUACACACAAAUAACAAAUACUCGCAACCCAACAUAUUAAAGGGGCUGUCAAUCCUUUUCGGGUAACGGCGCCAGAAAUUGGCAAACGGACAUGAAUAAAUUGUAGUAGAUUGAUAGAUCGAAUGCCAAAUAAAAUAAAUAAGAAUAAAUUACAGUAAGGUAUUUUUGUAUUUUUGGUUUAAUAGAUCUGAAAAUGAGAGAAAAGGAAAAUAGACCGCAAAGGCAAAUAAUAUGAGAAAGAGACCUAGGGGCCAUAGGUUUCACUAGUGGCUUCUCUCGAGAAAAAUAGCAAACAGUGGGUAAACAAAUUACUGUUGGGGAAUUGAUAGAACUUCAAAUAAUCAUGACGAUAUCCAGGAAAUGAUCAUUAUAUAGGCACCACGUCCAAGAUUAGUAGACCGACUCCUGCCUGCAUCUACUACUAUUACUCCACACAUCGACCGAUAUCCAGCAUGCAUCUAGUGUAUUCAGUUCAUGGAGAAAUGGAGUAAUGCAAUAAGAAUGAUGACAUGAUGUAGACAAGAUCUAUUUAUGUAGAAAUAGACCCCAUCAUUUUAUCCUUUGUAGCAAUGAUACAUACGUGUCGGUUCCCCUUCUAUCACUAGGAUCAAGCACCAUAAGAUCGAACCCACUACAAAGCACCUCUUCCCAUUGAAAGAUAAAUAGAUCAAGUUGGCCAAACAAAACCGAAAUAUCAGAUAAGAAAUACAAGGCUAUAAGCCACUACUAGGGAAAACCCUAGCAGUAGCGUGGGUAUUUUGCGUAUCAGUAGCGCGGGAGGACGCACUAUUGAUAAGGCGCUACAGCUAUUCCUUAGUAGUAGCGCGUGCUACGCGCGCUGCUACUAAGACAUAUAGCAGCAGCGUUUCUUCGCUGCAGCGCUACUGCUAAUACAGCUAGUUGUAGCAUGUUUACUAUCCAUCGCUACUAGUAUUCUUUUUCUCAUUUUUUUAAUUUUUAGUGUAUUUAUACGCCAUUAUACAAAUUUUGGUACAAUACCAAUUAUGAGGUUGUUAUAUCAAUAUGUCCAUAACAGUGUGUCAAAUGAAGGUGGAUUAGGUUUAAGUGGAGGGAACAUGUGGUGCAUGUCAAAAGUAUACUACUAAACCAAACUUGAUCUAGUUUGGACUAGUAGUACUUUCGAUGUGCACCACAUGUUGCCUCCACUUGAAUCUAAUCCGCCAACACAAGCUAUUUAAUCAUCAUCAUAGUCAUUACCACAAACAGUAGCUAUUUAAUCAUCAUAAUCAUAGUGUAGCACACAUCAUCAUCUUCAAACUCAUUCUAGCUAGCUAAUCACCACCAAGCGCUGGACAUGUUUGCUUGAACGGAAAUAAGCUGUCAAUAGAAAUUAGUUGUCAACUAUUUCUGAAUAAACAAUAUCGAAGACAUAAAUAUGGUUGAGAAACUCACAUAAUGGUAUAACUAGAGGUGUCUGCACAUCGACCCAGAUGUCGAUACUACCUUCAAUAUCAUCUUCGGACGAAUAUCAGAGGUGAUAACCAUAUCAGGCUCAAAUGCAUCUUGCCAAGUUUUGCAUUCAAAACUGGUGUAGGUGUCUGCGUUGUAUAAUUUUGCGUGGAAAGUAUAACCAUGCUCGGUCUUCAAGUAAACUCUCUUUACCUUCAUACUAUUUUUCAUAGAACUGAAACCUAUCUUAUCCAAGACAAAAACUCUUGCAUGGCAGGGGAUACGCUAGUAGAAUAGUAAAAAAAAUUAAAUUAUAAGUUGAAGCAAAUGAAGCAGAUGUCAUGCUUAAUUACGAAAAAAAGACUUGUCGUUGUGACUUACUAUAUACACUUCAAAGUUCUCGUCCAGCUUGAUGCUGAAGCGCCUAUCAUCAUCUAGGAAGAUUCUGUCGCACAUGCCGCGCUCGUCUUCGCAGUAUUCGCAAAUACCGAAAUCCUUUUCGUCGUCAGACAUUUCCUAUGUUCAUAGUUGAAACAUUAAUUGAAAAUCGAUCGAAGGCAACUACCAGGAUACUCAACACACAAAUCCGGGGCACUCGAUAUUUCCUACAUAUUCUGGCACAAGUCAUGCCAAAAUUCAUAGAAAAAUCUGGCAUGACCUUUGCUAAAAUAGGACACAUCGAGCGCCUGAAAUUUGCUGGAACGGAAAUGAAUCAACACUCCGGCAAAACAUAGGCCGCUCGGAGGUGUAACCUACAAACAUGACUGGCCACUUGGGCAAGCACAUAUCCUAUUUGAGCAAGACAAGAUAUAAAUUUCAAAAUAUCUUAUGGGACUCAUAUUGACAUGAGCAUUCAAUAAUCAAAACCAAAUCGUAAAAUAAAUAAGUAUUCAAAUUAGCAUGCAUUCAAUAAGAAAAAGUAAAUCAUCUCAAGUGUCCGUACACAGUCGAAUAUUAUCACUAAUACACCCUGAAUAGUAUCAUACAUAUAAAAUCACUAAUACAACUAAAACCCUAGCGCACGACAGGUAUCGGCGCGGGCCGUGGACACCCACAGAGAAGGAACCAUCACAGGAUCAUAGCUCCAUUGAGAUCCCUGGAGAACCUGUGCUCCAACACAAACAAGUAGCGACAGACGUGCGCGUCCUCCUCACUGACACGGUGACGCACCACCUCCGCGGGGUCCUCGAGCCUCUGGACCAUCACUGGCCCACGCGACCGCAACCAAAGAAGGUUCGGGUCAACAACGGGCUGACUCCUCACCAACCUGCGCCCCCCGGUAGGUAGCGCCUCCCAGUACCACCCCGGCGGAGCCCAGUCCCGGACAUGGCCCAUCUGGUGACGCAGGUGUCCUCCGCUGACUCGAUGACGAGGAUGCGGGAUAGGCAUCAUCAACGUCGAUGCGGGAAUAAUUGCUUUAACUAAAAAGUAAACUAGUUUUAUUAAUUUUCAUACUAAAAAUAAAAUAGUUGUAUUAACUCAACUAGUUCAAUUAAGCACUUACUAUAAAUAAAAAUAAACUAGUUUUUACUAAAAAUAAACUAGUUCAACUAGUUAUAUUAAUUUUCUUACUAAUUCUAUUAAACACUUAGUAAAAAAUAGUAAAAAACUAGUUAGAUGAAAUCUAGAAUUUAACCCUAACUAAUUUGAUGAACUCUAGAAUUUAACCCUAACUAAUUUGAUGAACUCUAAAACUAAUUCUAUUUAACAACUACUGCCAUAAUUAGCAUCUAAUUUGAUGAACCCUAACUAAUUAGAUGAACUCUGNNNNNNNNNNNNNNNNNNNNNNNNNNNNNNNNNNNNNNNNNNNNNNNNNNNNNNNNNNNNNNNNNNNNNNNNNNNNNNNNNNNNNNNNNNNNNNNNNNNNNNNNNNNNNNNNNNNNNNNNNNNNNNNNNNNNNNNNNNNNNNNNNNNNNNNNNNNNNNNNNNNNNNNNNNNNNNNNNNNNNNNNNNNNNNNNNNNNNNNNNNNNNNNNNNNNNNNNNNNNNNNNNNNNNNNCUAGGCAGAUGUAGGGGAGGAGGAGGAGGAUGAGGGCAUGCUCACUUCGGGUGCCAGCGGAGUUAGGCAGAGGGGCACACGGCGUCGAGGUUGGGGACGGGGUCGGGGCACCGGGCGCACAGUGGAGGGCGGCGAUGUAGGGGGCGUCGAGGUCGGGGUCGGGGCAACGUUGAGGUCGGGGUCGGGGGCGGCGUCGAGGUCGGGGUCGGGGGCAGCACGGACGGUGUGCGGAGGGCGACGGGAGAGCGCGCGACGGCCGGGCGAUGAUGGCGGCGACAGCAGUUGAGGCACGCGUGUUCGAUUUUGGGGGGCAUUGGGAAGAAGAAAAUGGUUUUGGUUAAGUGCAAAGUAGCAGCAGGGCGUUCCACGGAAAGUGCUACUACUACAUUAGCUAUAGCGCAUGUCCAUAAAGCCCACUGCUGCUACGCAUUUCUCCUUUAUUUUUAUUUUUCAUUUAUUUUCAUUCACAUUUUAUUUUUUUCCUUCCCCUUUUUCUAUUUCUUUCAUUUUCAUUUACUUUUCUAUAUGUUUUUCAUUUUAUUUUCAUUUCCUUAGCAGUAGCGCUUCCUACGCGAAACACGCUGCUACAACAAUCUUAGCAGCAACACGCUUUCCUUAGGCACACUACUACUAUAGGAACCCCGGCGAGAAUUGUAAGGAGAAUUGUAGUAGUAGCGCCUGUACAAUUAGACGUGCUACUGCUAUGAUCUUAGCUGCAGCGCGUUUGAAAAAAUGCGCUACUGGUAAAUUGUAGUAGCGCUUCUUUUUGUCCCGUGCUACUGGUAAGUUUCUGUGUAUAAGGUUUUCCCUAGUAGUGAGCAAUCAUGCAUAUAAGAGAUCAAAGAAACUCAAAUAACUUUCAUGGAUAAAAAUAGAUAGAUCUGAUCAUAAACGCAAAGUUCAUUGGAUCCCAACAAACACACCACAAAACAGUUACAUCAUAUGGAUCUCCAAGAGACCAUUGUAUUGAGAAUCAAAUGAGAGAGAUGAAGCAAUCUAGCUACUAACUACAGACCCGAAGGUCUACAAAGAACUACUCACGCAUCAUCGGAGAGGCCCAAUGGAAGUGGUGAACCCCUCUGUGAUGGUGUGUAGAUUGGAUCUGGUGGUUCUGGACUCUGCGGUGGCUGGAAUUGAUUUUCGUCGACUCCCCUAGGGUUUCUGGAAUAUUGGGGUAUUUAUAGAGCAAAGAGGCGGUCCGGGGGGCACCCGAGGUGGGCACAACCCACCAGGGUACGCCUGGGCCCCCAGGCGUGCCCUGGUGGGUUGUGCUCCCCUUGGAGCACCCCUAGGCGCUUCUCCAGGCCAUUGGGUGUCUUUUGGUCCAAAAAAAUCAAUAAAAAAUUUCACUGCAUUUGGACUCCGUUUGGUAUUGAUUACCUGCGAUGUAAAAAACAUGCAAAAAACAACAACUGACACUUGGCACUAUGUUAAUAGGUUAGUACCAAAAAUGAUAUAAAAUGACUAUAAAAUUAUUAUAAAACAUCCAAGAUUGAUAAUAUAAUAGCAUGUAACAAUCAAAAAUUAUAGAUACGUUGGAGACGUAUCAACUUGGCGUAGAUCUCCCCGGCAACAGCGCCAGAAAUUCUUCCUGCUACCUCUUGAGCUUGCGUUGGUUUUUCCCUUCAAGAGGAAAGGGUGAUGCAGCAAAGUAGAGUAAGUAUUUCCCUCAGUUUGAGAACCAAGGUAUCAAUCUAGUAGGAGACAAUGAACAAGUCACCGAAUACCUGCACAAUCAAUCAACAACUUGCACCCAACGUGAUAAAGGGGUUGUCAAUCCCUUCAUGGUUACUUGCAAAAGUGAGAUCUGAUAGAGAUAGAUAAAUGGUAAAGUAAAUAUUUUUGGUAUUUUGGUUUAUAGAUCGGAAAGUAAAAGAUUACAAAGGAAGUAAAUUGGAAACUUAUAUGAUGGAAAAUAGACCCGGGGGCCUGAUACGUCUCCAUCGUAUCUACUUUUCCUAACAUUUUCCCUCUUGUUUUGGACUCUAAUUUGCACGAUUUGAAUGAAACUAACCCGGAUUGACGUUGUUUUCACCAGAACUACCAUAGUGUUGUUUUUGUGCAAAAAUAAAAGUUCUCAGAAUGAAAAGAAACUUUUUGAGGAUUUUUAUGCAAUAAAUGGGAAUUUCUGGAGCCAAGAACCAACGAAGGGGGGCACCUGGGUGGGCACAAGCCACUAGGGCUCCUCCCCUCCAGGCGCGCCCAGGUGGGUUGUCCUCGCCUGGUGGCCCCGCAACCUUGAAACCGACGCUAUAAAAUCACAUAUUUCCAGAAAAAAAUCAGGGAGAAAGAAUUAUCAUGUUCCACGAGAUGGAUCCAUCAUCACCUCCUGUUCUUUAUCGGGAGGCUAGAUCUGGAGUUUGUUUGGGGCUCCGGAGAGGGGGAUCUUCGAUCUUCGUCAUUACCAACCCUUCUCCAUCGCCAAUUCCAUGAUGCUCCCCACCGGGAGUGAGUAAUUCCUUCGUAGGCUCGCUGGUCGGUGAGGAGUUGGAUGAGAUUCAUCAUGUAAUCUAGUUCAUUUUGUUAGCGCUUGAUCCCUAGUAUCCACUAUGUUCUGAGAUUGAUGUUACUAUGACUUUUCCAUGCUUAAUGCUUGUCACUUUGGGCUUGGGUGCCAUGAUUUUAGAUCUAAACCGUUUAUGUUAUCACCAUUAUAUCUAUGUUCUAGAUCCGAUCUUGCAAGUUAUAGUCACCUACUACGUGUUAUGAUCUGGCAACCCCGGAGUGACAAUAGUCGGGACCACUCCCGGUGAUGAUCGUAGUUUGAGGAGUUCAUGUAUUCAUCGUGUGUUAAUGCUUUGUUCUGGUUCUCUAUUAAAAGGAGGCCUUAAUAUCCCUUAGUUUCCAAUAGGACCCCGCUGCCACGAGAGGGUAGGACAAAAGAUGUCAUGCAAGUUCUUUCCAUAAGCACGUAUGACUAUUUAUGGAAUACAUGCCUACAUUAUAUUUAUGAACCGGAGCUAGUGCCGUAUCGCCCUAGGUUAUAACUGUCACAUGAUGAAUAUCAUCCAACAAAUCAUCAAUCCAAUUCCUACAAAUUUCUCUUAUAUUAUUCUUGCUAAGUUACUACUGCUAUCGUUACUAUUGCACUUGCUACAAAAUUACUGCUAUCAUUGUUAUCGUUACUAUUGCUGCUACUACUAUUAUCAAAAUUAUCAUACUACUUUGCUACUGAUCACUUUGCUGCAGAUAAUUAAUCUCCAGGUGUGGUUGAAUUGACAACUCAGCUGCUAAUACUUACAAAUGUUCUUUGGCUCCCCUUCACUACAAGAAAUAUGUCAAAUUGCGACCACCACUAUUGGUCGCUGAAAGGGCAUUGUUUUUCAUUUGUGACCUUUUUGUGACCAAAAGCAGAUGGUCAAAAGCUGACAGUCGUAAACUGAAAUUAACGACCUUCUCUGUGAGAAGGCCGUGGAAGGCAACGACCAAAACAAAAGGUCAUUGAUUCUAUGACCUUCUGUUUUGGUCGCUAGCUGUCUGCCCAGGCUACGCCAGAUCUGACAUGGCAGCUGAUGUGGCAAAAUUGCAACCAAUUGAAUUGGUCGUUGCUAAGAUUCAGCCCGGUCCAAUUCGGUGUCUAUAUAGGCCAAGCCCAUUAAUUCAGCCCAUUUAUAUAUAAAAAAAAUUCUGCCAAUUUUUGUUAGCUACCUGGGCCUGGACCAACAAUUCGACCUUUUAUUUAUUUCUGGGCCGUGGCCUUUUAACAUUGUUUGGGCCAUUAUAUUUUGGAGCUGGUCUCACUUGUCAUCAUCUCACACAUUGGGCCCACUUGACAGAAAUUUCAAAACUGGUCAGAUUAUUUUCAUAAGUGGGUCCCACGAGUCAAGUUUCCAUUUCACACAUUUUCAAAAUCACAUACAUAAUCAAUAUUUUAGACAAAACAGUACAAAUGUAGUUCCUCAAAUAACAUUAAGUCUACUACAAUCUGUACAUAGUCUAUUACAACCCCAAUAUGCCUACUGUCACAAUAUUACAAUAUUUACAGUCUAUUACAGUCAAACAUAAGAGGCAACUCUUUGCUAAGUAUACGGCUUCAAAGUUCAAAUUUUGUAGACUUGGAGCUCCUGUAAAAGAGUGAACACAUAGGCUACCAGCAUUAGAGUCGCUAUUAUUCUUGGACUGUCGAAAAAUUAUAUAUUGAAAGAGAUCUCAUAGAAAUGUAGAUUUAUGGACCAAAUAUAUGAUAAAGCAACAGAUUCAGCCAACUUCAAAGACCUAGAUGUUUGUGAUGCAUCUUCAUAGGACCACAAGAACACUAGAUAUAGUACAAUAUGAUUCCAGGAGACCACAAGAGUAUCAAUCAGUAGCAGGUAUAUAGCUAGCAAACUACUACUAGACAUCAUCGACACUUGAACCAUAACAUGUCCAGCAAGGAAAUAAAAAAUGGGACAAGUGCUAAUUCUGGAUAACAUGUCUAGGAAGUCCAUCCAAUGGUUUCAACUACAUCCUAAUAAACUAGCGGCACUAUAAUACUACUAAUUACCAACAGUAAAUCAAAUAGCCAGAUGAAGCACCAGCACUUGAUCAUCAACACAACAAUCGGCAAGGACUCAAUCAUGGCGCAAAAAACAUCAAAAUCCUAACUAACACAUGAAACAGAGCAUGGUUGUAGCAUAGCAAAGGGAGGAGCUCACAGUGGUGGUUUGUGCAGCCGAUGUCGAAUAGCCUCCGUUCGUCGCUUGCGAGCACCAUGCACCUUGGUUAGCCAUGAAGCCCUUGUCUUCUGCUGCACGGAUGAAAUCCAAAGCAUCAUUGUUGCACAUGGAUAGGAGGAGUCAGAAAUUUUGAGGUCAAACUCCAGCCGCAUUGCUGUGUAUAAACUAGUAUAGAAUGAAGCACAUGAAGUUAGUACAUGCUACUAGAACAAUAUUAUGCCCAUCAAGAACACCAGAAUAAACGCAUUUCAGGCAUUCUAAUGUCUGGAGAUCUGCUUCCAGAAACCCACUAUGUCAAUCCCAAAACUAGACUGUAAAGUACUGGAUGAGAUAUCAACUACUCCUACUACUAAAGCAGGUGCAAGAUGUUGGUUAACAGCAUCAUAACUAGUUGAACCUAGCACCCAAUCAUCGAUCAAUCACCAAACAGUAUGAAGCAAAAACAAACAAGAGGGGGAGGAGUUUAUACCUGAUCUUCUUGAGCCUCUCAAGGUCAUCCCUGAGCUUCAUGUCGACGACGUUGGAGACGAACUGGCGCGGAUUGUGCACCACUUCCAUCAGAUGGUCCAUCUCCUCCGCGGAAAGCUCUCUAGCCCUGCACACCCCCAUAGAAGACAACCCAAAUUAUUUUUUGUAGAAAGAAGCAACAACUCAGACUAUCUACACAAAAAGCUAGCCCAAAUUUCUAAGCAUACUAGCACAGGCACUGGCACAACACAUAGAAUGAAGCACAUGAUGCUAGUACUUGCUACCCGGACAUUUCAAGCAAUCUAGUGUUUAUAACAAGGGUGCAACGCGAGCAAAAACUAGACAUGUAUAAAUCAUCUACAUGGUAAGAGAUAACUAAAGUAGCAUUUUGCUAAACAAGCUACCCCCUCAGUUAUGCUAUAGAAAACCAUAUUCAGUUUUGGGACGCGAACAAUUAAGAUCCUACAUAGUAAGAGAGCAGCAAAACUAGCAUUCCGCUACUAUCCGAGCAAGAAUACCAGCGGGUACAAUACUUGCAGCUUCAUCAACAGAAUCUAACUAAGUUACUGCACCAGGUACAGGAAAUUAGAAUUGAACUUUUUCAAUUGAUGAAAUUGUUUAGCCCCUCAGACUAAUAACAUGAGAUUUGUUGGCUAGACUGGUGAGACAAGCAAGAUAGAACAUCACACAACAAUAUUUUUCUGUGCCCGCAGCGAAAUAGUUAGGCAAAGUUGGGCAAGACUCCAAAUCUUUCUACCAAAAUGAGCAUUAUUCCACAUCCAUGUGCACCAACAUAGAAGAAAAAGUUGUGUGUGUGUGUAUUUAGAUGUGAAGAUAAAAUGAGAACAUCUGACUUCAAACAACAAAUAUUAAAACAUCAUCAGAUUGAAACAACAGAUGCCACAUAAUUUAGCUACAAAACUGGAUGAGGCGAAUUGCCGAAUUAUACAGCCAUAACAUUACUGUCACCAAGAUUCCUAUUCCACCAAGUCAUUCAAUAACUGAUAUAAUAGUCAUGCCAUUGUGAUGUUAACACCAGGACAUGACAUAAAACAGAGCUUAUUACAAAGGGAAAUAACUGAACCUGGACAUGGACACAUGAGACAAAUCAAGCAACAAUACUAAUCUAAAUUUUACAAGCACAUAUGUUCUCAAGAAGAAUUCACAAAGACCAUCAUAAACAAGAACAUAUGGAAAGGCGCUUGUGUAGCAGCGCUAGAGGAAAGGCGGUUGUCAGUAUACUACAUGGCGUUAGGUGUAAGCUGCCCAUGUGUAUAGAAACAAGAACAUAUGGAUCAAUAGGCAUUAGCAGCAGCAGAAAUUGACCCUAGCUAAUUAUCUUUCACAUACCUAGUAACAAAAUAAUAUGUGCAUUUGACAACACUAACAGUCAGUCCAGAAUAUGAUUCACAAUAAAGAAAAGAACAAUCUGUCCAAAAAAUCAUGUGCUAGAUUAGGAAGAAAGUGAACAUAGUGGGGUUGUCGGGGUUGAAAACUUAACAUGUACAAAUCAUCAGUUUACAAAGUAGGCUACUGCAUUACUGCUUGAAAUAAAGAGCAGCAGCUGCUAAUAAGCUAUGCCAUAUGACAAACGAACUACAAUUCACUGUGUAGGUAAGACUAAGUACCUACAAAUUAAAUGGCUAAGUACCAAGCUUCGGUUCUACAUCUCUACAUCUUCUAUAUUUACCAACCCACUUGCCCACAGACCGAUUUAAAGUUUUUGUAGCUUAGGGGUUAAAUCUAGGGGAGCAAAAGAAAUAGACACAUUUAAAAAUGCUAAGUACUUGUGGGGUUAGCACUACAAUUUUUGGUAAUGCAGAAAACAUGAGAGCCUUUGUAAGCUUUGAUGAGUUGGAUUAGGAAGAAAAUUAUGAUCGAUAACAAGGUAUACGAUAUGAAAAAUCAACUAGACUUCACUUUGUAGGUACUACCAAGUAACAACAACCCAAAUUCCCAUCCCCACCCCUGCCCUCACAACCGUAAUAACUUCCUCCCCUACAAAAGCCUCCCAAGAAGCCAACCAAGGUCAGCUCAGCACAUAACGCGACACCAUAGAGCAAUAGCCAUAGCCAGCAGCAAUGGAGAUAGAGUCAGUCAAGUGUGAGUAUUGUGGCCUGAGGGAGGACUGCACCGAGGACUACAUUCCGGCGAUUAUGUAUCCCUCGACGGAUCUGCAUCCACAAGGCGAGGGGAGAGAAGGGGUUAGUUGCAGAGAGGGGGAAUUUAGAUAGGUAAAUCGAAACAGAGAUAUAGAGGAGGCCGACGAACCCUGGCCAGGAGCUGGAGUGAGAGCACCCCAUUGAUAUUGGUGGCUUCCAAGACACCUCUAUCGCCUGCUCCACCAUGCCACAACCGAGCCACAUCAGAACCCUAGCCGUCACCGGAGCAAGAAGCAAACCUAGACAUCGAGAUCUACAAGGGAGACAAUAAGAGGUGACGAAGAGAGUGAGGGAUGUGACGAAGAGGAGUGGAGACACUCACCUGAGUCACCGGAGCCACAACGGCGACGUGCUAGCCACAACCCUAGCCGCUGGGAAGGGUUGCGCUUGGCUGCUGGAGGAAGCACACACCGGAUCUGGCCCGAUGGGAGGAAGGAGAGGAUGGGGGAGGUCACAGUGGUGUGUUGGGCGCGCCGGAGGAUGCCGGCAUCGCGCGGGAUCUGGCCCACCGGUGGUGGGAUCGGGCACUGUUGGUGGUGGUGACGAGAAUUGGUGCGAGGGAGAGGGAGGCACGACGUGGGAUCAGGCGUUGUUGGUGGCUGUUGAUGAAAGCAACGUCGGAGAUGCCCCCGACGCCAGCGGCGGCUCCCGGGAGGGAGGCCGCGGAGGAGGUGGAGGAGGAGCGGUGGUGGGAGGGGCAGACGCCGCCGGGGAGGUAGAGCCCGUGCUCCUCCCGACGUGCUGCCUCCCAUAGACCAGGCUCCCUGCCCGCAGACGGUUCAUGGCGGGAUCGCCGAAGCUGGGAGGGGUCUGGGCAAAGGACGGCAGCGGAUUGGGUUGGGCUACAGCGGCGUAUUGAGAUAUGAGGGAGGGAGAGGGUUAGGGUUGGAGAGAAGGGGGCUAUGUGGGGUAGGCGAGCACGCGGCGGGAACCGCCCCGGAGCACGGCGGCGGCGUCAGGGAGCAAAGGGGGCAGUGGUCAUCGUUCAUCGGAGAGGAGUAGGGGGGCGGUGGAGUUGAUGGGGAGGCGAGAAAGAAAGAAAGGAGGCAGGGGGGAUGGAAAACGGGGGAGAACAGAGCUUCAGUUUCGCCUCACGUGGGGUUGGUGGGGGAGGCGAGGGAUGAGGGCUGCUGUUGGAUCCAGGAGGAUCCAACAGUGUUUCGUGCAUGAUCCGCGUGUCUUGUCCACGGACAAAUCAGAAAGCAAUACAACAUUAUGACCAACUAAAUUGGUCGUGAUAGAUUUAAAAAUAAGAUGUUAAAAUCAUGUAACCUAUUUUGUGAUCUCAGAAAUUAAAAAAAAAACAAAAAACAUUCUCAUUGUGUCACCAAUUGUGAACUAGCUUUCAGGAAAAUAACAAACAUGAAAUGGCAAACAAUGUUGCCUAAGGGAGUUUCAUUUUCUUUGGACGAAAAAAAAUCAUUUUCCAUUUUCCGAGUGCCCAAAAUGAGUUUAUUUGAAGGACCUACCAAAUAAUUGUUGCAAAAUUGGACCAAAUCAAUUUUCUAAAAUACUAGGCCAUAUUUAAUGCACAAUUGACCAAAUGGUUGGGUGUCAAAAGUUUUGAUCCACCUCUCGUGAAAAAACAAAUUUCUGCCGAUUCAGUUGGAAGCGGGUCAAAUUUGAACUGCAGCUGCCUCAUAGUUUGCUCUUUAUUUUUCCCAAAAAUCAUUUUUAGGUACAAAAGUCUAUUUAAUCACACCCGCUUUCCAGAUGUUAUGAAUACCUGGCAGAGCAAAGCUGAUGACAACUCGAUAGUUCAGUGUGCCAUGCUAUAUAGCUUAGAACUGGGACUUGAACAACGUUUUGAACGUCAUCGAGCAUAUGAGAUGUUUCAGGAGUUGAAGUUAAUAUUUCAAGCAAAUGCCAGGAUUGAGAGAUAUGAAGUCUCCAAUAAGUUCUAGAGCUGCAAAAUGGAGAAGAAUAGUUCUGUCAGUGAACACAUACUCAGAAUGUCUGGGUACCACAAUCACUUGACUCAGCUGGGGUUAAUCUUCCAGUUGAUAGUGUCAUUGACAGAGUUCUUCAAUCACUGCCACCGAGCUACAAAAGCUUCGCGAUGAACUAUAAUAUGCAAGGGAUGGAUAAGACAAUUCCCGGGCUCUUCGCGAUGCUAAAGGCUGUGGAGGUAGAAAUCAAGAAAGAGCAUCAAGUGUUGAUGGUCAAUAGGACCACCAGUUUCAAGAAGAAGGGCAAAGGGAAGAAUGGGAAAUUCAAGAAGAAUGGCAAGAAUGUUUCUGCUCAAGUGAAGAAGCCCAAGUCUGGGCCUAAGCCUAAGACUGAGUGCUUCUACUAUAAAGGGACUGGUCACUAGAAGCGGAACUGCCCCAAGUGUUUGGCGGAUAAGAAGGAUGGCAAAGUGAAAGGUAUAUUUGAUAUACAUGUUAUUGAUGUGUACCUUACCAAUUCUCGUAGUAGCGCCUGCGUAUUUGAUUCUAGUUCUGUUGCUAAUAUUUGCAACUCGAAACAGGGGCUAUGGAUUAAGCGAAGAUUUGCUAAGGACGAGGUGACGAUGCGUGUGGGAAAUGGUUCCAAAGUCGAUGUGAUCACCAUCGGCACGCUAUCUCUACAUAUACCUUCGGUAUUAGUUUUAGACCCGAAUAAUUGUUAUUUGGUGCCAGCGUUAAGCAUGAACAUUAUAUCUGGAUCUUGUUUGAUGCGAGACAGUUAUUCAUUUAAAUCAGAGAAUAAUGGUUGUUCUAUUUAUAUGAGUAAUACCUUUUAUGGUCAUGCACCCUUGAUGAGUGGUCUAUUUUUACUAAAUCUUGAUAGUAGUGAUACACAUAUUCAUAGUAGUGAAGCCAAAAGAUAUAAGUUUAAUAAUGAUAGUGCAACUUAUUUGUGGCACUGCCGUUUAGGUCAUAUUGGUGUAAAGCGCAGGAAGAAACUCGAUGCUGAUGGGCUUUUGGAAUCACUUGAUGCUUGCGAGCCAUGCCUCAUGGGCAAGAUGACUAAGGCUCUGUUCUCUAGAACAAUGGAACGAGCAACAUAUUUAUUGGAAAUAAUAGAUAUUGAUGUAUGCGGUCCGAUGAGUGUUGAUGCUCAUGGCGGGUAUCGUUAUUUUCUGACCUCUUCACAGAUGAUUUGAGCAGAUAUGGGUAUGUCUACUUGAUGAAACAUAAGUCUAAAACAUUUGAAAAGUUCAAAGAUUUUCAGAAUGAAGAGGAAAAUCAUCGUACCAAGAAAAUUAAGUUUCUACGAUCUGAUCAUGGAGGUGAAUAUUUGAGUUAUGAGUUUGGUCUUCAUUUGAAACAAUGCAGAAUAGUUUCACAACUCACGCCACCUGGAACACCACAGCGUAAUGGUGUGUCCGAACAUCAUAACCGCACUUUAUUAGAUAUGGUGCAAUCAAUGAUGUCUCUUACUGGUUUACCGCUAUCGUUUUGGGGUAAUGCUUUAGAGACAGCUGCAUUCACGUUAAAUAGGGCACCAUCGAAAUCCCUUGAGACGAUACCAUAUGAACUGUGGUUUAGCAAGAAACCCAAGUUGUCGUUUCUUAAAGUUUGGGGCUGCGAUGCUUAUGUGAAAAAGCAUCAACCUGAUAAGCUUGAACCCAAAUCGGAGAAAUGUGUCUUCAUAGGAUACCAAAAGGAGACUGUUGGGUACACCUUCUAUCACAGAUCCGAAGGCAAGAUAUUCUAAAAAUGGACCCUUUCUAGAGAAGGAGUUUCUCUCGAAAGAAUUGAGUGGGAGGAAAGUAGAACUUGAUGAGGUAAUUGUACCUUCUCCCUUAUUGGAAAGUAGUUCACCACAGAAAUCAGUUCCAAUGAUUCCUAUGCCAAUUAGUGAGGAAGCUAAUGAUGAUGAUCAUGAAACUUCUGAUCAAGUAACUACCGAACCUCGUAGGUCAACCAGAGUAAGAUCCGCACCAGAGUGGUACGGUAAUCCUAUUUUGGAGGUCAUGUUACUUGACCAUGACGAACCUACGAACUAUGAGGAAGCGAUGAUGAGCCCAGAUUCCGCGAAAUGGCUUGAGGCCAUGAAAUAUGAGAUGGGAUCCAUGUAUGAGAACAAAGUAUGGACUUUGGUUGACUUGCCCGAUGAUUGGCAAGCCAUAGAGAAUAAAUGUAUCUUCAAGAAGAAGACUGACGCUGACGGUAAUGUUACUAUCUACAAAGCUCGACUUGUCGUGAAAGGUUUUCAAUAAGUUCAAGGAGUUGACUACGAUGAGGCCUUAUCCCCCGUAGCAAUGCUUAAGUCCGUCUGAAUCAUGUUAGCAAUUGCCGCAUUUUAUGAUUAUGAAAUUUGGCAAAUGGAUGUCAAAACUUCAUUCCUUAAUGGAUAUCUUAAAGAAGAGUUGUAUAUGAUGCAAGCAUAAGGUUUUGUCGAUUUAAAAGGUGCUAACAAAGUGUGUAAGCUCCAGCGAUCCAUUUAUGGACUAGUGCAAGCAUCUCGGAGUUGGAAUAUACGCUUUGAUAGUGUGAUCAAAGCAUAUGGUUUUAUACAGACUUUUGGAGAAGCCUGUAUUUACAAGAAAGUGAGUGGGAGCUCUGUAGCAUUUUUGAUAUUAUAUGUGGAUGACAUAUUGUUGAUUGGAAAUGAUACUAAAUUUCUGAAUAGCAUAAAAGGAUACUUGAAUAAGAAUUUUUCAAUGAAAGACCUCGGUGAAGCUGCGUAUAUAUUGGGCAUCAAGAUCUAUUGAGAUAAAUCAAGACGCUUAAUUGGACUUUCACAAAGCACAUACCUUGAUAAAGUUUGGAAGAAGUUCAAAAUGGAUCAAACAAAGAGAGGGUUCUUUCCUAUGUUACAAGGUGCGAAAUUGAGUCAGAGUCAAUGCCCGACCACUUCAGAAGAUAGAGUGAAAAUGAAAGUCAUUCCCUAUGCUUCAGCCAUAGGUUCUAUCAUGUAUGCAAUGCUAUGUACCAGACCUGAUGUAUGCCUUGCUAUUAGUUUAGCAGGGAGGUACCAAAGUAAUCCAGGAGUGGAUCACUGGACAACGGUCAAGAACAUCCUGAAAUACCUGAAAAGGACUAAGGAUAUGUUUCUCGUUUAUGGAGGUGAAAAAGAGCUUGUCAUAAAUGGUUACGUCGAUGCAAGCUUUGACACUGAUCCGGAUGACUCUAAGUCACAAACCGGAUACGUAUUUUUAUUGAAUGGUGAAGCUGUCAGUUGAUGCAGUUCUAAACAGAGCGUCGUGGCAGGAUCUAUGUGUGAAGCUGAAUACAUAGCUUCUUCGAAAACAGCAAAUGAAGGAGUCUGGAUGAAGGAGUUCAUAUCCAAUCUAGGUGUAAUAACUAGUGCAUCGGCUCCAAUGAAAAUCUUUUGUGACAAUACUAGUGCAAUUGCCUUGGCAAAGGAAUCAGAUUUCACAAGAGAACCAAGCACAUCAAGAGACGCUUCAAUUCCAUCGGCGAUCAAGUCAAGGAAGGAGACAUAGAUAUUUGCAAGAUACAUACGGAUAUGAAUGUUGUAGACCCGUUGACUAAGCCUCUCUCACAAGCAAAACAUGAUCAGCACCAAGACUCCAUGGGUGUUAGAAUCAUUACAACAUAAUCUAGAUUACUGACUCUAGUGCAAGUGGGAGACUGAAGGAAAUAUGCCCUAGAGGCAAUAAUAAAGUUAUUAUUUAUAUUUAUUUAUAUCAUGAUAAAUGUUUAUUAUUCAUGCUAGAAUUAUAUUAACCAGAAACUUAGUACAUGUGUGAAUACAUAGACAAAACAGAGUGUCACUAGUAUGCCUCUACUUGACUAGCUCAUUAAUCAAAGAUGGUUAAGUUUCCUAGCCAUAGACAUGAGUUGUCAUUUGAUGAAUGAGAUCACAUCAUUAGAGAAUGAUGUGAUUGACAUGACCUAUCCGUUAUCUUAGCACUUUGAUCAUCUAGUUUAUUGCUAUUGCUUUCUCCAUAACUUAUACAUGUUCCUAUGACUAUGAGAUUAUGCAACUCCCGAAUACCGGAGGAACACUUAGUGUGCUAUCAAACAUCACAACGUAAUUGGGUGAUUAUAAAUAUGCUCUAUAGGUGUCUCCGAUGAUGUUUGUUGAGUUGGCAUAGAUCAAGAUUAGGAUUUGUCACUCCGAUUGUCGGAGAGGUAUCUCUGGGCCCUCUCAGUAAUGCACAUCACUAUAAGCCUUGCAAGCAAUGUGACUAAUGAGUUAGUUAUGGGAUGUUGCAUAAUGGAACAAGUAAAGAGACUUGCCGGUAACGAGAUUGAACUAGGUAUGUUGAUACCGACGAUCGAAUCUCGGGCAAGUAACAUACCGACGACAAAGAGAACAAGGUAUGUUGUUAUGCGGUUUGACCGAUAAAGACCUUCGUAAAUAUGUAGGAACCAAUAUGAGCAUCCAGGUUCCGCUAUUGGUUAUUGACCAGAGAUGAGUCUCGGUCAUGUCUACAUUGUUCUCGAACCCAUAGGGUCCGCACGCUUAAUGUUCAAUGACGAUAUGUAUUGUGAGUUAUGUGAUUUGAUGUACCGAAGGUUGUUCGGAGUCCCAGAUGUGAUCACGGACAUGACGAGGAGUUUCGAAAUGGUCGAUACAUGAAGAUUGAUAUAUUGGAAGGUUAUGUUGGACACCGGAAAGGUUUCGGAUAGGUUCGGGCAUUUUCCGGAGUACCAAGGGGUUACCGGAACACCCGGGGGAUUAAUGGGCCUUCAUGGGCUUUAAUGGAAGAGAGAGGAGGCGGCCAAGAGGAGGGGCGCGCCCCCCAAGCCCAAUCUGAAUUGGGGUGGGGGCGGCUGAUACGUCUCCGUCGUAUCUAUAAUUUUUGAUUGUUUCAUGCCAAUAUUCUACAAAUUCCAUAUACUUUUGGCAACUUUUUAUACUAUUUUUGGGACUAACAUAUUGAUCGAGUGCCCAGUGCCAGUUCCUAUUUAUUGCAUGUUUUUUGUUUCGCAGAAUAUCCAUAUCAAACGGAGUCCAAACGGGAUGAAAAUAGACACAAAUUAUUUUUGGAAUAUUCGGAGAAUAUGGGACGAAAAAUCCACGCGAGACAGUUCCCGAGGGGGCAUGAGGCAGGGGGGCGCGCCCCACCCCCUUGGGAGCGCCCCUGACCCUCAUGGGCCCCCCGUAAGGCGGUUAAUGCUAUUCUUUUUCCGCAAGAAAGCUAAUUUUCAGGAAAAAAAUCUCGGCAAAGAUUUCUGUCCAAUCGGAGUUAAGGAUCUCCAUANNNNNNNNNNNNNNNNNNNNNNNNNNNNNNNNNNNNNNNNNNNNNNNNNNNNNNNNNNNNNNNNNNNNNNNNNNNNNNNNNNNNNNNNNNNNNNNNNNNNNNNNNNNNNNNNNNNNNNNNNNNNNNNNNNNNNNNNNNNNNNNNNNNNNNNNNNNNNNNNNNNNNNNNNNNNNNNNNNNNNNNNNNNNNNNNNNNNNNNNNNNNNNNNNNNNNNNNNNNNNNNNNNNNNNNNNNNNNNNNNNNNNNNNNNNNNNNNNNNNNNNNNNNNNNNNNNNNNNNNNNNNNNNNNNNNNNNNNNNNNNNNNNNNNNNNNNNNNNNNNNNNNNNNNNNNNNNNNNNNNNNNNNNNNNNNNNNNNNNNNNNNNNNNNNNNNNNNNNNNNNNNNNNNNNNNNNNNNNNNNNNNNNNNNNNNNNNNNNNNNNNNNNNNNNNNNNNNNNNNNNNNNNNNNNNNNNNAGGGGCUCUCGCCCCUCCCACGCCAUGGAGACCAAGGACCAGAGGGGAAACCCUUCUCCCAUAUAGGGAGAAGGUCAAGUAAGAAGAAGAAGAAGAAGAAGGGGGGCUCUCUCCCCCUCUCUUCCGGUGGCGCCGGAACGCCGCCGGGGCCAUCAUCAUCACCGCAAUCUACACCAACAACUUCACCGCCAUCAUCACCAACUUUCCCCCCUCUAUGGAGCGGUGUAACCCCUCUUUUACCUGAUCUAAUCUCUACUUAAACAUGGUGCUCAACGCUAUAUAUUAUUUCCCAAUGAUGUAUGGCUAUCCUCUGAUGUUUGAGUAGAUCCGUUUUGUCCUAUGGGUUAAUUGAUGACCGUGAUUGGUUUGAGUUGCAUGUUUUAUUAUUGGUGUUGUCCUAUGGUGCUCUCCGUGUCGCGCAAGUGUGAGGGAUCCCCGCUGUAGGGUUUGCAAUAUGUUCAUGAUUUGCUUAUGGUGGGUGGCGUGAGUGACAGAAGCACAAACCCGAGUAAGUUGGUUGUUUGCAUAUGGGAAUAAAGAGGACUUGAUACUUUAAUGCUAUGGUUGGGUUUUACCUUAAUGAUCUUUAGUAGUUGCAGAUGCUUGCUAGAGUUCCAAUCAUAAGUGCAUAUGAUCCAAGAAGAGAAAGUAUGUUAGAUUAUGCCUCUCCCUCAAAUAAAAUUGCAAUAGUGAUUACCGGUCUAGUUAUCGCUUGCCUAGGGACAAAUAACUUUCUUGUGUGACAACAAGCUCUCUAUUAAACCUAACUUAGUUGUGUCUUUAUCUAAACAGCCCCUACUUUUUAUUUAUGCGCUCUUUAUUAUCUUGCAAACCUAUCCAACAACACCUACAAAGUACUUCUAGUUUCAUACUUGUUCUAGGUAAAGCGAAUGUUAAGCGUGUGUAGAGUUGUAUCGGUGGUCAAUAGAACUUGAGGGAAUAUUUGUUCUACCUUUAGCUCCUCGUUGGGUUCGACACUCUUACUUAUCGAAAGAGGCUACAAUUGACCCCCCUAUACUUGUGGGUUAUCAAGACCUUUUUCUGGCGCCGUUGCCGGGGAGUUAUAGCAUGGGGUGAAUAUUCUCGUGUGUGCUUGUUUGCUUUAUCACUAAGUAGUUUUUAUUUUGUGCUCUUGUUUUCUAUCUUUAGUUAUGGGUAGGAAACACAAAAUACCAAAAAAACAAUUGUACCUACUACACCAAUGGUUGAAGAAACACUCAAAAUCUAUCACACUCCUGAAGAUUUUUACUUGGAUCAUCUUCGAUCCCUAUGUGCUCAUGCUGAAACCCCAACUAGCUUGUUGAGGGCAAAUCUUUAGAUGAGCAUGCUUGUUAUGUGCGACACCGCUUAUCUCAAAAAGGAAAACUUUUACUGGAUCAAAUUCAUCGUUUGCAGUGCUAUGCUUGGAAUUUAUGUGAAAUAUAUGAUGUUACUUAUUGUUCUGAAAACCCUAAGAAACAUCUUCCCUACCAAUGUGAGUUUAGUGAUAAUGGAAUCGUAUCUUCAUAUGCUAAGGGUGUUUAUAAUUACUAUAAUGUUCAACAAAUUGAAGAAUUUGUUGCUUUUAAGGGUGCUUAUGAAAUUGCUUCUUUGAUUGAAACGUAUGAUGCUACUCUUUACAAAUCUGAAAAUUUUGCCAUACUUAAAUAUUGUUAUGAUAAUUAUGCUUCUAAUGCCUAUGUUAAACCAUAUAUUGAGGAUUCCUCCGUUGUCCAAGAAGAGACUAAUAUUUUGUAGGAGUCUGUGGAAGAAGGAAUUGAUGAAACUGUGGGCUCAUUGGAUGAAAAAGAUGAUGAGGAGAGCGAAGAACAAAAGUAGGAAGAGCAGAUUAGCUACCCGUGCCCACCUUAUAAUUAAUGAGAGUAACUCUUCAACUCAUACAUUGUUUAAUUUCCCUUCGUCCUUACCGAAGGAUAAUUGCUAUGAUGAUUGUUAUGAUCCCAUUGAUUCUUUUGAAAUAUCCCUUUUUGAUGAUGCUUGCUAUGCUUGUGGCCAAGAUGCCAAUAUGAAUUAUGCUUAUGGAGAUGAACUUGCUAUAGUUCCUUAUGUUAAACAUGAAAUUGUUGCUAUUUCACCCACACAUGAUAGUCCUAUUAUCUUUUUGAAUUCUCCCGACUACACUAUAUCGGAGAAGUUUACCCUUAUUAAGGAUUAUAUUGAUGGGUUGUGUUUUACUAUUACACAUGAUGAUUUUGAUGAAUAAAAUAUGCAUGUGCUUUCUGCUCCUACUUGCAAUUAUUAUGAGAUAGGAACUAUAUCUCCACCUCUCUAUGUUUCCAACACGAUAAAAUUGCAAGAAACUGUUCAUACUAUGCAUCGGCCUUUACUUUGUGUGCAUGAAUUGUUCUUUUAUGACAUGCCGAUGCAUAGGAAGAGAGUGAGACUUCGUCAUUACAUGAUAUAUGUUACCUUGUGCUCACUACUAAAUUACAAAUUAUUGUUAAUUAAAAUUGGCUUUGAUAUACCUUGGGAUCCGGGUGGAUCCAUUACUUGAGCACUAUAUGCCUAGCUUAAUGGCUUUAAAGAAAGCGCUGCCAGGGAGACAACCCGGAAGUUUUAGAGAGUAAUUUAUUUCUGUUUUGUUCUUUUAUAAAGUUAAAAAAAAUAAAAAUAAUGUGCCAAGUUUUGCCUUUAGGAUGUUUUAGAUGCUUGGUGGUUUGUACGGUGCAUGACAGAAACUUUGUCUGUAAUGCGCGAUUUUUUACAUUUUUUACUGGAAUGUCAAAUGGUUCUGAUUCUUUUUGAACUGUCUUUCUGUACAAAUUUUUUAUUUUUCCUAAUUUUGGUAGAAUUUUUGGAGUACCAUAGGUAUGGUGAAUGUUCAGAUUAUUACAGACCGUUCUGUUUUAGACAGAUUCUGUUUUUGAUGCAUAGUUUGCUUGUUUCGAUGAAACUAUCGAUUUAUAUCAGUGGCUUAAGCCAUGGAAAAGUUAUAUUAUAGUAGCUACAAUGCUAAAACAAAAUAUGAAUUGGUUUGCAACAGUACUGAGAGUAGUGAUUUGCUUUAUUAUACUAACGGAUCUUACCGAGUUUUCUGUUGAAGUUUUGUGUGGAUGAAGUGUUCGAUGAUCGAGAAGGUCUCAAUGUGAAAAGAAGGAAGAGAGGCAAGAGCUCAAGCUUGGGGAUGCCCGAGGCACCCCAAGUAAAUAUUCAAGCAGACUCAAGCGUCUAAGCUUGGGGAUGCCUCGGAAGGCAUCCCCUCUUUCUUCAACAAGUAUCAGUAUGUUUUCGGAUUCAUUUCAUUCAUGUGAUAUGUGCAGAUCUUGGAGCGUAUUUUGCAUUUAGUUUUCAUUUUUCUUUUAUGCACCAUGCUGGUAUGAGAUAGUCCCUGGUUGAUUUAUAGAAUGCUCUAUGCACUUCACUUAUAUCUUUUGAGUAUGGCUUUAUAGAAUGCUUCAUGUGCUUCACUUAUAUCAUUUGAAGUUUGGAUUGCCUGUUUCUCUUUAAAUAGAAAACCGCCAUUUGUAGAAUGCUCUUUUGCUUCGCUUAUAUUUGUUAGAGCAUGGGCAUAUCUUCUGUAGAAAGAUUUAAACUCUCUUGCUUCCCUUAUAUCUAUUUAGAGAGAUGACAGGAAUUGGUCAUUCACAUGGUUAGUCAUAAAAUCCUACAUAAAACUUGUAAAUCACUGAAUAUAAUAUGUUUGAUUCCUUGCAAUAGUUUUGCGAUAUAAAGAUGGUGAUAUUAGAGUCAUGCUAGUGGGUAGUUGUGGAUUGUAGAAAUACUUGUGUUGAAGUUUGUUAUUCCCGUAGCAUGCAAGUAUGGUGAAGCGUUAUGUGAUGAAGUCGGAGCAUGAUUUAUUUACUGAUUGUCUUCCUUAUGAGUGGCGGCCGGGGACGAGCGAUGGUCUUUUCCUACCAAUCUAUCCCCCUAGGAGCAUGCGUGUAGUACUUUGUUUCGAUAGCUAAUAGACUUUUGCAAUAAGUAUGUGAGUUCUUUAUGACUAAUGUUGAGUCCAUGGAUUAUACACACUCUCACCCUUCCAUCAUUGCUAGCCUCUCUAGUAUCGCGCGACUUUUGCUAGUUGUCGGGGGUUUGGUGCGACAUAUGCCAAAGGAUGGCUUAUCAUGGUGGGGGCGAGUAGAACGUCGUUGGUGCCUGGAAACGGGAUGAGGCGAAGACAUGCACGCCGGCGAAUCUUACCCAGCUUCAGGGCUCUCCGAGGAGAUAAUACCCCUACUGCUGCUCUGCGGGGUCUCCGCAUGAUCACUAUGGCAAGGUGUUUACACGGUUGCUCCUUGAGAUAUUUCUAGGAGGUAGGAGAGGGCAAGUCUAGCACUCUCCCUUCUAUAUGAUCUGGUCUAGAGCUAAUGGGUUCCAACCCUUUGCAUGGGUGCCCUGGGGGUUUAUAUAGGCCAACCCCCCAGGGGUACAAUGGUAAUCCGGCUGGACGUGGGCUCAGCCGUCAGCUCCUUCGGCCUCCGUCUUCUCUGCCGACCACUGGGGCCCGCCAGCUGGCGGGCCCCGCUAACUGGCCUGGUACAGAGCCGACAGGCCACGUCCUCCGUGGGCGGGUCUUACCGGCUGCUAGUUACUGUAGUCGUGCUUCUGAUGACGCGGGGUUGAUCAUGGGGUCGUGGCAACAGCCCCGCCGCCUGGUGGGCGAUCACUAUUGCCACUCUCCAUCACAUCUUGAUUAAUGGUGCGUGGGCCCUGGGGGAGGGCUCGGCCGACUCCCCCAGGCUAACUUCCGACGGGUCCGACUAGUGGUCCUCCUGCCGUCUCUUGGGGUCUCACCAUCUGGUGGGACCCGCCGCCUCUGAGCCGUACAGACAAGCUAUCGUGGGUGCAGGAUUCGGUCCUGCGAUGCUGAUGUCAGGGCCGGCACGGCAACAGUGCCACGCCGCACGGAGAUCUUCCGGGGUACGACGUGUUGUGGCCAUGCCCGCCCUUGGUAAGGGGCGGGAGUGGGCUUCACUGUAGCCACUCCCCUGCCCUAUCCCCCUUGACGAGGUCACGGGGUUUGUUGGAAUCGCAGGCCGACUCCCCAAAGCCAGCUUCUCCGGAAGUCGCCAGUCAGGAGUCGGCUUACCCUGCGGUCAUCCCUGGGACUCGGCCGCGAGUGGUCAGUCGGCCGUCUUGUCGUGGACUUCUUGAAGGCGGCUCUCCGUCCUGGGGUCUUGAGGGGCGCAGCCUACCCCGAUGUCUUGAAAGGUUCUGGGGCUCGGGUGGGCCUACCCGUGGCCCAUUACUCCGACUGUAGUCCCCGAAGCUGGUGAGGCGCCACGGACGAUUGGCCGAGAAGCCUUAGCAGUUUCUCUUUCCGGGUGCUCAACACAUGGUCUUUGAUUGACUUCUGCCGGGCCGACUAGAAGGAGUCGGAUUUUCUCAAUUCGGACUCACUUGAUUCCGACUCGCACAAUAUUUCGAACGUCGCGGCGGGAUCCAAGUAGCGUGCUGGCUAAGCCUCCAGGCCGCCGCCCGUUCUAGGCCUGUCAUGCGAUGACACGUGGCUGGGCCGUCCUGCCAGCCAAUGCACGCGACGGGACAGGACCAUAGGCGGGGCCCGCCACUACCACGCCCUCAGCGCCCGAACAGAUCCGCUGUGGCCCCGGCGGACGGUUGGGAUUCCCGUGGAGUUACUACGCGCGGUAACUGUAUCGUGGAACGUGGGGGGCGUGGGGCCGUGGGCGCAGUAAAUCCCCACGACGCCCCCUCGGCUUCGCAGCCCACGAGGCUAUAAGUAGGGGGAAGAGGGGGCACGCACGCCCCUCCUUCCCACUACUCCUCGCUCUCUUCCUUCUCACUGCUCCUCGUUCUCUUCCUUCUUCUUCUUCGCUCCGCCGUGCGCCCAAGCUCCGGCGAACGCCGCGGCGAUCAGCUCGCGAUGAGUUCUUCCGCCGGCGCUCCGGCACUUGGGACGGUUCCGAAGUCCACGACGACCACAUCGAGUUCCUCCGCAGGACUCGUCGGCUCCCCGGCGAAGAUCACGUGCGGGUGCGCCUUGCGUCGAAGGGGGAGAUUUCUCCCGCGCCGCAUGAGGGCGAGCGGGUCAUCUUCCGCUCUCACUGCUUGCGCGGGUCGGGGCUGCCGGCGAGCAGUUUCUUCCGAUCCUUUCUGGAGUUCUACGGCCUCCAGCUGCACCACCUCACCCCCAACACAGUGGUGCUGCUGUCCGCCUUCGUGGCCUUGUGCGAAGGCUUCCUCGGAGUCCUCCCCACCCUCGAGCUCUGGGGGGAAUUCUUCUUCUCCAAGCUCGGCACCCAGGCCGCACGCGUGCCGGCUCAGUGCGGCGCUUUCAUCGUCGUGCGAAGGUCGGGGGCCGACAAUCCCUUCCCCUCCAUCUUGCUGAUAAAGUUGGUGAAGAUGUGGCAUAGAUCCUACUUUUACGUCAGGAGCGUUUCCGCGAGGGGGGACUGGGUCAACCUGCCGGCUUUCGAAGCCGGCCCACCGGCUGGGCGACUGCCCAACUGGUCAUACCGGGCCAAGUCGCUGACGCCUGCGGUAGCCGGCGCCAUCGCGUGACUCCGAGUGCUGACGCAGUCGGAGGGUUUGACUGGUCCAGACCUGCUGGCCGCCUUCGUGGCGCGCCGAGUUCUCCCACUCCAAGGCCGCACCCACAUGAUAUGCCAGAUGAGCGAGCACCGCGACCCGAGUCGGAUGUGCACCAAGGACAUGCCUCACGAAGAGGUGGCCUUCAUGGUGAACUACCUCUCGGACAGCAAGCUCCUGGAGGAUUGGCGGUUCGGCAAGGAGCCGUACUCCCACGCCAACCCCCCGUCCGUGGUGAGUUGCCUUUCCUUUCUUUCUUUGGAUUGUCUUCUCUCUCGCCGAGUUUGUUUUGACCAGUCGGCUCUGGUUAGAAUCCCCUCCUCCACCCGCCAGCUGGCACCUCGGGGCCGGCCCGUGAGUUCCUCGCCGACCGGGCGGAGAGCAACGUCGACGACCCCGAUCUAGGGGCGGCGGCUCUAGAGGACGACGCCGAGGGAGGAGGAGGAACAACAGGCGACUUCAGGCCUUCGGCCACUUUCGCCGACUGGCCUGACAAUGACGCCGAGGGGGAACUCGCCCCCCGCCAUCGGCCAGGAGCCAGCCAGCCUGGCGCGGCAUCUUUUGCCGCGCUGGGUGCUCCAGGCGACGGGAAGAAACGCAGGGCCAUGCCGACCUUGUUCGGUAGUCGGCCGAAGAAACCAAAAGGUUCGGCUAUGGCGACCCGGCGGGACGAGGCGGCCUCGAAGGCCAUCCGCUUGCGUAAGGAAGUGAAGAAGCCGCCAUUGGUCUCCGCGUGAGUAUUCUGUCUCAAAGCUUUAUUCUUUCUUUGUGACCAUGUCUGAGUCUUUACUUGCUCCCCUUGCUUCAGGGCUCCCCUUACUCUCGAGAAGUUCACCGCCGCCUCCUUCAUGGGGUCAGCGGAGACGUCCGCCACCACUCGGCGGAUUGACCCCGCUGCUGACCUCCGGGAGGCGACGAAGCAGAAUGCGCAGGAGAAGCGCAACGAAGAAGAGGCCGUUCUCCUGGAGAAGGCGGAGGCCGACAGGGCGGAGGCCUCCGCCAAGAAAAAACUGGUGGAGGCCGAAGCCGUCGCCGCGAUGAAGCGGCAGGCUGAGGAAGCCGCACGCCGCCAAUCGGCGGUGUUCGUCACCCCAUUGAACUCUGCGCCGCCACCUCCGGAGUUCACGGGGCAGACUGGGGAAGCCGGCGGUGAGAACCCCGUCGUGGAGAGGGAAGGCGGCGACCCCUCUACACCGGACGUGAUUGUUCCGCCGCCGCCUCCGCCGCCGUCUGCGAGUGCGCAAGGGGAGCAGCCAGCGGACCAUCCGGUGCCAUCGACCGAAGACGAGGCCGUGGCGAGGCUGCUCCUCCAAGUCGGCUCGCCAACACGCCGCCGUCUGGAUAAGGCGACUUCGGCACCCCGCCUCCUGGAAGCCGGCACCGCCAGCUCGGUGAUCCCAGACGCCGAAGUGACAAGCGCCGCGCCCAUUGGGUGGGUGCGAGGAGGCGGCACAGGGCCGCUGAACCAGGCGCUCCUGGACAUCCAGGCGAAGCUUCACGCUGAGGGCGACGCUCUCCAGAGUUGCACCAAGGCGUUCCUGGCGUCGCGGGCAGCCGUCCGGGUAUGCUUUUUUCCUUUGGUCUUUGUUUUCUUGUUCCUCUCUGUGGGGGCGCGCCAGCGCACCCACUGGGUGUAGUCCCUGAGUUUCGGGCUGGCUGCUGAGCAGGCGGCCCAGAACUCCAAUUGAUGAACUCUGGGUAUUAACUUUUUGUCUGAAACGUUUGACGCAGGAUUACCACAACCUCCGCAUCACUGCCUUCAACCGUAACGUUGAAGAGCUAGGCAAGCGGACCGCCGAUUUGUCAGAGAGCCGGAGUAAGUCCUUUUCCUUCUUUGCUGGGGCGCGCUGGCGCACCCGCGGGCUGUAGUCCCCGAGAUUCAGGCCGACUGCUGAGCAGUCGGGCCGGAUCUCCUCAGCGACCUUCUUUACCUGAUGACUUAACGCCUUCUUUCUUCCUUCUUUUCAGGAGCCAACGCUGCCUUCAACAGCAGCUGAGCGACGCCAACUCUGCUUUGCGCACCAAAGAGGAGGAGUGCGACAAGCUCACCACGGAGCGCCACCUGCUGGCCACUCAAUUGGCAGAGCAGAAGGAGCUACUUGUGAAGACGCAGAGGAAGGCGGAGGAGACGGAAACCGCCCUCCUGGCCGAGUUCGCGAGCGAGCACUCCUCCUGGUCUUACAAAGAGGCGAUGCUGGCCUCCAGAUUCCAUGAGAUUGAAGACAUCAUUGAUGGUGGGUUUCUUUACUUUCUUUCUUCGAGCUGCCGAUUUAAGUCGUGCCGACUUCUGGUUUUUGACUUGCUUCUUUGUUUCUUCCUGUCUUUGCAGACUUCUUUCCUGGGCACUCGCAGGCCGCCAUCCAAGCCAUCGAGGCCGACCGAGAAGGUCGGAGGGCGGAGGGCGCAGAGAUUGCCGUCGACGCCCCCACAAACUCUUGACGAGCACAUCCUAAGCAUCGAGGCUCGCCUUCGGCCGGCUCACCGGAUGCUGCGUCGGCUUCAGCGUGCUGGUGCCCAGGUGAUUGCCGCCCUGUGGCCGGACAUGCAAGCUCCGCGCACCCCUAGCCUGACGGCCGACUGGCUAGAGGUCGCGGCUGGUCGUCUUGAGGCCUGGAAGGGCUCUUUGGCCCGAGCUGGAGUGCGCCGGGCCUUGGAGUUCGUCAAGGCAUGGUAUCCGGGGCUGGAUCUAGACCGGCUGGCCACGCUUCGGUCGGAGGCCCAGCCGGAGCUGACAGCUGCGGAAGACGCCCUUGUCAAGCAUGCUACGGCAAUCGCCGAGUACACCAACACCAGCAUCUUCGUCCCCGAGCGGUCUGAAGACGGCGAGGAGGUACCGCCGGAGUGGUUUGGGAUGAACCCAGACUACGGCGAGGACUCGGCGGAGGUGAUUGGCUCCAGCGUCGAGGAAGAAGGCGAGGCGGAGGACAGAGGCGAGAGGAGGCACCAGAAGAUGGAGCAGACGGCCAGCCUCAGCUCGACCGCGCCUCCAGCAACGAGCCGUGUGCGACCGACCCGACUGCCACCGGAGGCGAUCAAGCCGAGACUAGCCAGCCGGCCGCCCCGACGCCUGAUGCUGCCGCCUCCUCCGACCCUCCGAAUACGUCUGCUGCUUCCUAAGCUGCCGCUUAAUUUAAUCUGCUUCAGUAGUCUUUGAAGAACUUGUUAAUUCGCACAAUUCCACCCGCGGGGUGUAUUUUGAACCUCUGCUCGAAAAUUCGGCCAAGGGCCUAUGUUAUGUAAAUAUAUUUAUCUGAGUUCUAUCUUUUGUUGCUCAUUGCUCUUUUGGCUUUUUUCCUUUGCCGCUUUCUCUUAGUUGCCUGCCUUGCUAAUCAGACAGCCGCUCUGCGGACUGUCGCUGGAUCAAGUGCUUGGCUACUUUGGGAAAGCAAGUACUUAGCCAUUUUUAAGAGUUUUUGAGAAAGUUGAAUAGAAGGCGGCAAUCCGACUAUUCGAGAGUCGGCUUGCGAAAAAAGGCUGGAAGCCGUCUUGAGCUAUGUUUUAUGCUUUGAGUCCUUAACCAUUUUUCAUGUGAACGCCAAUUCUACCUUACCUCUGCCCACCGUACAGUCGCUCUGGGAGCUGCGGCUUCUGACAGAAGACGGUUUAGGUGUUACACACUACUUGUCCGGCUGCAGGAAGCAUUUCAUAGUGCAAGGCGGCAAGUCCCCGGGUCGACUUGUCGAGCCCGGUGCCAAGCGGCAUGACAAAGAGUAACUUACUUGUAGGCAUAAUUUUUAUCAUACAGACAAAAGAGGGCAGUCCCCCAGCUCGUCUCGGGGGGCCUGAAGUCUUGGUACUUUAAUACAAAAGGUAGCGUGGUACAUACUACAUCAACUGUAAAAUCUUCGGAGGAGAUUUGCAUUCCAUGGCCGCUCUGUCUCCUUGCCGGAGUCGUCCCUCUUGCGUGCUCGGGGCUUCUGAGCGUCAAUCAGGUAGUAGGAUUCGUUGCCCAGUACUUUGCUGAUGAUGAAAGGGCCUUCCCAAGGCGCCGACAGCUUGUGCUGGCCGGCUGUUCGCUGGAUCAGCCGGAGCACAAGGUCGCCUUCUUGGAAAGAUCUUGGCCUGACCUUCCUGUUGUGGUAUCGGUGCAGGCUCUGCUGGUAGAUGUUGGACCGGCUGAGUGCCAACAGCCGACCCUCUUCCAGCAGGUCGACGCCGUCUUGUCGUGCUUCUUCUGCUUCCUCCUCGGUGUACAUGGUGACUCGUGGGGAAUCGAACUCUAUGUCUGUUGGGAUGACGGCUUCGGCACCAUAGACGAGGAAGAAAGGCGUGAAGCCGGUUGACUUGUUUGGAGUCGUACGCAGACUCCAGAGGACGGCUGGUAGCUCAUCGAGCCAGCAGCCAGCCGAGCGCUCUAGAGGCUCGAUCAGCCGGGGCUUGAUGCCGGACAGGAUGAGGCCGUUUGCUCGCUCCACCUGGCCGUUUGACUGUGGAUGGGCGACGGACGCUACGUCCAGUCGGAUGCCCUGUGUUGCGCAGAAACUGUCACAGCCCUAGAAUUUGAUUGCAAUUAGUAUCAUAAGCAUCCAUGCAUCAUGUCUAUAUUUGUUUGAAAUUUGAAAUGGGGAUGACAAGCCCUAGCACUAAAUGAAAUGCAAUUAGGAUCAAAAUAAAAAUAUUUUCAAUGAACCCAGAAUGCCCUUUAGAAAAGUUCAUUAUUUUUGAUAAAGGUGAAAACCUCUGCCAAAAAUGAUGCACAUUUUUUAGACCAUUCUGGAUUUUUGAAUAACCCAUAUUGUAUUUGAAUUGGGGCAUUUAAAUACUAUUAAUAUUUUUAAAAUGCUCCAAUAAUUCUGAAAAUAGUUAAGGGCCUCUGUAAUAAUUCAUUUAAUGCCCACAAUUAUUUUCAGGAUUUAUUAAAAUGAUUUGGGUUAUAAACUAAAUCAAAACAAAAUAACAUAAAUAGAAAACAGAAUUAAAAAGAACAGAGAGAUCUACCUGAGCCAACCUACCUGGCCUUCCAGCCCACCUGGUGGCCCAGCUGGCGGCCCAGCCCACCAGGGGCACCCGUGUCUUCUCCUUCCUCUGCCAGAAGGACCGAGGUGCGUGGCCACCGCACGCCGGCACGCGCACGGCCACCGCACGCCACCUCAUGCUUGCCGCCGAGGGCCUGGACGCCUCCACGACGCCACGCAGCCACCUGGCCCCCCUCGCUCCUCUCCCUCACUCUCUGCUCUCCCCCUCGCCCUCUCCCUCUCCUCGGAUCGCCAUGGCCGACGCUGCCGAGCGCUCGCCACCGUGAAGCUCGCAGCCACCGUGCUCCCCUCGCCUCCCCGACGCGCCAAGGAGCUCCUCCGUCGACCUCUACAUCGUCUCUGUCAAGCCGCGCGAGCGGACAUGCCUCGUCUCACCGUCCCCAACCCCUCCUUCCUCCUCGGUCACCGGAGAUCCAUCUCGCCGCCCCGACCGCUCCUGGCCUCCUCUAAGCUUGCCGUCUGCACCGUUGCAACCGCUGUAAGCCUCUCCCUCGAACCCCCCUCUUCGUUAUCCUGUUUUCACGCCGUAGCUCCUACUUCACUGACGACCAAAGCCACCGUCCGCCAUGGCCGAUGAUGUCCUCGCUCCUGAGCAUCUCCGCUCGGUCCAGUGGCACCAGCAUGCUCCUGGAGCUCCCAGGAAUCCGCCCUGCCGCUUAGGUCGCUCGUCAGCCUAGCGCAGCGCCUCGCCCGUGCUAAGCCGCACUCCGGCCGCCGCCAGCUGUCGUUGUAGUCGUCGUUUCCGGCCUCCUCUCGCCUAGCCGCAUGCUCCAUUGGAUGCGGCGCACGUCCAGCAGCCCGUAGGGCCAAACCGUGAGUCGAACGGUCGCCGGACGGCGAAUCCCGAGCGCCUCUGCCGCCCCGUUUGGUCGCCGGCGGCUAGCCGCCGGUGCGCUGACGUGGCCACCUAGUUAGGGCUAAUCGCUCACUAAUUAACCCCCCUGACCCACUUACACACGGGCCCCACCGGUUUAGUUAGUCAGCUAACGAAAUUAGUUAGAACUAAUCCAACCCCGCGGGACACACGCGUCAGCUUUGACCUUGCUGGCGUGUCCUUUGACCGGCCCCACACGUUAGUGACUCAUGCCAGCGGUGUGUCACUGACCAGUGGGCCCCACUGGUCAGGCUUGACCUGGCCAGCCAUAGUUGACCUGAUGACGUCACUCUUAUGUCAUGCUAACGCAGUAAAACCUUUUCUGGAUUUUAAAUAAAUCUAAAUGAUUUAUUUAUUUUCAGAAAAUAUCCAAAACUUUGAAAAAUUAUUGAAAUUAAUCUAUAACUCCAAAUAAGAUAAAUUAUAUAUGAAAAGUUAUCAAAAAAAUUCAAGGAAUCUGUUUAUGGCAAUUGCAUGCAUGUUUGAACAACCUAGGGUUGCUGUACAGGGCAAUUUGCAUAAAUGACAUUUAAAUAAGCACAUAUGGAGUUUGAAUUUGAACCCUUGGUUCAAACCAACUUCAUUUAAUAUGGUUGCUAGUUGCAUUAGCUCAAUCAACAGCAUAUUGCCAUGACAUUAUCAUGCAUCAUAAUUGUUGCAUUGCAUUGAUUGUGUUCCUCUUUGUUUGCCGGUAUUUGUCCCCUCUCGAUAGACGUGGUUCCGACGAUGAGUUCUAUGACACCGAUGAAGAACUAUACUAUCUUCAGAAGUGCCAGGCAAGCAAAACCCCCUUGUUCAUUCCGAUACAAUCCCACUCUCUCGCUCCUGCUCUCUUUUACUGCAUUAGGACAACAAUGAUUCAACUGUUACAUGUUGCGGUAGUUGAACCCCUUCCCUCUGCAUGACCUGUCAUUGCCACAGUAAAUAGAUGAAACACACUAGCAUGAGUAGGAGUUGUUUGAGCCCUGAUGUGCCUACUCAUUCAUGCUUGUUUGUCAUGCCUGCUACUGCUUAGAGUUGAGUCAGGUCUGAUUUAUCGGGGAUGAAUCGGAGGUGUGUAAACAUGUCCUACUGUUGAGAGCUAAGUGUGUGAACACGAGUUGGUAAAGGUAGCGGUGAGAGGCCAUGUAGGAGUACAUGGUGGGUUGUCUCAUUGAAACUGUCCUCAGGAACUGAGUUCUGUGUUUGUGAUCCAUGAACAGCUACUACCACUCAUUGGGAUACUUAAUUGACUCUCUCGGCUUCUUAAUCACCCUAGUACUCUGUCCAGGAGUUGCAACUGGUUUCUGGUGUUUGUAGGUUAUGUGUUGGCGGCCGUGCGUAGCGCUGACCCUAGGGGUGGGCUAUGUUGCGGUAGAUACACUGUGGCAUGGUGUACCGGGCGCCCGCUUGGUGUCUCGGGAACCCUGUUCACAUCGUUUGGGGCCGUAUGUGGAAACCUCGGCCGGACUCCCUGCGGAUGGAACCUGAAUAGGUGAUAAACCUGGACUAGAGACUUAGGUGUUUAGGUAGGCCGUGGCCGACACCCUCAUUGUGCUUCCGCUUGAAGGUUGCCGAGUACAUGUCGUGUAAACGACGGUAAGUGGUGGGAGCAUGUGUGAAGAAGUACACCCCUGCAGGGUUAUCAUUAUCUAUUCGAAUAGCCGGAUUCCUCGAAUAUAGAAACUUGGACCCCUUGCAUAGUUCAUAGACAAGUGAAAGUGGUUACUCUAAAACUCGCAAGAUAAGAGUGAGUGCUAUGGAUGGCGUUCUCGCAGGGAGACGGGAGCGGAUUCAUAGUGGUGUAUUGAUAUGGUGAAUUUGUGGACUCGUGUGCGCUACCUCAAACGAGUUGCUUGUAGUCGUAGUUCAGGUUAGCCACUGAGUCAAAGCUGGCUUGCUGCAGUUAAACUCCACCACCCCCUUUGUUGAUACCGAUGCAUAUGUAGUUAGUUCUGAUGUAAGUCUUGCUGAGUACAAUUGUACUCACGUUUGCUUAAAUUAUGUUUUUGCAGAGAGGCUUCAGUCUCGCUAGUAGUUCCGCGUGGACUUCGACGUUUAUCUUGAUACCUCAGCUACAAUCUUGUGCCCUCGGCAGGAUCUGGUAGAUAGUCAGGCUUCUUAGCCUUUUUCAUUUGUACAUGUUUGUACUCGGACAUGUUAAGCUUCCGCUUGUGCCUUGAUUUGUAUGCUAUGUUUGUUGGGUCAUGAGACCCAUGUUUGUAAUAUCCCGCUCCCCGGAGCCUAAGGAUUAAAUACUUGAGUUGUAGAGUUAUGUUGUGAUGUCAUGUUGUAUUUACACAUAUCGAGCAUAUUAUGUGUAUGAUUGAAAUGCAUGGUAUGUGUGGGAUCCGACAACCUAGUUGUUUAUCCUUGGCAGCCUCUCUUAUGGGGAAAUGUAUUCUAGUGCUUCCAUGAGCCAUAGUAGUCCGCUUCAGCCAGGUUCACCGGAGUCCUGCUAGCCCAGCACUACUGCUCAGGACACUUGACUGGCCGGCAUGUGUUUCACUUCGUUCUUGUGUCUGUCCCUUCGGGGAAAUGUCACGCGGUGACAUCCGAAGUCCUGCCUAGCCUGCUACAGCCCGGGUUCCCGGAGUCCUGUUAGCCUAGUGCUAUAGCCCGGAUUCACACGCUGCUGACCGAUAUGCUCGAUGUGAUUCAUGUAUGCCUAUCCCCAUAGGUUAGUGCCGCUUUGGGUUGACGACUAGCCUUGUCGGCCCGGGUUCUCCGUCAUAUGGAUGCUAGCGACAAUAUCAUAUACGUGAGCCAAAAGGCACAAAUGAUCCCGGGCCAUGGUAAGGCGAUACCCGUGGGAAUACCGUGCGUGAGGCCGCAAAGUGAUAUGAGGUGUUACCGGCUAGAUCGAUGUGAUUUGGAAUCGGGGUCCUGACAGCGUUGGCAUCAGAGCCUGACUGCCUGUAGGAUUACCAAGCCAAACUGGUCGAAGUUGAGUCUAGAAAUGCUUUAGUUAUAUAAGGGAAUUGAUUGUGGAAGGGAACGUAAGGCUCUUUUUACUCCUUUACCUUAUGGCCUUUUGAUCUGAGUCAUCCUCUUCUCUUCUACGGGGUUUAAUAACUAGGCCUUCUAAUCUAUCUAUUAGGAUGAUGUGUUACUAAUCCAUAGACUCAUAGGAUUGAUGGAUUCAAUUCUUAGUUCAGUUCCUACUAUUUCUGUGUGUUGACAGUUGAUCCCAGAACCUUGAUAUGAUGAUGUUGAGUGGUCAUGCCACUAUCUUGCAGGAUGUCCCAAAUAUUUUGAGCAUUCACAGCCGUUACGCUGUCCGAGUCAUCCCAGGUUUCUAAAUAGUCUGAUUCAUUUGCAAAUCCUUUCUUUCCAUUCCCAAUGUCCUUUUGGUCAGAAUAAGCACACUAACCGGUCAGUUGAGGUACUCUAUUGCCUCGACAUAUAUGUUGGAGCUAUUAUUAUGACCCUAGGUAUUGUAGGGAGUCACCUAGUAAUCUAGCCAUGUUUUGUGUUCCCGGUGUGAUAAUUCUGGCCACCAUCCUCGAAAGCAUCUCGUGAUGCCAUGUAGUGGUAGGUAUUCUAUUCAUGGGUUCUUGAACCCGAGAUUCCCCCUAUUUAUCUCAUGUUGAUAGUGUUGCUAGUUUCUUUAGGAUAUUAGUAACCUUUAUGAUAGUCCUCGAGGUGCGUGGUAUUUCCUCCUUCCAAAUACUAUGAACCACUUAUGGCAGAAGUUUGUUGUAUCAAAAGAUCACAACCAGAGUGCUCUUAAUGAGUUCUGCAUUCUACGUUGUGAAUCUGCCAGUCCGACCUAUCCGCAUGGGUUGUCCGGAAGAAAUGUUGAGCUUUGCUCGACAUACUAAUCUAUGCAUCCACAACUCAGAAAAUUAUAUGUUCCUCGAGUUGUUCCUCUUCAGUUGUAUUCCGACCAUGUUCUAUCAGUUGAUAGUCAAGAGUAGUUGUGCAUUGGUGUUAUCGAUGCCUAUUAUUCAUGUGAUCCAUCAAGCCAUUCCAUUCCGGAAUGACUAGGAGAAACAAACUCCAGUACCUCAUCCAUAUCCAGGAUUGGGUCAAAGUAGUUGUGUUCUGGAGAUCAAAUGCCAUCCAAUUUUUGCUCUGUUCUACCCUGGAGUAUUACCCCUUUUAUGUCAGGACUGUCAUGAGAAUUGCACCACCUCUUAUGAAUUAUUGACGCAGUAAUACUUCUUGCCAUCAUUGUUCAUUCCUCAGUUCCGUGUUAUUAUAACCGGAAUGCCGACAAGUGAACCGUGAUGUGUGAAAUCAAUACUCCGAGCAACUCGUUGCUUUGUAGUAAAUGGACAAUAUUCUUAUUCUUAGCGUGUUGGUUUUUGAGCUACCAUUCUAAGAUUGAUCGUGCUACCUAGUCCAUAUCUCUGGGUGCACUCAUCGACCAAUGAGUUAGGAUUGUGACAAUCCCUCGCUCCUUGAUCAUAUCAUCUUGCCCUGAAAAGCAAGAUUGUUCUCGAGCUUAAUAACAUAUCGGUGGUUCGUGAUUUUCCGAAUAUCUUCUCGGAAGUAUUACCAGGUUGUUCCCUGAUCGCUAUGUUGAAUUCGUGAUCAUGUUGGCUUUUCUAUAAAGCACCCCUUCUCCAAGAAUCUGUGUUGGAUACCCCUGAGCUAGAUGGUUAAGCUAAACAGCAACUUGGAGAGUUGGAAGAUAAAAGGCUUUGCCGAAUUUGGUUCUUUAUGAAGGGAUAUCUUUGUGUUGUGUGUGUGUUGAAGAAAGAUGAUAUCUUCACCAAUUGGUCCUCGUGAUCAGUUGUUGGAUCUAUUGUCUUGUCAAAACUUUGACUUGAUUAUGGGCUAUCGUCAAGUCAAAUCAGAACCAACGAUGUUCGUAGUGUUGUCUUACUCGUGGUUGAUCCCUCGAGAAUACACCAUUACAUCUUUUGGUCUGACCAAUGCUAUCACCGUGUUCACAUGAUGGUGGAAGUCCAGUGAUAUGGAAAUUCCAAUGAGUUGUUGUUGAGCCCAUCAGCAGCAUUUUGUCUCCCCCAUGACUCAUGUUGAACAUCAACCUAGUGUUGAAAACCUUGUAAGCAAUGCCUUCGUGUUCCGUUCAUGAAGCUUAUGCUGGAUAAAAGAAGUGACUUUCUCUAAAUUCACGUGCACCAGGUGUAAGUUGCCACCAUGAAUUUGAGAAAGGUUUGUUUUGUUUCCCUUGGAAUCAUCCCAAAUCAGUCAUGCAUAUGUGCGAAGUAUUCUAUGGUUUGGUAGAUUAAUUACCUCCACUCCAUAUGUGUUCCUAGCACACCAAGCCACUGAUUGGUUUGUUCAAGGAGAAGAAGUUUCUUCUUAGGAGCUAGACUUAUGCAAGGACUUUGAUAUCCUCGUUGAUGGUUCCCUUCUGAACUCGGUAGUGUUUCAUUGUAAGACUGCCAGGUGGCCAUGCUUGUCUAGGACAACGUGUUCACACGCUUGUAGCAGAACCGGCUCAUGUUUUGGAGCUUACUAUCGUAGUUCAUUCCCCGAGAAUCUCGCAACGUCAUCUCGUCGAUUUGUGUUGCAAAACUUCAUUUUUCUUUCUAGACUUGGUGAGUCUGGAAUAUCCUGACACCAACUAGAUCUGAAUUUUAGGCAGAUAUGAUGGUUGGAACACACUCCAAGAACUAUAAUAUUGGUCUCCCUGUAACCGGUAAAGUGGAUGUGGUGGCCAACACACCCAGCCGAAAGACCUAUUAUUGUAGUAUCUUGAUUGAGGAAGUUGGCCACCGCCCCAUAAGGAUUUCGUAGGAUUUACUCCAGAAGUUGUUCCUUAUGGAUCUAUUGUUUUCCGAAGUCCGACCACUACUUGAUGGCUAUGUUGAUGCUUUAAAGCAUGACCGUGGUAACCAGUAAAUCAAGGAGAACAUUAGAAGUGGAGUGCUAAAUGUCUCUCGGUCGAUCAUCCAGAUUUGUGUUGCAACGUCAUCUCGUCGAUUUGUGUUGCAAAACUUCAUUUUUCUUUCUAGACUUGAUGAGUCUGGAAUAUCCUGACACCAACCAGAUCUGAAUUUUAGGCAGAUAUGAUGGUUGGAACACACUCCAAGAACUAUAAUAUUGGUCUCCCUGUAACCGGUAAAGUGUAUGUCUGUCACGACCGGUUUUCCAAUAAAAAUAUUUAUUGAGAAACCAAUCUUUUGAGUCCAGUAUGAGAGAAAUCCUCCUUACUGGUAGACAAAUUCUUGAUACAAUAAGCCAGUAGCAUAAAAUAUAUUACAGGGUCGAACUACGGUUGCUCAACCAAAUUAUUACAAGCACGCCAAUAAGUAUACCUAUUGGCGGACAUGACACAGUGGUGUGGAGGCAUACUACUGACUCGAGGAUAGGGCGGUGGUGGAAAAACACAGCGGGGAGAGAGAUACAAGCUAUAAAACUGUCAUCUCAUUGAGCGUCGAGGUGAGGCUCGAUGAAUUUAUUUGGUAGCGGAAGCGGAUAUAAUACAGUGACCAAAUCCAGGGUCGUACGAGACUGACUGGGACUCCUCUAGGCAUCGGACUCGCUAUCAAAUUCUUCAUCCAUGAGAUCGCCUUCGUCAGCAUCUGGCCAAAUCAACAAGCAAGUGAGUACUUUGAAAGUACUCGCAAGACAGUUCGGACGUAAGAUAUAACAAAUGCAUGCAUGAAUGCGUCAUGAUUAAUUCACCAAUGUAUAUUCAACAAUUAUCAUAAGAAGGUAAGUAAAACGGAAACGACGGUUGUCCUCCUGAAAUCGCACAAAACAUAAAUGAAGACCGAUCGGGUGUCUGAAGCGACGCCUCGAAAGGUGAACAAAUAAAUAUAAGGAAAUGAUGCCACAGUCGGGCGUCUUAGCGACACCACAUAAAGGGCUUUAAAAGAAAUGCCACAAUCGGACGUCGGGGCGACAUCACAGAAAGAGCUUUAAAAGAAAUGCCACAGUCGGACGUUGGGGUGACAUCACAGAAAGGGCUUUAAAAGAAAUGCCACAGCCGGGCGUCUUAGCGACACCACAUAAAGGGCUUUAAAAGAAAUGCCACAGUCNNNNNNNNNNNNNNNNNNNNNNNNNNNNNNNNNNNNNNNNNNNNNNNNNNNNNNNNNNNNNNNNNNNNNNNNNNNNNNNNNNNNNNNNNNNNNNNNNNNNNNNNNNNNNNNNNNNNNNNNNNNNNNNNNNNNNNNNNNNNNNNNNNNNNNNNNNNNNNNNNNNNNNNNNNNNNNNNNNNNNNNNNNNNNNNNNNNNNNNNNNNNNNNNNNNNNNNNNNNNNNNNNNNNNNNNNNNNNNNNNNNNNNNNNNNNNNNNNNNNNNNNNNNNNNNNNNAUCACAGAAAGGGCUUUAAAAGAAAUGCCACAGUCGGACGUCGGGGCGACAUCACAGAAAGGGCUUUAAAAGAAAUGCCACAGUCGGACGUUGGGGCGACAUCACAGAAAGGGCUUUAAAAGAAGUGCCACAGUCGGGCGUCUUAGCGACACCACAUAAAGGGCUUGAAAAGAAAGAAAAAUACAACAAUGCCACAGUCGGACGUCUGAGCGACAUUGCAGAAAGGGCUUUUAUUCACAAGUAAAUAAUACUCAUAAUAAACAUUCAAUUUAUGAGAUUAAAUGGGUUAGUCCAUUCACAGGAAUAAUUAUUUAACCGGACGUAGCACUCAUGCGAUUCCUCGGAGUCUCUGCCAUCAAAACUGACAUUUGAUCAGGAUAAGAUAAUAUCGAUCUUGGACAUGGAAUAGAUGAUUUGGAGGAAUAUAUGACUCUGCAGAGUUUGUACAAAAUUUUUCCCACAGCCAACGGAUUUCCGUAGUCCCGAAGGACUAGUUCCGUUUACGGUUUUUCGGGAGAAAACACAGCUAACCAGUACACACCCAUCCUACCUCUCUAUGCUAGGAAUCACCCUAGACACCGUCCAAGAAAAACUUUUGAGACGGGGAGAUCACAAUCUUGAAUAGCAUGGGAUCAAAUUUAUAUACGCGCGCUCUAAGGGGUGCCCCCCUCUUGGUCCCAACCGGAAACACCCAUGCCCCCUGACCGGAUGACUGGCUUUAAUCCAGGGCCAUGGAACCAUCAUCACGGCCUCUCCUUUUUGGUGUGUACCAGGAAAGCGGUUUACAACUUACUAAGCCAUAUUCCUUACGGAAAACCUGUGGUAGUACAAGGAAGGAAAAAUGGAAGGAACUGGAAUGAUACGAGUUGAUAUUGAAGUCACAUAGUCUGGCAUAAGCCUGGCAUGCUACAACACUGCCAUCUUACCCAUCCUCAUGCCAACACAUGGCCAUGCAUACUCACAUCCAUCCACUUAUGGAUCAUCGAACUCACUUACCUCAAGAUUGCAUAAAAUAACGUUCAUCGAUAUGCUCAUCAACAUACCAUGAAACUAACUAAAUGCAAAACAUGCCAAGACACUCAUCAUAUCAAAAGUUCAAACAUGCUUGCCUGGUUCAGAGUAGUCGGAGCCUAGCUCGGUGAAGUUCGCGGCUCCGUCACCUCCUUCGGUAUCUACGGUAUAAAGAAAAUAUAUGCGCUAUCGUAAAUACCAAGGGAUGCACAAAAAGUAUUCCAAAUAUUUUUCAAAUAAAUCUGAUAAAAACUAGACAAAAUUUUAAAGAGAACAGAAAAAGAAUCAAUCAAAAAUACCUUUCUGUUUAAAAGUUAUAAAGGUUUUUGCCCAGGGACUCAUCUGUAAUGAAACAGAAAGUUCCCAGGGGCUAGCUUAUAAAAACAGAAAACGUUCCAGUGUUGAAUACGCCAGCCCAGAGGGGAAAGUGCAUUUUGCCCGAAGGCGCUUCCAGAAAACGAUUCAAUAGAGAGGGCAGAGAGGCUGACGGUGGGGUCCCACCUGUCAGGUUUGAACUUUCAAAAAGGGGGGGAACGAAGCUCGUCGGCGCCCGAGAGCCGCGGUGGUCGCCGGCGGCGAUCCACGGCGAGGCAGGGGGAUCGGAGGGUACCUCCGUGUUCAGGGCACCAUUCCGCGUCGGUUGGUGGUGGUGGUGGUCGCCGGCGAGUACCACGUCGACGGCGAGCUUUGCUCCGGCGGGCGGCGGCUCGGGUGGUCGAGGGACUCGUCGGAGAGGGCUGCAGAGAUCAAAUUGAGGAGGGGGUUAGGCUCCUGGUAGCUAGAGGGAGUAAUUGACGGGGUUAGAGCGCCGGAGAUGGCCUCAUCGGAGCGAAUCAUGGUGGAGGCCGAGGCGGAUCGGGGCGGCCGGAGUUGGGGGAGGAGACCCCCUCGAGGUCCUCCUAGUGGCCUGGCGGGGCGUUGGUGAGGUGUGGUGAUGAUGCGUGCACGAGGGUGAGCUCGGGGGCCCUUUAUAUAGGCGGUCCGAGGCGGUGGUCAUGAACGGGGGUCUCCGGUGACGAUUACGGCGGCGCAGGGCUUGGUCGGGGUAAUUAGGACGUUGAGCGUCAUUGUGGAGGUCCACGGUUCCGUUUUGGUGCUAAUCGAGCUGGAGUUUGGUGCUUUGGGGGUGAGUUCGACAGAACGGGGCGGCGCGGGCCCGUCGGCGGCAGGGAGCGCGUCCCGUGCUUGCCGGCCACGGUGGUGGUGCCACGGGCGUGCGCUAGCACUCAUGAGGCCACGCGGAGGGCAGAGGGGCGAUGGGCGACGCGGAACGGCGUUGAGCCGCCGUUCUUGUCGCCUGUCGGUUGUAACAGGGUCUCGGCAGCCGCAAGACACGCCGGCGCGGGCGGCCAGGGGCGCCACCGACGCCGGGAAGACGCCAAGCGCGCGUGCGGGAUGCUCCAGACAGGAGGAAGAGGCGGCGAGGAACGUGCCAAGGGCACUGUGGGCAUGUGACUGAACCUCUGUCGAAGAUCGACACUGAACUCUGAAUCUUCUGAAUUUGCAAAGGAACAGUGCAGCUCAGGUGUUCGAUAGAAUGUUUUUGGCCUCUGGGGAUUUUUCCUUGAGCUGAUUUUUGGUGGAGUGGCUUCUCAUUGCUCCAGUAGGCUGCAUGAUUUUUGGUGGAAUUUUUGGAGGAGUGUAGAUAUGAAUUUCAUCAAAUUUGGCAAAUCUGGUCCAAACUUGCAGAGACUGAAUUUUGAAAAAUUUGAAAAGAGGAGGAGUGGAUCAAGAUGGUUCUAGGUUGUGGGUACAAAGGACUAUCCAGGAGAGUUGGUUUGGGAUAAAAACUCAAAGGCAAAGUGGUACUUGCUUUGAAAAUCACUAAGGCUCAAAAUAAUUUACAGAAUUGAUUUGAGAGGAAAAAUAAUUAGAAUAAAAUCCAAAACUUGCUUGGAUUAGUUGGGACAGAGAACUUAGGCUGAUUACAAGGAGUAGGGGAGGUUUUGGAGGGGUUUUACCACAUGGGCAAAAAUGCCAAGUCAUGGGUGGUUUCCAAGAUAUGAAAAUCCCAAGUUUUCAUAGAGUUUCAUUUUAAAAUAAAAACAAAUUAAACUCCCAAAAUAAUUUGAGAGGGAACCAACAGAGAAGAAGUUUCAAAAGAUCAAACACCACAGUUUGAAGAAAAAAAAUCCUUGCCAAAGAAAAGAAAGUUUUUAAGAGGAAGGAUUUCCUGAAAAAAAAAUGGCCUCUUUUCAAAAACCACAAAGUUUUUUUUGAUGAAAACCAAAUUAAAAUUUUGGAGUGUCACAAUGUCGUGGCCAACACACCCAGCCGGAAGACCUAUUAUUGUAGUAUCUUGAUUGAGGAAGUUGGCCACCGCCCCAUAAGGAUUUCGUAGGAUUUACUCCAGAAGUUGUUCCUUAUGGAUCUAUUGUAUUCCGAAGUCCGACCACUACUUGAUGGCUAUGUUGAUGCUUUAAAGCAUGACCGUGGUAACCAGUACAUCAAGGAGAACAUUAGAAGUGGAGUGCUAAAUGUCUCUCGGUCGAUCAUCCAGAUUUCAUUUCCUUGGCCUCGCUAAGGUGAAAUCUGAGAAAGGGUUGUCUUUCUAUGCAUCUGCAUUGUCCAACACUAUUCGUCAAGGUAGUAAGAUGUGUUGCCAGGAUCCUCGACUCGGAUGUUGGUAGAACCUUGAUGAAUAUGAAAAUGCUCAAGUUCUUGAGAGCACGCGCAAGCACUAGGUUUUACCGUUGGCGUUAACUGGGAUUUGCGUCCAGCUUCUUCGGUUAUGUUAUAACCUUUUCAAAUAGUGGACUCACUCUCGACUGUUGAGUUUUUUCCCCAGUUACCAGAAUCAUUCCCAACAUUUGCAUUUUGUUCCCAGUUUGCACCUCAGUAGUUGUUGUUCAGGAUCAUCUUCGAAAGUGCACUUACCAUGGGUCUCAUCCAUUUUCGAUGAAAAGCAAAAAUCAUCCAUUGCGUUGUCUUCAAUAAGAUAGUCCACAUCAUCCUUUCUAGUCCAAGUAUAUCAUUCCUUUGAACUCCUUCAAAUGAUCGAUUGUGAUUGCCUUAGGCUGGCAUAAAGAGUUUCAAUGAUCUCCUAAUCAAAAGUAAUUCUUUUUGCCACUUAAGGGAAUAAUUCUACGAGUCACCUUCCUCGAGGUAUCACGUUACGAAAUCAUGGCAAAUAUUUUCUUGCUACUUUGAAAUUCAUGCUCCAUCUUAUUCAAGUAUGGAAUUGUUGCCUACCUAGUGAACCUUCGCCAUCCGUUUCACUCCAUCCCUCUAGGUGUAUGCUUCGUGUCUCAGCUCAAGAGAUGUUACUAUGUCUCAUUCCAUGAGUUGAUCUUCUGAUCAUUAAGAUGAUCCUAAGUUGCUCGAACCUCAGGGAGGUUGAUUCUUCUUAAAUUCUCCCUUUCUACUCGUUGUCAUGUUGGAUGUAGUUCUCAAAGCAAGACGUCGAGAUCAAGGUGAUGCAAUGAAUCAACAUCCUCGAGAAAGACGUCUGGAUCAUGAAGGUCGUGUUAGCUGUGUAUCCCCUCUGUCUUCUUACUUCACGUCUUGAAUCUCGGGACGAGAUUCUUGUUUAGUGGGGGCGAGUUGUCACAGCCCUAGAAUUUGAUUGCAAUUAGUAUCAUAAGCAUCCAUGCAUCAUGUCUAUAUUUGUUUGAAAUUUGAAAUGGGGAUGACAAGCCCUAGCACUAAAUGAAAUGCAAUUAGGAUCAAAAUAAAAAUAUUUUGAAUGAACCCAGAAUGCCCUUUAGAAAAGUUCAUUAUUUUUGAUAAAGGUGAAAACCUCUGCCAAAAUGAUGCACAUUUUUUUAGGCCAUUCUGGAUUUUUGAAUAACCCAUAUUGUAUUUGAAUUGGGGCAUUUAAAUACUAUUAAUAUUUUUAAAAUGCUCCAAUAAUUCUGAAAAUAGUUAAGGGCCUCUGUAAUAAUUCAUUUAAUGCCCACAAUUAUUUCCAGGAUUUAUUAAAAUGAUUUGGGUUAUAAACUAAAUCAAAACAAAAUAACAUAAAUUGAAAACAGAAUUAAAAAGAACAGAGAGAUCUACCUGGGCCAACCUACCUGGCCUUCCAGCCCACCUGGUGGCCCAGCUGGCGACCCAGCCCACCAGGGGCACCCGUGUCUUCUCCUUCCUCUGCCAGAAGGACCGAGGCGCGUGGCCACUGCACGCCGGCACGCGCACGGCCACUGCACGCCACCUCCUGCUUGCCGCCGAGGGCCUGGACGCCUCCAUGAUGCCACGCAGCCCCCUGGUCCCCCUCGCUCCUCUCCCUCACUCUCUGCUCUCCCCCUCGCCCUCUCCCUCUCCUCUGAUCGCCAUGGCCGACGCUGCCGAGCGCUCGCCAUCGUGAAGCUCGCAGCCAUCGUGCUCCCCUCGCCUCCCCGACGCGCCAAGGAGCUCCUCCGUCGACCUCUACAUCGUCUCCGUCAAGCCGCGCGAGCGGACGUGCCUCGUCCCACCGUCCCCAACCCCUUCUUCCUCCUCGGUCACCGCAGAUCCAUCCCGCCGCCCCGACCGCUCCUGGCCUCCUCCGAGCUUGCCGUCUGCACCGUUGCAACCGCUGUAAGCCUCUCCCUCGAACCCCCCUCUCCGUUGUUCCGUUUUCACGCCGUAGCUCCUACUUCACUGACGACCGAAGCCGCCGUCCGCCAUGGCCGAUGAUGUCCUCGCUCCUGAGCAUCUCCGCUCGGUCCAGUGGCACCAGCGUGCUCCUGGAGCUCCCAGGAAUCCGCCCUACCGCUUAGCUCGCUCGUCAGCCUAGCGCAGCGCCUCACCCGUGCUAAGCCGAACUCCGGCCGCCGCCAGCCGUCGUUGCAGUCAUCGUUUCCGGCCUCCUCUCGCCUAGCCGCAUGUUCCGUUGGAUGCGGCGCACGUCCAGCAGCCCGUAGGGCCAAACCGCGAGUCGAACGGUCGCCGGACGGCGAAUCCCGAGCGCCUCUGCCGCCCCGUUUGGUCGCCGGCGGCUAGCCGCCGGUGCGCUGACGUGGCCACCUAGUUAGGGCUAAUCGCCCACUAAUUAACCCCCCUGACCCACUUACACACGGGCCCCACCGGUUUAGUUAGUCAGCUAAUGAAAUUAGUUAGAACUAAUCCAACCCCGCGGGACCCACGCGUCAGCUUUGACCUUGUUGACGUGGCCUUUGACCGGCCCCACACGUCAGUGACUCAUGCCAGCGGUGUUUCACUGACCAGUGGGCUCCACUGGUCAGGCUUGACAUGGCCAGCCACAGUUGACCUGAUAACGUCACUCUUAUGUGAUGCUAACGCAGUAAAACCUUUUCUGGAUUUUAAAUAAAUCUAAAUGAUUUAUUUAUUUUCAGAAAAUAUCCAAAACUUUGAAAAAUUAUUGAAAUUAAUCUAUAACUCCAAAUAAGAUAAAUUAUAUAUGAAAAAUUAUUAGAAAAUUCAAGGAAUCUGUUUAUGGCAAUUGCAUGCAUGUUUGAACAACCUAGGGUUGCUGUACAGGGCAAUUUGCAUAAAUGACAUUUAAAUAAGCACAUAUGGAGUUUGAAUUUGAACCCUUGGUUGAAACCAACUUCAUUUAAUAUGGUUGCUAGUUGCAUUAGCUCAAUCAACAGCAUAUUGCCAUGACAUUAUCAUGCAUCAUAAUUGUUGCAUUGCAUUGAUUGUGUUCCUCUUUGUUUGCCGGUAUUUGUCCCCUCUCGAUAGACGUGGUUCCGACGACGAGUUCGAUGACACCGAUGAAGAACUAUACUAUCUUCAGAAGUGCCAGGCAAGCAAAACCCCCUUGUUCAUUCCGAUACAAUCCCACUCUCUCGCUCCUGCUCUCUUUUACUGCAUUAGGACAACAACGAUUCAACUGUUACAUGUUGCGAUAGUUGAGCCCCUUCCCUCUGCAUGACCUGUCAUUGCCAUAGUAAAUAGAUGAAACCCACUAGCAUGAGUAGGAGUUGUUUGAGCCCUGAUGUGCCUACUCAUUCAUGCUUGUUUGUCAUGCCUGCUACUGCUUAGAGUUGAGUCAGGUCUGAUUUAUCGGGGAUGAAUCGGAGGUGUGUAAACAUGUCCUACUGUUGAGAGCUAAGUGUGUGAACACGAUUUGGUAAAGGUAGCGGUGAGAGGCCAUGUAGGAGUACAUGGUGGGUUGUCUCAUUGAAACUGUCCUCAGGAACUGAGUUUUGUGUUUGUGAUCCAUGAACAGCUACUACCACUCAUUGGGAUACUUAAUUGACCCUCUCGGCUUCUUAAUCACCCUAGUACUCUGUCCAGGAGUUGCAACUGGUUUCUGGUGUUUGUAGGUUAUGUGUUGGCGGCCGUGCGUAGCGCUGACCCUAGGGGUGGGCUAUGUUGCGGUACAUACACCGUGGCAUGGUGUACCGGGCGACGUUUGGUGUCUCGAGAACCCUGUUCACAUCAUUUGGGGCCGUAUGUGGAAACCUCGGCCGGACUCCCUGCGGAUGGAACCUGAAUAGGUGAUAAACCUGGACUAGAGACUUAGGUGUUUAGGUAGGCCGUGGCCGACACCCUCAUUGUGCUUCCGCUUGAAGGUUGCCGAGUACAUGUCGUGUAAACGAUGGUAAGUGGUGGGAGCGUGUGUGAAGAAGUACACCCCUGCAGGGUUAUCAUUAUCUAUUCGAAUAGCCGGAUUCCUCGAAUAUAGAAACUUGGACCCCUUGCAUAGUUCAUAGACAAGUGAAAGUGGUUACUCUAAAACUCGCAAGAUAAGAGUGAGUGCUAUGGAUGGCGUUCUCGCAGGGAGACGGGAGCGGAUUCAUAGUGGUGUAUUGAUAUGGUGAAUUUGUGGACUCGUGUGCGCCACCUCAAACGAGUUGCUUGCAGUCGUAGUUCAGGUUAGCCACUGAGUCAAAGCUGGCUUGCUGCAGUUAAACUCCACCACCCCCUUUGUUGAUACCGAUGCAUAUGUAGUUAGUUCUGAUGUAAGUCUUGCUGAGUACAAUUGUACUCACGUUUGCUUAAAUUAUGUUUUUGUAGAGAGGCUUCAGUCUCGCUAGUAGUUCCACGUGGACUUCGACGUUUAGCUUGAUACCUCAGCUACGAUCUUGUGCCCUCAGCAGGAUCUGGUAGAUAGUCAGGCUUCUUAGCCUUUUUCAUUUGUACAUGUCUGUACUAAGACAUGUUAAGCUUCCGCUUGUGCCUUGAUUUGUAUGUUAUGUUUGUUGGGUCAUGAGACCCAUGUUUGUAAUAUCCCGCUCCCCGGAGCCUAAGGAUUAAAUACUUCAGUUGUAGAGUUAUGUUGUGAUGUCAUGUUGUAUUUACACAUAUCGAGCAUAUUAUGUGUAUGAUUGAAAUGCAUGGUAUGUGUGGGAUCCGACAACCUAGUUGUUUAUCCUUGGCAGCCUCUCUUAUGGGGAAAUGUAGUCUAGUGCUUCCAUGAGCCAUAGUAGUCCGCUUCAGCCCGGUUCACCGGAGUCCUGCUAGCCCAGCACUAAUGCUCAGGACACUUGACUGGCCGGCUGUGUUUCACUUCGUUCCUGUGUCUGUCCCUUCGGGGAAAUGUCACGCGGUGACAUCCGGAGUCCUGCCUAGCCUACUACAGCCCGGGUUCCCGUAGUCCUGUUAGCCUAGUGCUAUAGCCCGGAUUCACAGGCUGCUGACCGACAUGCUCGAUGUGAUUCAUGUAUGCCUGUCCCCAUAGGUUAGUGCCGCUUUGGGUUGACGACUAGCCAUGUCGGCCCGGGUUCUCCGUCAUAUGGAUGCUAGCGACAAUAUCAUAUACGUGAGCCAAAAGGCGCAAAUGGUCCCGUGCCAUGGUAAGGCGACACCCGUGGGAAUACCGUGCGUGAGGCCGCAAAGUGAUAUGAGGUGUUACCGGCUAGAUCGAUGUGAUUUGGAAUCGGGGUCCUGAGAGCGUUGGCAUCAGAGCCUGACUGCCUGUAGGAUUACCAAGCCAAACUGGUCGAAGUUGAGUCUAGAAAUGCUUUAGUUAUAUAAGGGAAUUGAUUGUGGAAGGGAAUGUAAGGCUCUUUUUACUCCUUUACCUUAUGGCCUUUUGAUCUGAGUCAUCCUCUUCUCUUCUACGGGGUUUAAGAACUAGGCCUUCUAAUCUAUCUAUUAGGAUGACGUGUUACUAAUCCAUAGACUUAUAGGAUUGAUGGAUUCAAUUCUUAGUUCAGUUCCUACUAUUUCUGUGUGUUGACAGUUGAUCCCAGAACCUUGAUAUGAUGAUGUUGAGUGGUCAUGCCACUAUCUUGCAGGAUGUCUCAAAUAUUUUGAGCAUUCACAGCCGCUACGCUGUCUGAGUCAUCCCAGGUUUCUAAAUAGUCUGAUUCAUUUGCAAAUCCUUUCUUUCCAUUCCCAAUGUCCUUUUGGUCAGAAUAAGCACACUAACCGGUCAGUUGAGGUACUCUAUUGCCUCGACAUAUAUGUUGGAGCUAUUAUUAUGACCCUAGGUAUUGUAGGGAGUCACCUAGUAAUCUAGCCAUGUUUUGUGUUCCCGGUGUGAUAAUUCUGGCCACCAUCCUCGAAAGCAUCCCGUGAUGCCAUGUAGUGGUAGGUAUUCUAUUCAUGGGUUCUUGAACCCGAGAUUCCCCCUAUUUAUCUCAUGGUUAUAGUGUUGCUAGUUUCUUUAGGAUAUUAGUAACCUUUGUUAGUCCUCGAGGUCCGUGGUAUUUCCUCCUUCCAAAUACUAUGAGCCACUUAUGGCAGAAGAUUGUUGUAUCAAAAGAUCACAACCAGAGUGCUCUUAAUGAGUUCUGCAUUCUACGUUGUGAAUCUGCCAGUCCUACCUAUCUGCAUGGGUUGUCCGGAAGAAAUGUUGAUCUUUGCUCGACAUACUAAUCUAUGCAUCCACAACUCAGAAAAUUAUAUGUUCCUCGAGUUGUUCCUCUUCAGUUGUAUUCCAACCAUCUUCUAUCAGUUGAUAGUCAAGAGUAGUUGUGCAUUGGUGUUAUCGAUGCCUAUUAUUCAUGUGAUCCGUCAAGCCAUUCCAUUCCGGAAUGACUAGGAGAAACAAACUCCAGUACCUCAUCCAUAUCCAGGAUUGGGUCAAAGUUGUUGUGUUCUAGAGAUCAAAUGCCAUCCAGCUUUUGCUCUGUUCUACCCUGGAGUAUUACCCCUUUUAUGUCAGGACUGUCAUGAGAAUUGCACCACCUCUUAUGAAUUGUUGACGCAGUAAUACUUCUUGCCAUCAUUGUUCAUUCCUCAGUUCCGUGUUAUUAUAACCGGAAUGCCGACAAGUGAACCGUGAUGUGUGAAAUCAAUACUCCGAGCAACUCGUUGCUUUGUAGUAAAUGGACAAUAUUCUUAUUCUUAGCGUGUUGGUUUUUGAGCUACCAUUCUAAGAUUGAUCGUGCUACCUAGUCCAUAUCUCUGGGUGCACUCAUCGACCAAUGAGUUAGGAUUGUGGCAAUCCCUCGCUCCUUGAUCAUAUCGUCUUGCCCUGAAAAGCAAGAUUGUUCUUGAGCUUAAUAACAUAUCGGUGGUUCGUGAUUUUCCGAAUAUCUUCUCGGAAAUAUUACCAGGUUGUUCCCUGAUCGCUAUGUUGAAUUCGUGAUCAUGUUGGCUUUUCUAUAAACCACCCCUUCUGCAAGAAUCUAUGUUGGAUACCCCUGAGCUAGAUGGUUAAGCUAAACAGCAACUUGGAGAGUUGGAAGAUAAAAGGCUUUGCCGAAUUUGGUUCUUUCUGAAGGGAUAUCUUUGUGUUGUGUGUGUGUUGAAGAAAGAUGAUAUCUUCACCAAUUGGUCCUCGUGAUCAGUUGUCGGAUCUAUUGUCUUGUCAAAACUUUGACUUGAUUAUGGGCUAUCGUCAAGUCAAAUCAGAACCAACAAUGUUCGUAGUGUUGUCUUACUCGUGGUUGAUCCCUCGAGAAUACACCAUUACAUCUUUUGGUCUGACCAAUGCUAUCACCGUGUUCACAUGAUGGUGGAAGUCCAGUGAUAUGGAAAUUCCGAUGAGUUGUUGUUGAGCCCAUCAGCAGCAUUUUGUCUCCCCCAUGAUUCAUGUUGAACAUCAACCUAGUGUUGAAAACCUUGUAAGCAAUGCCUUCGUGUUCCGUUCAUGAAGCUUAUGCUGGAUAAAAGAAGUGACUUUCUCUAAAUUCACGUGCACCAGGUGUAAGUUGGCACCAUGAAUUUGAGAAAGGUUUGUUUUGUUUCCCUUGGAAUCAUCCCAAAUCAGUCAUGCAUAUGUGCGAAGUAUUCUAUGGUUUGGUAGAUUAAUUACCUCCACUCCAUAUGUUUUUCUAGCACACCAAGCCACUGAUUGGUUUGUUCAAGGAGAAGAAGUUUCUUCUUAGGAGCUAGAUUUAUGCAAGGACUUCGAUAUCCUCGUUGAUGGUUCCCUUCUGAACUCGGUAGUGUUUCAUUGUAAGACUUCCAGGUGGCCAUGCUUGUCUAGGACAACGUGUUCACACGCUUGUAGCAGAACCGGCUCAUGUUUUGGAGCUUACUAUCGUAGUUCAUUCCCCGAGAAUCUCGCAACGUCAUCUCGUCGAUUUGUGUUGCAAAACUUCAUUUUUCUUUCUAGACUUGGUGAGUCUGGAAUAUCCUGACACCAACCAGAUCUGAAUUUUAGGCAGAUAUGAUGGUUGGAACACACUCCAAGAACUAUAAUAUUGGUCUCCCUGUAACCGGUAAAGUGGAUGUGGUGGCCAACACACCCAGCCGAAAGACCUAUUAUUGUAGUAUCUUGAUUGAGGAAGUUGGCCACCGCCCCAUAAGGAUUUCGUAGGAUUUACUCCAGAAGUUGUUCCUUAUGGAUCUAUUGUUUUCCGAAGUCCGACCACUACUUGAUGGCUAUGUUGAUGCUUUAAAGCAUGACCGUGGUAACCAGUAAAUCAAGGAGAACAUUAGAAGUGGAGUGCUAAAUGUCUCUCGGUCGAUCAUCCAGAUUUCAUUUCCUUGGCCUCGCUAAGGUGAAAUCUGAGAAAGGGUUGUCUUUCUAUGCAUAUGCAUUGUCCAACACUAUUCGUCAAGGUAGUAAGAUGUGUUGCCAGGAUCCUCGACUCAGAUGUUGGUAGAACCUUGAUGAAUAUGAAAAUGCUCAAGUUCUUGAGAGCACGCGCAAGCACUAGGUUUUACAGUUGGCGUUAACUGGGAUUUGCAUCCAGCUUCUUCGGUUAUGUUAUAACCUUUUCAAACAGUGGACUCACUCUCGACUGUUGAGUUUUUUCCCCAGUUACCAGAAUCAUUCCCAACAUUUGCAUUUUGUUCCCAGUUUGCACCUCAGUAGUUGUUGUUCAGGAUCAUCUUCAAAAGUGCACUUACCAUGGGUCUCAUCCAUUUUCGAUGAUAAGCAAAAAUCAUCCAUUGCGUUGUCUUCAAACCACAUCAUCCUUUCUAGUCCAAGUAUAUCAUUCCUUUAAACUCCUUCAAAUGAUCGAUUGUGAUUGCCUUAGGCUGGCAUAAAGAGUUUCAAUGAUCUCCUAAUCAAAAGUAAUUCUUUUUGCCACUUAAGGGAAUAAUUCUACGAGUCACCUUCCCCGAGGUAUCACGUUACGAAAUCAUGGAAAAUAUUUUCUUGCUACUUUGAAAUUCAUGCUCCAUCUUAUUCGAGUAUGGAAUUGUUGCCUACCUAGUGAACCUUCGCCAUCCGUUUCACUCCAUCCCUCUAGGUGUAUGCUUCGUGUCUUAGCUCAAGAGAUGUUACUAUGUCUCAUUCCAUGAGUUGAUCUUGUGAUCAUUAAGAUGAUCCUAAGUUGCUCGAACCUCAGGGAGGUUGAUUCUUCUUAAAUUCUCCCUUUCUACUCAUUGUCAUGUUGGAUGUAGUUUUCAAAGCAAGACGUCGAGAUCAAGGUGAUGCAAUGAAUCAAAAUCCUCGAGAAAGACGUCUGGAUCAUGAAGGUCGUGUUAGCUGUGUAUCCCCUCUGUCUUCUUACUUCACGUCUUGAAUCUCGGGACGAGAUUCUUGUUUAGUGGGGGCGAGUUGUCACAGCCCUAGAAUUUGAUUGCAAUUAGUAUCAUAAGCAUCCAUGCAUCAUGGCUAUAUUUGUUUGAAAUUUGAAAUGGGGAUGACAAGCCCUAGCACUAAAUGAAAUGCAAUUAGGAUCAAAAUAAAAAUAUUUUCAAUGAACCCAGAAUGCCCUUUAGAAAAGUUCAUUAUUUUUGAUAAAGGUGAAAACCUCUGCUAAUAAUGAUGCACAUUUUUUAGGCCAUUCUGGAUUUUUGAAUAACCCAUAUUGUAUUUGAAUUGGGGCAUUUAAAUACUAUUAAUAUUUUUAAAAUGCUCCAAUAAUUCUGAAAAUAGUUAAGGGCCUCUGUAAUAAUUCAUUUAAUGCCCACAAUUAUUUUCAGGAUUUAUUAAAAUGAUUUGGGUUAUAAACUAAAUCAAAACAAAAUAACAUAAAUAGAAAACAGAAUUAAAAAGAACAGAGAGAUCUACCUGGGCCAACCUACCUGGCCUUCUAGCCCACCUGGUGGCCCAGCUGGCGGCCCAGCCCACCAGGGGCACCCGUGUCUUCUCCUUCCUCUGCCAGAAGGACCGAGGUGCGUGGCCACUGCACGCCGGCACGCGCACGGCCACCGCACACCACGUCCUGCUUGCCGCCGAGGGCCUGGACGCCUCCAUGACGCCACGCAGCCCCCUGGUCCCCCUCGCUCCUCUCCCUAACUCUCUGCUCUCCCCCUCGCCCUCUCCCUCUCCUCUGAUCGCCAUGGCCGACGCUGCCGAGCGCUAGCCACCGUGAAGCUUGUAGCCACCGUGCUCCCCUCGCCUCCCCGACGCGCCAAGGAGCUCCUCCGUUGACCUCUACAUCGUCUUCGUCAAGCCGCGCGAGCGGACGUGCCUCGUCUCACCGGCCCCGACCCCUUCCUCCUCCUCGGUCACCAGAGAUCCAUCUCGCCGCCCCGACUGCUCCUGGCCUCCUCCGAGCUUGUCGUCUGCACCGUUGCAACCGCCGUAAGCCUCUCCCUCGAACCCCCCUCUCCCUUGUCCCGUUUUCAUGUUGUAGCUCCUACUUCACUGACGACCAAAGCCGCCGUCCUCCAUGGCCGAUGAUGUCCUCGCUCCUGAGCAUCUCCGCUCGGUCCAGUGGCACCAGCGUGCUCCUGGAGCUCCCAGGAAUCCACCCCGCCGCUUAGCUCGCUCGUCAGCCUAGCACAGCGCCUUGCCCGUGCUAAGCCGAACUCCGGCCGCCGCCAGCCGUCGUUGCAGUCGUCGUUUCCGGCCUCCUCUCACCUAGCCGCAUGCUCCGUUGGAUGCGGCGCACGUCCAGCCGCGCUCAGGGCCAAACCGCGAGUCGAACGGUCGCCGGACGGCGAAUCUCGAGCGCCUCCGCUGCCCCGUUUGGUCGCCGGCGGCUAGCCGCCGGUGCGCUGACGUGGCCACCUAGUUAGGGCUAAUCGCCCACUAAUUAACCCCCCUGACCCACUUACACACAGGCCCCACCGGUUUAGUUAGUCAGCUAACGAAAUUAGUUAGAACUAAUCCAACCCCGCGGGACCCACGCGUCAGCUUUGACCUUGCUGAUGUGUCCUUUGACCGGCCCCACACGUCAGUGACUCAUGCCAGUAGUGUGUCACUGACCAGUGGGCCCCACUGGUCAGGCUUGACCUGGCCAGCCACAGUUGACCUGAUGACGUCAUUCUUAUGUCAUGCUAACACAGUAAAACCUUUUCUAAAUGAUUUAUUUAUUUUCAGAAAAUAUCCAAAACUUUGAAAAAUUAUUGAAAUUAAUCUAUAACUCCAAAUAAGAUAAAUUAUAUAUGAAAAAUUAUCAGAAAAAUUCAAGGAAUCUGUUUAUGGCAAUUGCAUGCAUGUUUGAACAACCUAGGGUUGCUGUACAGGGCAAUUUGCAUAAAUGACAUUUAAAUAAGCACAUAUGGAGUUUGAAUUUGAACCCUUGGUUGAAACCAACUUCAUUUAAUAUGGUUGCUAGUUGCAUUAGCUCAAUCAACAGCAUAUUGCCAUGACAUUAUCAUGCAUCAUAAUUGUUGCAUUGCAUUGAUUGUGUUCCUCUUUGUUUGCCGGUAUUUGUCCCCUCUCGAUAGACGUGGUUCCGACGAUGAGUUCGAUGACACCGAUGAAGAACUAUACUAUCUUCAGAAGUGCCAGGCAAGCAAAACCCCCUUGUUCAUUCCGAUACAAUCCCACUCUCUCGCUCCUGCUCUCUUUUACUGCAUUAGGACAACAACGAUUCAACUGUUACAUGUUGCGAUAGUUGAGCCCCUUCCCUCUGCAUGACCUGUCAUUGCCACAGUAAAUAGAUGAAACCCACUAGCAUGAGUAGGAGUUGUUUGAGCCCUGAUGUGCCUACUCAUUCAUGCUUGUUUGUCAUGCCUGCUACUGCUUAGAGUUGAGUCAGGUCUGAUUUAUCGGGGAUGAAUCGGAGGUGUGUAAACAUGUCCUACUGUUGAGAGCUAAGUGUGUGAACACGAUUUGGUAAAGGUAGCGGUGAGAGGCCAUGUAGGAGUACAUGGUGGGUUGUCUCAUUGAAACUGUCCUCAGGAACUGAGUUCUGUGUUUGUGAUCCAUGAACAGCUACUACCACUCAUUGGGAUACUUAAUUGACCCUAUCGGCUUCUUAAUCACCCUAGUACUCUGUCCAGGAGUUGCAACUGGUUUCUGGUGUUCGUAGGUUAUGUGUUGGCGGCCAUGCGUAGCGCUGACCCUAGGGGUGGGCUAUGUUGCGGUAGAUACACCGUGGCAUGGUGUACCGGGCGCCCGUUUGGUGUCUCGGGAACCCUGUUCACAUCGUUCCGGACCGUAUGUGGAAACCUCGGCCGGACUCCCUGCGGAUGGAACCUGAAUAGGCGAUAAACCUGGACUAGAGACUUAGGUGUUUAGGUAGGCCGUGGUCGACACCCUCAUUAGGCUUCCGCUUGAAGGUUGCCGAGUAGAUGUCGUGUAAACGACGGUAAGUGGUGGGAGCGUGUGUGAAGAAGUACACCCCUGCAGGGUUAUCAUUAUCUAUUCGAAUAGCCGGAUUCCUCGAAUAUAGAAACUUGGACCCCUUGCAUAGUUCAUAGACAAGUGAAAGUGGUUACUCUAAAACUCGCAAGAUAAGAGUGAGUGCUAUGGAUGGCGUUCUCGCAGGGAGACGGGAGCGGAUUCAUAGUGGUGUAUUGAUAUGGUGAAUUUGUGGACUCGUGUGCGCCACCUCAAAUGAGUUGCUUGCAGUCGUAGUUCAGGUUAGCCACUGAGUCAAAGCUGGCUUGCUGCAGUUAAACUCCACCACCCUCUUUGUUGAUACCGAUGCAUAUGUAGUUAGUUCUGAUGUAAGUCUUGCUGAGUACAAUUGUACUCACGUUUGCUUAAAUUAUGUUUUUGCAGAGAGGCUUCAGUCUCGCUAGUAGUUCUGCGUGGACUUUGACGUUUAGCUUGAUACCUCAGCUAUGAUCUUGUGCCCUCGGCAGGAUCUGGUAGAUAAGGCUUCUUAGCCUUUUUCAUUUGUACAUGUAUGUACUCAGACAUGUUAAGCUUCCUCUUGUGCCUUGAUUUGUAUGCUAUGUUUGUUGGGUCAUGAGACCCAUGUUUGUAGUAUCCCACUCCCCGGAGCCUAAGGAUUAAAUACUUGAGUUGUAGAGUUAUGUUGUGAUGUCAUGCUGUAUUUACACAUAUGGAGCAUAUUGUGUGUAUGAUUGAAAUGCUUGGUAUGUGUGGGAUCCGACAACCUAGUUAUUUAUCCUUGGCAGCCUCUCUUAUGGGGAAAUGUAGUCUAGUGCUUCCAUGAGCCAUAGUAGUCCGCUUCAGCCCGGUUCACCGGAGUCCUGCUAGCCCAGCACUACUGCUCAGGACACUUUACUGGCUGGCAUGUGUUUCACUUCGUUCUUGUGUCUGUCCCUUCGGGGAAAUGUCACGCGGUGACAUCCGGAGUCCUGCCUAGCCUGCUACAGCCCGGGUUUCCGGAGUCCUGUUAGCCUAGUGCUACAGCCCGGAUUCACACGCUGCUGACCGACAUGCUCGAUGUGAUUCAUGUAUGCAUGUCCCCAUAGGUUAGUGUCGUUUGGUUUCACGACUAGCCAUGUCGGCCCGGGUUCUCUGUCAUAUGGAUGCUAGCGACAAUAUCAUAUACGUGAGCCAAAAGGCGCAAAUGGUCCCGGGCCAUGGUAAGGCGACACCCGUGGGAAUACCGUGCGUGAGGCCGCAAAGUGAUAUGAGGUGUUACCAGCUAGAUCGAUGUGAUUUGGAAUCGGGGUCCUGACAGAAACGGGCCAAGGCGCCUUUGGCGAAAUUUGUGCCGUUGUCGGUGAUGAUGCUGUGUGGUAUGCCGUACCGAAUUGUGAUAUCGGUGAUGAAAGUCACAGCAGUUGGACCGUUUAGCUUCUUGAUUGGCUUCGCUUAUAUCCACUUGGUGAACUUGUCCACUGCGACAAGUAAGUGAGUUAAGCCACCUCGUGCUGUCUUGAAUGGUCCCACCAUUUCUAGACCCCAAACUGUGAAAGGCCAGGGAAUGGGGAUGGUCUUGAGUGCGGAAGCUGGCUGGUGCGGCUUGGAGCUGAACUUCUGGCACCCUUUGCAUUUUUGGACCAACUCCUUGGCCUCUUCCAAGGCAUUUGGCCAGAAGAAACCAUGUCGAAAGGCUUUGGCGACGAGUGCUCUUGAAGCCGCAUGGUGGCCGCACUCACCUUGAUGGAUGUCUUUGAGAAUCGCUUGGCCUUACUCUGGCUCUACGCAACGCUGGUAGACACCAAGGAUGCUGCGCCUGACCAGCUCUCUGUUGACUAUGGUGUAGGCUGCCACCCGGCGUUGUACUUGCCGAGCUGAGGUCUCAUCAAUCGGCAGCUCUUUGUUCACCAGGAACUUGAGGAUGGGCUGGGCCCAUGAGGUCCUGCUAUUUCUUUGACUGCCAGAACUGCGACUUGUAUGAGGGCGGUUGGGCUGGGAGGCGGCGGGUUGGAGUCAACAACCGCUUGCUGGGUUAAUGAAGUCCCCAGGCCGACUGGCGCGGCCCUUGGACCGAGUUCUGGAGUCUUCGAGUCCGCCAUCGCAGUCCCCGGGCCGGGUUCGACUGUGGCGGCUUUGGAGUCAUCCGCCAAAAUCCCCGUACCGACUGCCGGAGCUCUGGAGUCGGAUCCGACAUCUUCGGGAGGAGCCGGCACAAAAAUGGAGUCUGAUUCUGGUGAAGGCUUGACAGACGGCUUGAGGAGGCGUUGAAGGGCGACGCCAGAUGGUAUUGCUUGGCGGGUAGAGCCGAUUCGUGCCAAGGCAUCUGCUUGGUCGUUGUCGUUUCUUGGCACAUGGAGGAACUCGCACCCUUCGAAAUACCCGCUGAGCUGCUGCACGAGGAAACGGUAACUCGCCAUGUUUGCCUCUUUUGCGUCCCAGUCACCAGAUGAUUGCUGGACCACUAAGUCUGAGUCGCCAUAACACAAGAUCCGGUGGAUGCCAAGUUCUUUGGCAAGCCGGAGCCCAUGAAUGAGCGCCUCGUACUCGGCGAUGUUGUUGGAGGCGGCGAAAUGGAUUUGUAAUGCGUAUUUGAGCUUGUCGCCUUUAGGAGAGGUGAGGACGACACCGGCUCCCAAGCCGGUGCGCAUCUUGGAGCCGUCGAAAUGCAUCCGCCAAUGGGUGGAGUCAGGAGCUGGAGGUAGGUACUGGGUCUCGGCCCAGUCGAUGAGGAAGUCGGCCAAUGCUUGUGACUUGAUAGCAGUGCGGGGCUGGUAGUGGAUGGUGUAAGGAGCCAGCUCUAUGGCCCACUUGGCCACUCGGCUAGAAGCAUCUCGGCUACCAAUGAUCUUGGCAAGUGGGGCCGUGCAGACCACCGUGAUUGGAUGCUCUUGAAAGUAAGGCUUCAAUUUCUUGGCAGUAAAGUGUACACCAUAGCACAUCUUCUGGUAGUGGGGGUAGUUCUGCUUGGAGGUCGACAGUACUUCGCUCAGGUAAUAUACCGGUCUCUGGAUUGGUAGUGCCUUGCCUUCCUCCUUGCGUUCCACUACAAUGACCGUGCUGACCACCCGGCUGGUGGCGGCGAUGUACAGGAGCAUAGGUUCCUUUGGAGUCGGAGCCGCCAGGACGGGUGGAGUAGUCAGCAUCUUCUUCAACUAGAGAAAAGCUUCGUCCGCCUUAUGGUUCCACUCAAAAAAUAGUGGUCUUCUUCAUGAGUUGGUAUAAGGGGAGAGCUUUCUCGCCCAGCCGACUGAUGAGUCGGCUGAUGGACACCAAGUAGCCAGUGAACUUUUGUACAUCCAGCAGUCGGCUGGGUACCUCCAUUCUCUCAAUGGCCUUGAUUUUUACUGGGUUGCAUUCUAUGCCGCGUUCAGAGACCAGGAACCCAAGGAGCUGGCCGGCUGGUACUCUGAAGACACACUUCUCGGGACUGAGCUUGAUCUGGAAUCAGGACAGGUUCUCAAAAGUCUCCUUGAGGUCUUCCAGCAGUGUUCCACGCUUUUCCGUCUUCACCACCACGUCGUCCACGUAGACGUGGGUGUUCCUGCCGAGCUGCUUGAGGAGGCACUUCUGCAUGCAACGCUGAAAGGUGGCGCCGGCAUUCCUUAAGCCGAACGUCAUGGUGAGGUAGCAGAAGGCUCCAAAUAGCGUGAUGAAGGUGGUCUUCAGUCUGUCAGCCGGGUUCAGCUUGAUCUGGUGAUAUCCUGAGUAUGCAUCCAAAAAACUCAACAGCUCGCAUCCGGCUGUGGAGUCCAUCACCUGAUCGAUUCUUGGUAGAGCAAAUGGGUCCUUGGGGCAGGCCUUGUUGAGGCUCGUGUAGUCAAUACACAUUCACCACUUCUUGUUCUUCUUCAGUACCAGGACUGGAUUUGCUAGCCAUUCUGGAAAGAACACUUCCGUAAUGAAGUCGGCUGCUAGGAGUCGGGCUAUCUCUUCUCCGACAACUCUUCUCUUCUCUUCUGAUAAGCGGCGCUGGGGUUGCCUGACCGGCUUUGCAUCAGAUCGGACAUGUAACUUGUGCUCGGCGAAUUCCAUCGGUACACAUGGCAUGUCUUUGGGGGACCAUGCGAAGAUGUCCCGAUUCUCACGGAGGAAAUCGAUGAGCUCGCCUUCCUAUUUGCUGUCGAGGUUUGCACCUACGAUGGCGUACCUCUCUGGGUGCUCCGGAUCCAAGGGUAUCUUCUUUGGCUCUUUGGCCGGCUUGAACGAACCCUCAGCCUCCGACUCUUUUGGGUUGGGCGAUAUCUCAGGCUGCUUGUCGGCCAUCGCCACAACUCGCUCAAGGAGCCGCUUCUCGACCGCGAUUACCAGGGACUCAGCCAGCCGACUACUCUCAGCCGCGCAAGCAGACGACUUCCGAUAGUCGCCAGGCACAAUCAGAAUUCCCCUGGAACUGGGCAUCUUCAUCUUGAGGUAGGCAUAGUGGGGGACCGCCAUGAACUUGGCCAAGGUGGGUCGGCCAAGCAGCGCAUGGUAUGGGCUCUUAGGGUCCACCACCUCAAACCAAAUAGACUCUUUGCGGAAGUGAUCUUUGUCUCCAAAGAGGACGUCCAUCAGGAUCUUGCCGAUUGGCGAGCAGGAAAGCCCAGGAACAAUGCCGUGGAACAUAGUUCGGCUGUUCUGAAGCUGUCUUUGCUUGAUUCCUAACUUCUCCAUGGUGUCCUUGUACAGGAUAUUGAUGUUGCUGCCUCCGUCUAUCAGAACUCACGAGAAACGCACGGCUCGUCUGUCCGUAGCAAAGGAGGCGUCCAGGACCAAGGCAUAGGAGCCCGGACUCGGCAUUACUUCUGGGUGGUCAGCCCUGCUCCAGCUGAUGGGCUUCUCGGACCAGUGCAUGAACUCUGGCGUCUCCGACGCUACUGCAUUCACCUCUUGUCGCUGCAGCCGCCUGCUGCGUCGAUCAUCAGCCACACUGAUGAACACCACAUAGGCUCCGUGCUCUUCAGGGUAUUCAUCUUGUACCACGCCGACUGGCCUGAUAGCCGGCUGCUAGGGCGGCAGCGGAGGCGGCUGCCCAGCAGGCGGGGGAGGCAGGAGGCCAUCUCCCUUGGCGAUCCUGGUGAGCCAGUGGCACUUCCGGUUGGUGUGAUUUGACGGCUUUGUGCCGCUAUGGAACUUGCAAGGUCCAUCCAAGGUCUGCUCAUAGGAGAAGGCCGGCAACCAGUUUGGCUUGCCGCCUUUCUGUUGCUUGGGCGGAGGCUGCUCAUCUGGCUGUUGGGCUUCAACGGUCGUGACUUGCCGGCUGCUGGAAGCCGGCUGCACGGCCUUGCGCUUGUGGUCGCCCUGCUGUUGUCGCCGGUUGGCGUCUGCCGCCGGAGUUCUUGGAUCUUGAGGAGCCACUUUGCCAGUUGUGCUGAUUUGAAUCUCCGCCUUCAUGGAGGAGUCAGCCGUGGCGUACUUGUCCGCUAUGAUCAGCAGCUCGUCGAGGGUUUCUGGCUCGUCGUAGAGGAGCUUGUGCUUGAGGAGGGUGCCUUCUCUGCACCCGGCUGUGAAGUACUCGAUGGCCUGCACCUCGUGCACGCCCUCACAGGAGUUCCGAAGCUCGGCCCAACACGUGAGGUAAUCGCGAGUCGACUCAUCGGGGCCUUGCACGCACAAGGAGAGCUGACGGGGCUUGGGAGGACGCUUGUACGUGCUGGUGAAGUUGCGGACGAACGCUUUGGUGAAGUCGACCCAGCUGCGGGGCUUUAGGCUGUUCAGCCAUGUCCGGGCCGUGCCCUGGAGCAUGAGCAGAACGUACUUGACGGCGUCACGCUUGUUGCCGUUUUCUAUGCUGACAGCCGUGGAGUAGUCCACUAGCCAGUCUUCUGGCUUCACGGAGCCGGUAUACUUGGGCGUGUCUCUUGGGAGCGUGAACCCUCUGGGAAAGGGCUCGUCUCGAAUGCGGGGCCCAAAGCAAGGCGGACCCAGCUCGUCUUCUUCUUCCAGCGCCAGGGAUCGGUGAAGCCGGUCGAUCCGGUGGCGAGCGUCAUUCUCUACAACUCCCUCUCGGCGGCCAAGGCGGUCGCCGAGAGUUAGAUGAUCAACAGGCGGCGGGGAGACUCGCCUCUCCUUGCGAGGAGGGGGAGGCGGACAGUCGUCCCGUCGUUCCACUGCCCUCGGGCGGCCGUCUGUGUCGCGCUCUAUGGUAAUGCGAGUCCGACUGUGGCUGAUAGUCGGCUCCUUGUCUCUUCUUCCUCGGGCGCCGCCAGUCGGCUUCUGAGACAUCGCGCCUUAAUCUCGGUGAAGGUCGUCGUUUGGCCGCUGCGUGCCUCCGUGCGGCAGCCAUCCUCGUUCUGCGCGGCGGCCGCGUCGAGGAGCCGCUGGACUCGCUCCAUCAUGAGGCGGCAUUCUUCACCCUCGAAAUUGUCCAGCUCAUCCGCCGCUGCCUGGGCGGCUCCGAUGUUCUCCGCUGGUGUAGCGUACACGGGGUGGCUUGCCCCAAACAGGUUGGCGAUGGCUACGCCGUGCUGUUGGACCGUGCCAAGGCGGCUGGGCCCCGCCGGGGCCGGCGAGCCGCCGACGGCGCGAUCCAUCUCCCGCUGGUAGGCUUCUGACAGGCGCCUCAUGCUGGCCAGCUUCUUCGCGCCUUCAACGAGCUGAAGGUGGCGCGCCUCCAACGUCUCUGCAUCAGCGUCUUCCGGAAUGGGCGCAGUUAGGUCCUGUAGCACCGCGCCGAGUGAGUCGUGCGCUCCUCCGCCGGGGAGCUCAUCAUGACUGAUGACUAGCACCUCGGUGAUGGUGCUUCUGUCACUCUCCGUGCAAGGGAGGGGUUCGUCGUAGACCACCACAUUGGUGGGGAAGGCGUCGAGCGACGCGGUGUCGGAGUCGACCAGCAUCGGGUCGGUGGAGCCCACAGACUCCAAGUCUACGACAGGCUCGCCAAAAACGUGGAGUUGAUCGAGGAGGCCCGCGAGGAGGCUCUCAGGGCCGCCCGUGCCUGCGUUGGAUGCAGGUUCGUCGAAGAGGCGGACCUCGCCAACAAGUUCGGCCAGGCAGCUGGUUGCGCAGGCGAUCUCAACACCGCUUAGCGCGUUGGUGCAAACUCCGUCUGGCGUGCCUGGGUGGUUGCGCUCGCCAGGGAGAAAAAGGGUUCCCGUCCAGAACAGAUCUCCGAACGGCAGUGCACCAGGCCCCACGGUGGGCGCCAAAUGUCGGGGGUUUGGUGCGACAUAUGCCAAAGGAUGGCUUAUCAUGGUGGGGGCGAGUAGAAUGUCGCCGGUGCCUGGAAACGGGAUGAGGCGAAGACAUGCACGCCGGCGAAUCUUACCCAGCUUCAGGGCUCUCCGAGGAGAUAAUACCCCUACUGCUGCUCUGCGGGGUCUCCGCAUGAUCACUAUGGCAAGGUGUUUACACGGUUGCUCCUUGAGCUGUUUCUAGGAGGUAGGAGAGGGCAAGGCUAGCUCUCUCCCUUCUAUAUGAUCUGGUCUAGAGCUAAUGGGUUCCAACCUUUUGCAUGGGUGCCCUGGGGGAUUUAUAUAGGCCUACCCCCCAGGGGUACAAUGGUAAUCCGGCUGGACACGGGCCCAGCCGUCAGCGCCUCCGGCCUCCGUCUUCUCUGCCGACCGCUGGGGCCCGCCGGCUGGCGGGCCCCGCUGACUGGCCUGGUACGGAGCCGACAUGCCGCGUCCGCCGCGGACGGGUCUUGCCGGCUGCUGGUUACUGUAGCCGUGCUUCUGAUGACGCGGGCUUGAUCAUGGGGUCGUGGCAACAGCCCCGCCGCCUGGCGGGCGAUCACUAUUGCCACUCUCCAUCACAUCUUGAUUAAUGGUGCGUGGGCCCCGGGGGAGGGCUCGACCGACUCCCCCAGGCCGACUUUCGACGGGUCCGACUAGUGGUCCUCCUGCCGUCUCUUGGAGUCUCACCAUCUGGUGGGACCCACCGCCUCUGAGCCGUACAGACAAGCCAUCGUGGGUGCAGGAUUCGGUCCUGCGGUGCUGAUGUAAGGGCCGGCACGGCAACAGUGCCACGCCGCACGGAGAUCUUCCGGGGUACAGCGUGCUGUGGCCAUGCCCGCCCUUGGUAAGGGGGGAGUGGGCUUCACUAUAGCCACUCCCCUACCCCGUCCCCCUUGACGAGGUAACGGGGUUUGUUGGAAUCGCAGGCCGACUCCCCAAAGCCGGCUUCUCCGGAAGUCGCCAGUCAGGAGUCGGCUUACCCUGCGGUCGUCCCUGGGACUCGGCCGCGAGUGGUCAGUCGGCCAUCUUGUCGUGGACUUCUUGAAGGCGGCUCUCCGUCCUGGGGUCUUGAGGGGCGCAUCCUGCUCCGAUGUCUUGAAAGGUUCUGGGGCUCGGGUGGGCCUACCUGUGGCCCAUUACUCCGACACCAGUACCAUAAACCCACCAUAUACCUUCCUCAAAACAGCCACCAUACCUACCUAGCAUGGCAUUUCCAUAGCCAAUCCGAGAUAUAUUGCCAUGCAACUUCCAUCAUCAUCAUAUACAUGACUUGAGCAUUCACUGUCAUAUUGCUUUGCAUGAUCGUAAGAUAGCUAGCAUGAUGUUUUCAUGACUUGUCCAUUUUUUGAUGUCAUUGCUACGCUACAUCAUUGCACAUCCCGGUACACCACCGGAGGCAUUCAUAUAGAGUCAUAUCUUUGUUCUAGUAUCGAGUUGUAAUAUUGAUUUGUAAGUAAAUAAAAGUGUGAUGAUCAUCAUUAUUAGAGCAUUGCCCCACUGAGGAAAGGAUGAUGGAGACUAUGAUUCCCCCACAAGUCGGGAUGAGACUCUGGACUUUAAAAAUGAAUAAAAGAGGCCAAAGAAGCCCAAGUAAAAAAAGAGAGGCCAAAGAAGCCCACCAAAAAAACAAAAAAAAUGAGAGAAAAAGAGAGAAGGGGCAAUGUUACUAUCCUUUUACCACACUUGUGCUUCAGGGUAGCACCAUGUUCUUCAUAUAGAGAGACUCUUGAGUUAUCACUUUCAUAUACUAGUGGGAAUUUUCAUUAUAGAACUUGGCUUGUAUAUUCCGAUGAUGGGCUUCCUCAAACGCCCAAGGUCUUCAUGAGCAAGCAAGUUGGAUGCACACCCACUUAGUUUUCAGUCUGAGCUUUCAUACACUUAUAGCUCUUAGUGCAUCCGUUGCAUGGCAAUCCCUACUCACUCACAUUGAUAUCUAUUGAUGGGCAUCUCCAUAGCCUGUUGAUACACCUAGUUGAUGUGAGACUAUCUUCUCCUUUUUGUCUUCUCCACAAUCACCAUUCUAUUCCACCUAUAGUGCUAUGUCCAUGGCUCACGCUCAUGUAUUGCGUGAAAGUUGAAAAGGUUUGAGAACGUCAAAAGUAUGAAACAAUUGCUUGGCUUGUCAUCGGGGUUGUGCAUGAUGUGAAUAUUUUGUGUGGUGAAGAUGGAGCAUAGCCAGACUAUAUGAUUUUGUAGGGAUAACUUUCUUUGGCCAUGAUAUUUUGAAAAGACGUGAUUGCUUUAUUAGUAGGCUUGAAGUAUUAUUGUUUUUAUGUCAAAUGAUAGACUAUUGCUUUGAAUCACUCGUGUCUUAAUAUUCAUGCCAUGAUUAGAUUAUGUGAUCAAGCUUAUGCUAGGUAGCAUUCCACAUCAAAAAUUAUCUUUUUAUCAUUUACCUACUCGAGGACGAGCAGGAAUUAAGGCUGGGGGUGCUGAUACGUCUCCGUCGUAUCUAUAAUUUUUGAUUAUUCCAUGCCAAUAUUCUACAACUUUCAUAUACUUUUGGAAACUUUUUAUACUAUUUUUGGGACUAACAUAUUGAUCCAGUGCCCAGUGCCAGUUCUUGUUUGUUGCAUGUUUGUUGUUUCACAGAAUAUCCAUAUCAAACAGGGUCCAAACGGGCGUAGAUUAUCUUUGGAAUAUUCGGGGAAUAUGGGAAGAAAAAUCCAGGCGAGACGGUUCCUGAGGGGGCAUGAGGCAGGGGGGCACUCCCCACCCCCUGGGCGCGCCCUUGACCCUCGUGGGCGCCCUGUAAGGCGGUUAAUGCUAUUCUUUUGCCGCAAGAAAGCUAAUUUUCAGGAAAAAAUCUCGAUGAAGAUUUCAGUCCAAUCAGAGUUAUGGAUCUCCAUAUAUAUACGAAACGGUGAAAGGGCGGCCGGGGGGAACGCGGAAAAAGAGAGAGACAGAGAGACAGAUCCAAUCUCAGAGGGGCUCUCGCCCCUCCCACGCCAUGGAGACCAAGGACCAGAUGGGAAACCCUUCUCCCAUCUAGGGAGAAGGUCAAGUAAUAAGAAGAAGGAGGAGGGCUCUCUCCCCCUCUCUUCCGGUGGUGCCGGAACGCCGCCGGGGCCAUCAUCAUCACCGCAAUCUACACCAACAACUUCACUGCCAUCAUCACCAACUCUUCCCCCCUCUAUACAGCGGUGUAACCCCUCUUUUCCCGUUGUAAUCUCUACUUAAACAUGGUGCUCAACGCUAUAUAUUAUUUCCCAAUGAUGUAUGGCUAUCCCAUGAUGUUUGAGUAGAUCCAUUUUGUCCUAUGGGUUAAUUGAUGAUCGUGAUUAGUUUGAGUUGCAUGUUUUAUUAUUGGUUUUGUCCUAUGGUUCUCUCCGUGUCACACAAGCGUGAGGGAUCCCCGCUGUAGGGUUUGCAAUAUGUUCAUGAUUUUCUUAUGGUGGGUGGCGUGAGUGACAGAAGCACAGACCCGAGUAAAUAGGUUGUUUGUGUAUGGGAAUAAAGAGGACUUGAUACUUUAAUGCUAUGGUUGGGUUUUACCUUAAUGAUUUUUAAUAGUUGCGGAUGCUUGCUAGAGUUCCAAUCAUAAGUGCAUAUGAUCCAAGAAGAGAAAGUAUGUUAGCUUAUGCCUCUCCCUCAAAUAAAAUUGCAAUAGUGAUUACCGGUCUAGCUAUCGAUUGCCUAGGGACAAAUACCUUUCUUGUGUGACAACAAGCUCUCUACUAAACCCAACUUAGUUGUGUCUUUAUCUAAACAGCCCCUACUUUUUAUUUACGUGCUCUUUAUUAUCUUGCAAACCUAUCCAACAACACCUACAAAGUACUUCUAGUUUCAUACUUGUUCUAGGUAAAGCGAACGUUAAGCGUGCGUAGAGUUGUAUCGGUGGUCGAUAGAACUUGAGGGAAUAUUUGUUCUAACUUUAGCUCCUCGUUGGGUUCGACACUCUUACUUAUCGAAAGAGGCUACAAUUGAUCCCCUAUACUUGUGGGUUAUCACCAGCUCCCCUUUCCUUCUUCCCCUCUUCCCUUGCCUCCCCCCUCCUAGUUGGACUAGGAAAGGGGGUAACCUACUCCUAGUAGGAGUAGGAUUCCCCCCUUGGGGCGCGCCCUAUGAGGCCGACCAGCCCCCUCCUCCACUCCUUUAUAUACGGGGGAGGGGGCACCCCAUAUACACACAAGUUGAUUUGUUUGCCGUGUGCGGUGCCCCCCUCCAUAGAUUUCCACCUCGGUUAUAUUGUCGUAGUGCUUAGGCAAAGCCCUGCGUUGGUAACUUCAUCAUCACCAUCAACACGCUGUCAUGCUGAUGAAACUCUCCCUCGGCCUCAGCUGGAUCUAGAGUUCAAGGGACUUCACCGAGUUAAAUGUGUGCAGACCACGGAGGUGCCGUGCAUUUGGUAGUUCAUUUGUUGGAUCGCGAAGACGUUCGACUACAUCAACCACAUUACUCAACGCUUCCUCUUUUGGUCUAGGAGGGUACGUAGACACACUCUCCCCUCUCGUUGCUAUGCAUCUCCUAGAUAGAUCUUGCGUGAUCGUAGGAUUUUUUUUGAAAUACUGCAUUCCCCAACAGUGGCAUCCGAGCCAGGUCUUUGCGUAGAUGUUAUAUGCACGAGUAGAACACAAAGGAGUUGUGGGUGUGGGUAUAUACAUAUUGCUUUCCGUCACUAGUUGUUUCUUGAUUCGGCGGUAUUGUUGGAUGAAGCGGCCCGGACCGACAUUACAUGAUCGCGUUCAUGAGACUGGUUCUACCGAUGUGCUUUACACACAGGUGGCUGGUGGGUGUCAGUUUCUCCAACUUUAGUUGAAUUGGAUUCAAUGAACAAGGCUCUUUCUGAAGAUCAAAAGGCAAUCACUAUACCAUUUUGUGGUUUUGAUGCGUAGGUAAGAACAGUUCUUGCUAGAAGCCCGUAGCAGCCACGUAAAACUUGAAACAACAAAGUGGAGGAUGUCUAACUUAUUUUUGCAGGGCAUGUUGUGAUGUGAUAUGGUCAAGACGUGAUUAUAUAAAUUGUUGUAUGAGAUGGUCAUGUUUUGUAACACAGUUACCGGCAACUGGCAGGAGCCAUAUGGUUGUCGCUUUAUUGUAUGAAAUGCAAUCGCCAUGUAAUUGCUUUACUUUAUCACUAAGCGAUAGCGAUAGCCGUGGAAGCAAUAGUUGGCGAGACGACAACGAUGCUGCGAUGGAGAUCAAGGUGUCAGUCUAGUGACGAUGGUGAUCAUGACGGAGCUUUGGAGAUGGAUAUCAAAGGAACAAGAUGAUGAUGGCCAUAUCAUAUCACUUAUAUUGAUUGCAUGUGAUGUUUAUCCUUUAUGCAUCUUAUUUUGCUUAGUACGGCGGUAGCAUUAUAAGAUGAUCUCUCACUAAAUUUCAAGGUAUAAGUGUUCUCCCUGAGUAUGCACCGUUGCUACAGUUCGUCAUGCCGAGACACCACGUGAUCAUCGGGUGUGAUAAGCUCUAUGUUCACAUACAACGGGUGCAAUCCAGUUUUGCACAAGAAGAAUACUCGGGUUAAACUUGACGAGCCUAGCAUAUGCAGAUAUGGCCUCGAAACACUGAGACCAAAAGGUCGAGCGUGAAUCAUAUAGUAGAUAUGAUCAACAUAGUGAUGUUCACCAUUGAAAACUACUCCAUCUCAUGUGAUGAUCGGACAUGGUUUAGUUGAUAUGGAUCACGUGAUCACUUAGAUGAUUAAAGGGAUGUCUAUCUAAGUGGGAGUUCUUAAGUAAUAUGAUUAAUUGAACUUUAAAUUAUCAUGAACUUAGUAGAUGAUAGUAUUUUGCAUGUCUAUGUUGUUGUAGAUAAAUGGCCCGUGAUGUUGUUCCGUUGAAUUAUAUUGCAUUCCUAGAGAAAGCUAAGUUGAAAGAUGAUGGUAGCAACUACACGGACUGGAUCUGUAACAUGAGGAUUAUCCUCAUUGUUGCACAGAAGAAUUACGUCCUGGAAGCACCGCUAGGUGCCAAACCCGCCGCAGGAGCAACUCCAGAUGUUAUGAACACCUGGCAAAGCAAAGCUGAUGACAACUCGAUAGUUCAGUGUGCCAUUCUGUACAGCUUAGAACCGGGACUUGAACGACGUUUCGAACAUCAUCGAGCAUAUGAGAUGUUUCAGGAGUUGAAGUUAAUAUUUCAAGCAAAUGCCCGGAUUGAGAUAUAUGAAGUCUCCAAUAAGUUCUACAGCUGCAAAAUGGAGGAGAAUAAUUCUGUCAGUGAACACAUACUCAGAAUGUCUGGGUACCACAAUCACUUGACUUAGCUGGGAGUUAAUCUUCCGGUUGAUAGUGUCAUUGACAGAGUUCUUCAAUCACUGCCACCAAGCUACAAAAGCUUCAUGAUGAACUAUAAUAUGCAAGGGAUGGAUAAGACAAUUCCCGAGCUCUUCGCGAUGCUAAAGGCCGCGGAGGUAGAAAUCAAGAAAGAGCAUCAAGUGCUGAUGGUCAACAAGACCACCAGUUUCAAGAAGAAGGGCAAAGGGAAGAAGGGGAACUUCAAGAAGAACGGCAAGCAAGUUGCUGCUCAAGUGAAGAAGCCCAAGUCUAGACCUAAUCCUAAGACUGAGUGCUUCAGCUACAGAGGGACUGGUCACUGGAAGCGGAGCUGCCCCAAAUAUUUGGCGGAUAAGAACGAUGGCAAAGUGAAAGGUAUAUUUGAUAUACAUGUUGUUGAUGUGUACUUUACUAAUGCUCGCAGUAGCGCAUGUGUAUUUGAUACCGGUUCUAUUGCUAAUAUUUGCAACUCAAAACAGGGGCUAUGGAUUAAGCGAAGAUUUGCUAAGGAUGAGGUGACGAUGCGUGUGGGAAAUGGUUCCAAAGUCGAUGUGAUCACCGUCGGCAUGCUACCUCUACAUAUACCUUCGGGAUUAGUUUUAGACCUGAAUAAUUGUUAUUUGGUGCCAGUGUUAAGAAUGAACAUUAUACCUAGAUCUUGUUUGAUGCAAGACUAUUAUUCAUUUAAAUCAGAGAAUAAUGGUUGUUCUAUUUAUAUGAGUAAUACCUUUUAUGGUCAUGCACCCUUGAUGAGUGGUAUAUUUUUACUAAAUCUUGAUAGUAGUGAUACACAUAUUCAUAGUAUUGAAGAAAAAAGAUAUAAGUUUAAUAAUGAUAGUGCAACUUAUUUAUGGCACUGCCAUUUAGGUCAUAUUGGUGUAAAGCACAUGAAGAAACUCAAUGCUAAUGGGCUUUUGGAAUCACUUGAUGCUUGCGAACCAUGCCUCAUGGGCAAGAUGACUAAGGCUCCGUUUUCUAGAACAAUGGAAUGAGCAACAGACUUAUUGGAAAUAAUACAUAUUGAUGUAUGCGGUCCGAUGAGUGUUGAUGCUCAUGGCGGGUAUCGUUAUUUUCUGACCUUCAAGAAUGAUUUGAGUAGAUAUGGGUCUGUCUACUUGAUGAAACAUAAGUCUGAAACAUUUGAAAAGUUCAAAGAAUUUCAGAGUGAAGUGGAAAAUCAUCGUACCAAGAAAAUUAAGUUUCUACAAUCUGAUCGUGGAGGUGAAUAUUUGAGUUAUGAGUUUGGUCUUCAUUUGAAACAAUGCGAAAUAGUUUCACAACUCACGCCACCUGGAACACCACAGCGUAAUGGUGUGUCCGAAUGUCGUAACCGCACUUUAUUAGAUAUGGUGCGAUCAAUGAUGUCUCUUACUGAUUUACCGCUAUCAUUUUGAGGUUAUGCUUUAGAGACGGCUGCAUUCACGUUAAAUAGGGCACCAUCGAAAUCCAUUGAGAUGGCACCAUAUGAACUGUGGUUUAGCAAGAAACCCAAGUUGUCGUUUCUUAAAGUUUGGGGCUGCGAUGCUUAUGUGAAAAAGAUUCAACCUGAUAAGCUCGAACCCACAUCGGAGAAAUGUGUCUUCAUAGGAUACCUAAAGGAGACUGUUGGGUACACCUUCUAUCACAGAUCCGAAGGCAAGAUAUUCGUUGCUAAAAAUAGAUCCUUUCUAGAGAAGGAGUUUCUCUUGAAAGAAGUGAGUGGGACGAAAGUAGAACUUGAUGAGGUAAUUGUACCUGCUCCCUUAUUGGAAAGUAGUUCACCAUAGAAAUCAGUUCCAGUGAUUCCUACACCAAUUAGUGAGGAAGCUAAUGAUGAUGAUCAUGAAACUUCUGAUCAAGUUACUACCGAACCUCGUAGGUCAAACAGAGUAAGAUCCGCAUCAGAGUGAUACGGUAACCCUGUUCUGGAGGUCAUGUUACUUGACCAUGAAGAACCUACGAACUAUGAGGAAGCAAUGAUGAGCCCAGAUUCCGCGAAAUGGCUUGAGGCCAUGAAAUAUGAGAUGGGAUCCAUGUAUGAGAACAAAGUAUGGACUCUGGUUGACUUGCCCGAUGAUCGGCAAGCCAUAGAGAAUAAAUGUAUCUUCAAGAAGAAGAAUGACGCUGACGGUAAUGUUACUGUCUACAAAGCUCAACUUGUCGCGAAAGAUUUUUGAUAAGUUCAAGGAGUUGACUACAAUGAGACCUUCUCCCCCGUAGCAAUUCUUAAGUAUGUCCGAAUCAUGUUAGCAAUUGCCGUAUUUUAUGAUUAUGAAAUUUGGCAAAUGGAUGUCAAAACUGCAUUCCUUAAUGGAUAUCUUAAAGAAGAGUUGUAUAUGAUGCAACCAGAAGGUUUUGUCGAUCCAAAAGGUGCUAACAAAGUGUGUAGGCUCCAGCGAUCCAUUUAUGGACUGGUGCAAGCAUCUCGGAGUUGGAAUAUAUGCUUUGAUAGUGUGAUCAAAGCAUAUGGUUUUAUACAGUCUAUUGGAGAAGCCUGUAUUUACAAGAAAGUGAGUGGGAGCUUUGUAGCAUUUCUGAUAUUAUAUGUGGAUGACAUAUUGUUGAUUGGAAAUGAUACUGAAUUUCUGAAUAGCAUAAAAGGAUACUUGAAUAAGAAUUUUUCAAUGAAAGACCUCGGUGAAGCUGCAUAUAUAUUGGGCAUCAAGAUCUAUAGAGAUAUAUCAAGAUGCUUAAUUGGACUUUCACAAAGCACAUACCUUGAUAAAGUUUUGAAGAAGUUCAAAAUGGAUCAAGCAAAGAAAGGGUUCUUGCCUAUGUUACAAGGUGUGAAAUUGAGUCAGAAUCAAUGCUCGACCACUGUAGAAGAUAGAGAGAAAAUGAAAGUCAUUCCCUAUGCUUCAGCCAUAGGUUCUAUCAUGUAUGCAAUGUUGUGUACCAGACCUGAUCUGUGCCUUGAUAUUAGUUUAGCAGGGAGGUACCAAAGUAAUCUAGGAGUGCAUCACUGGACAGCGGUUAAGAACAUUCUGAAAUACCUGAAAAGGACUAAGGAUAUGUUUCUCGUUUAUGGAGGUGACAAAGAGCUCGUCAUAAAUGGUUAUGUCGAUGCAAGCUUUGACACUGAUCCGGAUGACUCUAAGUCACAAAUCGGAUACAUAUUUUUAUUGAAUGGUGAAACUGUUAGUUGGUGCAGUUCUAAAUAGAGCGUCGUGGCGGGAUCUACGUGUGAAGUGGAAUACAUAGCUGCUUCAGAAGCAGCAAAUGAAGGAGUCUGGAUGAAGGAGUUCAUAUCCGAUCUAGGUGUAAUACCUAGUGCAUCGGGUCCAAUGAAAAUCUUUUCUGAAAAUACUGGUGCAAUUGCCUUGGCAAAGGAAUCAGAUUUCACAAGAGAACCAAGCACAUCAAGAGACGCUUCAAUUCCAUCGGCGAUCAAGUCAAGGAAAGAGACAUAGAGAUUUGCAAGAUACAUACGGAUCUGAAUGUUGUAGACCCGUUGACUAAGCCUCUCUCACGAGCAAACCAUGAUCAGCACCAAGACUCCAUGGGUGUUAGAAUCAUUACAACGUAAUCUAGAUUAUUGACUCUAGUGCAAGUGGGAGACUGAAGAAAAUAUGCCCUAGAGGCAAUAAUAAAGUUGUUCUUUAUAUUUAUUUAUAUCAUGAUAAAUGUUUAUUAUUCAUGCUAGAAUUGUAUUAACCGGAAACUUAGUACAUGUGUGAAUACAUAGACAAAAUAGAGUGUCACUAGUAUGCCGCUACUUGACUAGCUCAUUAAUCAAAGAUGGUUAAGUUUCCUAGCCAUAGACAUGAGUUGUCAUUUGAUGAACGGGAUCACAUCAUUAGAGAAUGAUGUGAUUGACAUGACCCAUCCAUUAGAUUAGCACUUUGAUCAUUUAGUUUAUUGCUAUUGCUUUCUCCAUAACUUAUACAUGUUCCUAUGACUAAGAAUUAUGCAACUCCUGAAUACCGGAGGAACACUUAGUGUGCUAUCAAACGUCACAAUGUAACUGGGUGAUUAUAAAGAUGCUCUACAGGUGUCUCUGAUGGUGUUUGUUGAGUUGGCAUAGAUCAAGAUUAGGAUUUGUCACUCCGAUUGUCUGAGAGGUAUCUCCGAGCCCUCUCGGUAAUGCACAUCACUAUAAGCCUUGCAAGCAAUGUUACUAAUUAGUUAGUUAUGGGAUGUUGCAUUACGGAACGAGUAAAGAGACUUGCCGGUAACGAGAUUGAACUAGGUAUGAUGAUACCGACGAUCGAAUCUCGGGCAAAUAACAUACCGAUGACAAAAAGAACAAUGAAUGUUGUUAUGCGGUUUGACCGAUAAAGACAUUCAUAGGAUAUGUAGGAACCAAUAUGAGCAUCCAGGUUCUGCUAUUGGUUAUUGACCGGAGAUGAGUCUCGGUCAUGUCUACAUUGUUCUCGGCCCCGUAGGGUCCGCACGCUUAACAUUCAAUGAUGAUAUGUAUUGUGAGUUAUGUGAUAUGAUGUACCGAAGGUUGUUCGGAGUCUCGGAUGUGAUCACGGACAUGACGAGGAGUCUCGAAAUGGUCGAGACAUGAAUAUUGAUAUAUUGGAAGGUUAUGUUUGGACAACGGAAAGGUUUCAGAUAGGUUCGGGCACUUUUCGGAGUACCAGGGGGUUACCGGAACCCCCCGGGGGGGGGGGGUUAAUGGGCCUUCAUGGGCUUUAGUGGAAGAGAUAGGAGGCGGCCAAGAGGAGGGGCGCGCCUCCCCAAGCGCAAUCUGAAUUGGGGUGGGGGCCGACCCCCCCUUUCCUUCUUCCCCUCUUCCCUUUCCUUCCCCCUCCUAGUUGAACUAGGAAAGGGUGUAACCUACUCAUAGUAGGAGUAGGAUUCCCCCCUUGGGGCGCGCCCUAUGAGGCCGGUCGGCCCCCUCCUCCACUCCUUUAUAUACAGGGGAGGGGGCACCCCAUAUACACACAAGUUGAUUUCUUAGCCGUGUGCGGUGCCCCCCUCCACAGAUUUCCACCUCGGUCAUAUUGUCAUAGUGCUUAGGCGAAGCCCUGCGUCGGUAACUUCAUCAUCACCGUCAACACGCCGUCGUGCUGACAAAACUCUCCCUCGGCCUCAGCUGGAUCUAGAGUUCGAGGACGUCACCGAGCUGAACAUGUGCAGAUCGCAGAGGUGUCGUGCGUUCGGUACUUGAUUGGUUGGAUCGCGAAGACGUUCGACUGCAUCAACCGCGUUACUCAACUCUUCCGCUUUCGGUCUAUGAGGAUAUGUAGAAACAUUCUCCCCUCUCACUGCUAUGCAUCUCCUAGAUAGAUCUUGCGUGAUCGUAGGAUUUUUUUUUGAAAUACAGCGUUCCCCAACAGAUCCUAUCUCGGAUUUCAUGGCCUCAAGCCAUCUGUCGGAAUCUGGGCUCAUCAUUGCUUCUUCAUAGUUCGUAGGUUCGUCAUGGUCUAGUAACAUGACUUCCAGGAUAGGAUUACUAUACCACUCUGGUGCGGAACGUGCUCUGUUUGACCUAUGAGGUCCACUAGUAACUUGAUCCUAAGUUUCAUGAUCAUCAUCAUUAGCUUCCUCUCUAGUUGGUGUAGGCGUCACGGGAACGGAUUUCUCUGAUGUGCUACUUUCCAAAUGGAGAGAAGGUACGAUUACCUCAUCAAGCUCUACUUUCCUCCCACUCACUUUUUCGAGAGAAACUCCUUCUCUAGAAAGGUUCCAUUCUUAGCAAUAAAGAUCUUGCCUUUGGAUCUGUGGUAGAAGGUGUACCCAAUUUUUUCCUUUGGGUAUCCUAUGAAGACACACUUCUCCGAUUUGGGUUCGAGCUUAUCAGGUUGAAUCCUUUUGACAUAAGUGUCGCAACCCCAAACUUUAAGAAACGACAGCUUAGGUUUCUUUCCAAACCACAGUUCAUACGCUGUCAUCUCUACAGAUUUAGAUAGUGCCCUAUUUAACGUGAAUGCAGAUGUCUCUAAUGCAUAACCCCAAAAUGAUACUGGUAAAACGGUAAGAGACAUCAUAGAUUGCACCAUAUCUAAUAAAGUAUGGUUACGACAUUCGGACACACCAUUACGCUGUGGUGUUCCAGGUGGCGUGAGUUGUGAAACUAUUUCACAUUGUUUUAAAUGAAGGCCAAACUCGUAACUCAAAUAUUCGCCUCCGCGAUCAGGUCGUAGAAACUUUAUUUUAUUAUUACGAUGAUUCUCUACUUCAAUCUGAAAUUCUUUGAACUUUUCAAAUGUUUCAGACUUGUGUUUCAUUAAGUAGAUAUACCCAUAUCUGGUCUAAUCAUCUGUGAAGGUUAGAAAAUACCGAUACUCGGUGCGUGCCUGAACACUCAUUGGACCGCAUACAUCGGUAUGCAUUAUGUCUAAUAAGUCAUUGGCUCGCUCGAUUGUUCCGGAAAACAGAGUUUUAGUCAUCUUGCCCAUGAGGCAUGGUUCGCAAGUAUCAAAUGAUUCAUAAUCAAGUGAUUCCAAAAGUCCAUCUACAUGGAGUUUCUCCAUGCGCUUUACACCAAUAUGACCUAAAAUGCAGUCCCACAAAUAUGUUGCACUAUCAUUAUCAGCUUUGCAUCUUUUGGCAUCAAUAUUAUGAAUAUGUAUAUCACUACAAUCGAGAUUCAACAAAAAUAGACCACUCUUCAAGGGUGCACGACCAUAAAAAAUAUUACUCAUAUAAAUAGAACAACCAUUAUUCUCUGAUUUAAAUGAAUAACCGCCUCGCACUAAACAAGAUCCAGAUAUAAUGUUCAUGCUCAAUGCUGGCACCAAAUAACAAUUAUUCAGGUCUAAAAUUAAUCCCAAAGGUAGACCUAGAGGUAGCAUGCCGACGGCGAUCACAUCGACCUUGGAACCAUUCCCGAUGCGCAUCUUCACCUCGUCCUUAGCCAAUUUUCGUUUAAUUCGUAGCUCCUGUUUUGAGUUAUAAAUAUGAGCAACCGAACUAGUAUCAAAUACCCAGGCGCUACUGCGAGCAUUAGUAAGGUACACAUCAAUAAUAUGUAUAUCAAAUAUACCUUUGUUCACUUUGCCAUCCUUCUUAUCCGCCAAAUACUUGGGGCAGUUCCGCUUUCUAUGACCAGUUCCUUUGUAGUAGAAGCGCUCAGUUUUAGGCUUGGGUCCAGCUUUGGGCUUCUUCCCGAGAGUGGCAACUUGCUUGCCAUUCUUCUUGAAGUUCCUCUUCUUUCCCUUGACCUUUUUCUUGAAACUAGUGGUCUUGUUAACCAUCAACACUUGAUGCUCCUUCUUGAUUCCUACCUCCGCAACUUUGAGCAUUGUGAAGAGCUCAGUAAUUGUCUUGUCCAUCCCUUGCAUAUUAUAGUUCACCAUGAAGCCUUUCUAGCUUGGUGGCAGUGAUUGAAGAACUCUGUCAAUAACACUAUCAACUGGAAGAUUAACUCCCAGCUGAGUUAAGUGAUUAUGAUACUCAGACAUUUUGAGUAUGUGUUCGAUGACAAAACUACUCUCCUCCAUCUUGCAGCUAUAGAACUUGUUGGAGACUUCAUAUCUCUCAACCCAGGCAUUUGCUUCAAAUAUUAACUUCAACUCUUGGAACAUCUCAUAUGCUCCAUGACGUUCAAAACGUCUUUGAAGUCCUGGUUCUAAGUCGUAAAGCAUGGCACACUGAACUAUCAAGUAGUCAUCAGAUCGAGCUUGCCAGACAUUCAACCAGCAUCUGCUCUUGUAGCAGGCCUUUCACCUAGCGGUGCAUCAAUGACAUAAUUCUUCUAUGUAGCAAUGAGGAUAAUCCUCAAGUAAUGGACCCAGCCCGUGUAGUUGCUACCAUCAUCUUUCAACUUAGCUUUCUCUAGGAACGCAUUAAAAUUCAGGGGAUCGGUAGCACGGGCCAUUGAUCUACAACAUAGAUAUGCAAAUACUAUUAGGACUAAGUUCAUGAUGAAUUAAGUUCAAUUAAUCAAAUUACUAAAGAACUCCCACUGAAAUAGACAUCCCUCAAGUCAUCUAAUUGAUAAUUGAUCCAAAUCAACUAACCCAUGUCCGAUCAUCAUGUGAGAUGGGGUAGUCAUCAAUGGUGAACAUCUCUAUGUUGAUCAUAUCUACUAUAUGAUUCACGUUCGACCUUUGGGUCUCCAAUGUUCCGAGGCCAUGUUUGUACAUUCUAGGCUUGUCAAGUUUAACCCAAAUAUUCCGCAUGUGCAAAACUGUCUUGCACCUGUUGUAUGUGAACGUAGAGUCUAUCACAGCCGAUCAUCACCCAGUGCAUACUCAGGGAGAACACUUUUCCCUUGAAAUUUAGUGAAGGGAUCAUCUUAUAAUGCUAUCGCCGUACUAAGCAAACUAAGAUGCAUAAAGAUAAACAUCACAUGCAAUCAAAAUAUGUGACAUGAUAUGGCCACCAUCAUCUUGUGCUUUUGAUCACCAUCUCCAAAGCAUCGUCAUGAUCUCAAUCGUCACCGGCUCGACACCUUGAUCUGCAUCGUUGUGUCAUGGUCAUCUCGCCAACUAUUGCUUCCACAACUAUCGCUAACGCAUAGUGAUAAAGUAAAGCAAUUACAUGGCGUUUGCAUUUCAUACAAUAAAGAGACAACCAUAAGGCUCCUGCUAGUUGCCGAUAACUUACAAAACAUGAUCAUUUCAUACAAUAACGUAUAUCACAUCAUGUCUUGACCAUAUCACAUCACAACAUACCCUGCAAAAACAUGUUAGACGUCCUCUACUUUGUUGUUGCAAGUUUUUACGUGGCUGCUACGGGCUUCUAGCAAGAAUCAUUCUUAUCUACGGCAAAAACCACAACGGUGAUUCAUCAAGUUUGUUAUUUUAACCUUCUUCAAGGACUGGACAUAGUCAAAUUUGAUUCAACUAAAGUAGGAGAAACAGACACCCGCCAGCCACCUUUAUGCAAAACUAGUUGCAUGCCUGCCGGUGGAACCGGUCUCAUGUGCAUGGACAUGCAAGGUUGGUCCGGGACGCUUCAUCCCACAAUACCAUCGAAUCAAAAUAAGACAUUGGUGGUAAGCAGCAUUGCUACCUCUUGAGCACUGCGUUGGUUUUCCCCGAAGAGGAAGGGAUGAUUUAGCAAAGUAGCGUAAGUAUUUCCUUCAGUUUUUGAGAACCAAGGUAUCAAUCUAGUAGGAGGCUACGCGCCAGUCCCUCGUACAUGCACAAAACAAAUAAAUCCUCGCAACCAACGCGAUAAGGGGUUGUCAAUCCCUACACGGCCACUUACGAGAGUGAGAUCUGAUAGAUAUGAUAAGAUAAUAUUUUUGGUAUUUUUGUGAUAAAUAUGCAAAGUAAAGUAAAAAAGCAAAGUAAAAAAGCAAAGGAAAUAACUAAGCAGUAGGAGAUUAAUAUGAUGAAGAUAGACCCGGGGGCCAUAGGUUUCACUGGUGGCUUCUCUAAGAGCAUAAGUAUUCUACGAUGGGUGAACAAAUUAUUGUGGAGCAAUUGACAGAAUUGAGCAUAAUUAUGAGAAUAUCUAGGCAUGAUCAUGUAUAUAGGCAUCACGUCCGAGACAAGUACACCGACUCCUGCCUGCAUCUACUACUAUUACUCCACUCAUCGACCGCUAUCCAGCAUGCAUCUAGAGUAUUAAGUUAAUGAAAACAGAGUAACGCCUUAAGCAAGAUGACAUGAUGUAGAGGGAUAAACUCAUGCAAUAUGAUGAAAACCCCAUCUUGUUAUCCUCGAUGGCAACAAUACAAUACGUGCCUUGCUGCCCCUACUGUCACUGGGAAAGGACACCGCAAGAUUGAACCCAAAACUAAGCACUUCUCCCAUUACAAGAAAGAUCAAUCUAGUAGGCCAAACCAAACUGAUAAUUCUAAGAGGCUUGCAAAGAUAUCAAAUCAUACAUAAAAGAAUUUAGAGAAGAUUCAAAUAUUGUUCAUAGAUAGACUUGAUCAUAAACCCACAAUUCAUCGGCAACAAACACACCGCAAAAAGAAGAUUACAUCAAAUAGAUCUCCACAAGAGAGGGGGAGAACAUUGUAUUGAGAUCCAAAAAGAGAGAAGAAGCCAUCUAGAUACUAACUAUGGACCCGUAGGUCUGAGGUGAACUACUCACACUUCAUCGGAGGGGCUAUGGUGUUGAUGUAGAAGCCCUCCGUGAUCGAUGCCCCCUUCGGCGGAGCUCCAGAACAGGCCCCAAGAUGGGAUCUCGUGGAUACAGAAAGUUGCGGCGGUGGAAUUAGGCUUUUGGAUCCGUAUCUGAUUGUUUUGGGGUACGUAGGUAUAUAUAGGAGGAAGGAGUACGUCGGUGGAGAAACAGGGGGCCACGAUGGUGGAGGGCGCGCCUGGGGUGGGUAGGCGCGCCCCCUACCUCGUGGCCUCCUCUUUUGUGUCUUGACGUAGGGUCCAAGUCUCCUGGGUCUUGUUCGUUGAGAAAAUCACGUUCCCGAAGGUUUCAUUCCGUUUGGACUCCGUUUGAUAUUCCUUUUCUCCGAAACCCUAAAAUAGGCAAAAAAACAACAAUUCUGGGUUGGGCCUCCGAUUAAUAGGUUAGUCCCAAAAAUAAUAUAAAAGUGGAUAAUAAAGCCCAAUAAUGUCCAAAACAGUAGAUAAUAUAGCAUGGAGCAAUCAAAAAUUAUAGAUAUGUUGGAGACGUAUCAAGCAUCCCCAAGCUUAAUUCCUGCUCAUCCUCGAGUAGGUAAAUGAUAAAAACAGAAUUUUUGAUGCGGAGUGCUACUUGGCAUAAUUUUAAUGUAAUUCUUCUUAAUUGUGGUAUGAAUAUUCAGUUCCGAAAGAUUCAAGACAAAAGUUCAUAUUGACAUAAAAAUAAUAAUACUUCAAGCAUACUAACAAAGCAAUUAUGUCUUCUGAAGAUAACAUGGCCAAAGAAAGUUCAUCCCUACAAAAUCAUAUAGUUUAGUCAUGCUCCAUUUUUGUCACACAAGAAUGCUCUCAUCAUGCACAACCCUGAUGACAAGCCAAGCAAUUGUUUUAUACUUUAGUAAUCUCAAACCUAUAAACUUUCAUGCAAUAUAUGAGCGCGAACAAUGGACAUAGCACUAUGGGUGGAAUAGAAUAUAAUGAGGGGGGUUAUGUGGAGAAAACAAAAAGGAGAAAGUCUCACAUCAACGAGGCUAAUCAAUGGGCUAUGGAGAUGCCCACCGAUUGAUGUCAAUGCAAGGAGUAGGGAUUGCCAUGCAACGGAUGCACUAGAGCUAUAAAUGUAUGAAAAUUCAACAAAAGAAACUAAGUGGGUGUGCAUCCAACUUGCUUGCUCACGAGGACCUGGGGCACUUGAGGAGGCCCAUUGUUGGAAUAUACAAGCCAAGUUCUAUAAUGAAAAUUCCCACUAGUAUAUGAAAGUGACAAAACAAGAGACUCUCUAUCAUGAAGAUUAUGGUGCUACUUUGAAGCACAAGUGUGGCAAAGGAUAGUAACAUUGUCCCUUCUCUCUUUUUCUCUCAUUUUUUGGGGCCUUCUCUUUUUUUAUGGCCUUUCUCUUUUUUUGGGCCUUCUAUUUUUUAUGGCCUUUUCUUUUUUUCUUUUUUUCCUCACUUGGGACAAUGCUCUAGAAAAUGAUGAUCAUCACACUUCUAUUUAUUUACAACUCAAUGAUUACAACUCGAUGCUAGAACAAAAGAUGACUCUAUAUGAAUGCCUCCGGCGGUGUACCAGGAUAUGCAAUGAACCAAGAGUGACAUGUAUGAAAGAAUUAUGAACGGUGGCUUUGCCACAAAUACUAUGUCAACUACAUGAUCAUGCUAAGCAAUAUGACAAUAAUGAAUGUGUCAUGAUAAACGGAAUGGUGGAAAGUUGCAUGGCAAUAUAUCUCGGCAUGGCUAUGGAAAUGCCAUAAUAGGUAGGUAUGGUGGCUGUUUUGAGGAGGAUAUAAGGAAGUUUAUGUGUGAAAGAGCGUAUCAUAUCACGGGGUUUGGAUGCACCAGCAAAGUUUGCGCCAACUCUCAAUGUGAGAAAGGGCAAUGCACGGUACCGAAGAGGCUAGCAAGGAUGGAAGGGUGAGAGUGCGUAUAAUCCAUGGACUCAACGUUAGUCAUAAAGAACUCACAUACUUAUUGCAAAAAUCUACAAGUCAUCAAAAACCUCGGCACUACGUGCAUGCUCCUAGGGGGAUAGAUUGGUAGGAAAAGACCAUCGCUCAUCCCUGACCGCCACUCAUAAGGAGGACAAUCAAAUAACACCUCAUGUUUCAAAUUUGUUACAUAACGUUUACCAUACGUGCAUGCUAUGGGACUUGCAAACCUCAACACAAGCAUUUCUCAAUUUCACAACUACUCAACUAGCACGACUUUGAUAUUAUUACCUCCAUAUCUCAAAACAAUCAUCAAGCAUCAAACUUUUCUUAGUACUCAAAACACUCAUAAGAAAUUUUACUAAUCUUGAAUACCUAGCAUAUUAGGAUUUUAAGCAAAUUACCAUGCUAUUUAAGACUCUCAAAAUAAUCUAAGUGAAGCAUGAGAGAUCAAUAGUUUCUAUAAAACAAAUCCACCACCGUUCUCUAAAAGAUAUAAGUGAAGUACUAGAGCAAAACUAUAUAACUCAAAAGAUAUAAGCAAAGCACAUAGAGUAUUCUAACAAAUUCCAAAUCAUGUAUGGCUCUCUCAAAAGGUGUGUACAUCAAGGAUGAUUGUGGUAAACUAAAAAGUAAAGACUCAAAUCAUACAAGACGCUCCAAGAAAAACACAUAUCAUGUGGCGAAUAAAAAUAUAGCUCCAAGUAAAGUUACUGAUAAAGUACACGAAAGAGGGGAUGCCUUCCGGGGCAUCCCCAAGCUUUGGCUUGUAGGUGUCCUUAGAUUAUCUUGGGGGUGCCAUGGGCAUCCCCAAGCUUAGGCUCUUUCCACUCCUUGUUCCAUAAUCCAUCAAAUCUUUACCCAAAACUUGAAAACUUCACAACACAAAACUCAAAGUAGAAAAUCUCGUGAGCUCCGUUAGCGAAAGAAAACAAAAGACCACUUCAAGGUACUGUAAUGAACUCAUUCUUUAUUUAUAUUGGUGUUAAACCUACUUUAUUCCAACUUCUCUAUGGUUUAUAAACUAUUUUACUAGCCAUAGAUUCAUCAAAAUAAGCAAACGACACACGAAAAACAGAAUCUGUCAAAAACAGAACAGUCUGUAGUAAUCUGUAGCUAGCGCAAGAUCUGGAACCCCAAAAAUUCUAAAAUAAAUUGCAGGACGUGAGGAAUUUAUCUAUUAAUCAUCUGAAAAAAUAAUUAACUAAAUAUCACUUUCCAAAUAAAAAUGGCAGCAGUUCUCGUGAGCGCUAAAGUUUCUGUUUUUUACAGCAAGUGUAACAAGACUUUCCCCAAGUCUUCCCAACGGUUCUACUUGGCACAAACACUAAUUAAACACAAAAAAAUACAACCAAAACAGAGGAUAUAUAAAUUAUUUAUUGAUAAACUGGAUAAAAAAUCAAGGAAUAAAAAUAAAAUUGGGUUGCCUCCCAACAAGCGCUAUUGUUUAACGCCCCUAGCUAGGCAUAACAAGCAAGGAUAGAUCUAGGUAUUGCCAUAUUUGGUAGGCAAUACAUAAGUGGCUCUCAUGAUUGAUUCAUAAGGUAAUUUAAUUUUCUUUCUAGGAAAGUGUUCCAUGCCUUUCCUUAAUGGAAAUUGGAAUCUAAUAUUUCCUUCCUUCAUAUCAAUAAUUGCACCAAUCGUUCUAAGGAAAGGUCUACCAAGAAUAAUAGGACAUGAAGGAUUGCAAUCUAUGUCAAGAGCAAUAAAAUAUACGGGCACAUAAUUCCUAUUUGCAACAAUAAGAACAUCAUUAAUUCUUCCCAUAGGUUUCUUAAUAGUGGAAUCCUCAAGGUGCAAGUUUAGAGAGCAAUCAUCAAAAUCACGGAAACCUAACAAAUCACACAAAGUCUUUGGAAUCGUGGAAACACUAGCACCCAAAUCACAUAAAGAAUAGCAUUCAUGAUAUUUAAUUUUAAUUUUAAUAGUUAGUUCCCACUCAUCAUAAAUUUUUCUAGGGAUAAAAACUUCCAAUUCAAGUUUUUCUUCAUAAGAUUGCAUCAAGGCAUCAACGAUAUGUUUAGUAAACGCUUUAUUUUGACGAUAAGCGUGAGGAUAAUUUAGCACGGAUUGCAACAAGGAAAUACAAUAAAUCAAAGAGCAAUUUUCAUAGUUAAAUUCCUUGAAAUCCAUAAUAGUGGGUUUAGCAAUAUCUAGGGUUUUAAUUUCUUCAAUCCCACUUUUAUCAAUUUUAGCAUCAAGAUCAAAAAAUUCUGAAUUCUUGGAAUGCCUUCUAGGUAAAGGUGGAUCAUAUUCAGUCCCAUCAUUAUCAAGAUUCAUAUUGCAAAACAAAGAUUUAAUAGGGGACACAUCAAUAACUUUUAGAUCUUCAUCUUUAUUUUCAUAGGAACUAGGAGAACACGCUCUUAUAAAGGCAUCUUUCUUAGCACGCAUCCUAGCGGUUCUUUCUUUGCACUCAGCAAUGGAAAUUCUCAUGGCUUUGAGAGACUCAUUGAUAUCAUGCUUAGGUGGAAUAGAUCUGAGUUUCAAAGAAUCAACAUCAAGAGAAAUUUUAUCAACGUUCCUAGCCAGCUCAUCAAUCUUAAGCAAUUUUUCUUCAAUCAAAGCAUUAAAAUUCUUUUGCAAAGUAAUAAAAUUUUUAAUAUUAGAUUCAAAAUCAGAGGUCAUAUUAUUAUAAUUUCCAUAAGAAUUGUUGUAGGAAUUACCAUAAUUAUUCGAGGGAUUACUAGGAAAAAGCCUAGGAUUGAAAUUUCCUCUAUAUGCGUUGUUACAAAAAUUGUUCCUACCAACAAAAUUCACAUCCAUAGAUUCAUUAUUAUUCUCAAUCAAAGUAGACAAGGGCAUAUCAUUAGGAUCAGAAGAAACACUCUUAAUUACUAGCAAAUAAUUUCAUAAGUUCAUCCAUCUUUCCACUCAAAACAUUAAUUUCUUCUAACGCAUGCACCUUUUUAUUAGUAGAUCUUUCAGUAUGCCAUUGAGAAUAAUUAACCAUGAUAUUAUCUAGGAUUUAGUAGCUUCUCCUAAAGUGAUUUCCAUAAAAGUGCCUCCCGCGGCCGAAUCUAAAAGAUUUCUAGAAGCAAAAUUCAAUCCGGCAUAAAUUUUUUGUAUAAUCAUCCACAAAUUUAAACCAUGAGUAGGGCAAUUACGUAUCAUUAGUUUCAUUCUCUCCCAAGCUUGUGCAACAUGUUCAUGAUCAAGUUGCAUAAAAUUCAUAAUAUCAUUUCUAAGAGAGAUGAUCUUAGCGGGAGGAAAAUACUUAGAGAUAAAAGCAUCUUUGCACUUGUUCCAUGAAUCAAUAAUAUUUUUAGGCAAAGACGAAAACCAAGCUUUAGUACGAUUUCUAAGCGAAAAAGGAAAUAGCUUCAAUUUAACAAUAUCAUUAUCCACAUCUUUCUUCUUUUGCAUAUCACACAAAUCAACGAAGCUAUUUAGAUGGGUAGCGGCAUCUUCACUAGGAAGGCCGGAAAAUGGAUCUUUCAUGACAAGAUUCAGCAAAGCAGUAUUAAUUUCACAAGAUUCAGCAUCGGUAAGAGGAGCAAUUGUAGUGCUAAUAAAAUCACUGUUGUUGGUAUUGGUGAAGUCACACAAUUUAGUGUUAUCUUGAGCCAUCGUGACAAACAAGCAAACUAACACACAAGCAAACAAAAAGCAAGUGGGCAAAAAGAGGCAAAAAGAGAUAGAGAGUGAGGAUAGAGAGAGAGGGCGAAUAAAACGGCAAGGGUGAAGUGGGGGAGAGGAAAACGAGAGGCAAAUGGCAAAUAAAUGUAAUGCGGGAGAUAAGGGUAUGUGAUGGGUACUUGGUAUAUUGACUUUUGCGUAGACCUCCCCGGCAACGGUGCCAGAAAUCCUUCUUGCUACCUCUUGAGCACUGCGUUGGUUUUCCCCGAAGAGGAAGGGAUGAUGCAGCAAAGUAGCGUAAGUAUUUCCCUCAGUUUUUGAGAACCAAGGUAUCAAUCCAGUAGGAGGCUACGCGCCAGUCCCUCGUACCUACACAAAACAAAUAAAUCCUCGCAACCAACGCGAUAAGGGGUUGUCAAUCCCUACACAGCCACUUACGAUAGUGAGAUCUGAUAGAUAUGAUAAGAUAAAUUUUUUGGCAUUUUUGUGAUAAAGAUGCAAAGUAAAGUAAAAGCAAAGUAAAAAAGCAAAGGAAAUAACUAAGCAGUAGGAGAUUAAUAUGAUGAAGAUAGACCCGGGGGCCAUAGGUUUCACUAGUGGCUUCUCUCGAGAGCAUAAGUAUUCUACGGUGGGUGAACAAAUUACUGUUGAGCAAUUGACAGAAUUGAGCAUAAUUAUGAGAAUAUCUAGGCAUGAUCAUGUAUAUAGGCAUCACGUCCGAGACAAGUAGACCGACUCCUGCCUGCAUCUACUACUAUUACUCCACUCAUCGACCGCUAUCCAGCAUGCAUCUAGAGUAUUAAGUUAAUGAAAACAGAGUAAUGCCUUAAGCAAGAUGACAUGAUGUAGAGGGAUAAACUCAUGCAAUAUGGUGAAAACCCCAUCUUUUUAUCCUCGAUGGCAACAAUACAAUAUGUGCCUUGCUGCCCCUACUGUCACUGGGAAAGGACACCGCAAGAUUGAACCCAAAGCUAAGCACUUCUCCCAUUGCAAGAAAGAUCAAUCUAGUAGGCCAAACCAAACAGAUAAUUCAAAGAGACUUGCAAAGAUAACCAAUCAUACAUAAAAGAAUUCAGAGAAGAUUCAAAUAUUGUUCAUAGAUAGACUUGAUCAUAAACCCACAAUUCAUCGGUCUCAACAAACACACCGCAAAAAGAAUAUUACAUCUAAUAGAUCUCCACAAGAGAGGGGGGAACAUUGUAUUGAGAUCCAAAAAGAGAGAAGAAGCCAUCUAGUUACUAACUAUGGACCCGUAGGUCUGAGGUGAACUACUCACACUUCAUCGGAGGGGCUAUGGUGUUGAUGUAGAAGCCCUCCGUGAUUGAUGCCCCCUCCGGUGGAGCUCCGGAAUAGGCCCCAAGAUGGGAUCUCGUGGAUAAAGAAAGUUGCGGAAGUGGAAUUAGGGUUUUGGCUCUGUAUCUGAUCGUUUGGGGGUACGUAGGUAUAUAUAGGAGGAAGGAGUACGUCGGUGGAGCAACAGGGGGCCCGCGAGGGUGGAGGGCGUGCCUGGGGUGGGGGGGUAGGCGCGCCCCCUACCUCGUGGCCUCCUCUUUUGUGUCUUGACGUAGGGUCCAAGUCUCCUGGGUCUUGUUCGUUGAGAAAAUCACGUUCCUGAACGUUUCAUUCCGUUUGAUAUUCCUUUUCUUCGAAACCCUAAAACAAACAAAAAACAACAAUUCUGGGCUGGGCCUCCGGUUAAUAGGUUAGUCCCAAAAAUAAUAUAAAAGUGGAUAAUAAAGCCCAAUAAUGUCCAAAACAGUAGAUAAUAUAGCAUGGAGCAAUCAAAAAUUAUAGAUACAUUGGAGACGUAUCAAGUAUGACUAUCACCGCCCACAACUCUUUGUGUUCUACUCGUACAUAUCAUCUACGCAUAGACCUGGCUCAUGAUGCCACUGUUGGGAAUCGAUGCAUGUAAAACAAAAAAAAUCUAUGCACACGCAAUGAUCUAUCCAUGGAGAUGCAUAGCAACGAGGGGGAUAGUGUGUCUAUGUACCCUCGUAGACCAUAAGAGGAAGAGUUUCUUAACGCGGUUGAUGUAGUCGAACUUCUUCGCGCUUCAACCGAUCAAGUACCGAAUGCACAACACCUCCACAUUCUAAACAUGUUCAGCUCGGUGACGUCCCUCGCCUUCUUGAUCCAGCAAGAUGUCAAGAUAGUAGAUGAGUUCCAUCAGCACGACGGCAUGGUGACGGUGAUGGUGAAGUGAUCCUCACAAGGCUUCGCCUAGGCACUACGAAGAUAUGACGGGGGGUGUAAACGGCGGAGGGGGGCGCCACACACUUCUAAACAAUUGUCUGGUAUGUGCUAGGCUCCCCCCUCCCCACAUAUAUAUAGGUGGGAGGGGGAUGGGAGAUGCUAGGAGGCGCCCCAAGUAGGACCGAAUCCUACUUGGGCUCAUCCCAAGCCGCGCGCCCGUGCCAUAUAUGUCAGAGGGGGAAGCAAAUAGGGGGAGGGUAGGAAGGGGGAAUCCUAUUCUACUCUUUCCUUUCUCUUCCCCUCUUUCCUUCUCCUCCUAGGCCGGCCCAUAUGGGGGGAGCACCAGCCCCAUGUGGCUGGUGCAUUUCCCUCUUGGCCCAUAAGGCCCAUAUCUUUUGCCGGGGAUGCCCGGAACCCCUUCUGGUGACCCGAUAAGUACCCAGUACCCCCCGAAACACUUCCGGUGUCCGAAUACCAUCGUCCUAUAUAUAAAUCUUUAGCUCUCGACCAUUUCGAGACUCCUCGUCAUGUCCAUGAUCUCAUCCGGGACUCCGAACAACAUUUGGUCACCAAAUCACAUAACUCAUAUAAUACUAUAUCAUCAUCGAACAUUAAGCGUGCGGACCCUACGGGUUCGAGAACUAUGUAGACAUGACCAAGUCACCUCUUCGGUCAAUAACCAGUAGCGGAACCUGGCUGUCCGUAUUGGCUCCUACAUAUUCUACGAAGAUCUUUAUCAGUCGAACCGUUAUGACAACAUACGUAAUUCCCUUUGUCCAUCGGUAUGUUACUUGCCUGAGAUUCAAUCGUCGGUAUCUUCAUACCUAGUUCAAUCUUGUUAUCGACAAGUCUCUUUACUUAUUCCGUAAUACAUCACCUUGUGACCCACUCCUUAGUCGUUUGCUUGCAAGCUUAUGAUGUGUAUUAUCGAGAGGGCCCAGAGAUACAUCUCCGAUAUUCGGAGUGACAAAUAAUCUGAAUCUCGAUCUAUGCCAACUCGACAAACACCUUCGGAGAUACCUGUAGAGCAUCUUUAUAAUCACCUAGUUACGUUGUAAUGUUUGAUAGCACAUAAAGCAUUCCUCCGGUAUCCGGGAGUUGCAUAAUCUCAUAGUCGAAGGAAUAUGUAUUUGACAUGAAGAAAGCAAUAGCAAUAAAACUGAACGAUGAUAAUGCUAAGCUAAUGGAUGGGUCUUGUCCAUCACAUCAUUCUCCUAAUGAUGUGAUCCCGUUAUCAAAUGACAACUCAUGUCAAUGGUUAGGAAACCUUAACUGUUGCAAUGCAAUUUUUUGCUUAGCUAAUGUAUCACUCUCCUUUGUAUGUAUCCAUGUAUAUAGUUUUGUACUUUCACUUGGAAAUAAAUUUGGAUAUCAGUCAAUGAAUCAUGUGUCAUAAAUAGCCACAACCCAACGAUUGUCGGUGUAUUUAUUUGUGAUAAGAAAAUAGGCAGUUUUCCGAUUAAAUUAAUCCAUGAAUAAAUCAUAAGCAUGACAUUGACAGUAUUGAUAACACACUGGUUACGAUCUAACAGAGCAUGUACUAUGCAUAUAGUAGAAACAUCUACGCAUAUUGCUAGUACUACUACAACAGAAAGAAACAUGAGAGGGAUAAACGAUGUAUACCCUCCAAUCGGCCAUGUGGCAGCGGCAGUAGCCGCGGCAUCCUCGGCGGCCUUCUUGUCGGCCUCGGCCUUCUCAGCGGCGACACGGUCGGCGUCGGUCGACAUGGUGAUGACGAAGGUGAUGUGGACGUAGAUGAACAGAAGCGAGCAGUCGCGUAGUCGCUACCCAAAAACCUAAUCGCCCCUCUCCCGUACAGGAUCCGAAGAGGCGGGGUUUCGGAGGCCUGCUCUCCCGUCAACCGUGUACGCGGUGAACGGGACGGAGUCGCCGACGGCGGCAGCAGCAGAGGAAUGACGCGGGCGUGGAGGCGGAGAUGCGUUAUGUUUCGUGGCGGCUAGGGUUGGCAGCGCCCCACAUAUAUAUGUGCGGCUGCGCGUGGAGAGACGUGGGCUGAAUCCACGUCCAAGUCGGUAGCGCAUAGGAGUGAGCUCGGCUCGGCUCAAUCCCGCAACCCGCGGCGCGUCGUGACGAGGCGUGGCGUGGUGAGGCGAGCGGAGGAGGAGGAGUGCGCGAGGGCCUCAUCUCUUCUCAAGCUCCAAUGGCAUGAGGAAGAGAACCCCUUAUAAACCACUCCAACUCUCCUUCCACUUCCGGGGUGGGACUAAACUUCCCACCACCUUGUCAUGCCACCUACAUGGGCCCUUAGAGAUCAAAUCUGAAAUUGUCAUAUGGGCUCUAGGCCCAUCUCAUAUUUCAACAAUCCCCCACCAGAUCUCAGGGGCCCGGUUUGUCCUUUGUUCCAAACGCUGUUUUGAUAUACCAGCAUCUCAGUGGAGACCGAUUAAGGUUGAGCUCCACCUAGACCAAGUAGUUACACUCCUUCACAACUGAACAAUGGACUAUGCCUUGAAUUGUCAGUUUGGCAUCAAGAAGUUUCACCACAAGUCUCACUGAUACGAGGCUGCCGAAGGCCGACCCCUCGGGUGGAGCAUAUUAGUCACACUCCUGGCCUGUUCAUGAGCUUGCUAGAGAUCACCCCAAUCUCAUAGACUGUGACCAGCAGUCGGGCUCAUAUAGGUGUGUUCCUUCAAAGAUUGCUCUGUAGGAUAGCAUCUUGCUUAUGCAUAUAAGCCUUGGAACACAUUAAGACAGUAGUCAUCCUUCCAUACAGUUUCCGAGAGUAUUGCAUCUCCAACGGAGUGGGUUAGUAAAGUUACUCUCCUCAGUUCACCACUGGCUUGUUUUCCCAGGUCCUACUUCACGGGAUCUCCGAUCACAUAGGUUGGGUUACUACCAAGGCAACUCAUGUGGGUCUCAUACCCAUCUCCCUUGAUGCAUUAUCUAUCACAACACGUGAUAGCCCUUUAGUAAAGGGAUCUGCCAGAUUCUUAGCCGUUUGAAUAUAAUCCAACGCUAUCACUCCGGAGUUUCUCAAUUUUCUGACAGCUUUCAAUCUCAUUCUUAUGUGUUUGUUGGACUUCAUGUUGUCCUUUGAACUCUUCACCUUGACAAUAACUGUUUGAUUGUCACAGUUCAUAAGGAUGGCCGGAACCGGCUUCUCAACCACUGGCAAGUCCAUCAACAGAUCUCGAAGCCAUUCUGCUUCGCCACCCGAUGUGUCUAAUGCUGUUAAUUCUGCUUCCAUUGUCGAUCUUGUUAAGAUCUUUGCUUGCAAGACUUCCAGGAAACAACACCACCUCCAAGAGUAAAUAUAUACCCAGUUGUGGCCUUCAUCUCAUCAGCAUCAGAGAUCCAAUUCGCAUCACUAUACCCUUCAAGUACCGACGGGUAUCCGGUAUAGUGAAGUCCAUAGUUCAUAGUACCUUUCAGAUAGCGCAUAACUCUCUCAAGAGCACGCCAAUGUACAUCACCCGGUUUGGAAACAAAUCGGCUCAGUUUGCUAAUAGCAAAUGUGAUGUCAGGCCUCGUUGCGCUCGCUAGAUACUGUAGUGAACCAACAAUCUGAGAUUGUCUCAAUUGAUCUAUAGUUGUGCCUUUAGACUUUCGAAUCAGUACACUAGGAUCAUAUGGUGUUUGAGAUGGUUUGCAGUCCGAAUAUCCAAAACGACUCAACACCUUCUCAACAUAAUGGGAUUGCAGAAGUGUAAUCCCACCUUCAUCAUAUCUCAAUAGCUUGAUGUUCAAGAUAACAUCAGCCACUCCAAGGUCCUUCAUCUCAAAGUUCUGAGAUAGGAAAGACUUAACUUCCUCGAUCAACUUGAGAUUAGUCCCAAAUAUCAGUAUGUCAUCAACAUACAAACACAGUAUAACUCCUUCGCCCCCACCAUAGCGAUAGUAUACACAUUUGUCGGCCUCAUUAACAACAAAGCCAACAAAUGUCAAUUUUUCAUUAAACUUGUCAUGCCAUUGCUUAGGCGCUUGUCUCAGGCUAUACAAAGAUUUCACCAACUUACACACCUUUCCUUCCUGACCAUCCAUCACAAAGCCAUUAGGCUGUUGCAUAUAGAUUUCCUCCUUUAGCUCUCCAUUCAGGAAAGCCGUCUUAACAUCCAUCUGAUGAAUGAGAAGACCAUGCGAGGCCGCCAACGAGAGUAAUACUCGAAUGGUGGUCAGUCUGGCCACAGGUGAAUAAGUGUCGAAGAAAUCUUCUUCUUCUUUCUAGGCGUAGCCCUUGGCCACAAGCCUAGCCUUGUACUUUUCUAUCGUACCAUCGGGCCUAAGCUUCUUCUUGAACACCCACUUGCAUUCCAAUGGUUUGCAACCAUAAGGACGUUCAGUAAGCUCCCAAGUCCCGUUAUCCAUGAUGGAAUCCAUCUCACUACAGACCGCAUCCUUCCAGUAGUCAGCUUCCGGAGAUGCAUACGCUUCUGGAAUAAAAGUGGGAUUAUCCUCCAUGAGGUAUAUGAAGAAAUCAUCACCAAAGGUCUUUACAGUCCUUUGUCUCUUGCCCCUACCAAGGGAUUCCUCAUUAUCCUCCUCAGGAUUUUCAUCAUGUGUUUGAUUAUAAUAUUCCAUCGGAAUGGCAGGUUCAGGAGUCUCCUCAGAUUCCUGUCUAGAAGUGCUUUGUACAUCUCUCAUGGGAAAAAUGUCCUCAAAGAAUGUAGCAUCUUUAGACUCCAUAAUUGUACCAACUUUCAUGUCAGGUACCUUAGAUUUCACUACUAGAAAUCUAUAGCCAACACUAUUCAUAGCGUAGCCCAAAUUAACACAGUCCACAGUCUUUGGUCCAAGCUUACGCUUUUUGGGGAUCGGCACAUUAACUUUCGCCAAGCAGCCCCAGGUACGUAAGUACGAGAGUGUUGUCCUUCUCUUGGUCCACUUCUCGUAAGGAGUGAUCUCGUUAUCCUUUGUCGGAACUUUAUUCAGGACAUGACAGGAUGUCAUUAUAGCCUCCCCCCACCAUGCCUUGGAUAAACCCGACGUAUCUAACAUGGCGUUAACCAAAUCAGUUAGAGUACGGUUUUUCCGCUCGGCAACCCCGUUUGACUGGGGUGAGUAGGGAGGUGUCCUCUCGUGAAUAAUGCCAUGUUCCAUACAAAAGGCAUCAAACUCUUUCGAGAAGUACUCUCCACCACGAUCUGACCGGACUCAUUUAAUUUUCUUUUCAAGUUGAUUCUCAACUUCUGCCUUAUAGAAUUUGAAGUAGUGUAGAGCCUCAUCUUUAGUAUUUAACAGAUACACAUAGCAAUAUCUAGUGGAAUCAUCUAUCAAAGUCAUGAAAUAUUUCUUUCCACCUUUAGUCAACACACCAUUCAUCUCACAAAGAUCAGAAUGUAUGAGUUACAGUGGCGCCAAGUGUCUCUCCUCUGUUGCCUUGUGAGGCUUGCGAGGUUGCUUAGAUUGCACACACGAAUGGCACUUAGAACCUUUGGCUAAAGUGAAACUCGGGAUUAAAUUCGAUUUUGCUAGCCGCGUCAUAACACCGAAACUAAUGUGACAAAGACGUGAAUGCCAUACUUCAGAUUCAUUAACACUCAAAUAAAUAUUGUUCACGACUUUAUUACAUAGAUCUGCAAGAGAAAGGUGGAACAUGCCUCCGCAUUCAUAAUCCUUUCCAACAAAUAGUCCAUAUUUCAUAACAACUAAUUUAUUAGACUCGAAUACCAACUUAAACCCUUCUCUUCAUAGAAGGGAGCCACUAACGAGGUUCUUCUUGAUGGCGGGGACAUGCUGCACGUUCUUCAGCUGCACGAUCCUUCCCGAAGUAAACUUCAGAUCGACCGUGCCAACACCAAGAACAGAAGCACUCGCGCCAUUCCCCAUCAGUAUGGACCCGUGACCUGUGGCCCGGUAAGAAGAAAACAAUGAAAUGUCAGCACACACAUGAACACCUGCACCUGUGUCGACCCACCAAUCGGUGGACGGCCAAACUAAAAAUACAACAAAUAAAUUACCGUACCCAGAUGCACCACUCUCAUUGUUGCUCACAAUCAUAUUGACAGACUUGGAGUCCUGCCCUUGCUUCUUAUACUUGUUUGGGCACUUGUUGGCCCAAUGUUCAAGCGAACCACAAGUAAAGCAGCCUUCAUCCUUCUUGUUCUUCUUGAAGGUCUUCUUACCCUUCUUCUUAAAGUCGGCACUCUGUUGGACACCGUUCUUUCCCUUGGGCUUGUGGGAAUUGGAGUUCUUCUGAUGCACCAUGUUGGCCACAGAAGUUCCUUCGACCCCUUUUUCGUGCGAGUCCUUUGCCCUUGAAUUCUGCUCAACACUCAGAUGGCCAAUGACAUCCUCCACAGAGAAUUCACGCCUCUAAUGUUUCAGAGUGGUGGCAAAGUUCCUCCAGGAAUUGGGAAGCUUAGCGAUUAUGCAGCCCGCGACAAACUUGCCCGGUAACUCGCACUUAAGAAGCUCAAGCUCCUUAACAAUGCAUAUUAUCUCAUGAGCCUGCUCCAAUACAGGACGGUUUUCAACCAUCUUGUAAUCAUGGAACUGCUCUAUAAUAUACAUCUCGCUCCCUGCAUCGGCAGCCCCGAACUUAGAUUCGAGUGCCUCCCACAAGUCCUUGGCAAACCGCACAUGCAAAUAUGCGUCAACCAGCUUAUCUCCAAUCACGCUCAGAACUGCCCUGAGGAACACGACAGUGGCCUCCUUGAACGCCUUCUCCUGAUCAGGAGCGAUCGUUCCUGUGGGAGUCACACCGGCGACCCAGAACACGUUCAUGGCAGUGAUCCAUAAGGUGGUUUUAGUCUGCCAACGCUUAAAGUAUGUCCCCGUAAACGGCGACGGUUUCAGUGCAGCAGCAAAACUAGAAUUCGAAAAACCCCUACACACAUUAGGUUUUUGGAUUGAUAAGAAAAUAGGCAGUUUUCCGAUUAAAUUAAUCCAUGAAUAAAUCAUAAGCAUGACAUUGACAGUAUUGAUAACACACUGGUUACGAUCUAACAGAGCAUGUAGUACGCAUAGGGAUAAACGAUGUAGAGCUUGGCUUGGCUCGGCUCAAUCCCGCAACCCGCGGCGUGGCGUGGCGAGCGGAGGAGGAGGAGUGCGCGAGGGCCUCAUCUCUUCUCAAGCUCCAAUGGCAUGAGGAAGAGAACCCCUUAUAAACCACUCCAACUCUCCUUCCACUUCCGGGGUGGGACUAAACUUCUCACCACCUUGUCAUGCCACCUACAUGGGCCCUUAGAGAUCAAAUCUGAAAUUGUCAUAUGGGGUCUAGGCCCAUCUCAUAUUUCAACAAUUUGUACCCAUAAGAUAGCCGCAGAGGUUUGCUCACCAAGAUCACAGCUACAAAGAGACAGCUAACAGACAUGCGAAUGGUAGCAUUGUGGGAAACGCCUUACCAGAAAAAACAACAAGAAAAACAGACUCGAGAGCCAAGAAUGAAGGGCAUUCAUCCAUCAUAGCAGAGACUGCGCCACAACAAUCAUAAUUAGACCAAGAACAAAAAUACCAAACUCAGAGCAUUUUACUUGUAUCUUACAUCCCAAGAAAGUAGUUGCCACAAAGGCAAUCCAUAUGCUCACAGGGCACACAGGGUUAUAACAAGAAAAAUUAAGGUAAUACAUUCUUUUAGUAGCACGUUCCGGCACAACAUUAUAAACAUAACGACGAUAUCAUUAGCUUAGAAGAGAAGGUUCCCUUGCCCUUCUUGUCUCCACAAAUUUCGAAGUGCUUGCACCUCUGUAGUAAGAAAGAAAUUACGGUGUCAGAUACUUAAACAUAACAUAAUAUAGUAUGGAAAUGGGAUGGCGGAUAAGAGGGAUGGGCGGGCCUUGAUAGCACAUUGUGAGUAAUGCUUGUAGCUCUGGCACUGCAACUUCAGCAUAAUCUUCUUUGUUGUCUUGGCCCGAAACAGAAUAAUAAACAUCUAGAUGCAAGGAAGCAACAGAAGAGGAGCGUCCAACAUUUUUUGUCCAAAUGACCCCAGAAAUUCACCGCAAGUCUCGACUCAUGCUACAAGAUUUAGUCGUGCCCAACAUAAGAUGAGUUUCUCUGAAGAAUUGAAGCAAAGCACGUGCAUAAUGCGCUAGGAAGUUUUGCCAACAACUGAAUAAUGAAAUUAACUCGAGCAUACAACAACAUUGGUGUUCAGAAACAUCUUGAUGCACUAAAUAGGAAAAGGCAAUAAGGAUACACACAGCAACAACGGCGAUGACUUGUUCCAUGUCUGCAGGUGAUCUACAAUUCUCCAUGCAUCAUGCAACAUGGCUUAGAGCAUUUCUAGCAGAUCCCGCAAACUGGGCCGUCCGGUACAAUAACCGCCAAUUUACGGAAUUCAUCCCGUAUCCCCGUCCCGAAUAGAUCCUCUAAAUCCGACCGUCCCGAUUUUUUUUGCGGGACCCCGGAUCCACGAGGGCAUUUCCUACAUAUUUCCGGGACGAAGGGCCAAUUCUACAUGUUGCCGCAAACAAGCCAACCGCUUGGCGGGAGGGAACUUUCACCGCGUCCACCUCCCGCCCCCCGUGCCUUUGCAGACCCCGACCUCGUUGCUCCUUCACCGACGCGCCUCCUCCGACUGCCACACCACACCAUGGAGUGGCCACCCUCCUGCCAUCCAUCCCAAGCUUGCGCAAGCCGAAUCGGCCUAGGCCCGCGUCCGCCUGCUGCGAUUGUCGCACCUCGCCGUGGCCGAUGGCCGUGGCCGGGGAACUCCACAACGCCUCGCCGUGGCUGCCGUGUCGUGGGGGCGCCGUGUGUGUCGUUGAAGCCGUUCAGCAAGAAGGAGUGGACGGCGCACCCGACGACGCGUCCACCGACUACUCGACCUCACGCAUCUGGAGCAGGCCAUGAGCAGCAGCUAGUCAAGGCGGCCGGCGUGGAAAGCCAAGAGCAGCAGCCAGUCAAGGUGGCCGACGCUGCAGGCCAGGGAGCCGCAGGUCCAGCCGAUGGCGUGGGGUGGGCCACACGCCUCGGUGAGCUCCGGCUCCGCCAGGCAACACACAGCAGGCUCUAUUGCCAUGGCCGCUCCAGGACCCAAUUGUAAUCUAAAUUUCAUUUUGAGGGUGUUUUGUGCUACUUUGUAAGGACCCUAUUGUAAAUGUAACUACUGACACGUGGGCUCCACAUCUGACGUGAUUUUUUUACUGGAUCUAUUAUGUGUGGACACAUGCCAUACCGUAAAAACGUGUUAAAACCGUUUUGCGAUAUCCUCUAAAUCUAUUUUGCGGUACGAGGUUAUAAGGGAUCUGCUAGAGAUAAUCUUAGAGCAGCCAACAGAGGUGAAAGAUUCCCUACGACAUUAUCUUCUUGUGAUCGCGUAGAAUGCCAACUAUGCAUAUGCACACGUCGCCAUAAUUUCCAAAUCUACAACUCAAAACAAACCCUACUUAUUUCAGAUAUGGCUAACAAAUACCGAGCAAAUUUCUAAUUCAAGGGGAUAUCACACCGUGCCUACUUGCACAUUGCAAUGCAAGGUUUUGCUGUUUUGAUAGCUGAGAUAUGCCAAUGAGCAGUUGUUUGGUUCACAGUUACUUGAUUUGAUUGGUCUGUAAAUACAUGUCUAUAAAAUUGCAUAGCGUAACAACAUAACAAAACAAUUUGCAAAAGCCAAAAAAACAGAGAGGAGACCCAAGAACAACGGGCAUUCAGCACAACAUCAUAAACAUACACUGCGACAGCAAUUUAAUUAGACCAAGAACAAAAAUACCAAACUCAGAGAAUAAAUAACAUUUUACUUGUCGAUUGGAUCUGGAGAAAGUAGUUGACACAAUAGCAAAACAUAUGCUCCAUUGCCAAUAGGGUUAUAGCCAGAAAAUUAAAGAUAAUACAGUCUUCUUGUGGGAAGUUCUGGCACAACAUUCUAAACAUAACGACAAUAUCAUCAGCUUAGAAGAGAGAUGUUCCCUUG